GACAUCUUCGAGAAGCUCGCCGGCGAGUCCGCCAAGCUCGCCCGCUACAACAAGAAGCCCACCAUCACCUCCCGGGAGAUCCAGACCUCCGUCCGCCUCGUCCUCCCCGGCGAGCUCGCCAAGCACGCCGUCUCCGAGGGCACCAAGGCUGUCACCAAGUUCACCUCCUCCUAGAUUGACUAUGCGUCGCUUGUUGUGAUAGAUGUAGUUGGCUGCUGUUAGUCGCUGACUCUGCUUAUGUAUCUGCAAGUAGUGGUAGUAGUAGUCGUCUGUGUGCUGGCUGAUUGCCAACGUUUCGUUGGCUAGUUGGUUGUUAGAACUGAAGUUGCUGAUCCAUCUGAAUGUUAAUGUUGCCAGUCGUAUUAUUACUGAAUUUCAUGGGAAUCGCUGAAUGUUUGCUGACGCCUUGUUGGUAGUGAGAACUGGAUGCUGUGGUCAGAGAUUCAGAAAAUAAUUUUACUAGGUGCGUAAACUAUAUGUCAUGAUUGUGCUUUCAAUUCGUAGCAUUGCAAGUUAAGUUUGGGGAUUCCUGAUUAGGUGCAGAACCCUGUGUUUUUUGAUCUGUCGGUCUUAAACUCCUGUUGCCACUGAGUGUGAUUAUUCCUUGCAAAAAACAGAGUGAGGAUAAUUAACGUGGCAAAAUAAGAACAACCCAACUUAGGAUAUCAGCAACUAUACAUAAGCGCGUUUCUCUGAAAAUAGCAAAUGUGAGUUGUUUUCUAGAAAAUGAAAUGCAGGUUGCCGUCCAGUUCUUGUACCGAGUGUGCACCUGCAUGAUGGAGACGGUGUGAAAGGUGCAGCGGUGGUCUCCGCCGGUGACGUCGCCCUCAGAAUCUUCACCCCCGCGUCUCCAACAAGCUGACACCACGCCGUCCAGGAAACCGAUGGAUGUAAAACAGAGCAUAUAAGUAAGUGUUUGUGUCAAUGUAAAAGGAUGCAUUAAUUUGGUCAUCUUUUGCUUGCCCAUGAAUUGCUUUAGAACGCAGAAAGAGACAUCACCUUCGCCAAUUUUCAGCUGCCAGUUUUGUAAAUCUUAGUCAACCAAGAAUUACCAAAACCCGAGUUGCUAGAUGUGGUCUCUCCUUUUUCAUAGUCUUGGAUUAUUUCUUAUCUAGUACUUUCCUUAAGCUUCGAUUGAGAAGUCCAAAUACAAGCGCAUGUGGAUAUAGGCAUACUGAAACAGAAGUGAUACAGAUGAUGCAACUCAAACUCGUCUAUCAACAAUAUCUCAUGUUGUGACUAACGCAAAAGCAUGUAAUCCAGCGAGCCGACUUAGGAAUCAUACUGAGUGGCAGACAUCACAAGAAGAACUCGUAUAUAUUAAUACAAUUAUCUGAUGACAGGAUUUGAUAAAUCUACCACAGCAAUUGGAAGGUGUUGCACAGAGUUUCAGGGGUAGAAGCGACACAUGAACUCUUAACAAUAAAGCCCCCGAAUAAUAUACAAAUCAUAUACAACCUAAGACCAAUCAAAUAGUUUGUCAGGUUUUGAUAAUUGUUGAAUCAAGCACCAAACGCCGCUGCACCCAUUGGCUCGCACAUCAAGCUUACCAACUAGUCAUCGUCGCCAAGGAUUUUUUGUCGAAAGAGACCCUCUGCCCACUGGAAUUGCCAGAAAAGAUCUUCAGACGAAAAUGCCAAAAAGGACCCCCUCAGCCGUGGCGGCAGGCGCGGCAGGCGACACGUGGCACCUGCCACCACGGCUGAUGGCGGCGGGCCCUGCCGCCACGCCUGCAGGCGGCCGCCGGGGCAGAACGGGCUAUCACAUAGUGUCGCGUGCCGGGACAGAACGGGCAGGCCCGAUGGGCCCUCCCACCACAAGAGGAGGCGGCCGACGCUGCUCCUGCCGCUCCCAGGCCGACAGGCCUUGCUGUUCGCUGGCCCAGCCAAUGGGCCAUGCCGCCACUGCGCGAGGUGGCAUCCAGCUGCACGCGCGACAGGCACCCUGACGCCUGACGGCGCUGAUUCCCACGACAACGACAGCGACAACGAUGCUGACGGCGUUAAUUCCCACAGGUGGGAAUAUGGACGCUGAUGGUGCUACUGCUUUUGCCCGGGAAUCACUCCUGCUUUUUCUUCUGUCCGGGAAUCACUCCUGCUUUUGCUUCUUUUGCUUGAGCGGAUGCGACGGCACUGCGGGAGCAAUCCGAGACUGUGGGAACUUGUUGUGCUGACACUACAGUGAUCCUAAAAUUUCCCGCCUAAAAUUUCAUCUGUUCGCGCUUAUUUUCUUGUCAUCAUUUGUCGUCUGAGCUUAUAAAAGGAGACACCAAGGCUCUCGUCAUCCUCGUCCAGCCAUCCUCGAAAUCGCCACUGCACAAAGUGUGUAACAUAUUUUUUCAGUCGAUAUGAGUUUGCUUUGCUCGGAUCAAAGCAUUAGGCCGAGGAAAAUGAAGAAUGCAAGUUUGCCUCCGGGGGUGGCAGUCCUACGGUGUUGGUGUGGCGAUCUUUGCAAGGUGAAGGAGGUGACGGAUUUUUCAAAUUGGUUGGGCAUGAAGUUUUUCAUGUGCACCAAUUAUGAGGAAGAUCCACCCGUAGCUAUUUGAGAGUACGACAAGGCUCCGGUAUGCUUUAACCAUCAUAAGUAGAUAUUGUUGGUAUUUUGAUUGAUUCUUUAAUAACAUUCUUGUUUCUUGUUGUAGUCUCCUCCGCCUCUCUGCAUGUACUAUCGUUGGAUUGACACGGAGAUGCCGACUUGGGCAGUGACUGAGAUUCGUGAAAGAAGUCGCUGUGCAUGGAAUAGUUUCUAUGCGGAAAAGCGACGCGAGAAGGCAGAAGCUAAGGAGAAAGCAGAGCUUGUGUGUGAGAGAGAGAGAGUUAAAAGAAUACUAUGCGGAGCAACACCAUUUUUUUCCAGGAUUUAGGAAAGAGAAAUAGGGAAGAGGCUCGUCGCAUAAAGGAGCAGUUCGUGAGGCGGAGAGACAGAGAAAAAAAGAAAGAGCUCGUGAGGCCAAGGCAGCAGAAGAAGCUGGCAAUGGAAAAGGAAAAUAUCCACGCUGGACUCAGUAGAUUCCUGUGGUAGUAUUUUUAAUUUCGCAAUCGUUUGUAUCUUAAUUUCUACAGUUUAAUGUAGCUUUAUUUUAGUAGUUAAAUGUAGCUUUAUUUUAAUAAUAUGAUGUAUCUUAAUUUCAGUUGUACCAUUUCUUAAUAAAAAAUAAUAUAGUAAUACAAUAAAAUGUAGCAUUUUAUUUCCCUCCACUAAUUAUCGAACAUCGUGCAAAAACUACAACAUGAAAUUAAGAUAGAAUAUAAUGCCCUACAAUAAGACAAUACAAACUAAUAAUGCAAGUACAUCUGAAUUAAACGGGACCGGUGCAUUUUUAUUUUAGCAUACAUAGAUAUUUCAUACAUAACUCGGGAAGUCUGAUACUGACAUAUGUAGAUAUAAUGGGUCGCACACGUAGAUAGAUGAAUCACCCUAGUCGACAACGACCACAUGGCCUUUCCUUAGGACCGAAAAGUGACAAGCAAUUAGGUGGUCAAGUUAGACGAAGACCGCGACCGUACUCCACUUGGUCUUCCUGUGUCUAUGACUCCUGUGUAGGUGGUGGAGUCUGUAAUCCUUGUUGCAAACCUGAUGCGUAAUUGUAGGCGUAUGGUUGUGACUCCUCGGGGAUAAAAGAUGGGCCAAUAACGUCCUCUGUGAAGAAUUCUGUAACUAUUGCUUUAAUCGUGUCGCCAUGAUCAUGUGAUGAUCCCCAUAUGCGUGUGUUGAAGCCACGUUGGGUGGCCUCACGUCCCAAUUACGAUCAGGUAUGUCCUGCAUAUAGAAACAUUGUAAACAAACCGUUAGAGGAUAAUAUGUGAUAUCACUAUAAAUGCAUUAAAAUAUAAACAUGACUUCCUGAUCAGAUCCCUUGCAUGUACUGUCUGACCAUUGUACGUGGUACUGGUUUAAAUCUGGGACACGAGUCUCCUCGGGCAUGGAGAUCCAUCGCGUGGAGAGAUACGGCUAAGAUCCCUCACCUUGGGUGUAUGCGCCAUAUCCUGUGUACGCACAUGGGUUUGGGGAAAGAUACUGCUCGGUCAUCGAAUCCAAGUCUGUGCCAUGGUCGUGACAUGUCUGCCCUUGACAAAGCUGCACCGAAGAAGAGCGAUGCAGUGGCAGAGAUGAGUCAUGUCGUGGCAAUGUCGUUGUAGUACUCGGACCCUCCCCCACUGCCCAUGGCUUGUACGCGCCUUGCUCGGUCUGGACGACGGCGCCGCACUCGGUCUGGCUGACCUCGGUACUGGCAUGUUGUAAGCUCCAGUGACAACGUUGUCGCCUCUACCACAUUUGAACUUUGUUGCCACGUAUUCUUGAAAACGUUUCUGGAAUGACUUGCGAGCUGGUCCCCUGGGCGACAUGCUUUUCGUCGCCAUCUGCCCUACUUCGUUGCAAGUUUCAAGCUGGAAAAUAUUGGGUUGUUAUUUGGUUGAAAUGAUUAUGAAAUGAUGUACCUGAAAAAAUUACGAGUGAUUACCAUCUGGUCACGAUAGUAAGCUGCAUGCAACUCAACAUGUCUCUACAUCUGCUCCUCCCGUGUGAGAUUUGUUGGUAUCAUAGCUGGUUGACUGGUCAGGCUAGUACGUGGGCUGAUGCAGUACCACUGCUUGUACGCUUGAGCUGUACUUCCAUCGUACGGUCUGCAAAAUUAAAUAAUUGCAUCAACCGUUGUGAUGAAAGCAAAGCAUCUUCACACAUCGUAUGGUCAUCGUAAUAAAAUAAUAUAAAUAAAAUGUAACUAAGUUGAUGCACUAUAUAUGCUAGUGCUUCAUUUUUCCACUUGUGUACCCAUUGAAUGUUGUGUUCCCUCCAAUUGUAAGAACUUCAAUCGUGACCCAUAUUGGUUAGCCUGCAAAUUAUGUAACAAAGUGUGAGUUUAGUAAAUUAAAAAGGACACUAACAAUUUAGGGAGGUCACAUCUUACUUAUGGGUUUCCUCGUCGGUACAUCUUGGAAAAGGUGGUGGAAUCUCCUGAUAGAGACCGAACCGUCUCAUGAAACGCUCUGGGUUGUAAGGCUCAACACACCACAAGAACAAUAAGUAGCAAUGAGUCAGCCAGAAUGCACCAUCGCUCAACAUGCCUGCUGUGAUGGGUCGUAUAUUAAAGACCAUAUGUAACUGCUCCUGAGUCCAUGGGUUCCAUGUGAUUACAGCCUCAUUAAGUACCUCAAACUGCUGGUGGUAUAUAGGGUAACAAUUUUUCGCAAUAUUUGGAGACCAAUGUUUCCGUGCCUUUGUCCACCUGGUGGCCAUAGUUACACUGGUGCCCUCGCUACAGUCGUAUGGGUGUAUGGGAUUUAGUAUACAAGGUCGUCCUACAAGGAGGUAUUCCCAGGACCACAACUGUAGAAACUCGUAGGCGACACAAAGUAAGGGAGCUUUUUGUGCAAAGGAAGUUUUUUGUGUGGCAGCACACAAGCCUCUAUAUGUAUGAGAUAACAUGACAGAAUCGAAGCUGUAUUUUAGCUGCUCAGGUAAAGAUUCAUCUACCAUCUUCUCUACAAUGUAGAUGAGACGAGGGAGAACUAUGUCCCCGUGUGAAUUUGGAAACAUAACCCCGAGGAGCCACAACAAAUACGCAAACAUAUGUCUUCUCGUCUCAGAAUCAAUGUAGCUAGAUAAAAUAUGAAAGGUAUCAUGAAGCCAGGAGAGUGGGAUGCCACGAGGGCCACCAUAACAUUGUGAUUCUGGCAUUUUCAUCCCAAGACGGUUUGAUAUAUUUAAUGCCCAAGAUGGAGACACUCGUGGAGAGACUAACGGCUCACCUCUAAUUGGUAGAGCAGCGAUCAUAGAAACAUCUUUCAGUGUAGGUGCAAGCUCCCCAAAACGGAAGUGAAAGGUGUGGGUUUCAGGUCUCCACCGGUCAACGAGGGAUGUCAAAAGGGAUGGGUCCGAACAUAACUGGUCUUUGCAUGAUGUGAGCCUAGCAAAAGCAUGUAGUCCAUAAGCGUCAAUGUGAGGCACGAGAUAAAUUUUGUAUUGGCCAUAUUUUCUUUACGGUUCGAAGUCUGAAACUCCGAUAACCAUGUUUCUUAUUUGGGUUCAAAAGUAGGUGGCAACGGUGGCCGACGUCAUGGGGCCCCUCCAAAAGCACUGCCACUUCAACCAUAACCUGCACACAAACAUACAAAUAAAAAUUAUGAGGAAGACACAAAUAUAAAUGCAAAUAAAAAUUAACUUAAAAAAUACAAAGAGAUACAAUUUGCAUUAAUUAUCCAAAGUUAACAUCACGGGUACAAUAAUACACUGAGAUUCCAUUUAAAUUAAAUAUAGGUACAAUAACACAAAGAGAUUCAAUAAUACAAAGAGAUUCAAUUUAAAUUAAAUAUAAUAAAAAUAAAAAUUAUGAGGAAGACAUAAAUAUAAGUAGAGAUAGUGAGUACAGAUAUAUCAACAUCAUGUGGUGUUGUUCGCUCGAUACGGGCAUUCUCUACGUGAAUGUCCAGGACACUUGCAAACGCGACAUCGCCUUGGUUCUCCCAUCUGGCUAUGGUCCAUGUCAUUGCAAUGACGUCUAGACUGACGUCGUCCCUUGGCGGUUCUCAUCAAGUCGGUGUUCGGAACCCAUUUCAGCCCAUCUGGCCACAACAUUUUGUAGUUCAUAUCAAUGCCCCAGGCCCAGAACUCACCGUUCCAAGUGUUGUACAGAUUGUACAUGUUGAAGUACGGCGAUAUAUAUGGCUCGACACUGAUUUUUUGAUCUGCAGCCGCCCAGAGCACAUGACUACAAUGGUAUCCCUCAAGCUUGGGCUUGUUACACAUGCACUCACAGGACGUUGGGCUGAGGGUGACAGCUUGGUUUUUUGAUCCUCUGUGGUGACCCUUAACAUACUUGGCUCACAGAUGGACCUCCCACUUAUUCCUAAGUGCGUCCACUUUCCUGCAGCCAUGGCUUUGGGACUUCUUUGCUUUCUCGUCCAGAUGUCUGUGCAUCUUCUUGGACCAUGGCUUGUUCAAUUCAACUUGUGCAUUGGCUACAGUAACCCUGUCUGCAAAGUAUGACAUGGUCCGGUUCCAAGUUUCUUCACUUAGGGCUAUGAUAGGCAGGGCUCUCACCCCUUUAAGAACACCAUUGUACACCUCUGACAUGUUGCUGGUCAUUAUUCCAUACCGAGCCCCGGUGUCAUGAGCCUGCGCCCACUUUUACAAAUCAGGGCAAUUCUCGCCGAUCCACUGGCUCAAAUUUAUGGGCGUCCUACGGCCCCUCCGGUCUUCUCUCUACGGCAAGGCCGCACGCUCGAUCUCACCAUUGAUACCUGCCCAGAUGGCAUUCAUUUUGGCUUCAGUUUUCUGCAUGCACAUCCUCUUAAAUAACUUGAACCAAUCCUUGUUCUUCAAUUUGGAGUAAAAGUUUGCUGCCAAAUGCCGCAUGCACCACCUUCCCUCUAGAUCCGACCACCCCCACUCUUCUGACGACUCCUUAAUUAUGUCGAGAGCACUUAAUAAUCUUGUGUUGCGAUCAGAGAUGAUGCAAACACCUUCACGCUCUUUCAUGACACCCAUCUUCACGCAUCUCAUGAACCACAACCAGCUAUAUUUGUUCUCGCUCUCGACCAGUGCGUAUGCAAUAGGAAGAAGCUGAUUAUUUGCAUCUGCUGCAAUUGCCACCAAUAGUGUGCCCUUAUACUUUCAAGUGAGAAAGGUACCAUCAACUGAUAAUACCAGGCGAUAGUGCCUGAAGGCUUGUAUAGUCUGGGCGAAUGCCCAAAAUAAGCGGUCUAGGAUUAGCUCACCCGGGUUCAUUGGGUUUGGACGUUCUCUCCGCCAAACUUGAGUCCUCCUAUUAGCACUUGCUAUCUGAUGAAGCAUUCUGGGGGCAUAAGAAUAGGCCUCCUCAUAGGUUCCAUACAAGUUCUGGAAUAUCUUUUCCUACGCACGCCUAGCCUUGCUGUAGCUGACAGGGAAGCCAAUCCGAUCUUCUGCAUCUUUUUGCAAAGCCCUAACACUAAUGUUGAGACUUGCCUGCACAAUCGUUUCCAUCACUUGUGCCACAUAUCUUGGUGUCACAUUGGAGUGAUUUGAAAGAGUCCCAUUUUGCUCAUAGCUAUGCUCCACUAUUUUUGUGAUAGGCCAUGACUGACAUACCCCAGGCUUCAGUCUAGCGAGAACUCUUCCACGACAGCAUUUCACGGUGUGGACGCAUAUGACCUUCAACUCUUUUUUAUCAGACUGCUUCACUCUAUGCUGGCAGUGGAGGGCGAUUGCAUAGCUAUGAAUUGCCUGGUAAGAAGACUUAUUGUCUCGGAAAACCUGCCCAACCUCUAGUCUCCCCGCUUCUAGGCCAGAAACAGAGUAAAAUUCAUUGGUGAUGCUCAUAUCCUGUAAAAACCCAGGUUGUAGUGACGCUGCGACCGCCCUUUGGGGAGGAACAUCUUCUUCUUCGCUUGACUCGGAAGACGUGGAAAAGUGAUUGUCAUCAUCUAGCGCCUCCGGCAAUCCCUCCACGUGUUCGCUCAUGUCAACAGCGGCAGACCAAUAUCCUGUGUCAUACACAGGCUGGCCGCCCGUCGGUUCCAAUGGGCCAACGCUAGGGGCUGAUGUGAUGGCCAACUCGACCUCACCACCCCUGCUACUGUAUUCGACAACAUCAGUGACUAAAAUGAACUCCACAUACACCAUCAGCUGACCAAACAUUGAGUUAUUGGGACUGCUUGCAAACCUCAUGAAUGACCCCAUGACUGAUCACCUGUGACAGGCUGCAAACCCCAAUGGGUAGUUGUCCCAUCAUUUCCCCCGUCCACAAUGAAGGCCUCCAUUGUCAUUUCCCCCCUGCAUCCCUGGGCCAAACACCGCUCGGAUGCACCUUCUCACUACCGCGUAGCCCAUGUUCACCAUGUGAAAGAUCGUGGAUGUCGCCUAGAGGGGGGGGGGUGAAUAGGCACUUUAAAAUAAUUAUGGUUUAGGCUUGAACAAAUGCGGAAUAAACCUAGCGGUUAAUUUGUCAAGCACAAAACUUAUAACAACUAGGCUCACCUAUGUGCACCAACAACUUAUGCUAAGCAAGAUAGACUACAAGGUGAUAGCAAUAUAUAUGACAAGAAACAAUAUGGCUAUCACAAAGUAAAGUGCAUAAGUAAAGGGCUCGGGUAAGAUAUAACCGAGGCACGCGGAGACGAUGAUGUAUCUCGAAGUUCACACCCUUGCGGAAGCUAAUCUCCGUUUGGAGCGGUGUGGAGGCACAAUGCUCCCCAAGAAGCCACUAGGGCCACCGUAAUCUCCUCACGCCCUCGCACAAUGCAAGAUGCCUUGAUUCCACUAAGGGACCCCUAAGGGCGGUCACUGAACCCGUACAAAUGGCAACCCUUGGGGGCGGUCACCGAGCCCGUACACUUUGGCAACCCUUGGGGGCAGUCACUGGUACCCGUAAAAUUGCUCGGGGCGAUCUCCACAACCUAAUUGGAGACCCCGACGCUUGCCCGGAGCUUUACACCACAAUGAUUGAGCUCCGAACAACACCAACCGUCUAGGGCGCCAAGGCACCCAAGAGGAACAAGCUCUCGGGUGCCCAAACACCCAAGAGUAAUAAGCUUCUCAACUUGAAACUUCCACGUAUCACCGUGGAGAACUCAAACCGAUGCACCAAAUGCAAUGGCAAGGGCACACAGAGUGCCCAAGUCCUUCUCUCCCAAAUCCCACCGAAGCAACUAAUGAUAGGGAGGAAAAUGAGAGGAAGAACAAGAAGAAGAACUCCAAGAUCUAGAUCCAAGGGGUUCCCCUCAUGUAGAGGAGAAAGUGAUUGGUGGAAAUGUGGAUCUAGAUCUCCUCUCUUUUUUCCCUCAAAAACUAGCAAGAAUCCAUGGAGGGAUUGAGAGUUAGCAAGCUCGAAGAAGGUUAAUAAUGGGGGAAUAACACGAGCUUAAGAGAUAAGGUUCAUUGGGGAAGAAGACCCCCUUUUAUAGGUGGGAAAAAAUCCUACCGUUAUCCUCAUAGACCGCACAGAGCGGUACUACCGCCGGAGUGGUACUACCGCUCGUCCUCACGGUACUACCGCAAAGGGUAGCGGUACUACUGCUUGCGAGUGGUACAAAAAAAAAAUACUUCCGUGUCUACCUCCACAGGACUUGGGACGAGUUUUUGGGUCCGGAGCGGUAGUACCGCUGUAGGAGCCGCGAUAGUACAGCUGUAGGAGCCGCGGUAGUACCGCUCUGGAGCGGUAGUAAAAAAUUACAUCCGGUCCAGUUCGCAGUAGUACCGCUGCAGCCUUUUCAGAACACCAAAACUGCCACAACUUUUGCAAACGGACUCCGAAUUCGAUGAAACCAAGUUUAUUGGAAAGCUAGCGACAAGGCCUAACACAAUCUUGAGAGAAAUAACAAUAAGAAGCAAAUUAGAAAAGGCCCAAAGAAAAUGACGAGAACCCUUCCUCGAAUAGGACUGGUAAAACCUCCAACACCGAAAACAUCAUAGAAGACGCAUGCGAACUCCGUUUUCGAUGAACUCAAGCUUGUCAUCAAGAUGACCAUAAGCUCUAAAAAUCACAAAGAAAACCAAACAAGAACCAAGAAACAUGAUGCAAGGAUGCAAUGGUUUGAGCUCUCUACUAACAAUACGAUCAAGCUACGAACUUGAGAGCCCCCCUUGAUAGUACGACAAACGAUCCUAUAACCCAGUCUCCCAACUACCACCACGAGACCGGUAAAAUAGAAAACCUAUCAAGGGCAAACCUUUGCCCUGCACAUGGUCCACUUGAGCUAGAGGAUGAAGAUCUUGACUCCCUCAAGUUGGACCACCUUUCUUGAUUGCGUUGGCUCGAUGAAGACUAGAUGAUUGCUCCCCCAUAGUCCACUAUGGGUGAGCCACUCUUCGACACAUCUUCACAAGUCCAUUGAAACCAUAAUGGAUGGCAAGAUUCAAGCACUUGAUCUCUUCGUGAUGCUCCACUUGAACUUGCACACGGCAAUCUUCAUGACGAUCACCACUUGAUGUCAUCCUUUCCAUGGGUUGUAUGAUAUCUUCCUCUUGACGCAAGCCCAUGGACACGUACCUAACCCCACAUAGAACUCUCACAUAGACCAUGGGAUCACUUGAUCCCUCUCGGUACAUCUUCUACGCUUGUGAGAAAUCUUCUCUCUUCAUAAAGAUGAUGUCUUGAAGAUACACAUGAAUGUUCACACAAUCUUCUCUUCUUCUUCAAGACAUACUAGCAAUAAGCUCAAUACUCACAAGACCAGUCUUUGGAUAAUUCCUUAAUAGCACCUUGGUUAACUCAUAAACUCCUUGAAACUAACACAUGUUCUUCAAGAAAAGCCUAUGGACAAAACCUUCAAAUAUAACUCAAGGCAACCAUUAGUCCAUAGAGAUUGUCAUCAAUUACCAAAACCAAACAUGGGAGCAUCGCAUGUUCUUUCACCAUGUCUCUCACUACAACUGUAGUCAACCCGCACAAGGACACAUCCACCCCGAAAGAACGGUCGUGUAAGACGUCCCCAUAGUGCACUAACAAAAUUUUCAUAGUACCUAACCAACAUCCAUAUUUACAUUUCAAAUAAUUAGUAACUAAACAUUUAGUAGUAGUAUGAUGAUAACAUUCAAUAGUAAUACGACUAAAAUAAUAACUGUAUUCGUUACAAAUAUUCACUUUGUUUUUAUAAUCAUUUGCUUAGACUUUAAGGGGUUGUUUGGUUAAUGAGUAUUUCAAGAUCUAUUUUUCUCUCAAACUCGUCUACCAGCAUAUAACAAACUAAAACACUGUUUGCUUUUCUCUAACUACCCCAAAAAUAUCCUAAACGAGUUCUCGUAACAUGCAAAAACUAAGCUUUUAAAAAAACGACUUUUGGUAAAACUGAGGGUAAUUACUCGCUAUCCAAACAACCACUAAACAUAAUAGUACGACAAUAACAUUUUAAUAUCAUAUGAGUAAAACUUUUAAUAUCUUCCUGUUUUUUAUAAUUUUUUCAUAUCAUACAAUAUUUAUCAUUUAUUUACAAAUAAUAAUAUUCGUAGCGGCAUGCACAUUAUUCACAACAGUACAUCAAUAUAAAAAAUAUUAACAUAAUUACGACAUGAAUAAUGGGCUUGCAAAUGCAAUUAAGCAUCAAAAUAGUUUGAAUAAAUAUCCGUCACCAGUACUAUAUAAACGGAGUCAACCUAUUAUCACAUGAACAUCAUAUUACGCACGGAUUUUUCUGUCUGCUAUCAAAAGUAUGAAAAUAGCACUUGCAUAUAUGUGGUCAUCACCUCAAAAGGGACUGCAAACACGGAAACAUCAAUUUCUUCAAUCAUGUCAUCUCCUCCUUGUUUGCUACUAAGAUGAAUUGUUUUACCUAAUAACAUACAUCAUUAAGUACAUUAGCACGUAAUCUUAACAUAUAAAAUUUAGAUUAUUGCGACAUAACAAAGUAGACCUACGGUUUCCUAACUAUAGACUUAGUAAUAAACAUACCACAUGAAAUGAACAAUUGCAUUGCAAUUUUUUCUUAAUUACCAUAUUAAGAUCUUCUCGCAUAUCAAUACUAAUGGAUGAAGCUAACAUUGAUACAACAUCUUCAACCUACUCUUCUAAAAAAAGUAUAAAUGCAACAUCUGUCAUUUGAAAAUUUUCCUAACUUCUAUGCACUAACAUCGCAUAGCUAAUGACAAGCUAAAAGACUAAAUAAUUACCACCCUGCAUGCACAAAAAAAUCAAUGUAUUGCAAAGCUCAUACCUUGAUCUUCAACUUCGUAGUUCACUUCGCUAGGCAAAUCCUACUCCUGAAGCUCUAAAUGACUCCAAAAAGUGAUUAAAUAAUGCCUAACACAACAAAGAACACAUAGUUAUGAACUAAACAAAAAGAGUGAAAACAUCAUGCAUGUGAACGAAGCCAACAAAAAUGGAUAGACCUUACCUUCGUCUAUCUUUUCUUCAACUUCAGCAUAUUCCAAAUCCAACUCUAAAUCGCCCUAAAUCACAAGUGAAAGUGCCUAGUGAGUUUUUCUUUCUCUCUGUUCUUACAUAGUCAGAGAGCAGAAGAGGAGGCCAGAGACAGUGUGCUUGCACAUGGAGCAGAAGCACAAUAUAUAAAAGGAAGAGGAUACCUGUAGUGUCGUUACAACAGGAUAAACUCACCUACCGCAACCUUAGAUUCCCGCAACGAGCGAGUGUAUUUCUGCAGUGCUGUCGCGUCCUCUCAAGCAAUAACCAGUGCUGAGUGAGUGAUUCCCGCAGUGACAUCGCGUCCUCUCAAGCAAAAGGCAGUUGAGUCCCUAGGCAGCACCGCAGCAGAAUCAGUGCGAGUGCAUACAAAGCAGUCGCAAAAGCCAGCUCCCGGGAAUCAUCGCAAAUAAAGAAAUAAAAGGCGCAGAUUCCCGCCUGUAGUAUCGGAUUCCCGCGCGCAUGGGAAUUAGCAUCGUCUGCAACAGGGACGCUGUCGCCGCACAUGCAGCAUGAACAGUGUCGCUGCCUCCUGUAGUGGCGGCAUGGUCCACACCUUGUCACGCGUGCAACAUGAGCUGUCUGGUCGGGAGCGACAAUAGUAGAGGCGGCCGCCUCCUACGCUGGCAGCUGGGCCCACCUGCCCUGCCUUGUUCUGUCUCGGCUCAUGCAACUCCAAUUUCAUGUUUUACUCAGGGCGGCCGCCUGCAUGCGUGGCGGCAGGGCUCACCGCCUCCAGGCGUGGUGGUAGGUGCCACGUGUCGCCUUCCACGCCUGCCGCCAUGGCCGAGGGGGUCCUUUUUGGUCAAAUUCAUCCGGAUUGGGGUCUUUUUUGGCAAUUCCAGUGGGCAGGGGGUCUCUUUCGACAAAAAACCAGUCGCCAAGGACGUUGUGAUACCUCUAAUUCUAUUAAACAUACUAGAGUUAGCAUGAAAGGCAAAGGAGGAUAAAGCUGAUAACACUUUUGGUGGACAUUUUUCAGAUGCCUAGCCAUCUCACUAUAAAAAAUAUACUUUCGUGAUGAUACGUGUUUGUCACAGUAGGUCGCGUUUUCUGUCAUGCAUGUACAUCCAUGACGAUUUUAUGACAGAAUCAAGAUAGUCAUACCUGUGCUGUCGUUGAAGUGUUCCAUGACAUUACCAAAAUUAUCAUCACGGAAGUGUCCACUUCCAUGACGAUACAUCGCGCGUCACAGAAGUGCUUUCGUCAAGGGUGACCAACACGUGUCAUCCAUCGUAACGGAACGCUGUUAAGCUAUCGGGUCGGGUUUUGGAUCCGAUAACCCGUUAAUAGCCCGGACCAAUGGGAAAUUUCCACGUGUAAAAUUCUGAUUGGCCGGAGGGAACACCUGUCAGCUCAUCAGUGGGCCAGAUGUCGCCUGUCCAUUGGAGGAGACAUGCCUAUGAUAUGUCGACACGUGGCUGGGCCCAACAGAGGCCCAUAUAGGUUAAAAAGGCCGGCCCAGUCAAAGGCCCAUAGUACUUAAUCAGGUACUAGUGGGCCAACCCAAUAACGGCGUGCUUAAUAAAGGCCCAUUUACGGCCUGAAGCCACAUCUUGCCCGUUAAUUGUUCGCCCAAUAUUUGGGCCCAUUUACGGCCCUAAGCCAGAUCUGGCCCGUUAAUUGUUCGCCAAAUAUUUGGGCCCAACUACAACCCAGUGACUUUUGGCCUGUUAGAGACUCGAUGUAGACAUGGGCCCAUUUCAGCCCGGUUUGACUUUCGGCCUGGUAAUGGCCCGUGCUGCCCAUGGGCCAUAUAUGGUCCGACGGGACAUCGGGCCCACUAACGGCCCGUGCUAAAGGUGGCAACAGUUAAGCCCAACAUGACUUUGGGCUUGUUAAAGGCCUGUCGCGUAAUUCGGCCCGUUGAUGCCUGUACUAAGCUUUCGACUUCUUAAAGGCCCAUGAUAUCUGUGGGCCAACUAAGGCCCGAGAUAUGUUUCGGCCUGGUAACGGCCCGUGAGCUAACUGGGCCCAAAAAGGCCCGGUCUACAUUUCAACCCGCUGAAGGCCCAUCGACGACUAGUGAAAAUUGAGGCCCAACAUGCAUUUCGGCCUGCUAAAGGCCGGUGGUUUCAUCUGGGCUGUAACAGGCCAGUACAAUAUUCAGCCUGUUAAUGGCCCAACGCUACCUGGGCCAAACUAAGCGCUGGGUCGACAAAAGGCCCAACUAAAAUAUAGGCUGGUGUAAGUUGUGGGCCAGGUGCAAUGUGUGAAGGCCCCAAUCAUUCGGGCCCAAGAAAGAUGCAGGCCGGCCCAAUUAUGGCCCGCUUAAAACCUGGCCCGUUAGAGUUGAAUGUUUCGGCCCGGUCAACUACAUCUGACUUUUUUUAGAUAGCGAAUGAUGGCAGUAAUUAGUAGGAAUUAAGAACAAACAUACUCUAUACAAUAAAGAAAUUACGGCAUAGUAACUAAGAAUAAACCUAAACUAUACAAUAAAGGAUUUAAGGUAUAUUACAUCCACUAGGCAUCGAAGUUCGCCACCAGUGAUCAUAAAGCGCAACAAAGAAGCCGAUUACAAAAACUGGGUACCAUUGCAGCGUAACAAAAUAAUACUAAACCGAGACCACUUCCAAGACAGUUCAAGAAAGGUUAGCCUUGCGGGGGAACUGCUGCGCAAGCUGCUGAGCAAGGCUGUGAGACCGGCCUAGCAUGUCGGUCAUAGCUUCCAGGUGUAGCUGUUUAGCGAUGAGGUUCUCAUUGGUGUUCUCCGCAAUCUUUCUUAGAGAUAGGACUUCAAGUCGAAGUUGAGUUGCAGAAUGCCUUUCUGCUAGAACUUGGGACUGAAGAAGUUGAACUGAUUCAGACAACGAAUUCUAUGAGCUUGUCUGACUGCUAGUCUCAAGUAACUUGAACACAUCAUGAAGACAAGACUUUGGGGUUGUCUCGCUAUCUUUAAGAUGUUUUGCCUUAUUUGCUGCAACAUAUGUUGGGUUUGUCUCACAACCUUCAACAGACUUGUGCAUGCCAUUAGGCAUAUCACCCUAAAACAAAGCAGAGAGAUGACAGGUUUUGCAUGUGUAUAAACAAAGAUGAUAACUGUGCUGUCAAUUCCAUCCAGUUUCAAAUUAGAAAAUAAAGAGUAAGUUCAAAAUAUCAAUAGCAUAAUUUGGCAUUGUUCAUAAUGCGGGGAUCUUCACCACACUACUGGAUUACCAUGUCAACAUAACAAGCAUAGAUGAAGGGUAAACAAAAUCAUUUAUCUAUUUUGGUUAAUGUGCAUGUCAUGUUGUUCAUAUCAUGAGCCACAUCAGUAAGAUAAAACAGGAGAUGACAAGGUGCAAAUGUGGGAUGCUUCACCACACACUGGAUUAUAGAUCCACAAAAACAAGCAUACAUAUAGGGAGUAUUUAGUAAUGUGCAUGGUAUGAAUAAGGAAUUUGGUUUUACAAGUAAAACUUAGAACUUACGGUUCUUGUGAACAUGCAUUUUGGUAGAAACAACAAACUAAACAGCAGUAAACGAUAGGGAGUAUGAGCAAAUUAAAUAGCAGUUGAGGAUAAAGGCUUUAGAAGGACCGACUUACAUUAAUAGUUAACACCGGCUUUAUAAUGCCCUUCUCCAUGUCAAGGGAAGGAUAACUCAAGAAUUUCAGCCCAGAAUCUUCUUCAUAAGCAUUCUCUGUACUCUACAUUUUGUAGAGAGUAAUUAUAGAUAUGAUAAUACUGGAAGGGAUAGAGGAUAAUGAAGAUAAGAUGCGGAUUGAUGCUACAUAAUCAACUACCAAUCCGUGGAAGUACAACCAUUACGGGACAGAAUGUACUGACAAGAGUAAUGGGCUACACUUCUGCACUGGCAUUGUCUGUGUAUUCUACUUGUUGGUAAGAUUAAAUAUAGAUCUGAUCUUUUUUAGUAAAUGGUGGGCGAGGGAGAUAAGAUGCAGAAUGCUACACAAUGAACCAAUCCCUCUUCCCAUAAUACAAGAGUGUUUUGAACACUGGUGUACUGUACAAAACAUUCUUAUAUUAUGGGACGGAGGGAGUAGCUGUUAAUGUAAGUACAGUGAUAGACCACGUUAAGUCCUUACACUACAAAAAAAUACACUGCCGUGAUGAUAUGUGUUUGUCACAAUAGGUCACGUUUUUUGUCAUGCAUGUACAUCCAUGACAAAUUUAUGACAGAAUCAAGAUAGUCAUACCUGUGCUGUCGUAGAAGUGUUCCAUGACAUUACCAAAAUUAUCAUCACGGAAGUGUCCACUUUGAUGACGAUAAAUCACGCGUCACAGAAGUGCUUUCAUCAAGGGUGACCAACACGUGGCAUCCACCGUAACGGAAUGCCGUUAAGCUAUCGGGUCGGGUUUUGGAUCCGAUAACCCGUUAACAGCCCCGACCAAUGGGGAUUUUCCACGUGUAAAAUCAUCAUUGGCUGGAGGAAACACGUGUCGGCUCACCGUUGGGACAGAUGUCAUCCACUCAAUGGACAGAAGGCGCCUAUGAUACAUUGACACGUGGCACGGCCCAACAGAGGCCCAUUCCUGUGAAAAGGCCGGCCCGUUUGACUUGGUCAAAAGGUGGCGGGCCGGCCCAUGGAAAGCCUGUUAACGACUUGUUCGCAUAUAACCCAUUUACAGCCCGCUAACCCAAGGCCCGUUACGCCCUAUCCGAAUUAGGCCCAGUAGCGUCAUCUGGGCCAUCCAAUAUGAUUCCAGCCCAUUUUCACUUCUGGCCCAUGUAUGGCCCAUGACGUCUUUCGGCCCAUAUGAGGCCCUAUGUAACUCUUGGCCUAUUAACGGCCCGUGGUGAAACUGGCCCGCAAUGAACAGUGUAUCACUUUACACCCAUUAACGGCCCGUGGUGAAAUUGGCCCGUAAUGAACAAUAUAUCACUUUAUACCCAUUAAGGGCCCGUUACUCAGUUGGGCCGUUUCCAGCAAAUGUUAUCUUUCGGCCUUCUCAGAGCCCAUUUAUUCUUGGGCUCAUUUCCAGCAUUUGUUUACUUACGGCCCGUUACUGUCAUUUUCUGCUUGUGGGCCAAAUUCAGCCCGUGGUUACAUCAGCCCGUUUGUGGUCCAUUAAUACGUUGGGCCGUUUUCAUAGCGUCAUCAAAUACGGCCUGUUAACGAUGGCCCAUUAUGGUCAUACGGCCUGUAUAAGGCCCAUUGAUGAUACGGCCCAUAGAAGGCCCAUUGUUUCUACGGCCCAUAGAAGGCCCAUUGUUUCUACGACCCGUAGAAGGCCCAUUGUUUCUGCGGCCCGUAGAAGGCCUACUGUUUCUACGACCCGUAGAAGGCCCACUGUUUCUACGUCCCGUAGGAGGCCCUGUGCCACUACAGUAAAUAUUAGCCCACGGUUAUUGUCGGUGUCAAAACCAGCGGAUGUCGGGUAGGGGGUCCCGAACUGUGUGUCUAGGCGGAUGGUAACAGGAGACAAGGGACACGAUGUUUUUACCCAGGUUCGGGCCCUCUCGAUGGAGGUAAAACCCUACUCCUGCUUGAUUAAUAUUGAUGAUAUGGGUAGUACAAGAGUUGAUCUACCACAAGAUCAGAGAGGCUAAACCCUAGAAGCUAGCCUAUGGUAUGAUUGUUGUUCGUCCUACGGACUAAAACUCUCCGGUUUAUAUAGACACCGGAGAGGGCUAGGGUUACACAAAGUCAGUUACAAUGGGAGGAGAUCUUCAUAUCGUAUCGCCAAGCUUGCCUUCCACGCCAAGGAAAGUCCCAUCCGGACACGGGACGAAGUCUUCAAUCUUGUAUCUUCAUAGUCCAGGAGUCCGGCCAAAGGUCAUAGUCCGGCCAUCCGGACACCCCCUUAUCCAGGACUCCCUCAGUAGCCCCUGAACCAGGCUUCAAUGACAACGAGUCCGGUGCACAAGUUGUCUUCGGCAUUGCAAGGCGGGUUCCUCCUCCGAAUACUUUAGAGAAGAUGUUGAACACAAGGAUAGUGUCCGGCUCUGCAAAAAAAAGUUCCACACACCCCGUAGAGAGAAUAAUUUCUGCACAAAUCUAAUCUGCCGACGUAUUCCGCAGCGUGACAUCACGCCACGGUCAAGCCUUUAUUCGAAUCGUUUUACUGUUCCACCUCAGCAUGUUUACCGAGGCGGUUUCCUUGGCACGUCUUGUCAAAGCAGAGAUCGUGUCCCCUUAUUCCGGGAUUCUCAUCAAUACAGGCGUGGGUAACCCAACCGUGCCUUUUGGUAUGACUCUCUAAUUGAAAGCGAGUCCCAAACGGUUAUGGGGAGGGCUCUUGGUAUUCAACCCCUUUAUAAAGAGACCAAGGCUCGACUCCCUUCUCUUUCAAUCCAAUCGAAUCCGCCCCUUGCCUCGAGUUCCAACACUCAAAGCUUCUAGUUUUAAGCGCUUCGGACCUUCAACGAUGUCCGACUCCUACCUUCAAGGUCGGUGGAUGCCUUCCUCCAUUACGGAAGAAGACGUGCGAAAGCUGAGAGAUGCCAGUUAUCUAACCGGCGAAAUCUCGCAUAGGCUGCCUGCUCAAGGGCAGUCCAUUCCCUCUCCCUAGCCCGGUGAGAGCGUGGUGUUCACAUCUCACUUCCUUCGGGGGCUAGGCUUCCCGAUUGAUCCCUUCAUGAGGGGGCUGAUGUUCUAUUACGGGCUGGAAUUCCACGACUUAGCUCCGGAGUCCAUCCUCCAAAUUUCAUCAUUCAUUGUCUUGUGUGAGGCCUUCCUCCAUAUCACCCCUCACUUCGGACUGUGGCUUAGAACCUUCAAGGUAGAGCCGAAGAUGAUCGAAGGGCAGCACGCUGAGUGCGGAGGAGCUAUCAUAAGCAAGAUAGCCGGCGCUCCAUGGCCCGAGGGCACUUUCCAAGAAGAGUUCGGCUUAUGGCAACGGGACUGGUUUUACAUCACAGCCCCCAGGGGCACCACAUGGGUGGCGCCACCUGCUUUUCGCUCGGGUCCCCCACCAUGGCGAGCAUCAUGGGCCAAUGAAGGGCUUAUCUGGGGGCCAUCCAAAGACGUGCCCCUACUGCAGGACCGCAUUCGAGAUCUUCUCGAAAGAGAUAUUAACUUGACCGUGGUGGCGCAAGUCAUUCUGAUUCGCCGCACGCUGCCCUACAAACGUCGCCCUCUCCGCAUGUGGGAAUUUAAUCCGGAGGGACUGUGAGUCCUCAGACAUUUUAUGGGCGCGACGCCCGUGGAGAUGUACAAAUUGUUCUUUGGACCACAAGCAAGGUGUCCGGACUUGUCCGAGGACGCAUGUCUGAGCUGCAAUCGCCAGGAUGCUAAGGUAAGUAGCCUCGUAUUUGGACACACCAUCCGCAUUUUCAUCAUAAAGUGGCCCUUUAACAGAGCUAUCCUUUGAAAAGGAGUGGAUAGCGAAGGCAAAGCUUAUCAGGUGUCCAGCCCCCCUGCCCGAGACCGCACCGGAUCCCGUGUUAACCAGGAUGCUGGAGGUUAUGCUUUCGGCAAAGGGCGAAGAGGGGAACCAAGGAGCUGCCGCCUCCACGAAGGAGACUGUUAGGAAGGGAGGAAUCGAGAAUUCCCCCAACCUGGGAAAGAAAAGAAGUGCCUCUGAAGACCCGGAGGGGAUGACCUCGAAACGGGGGAAGAAAUCUUUGUCAAAGGAUCCAGCACCGGAGACUGCCUUGGCCGCAUUGCACCCUCAAGGGGAUCAGCUUUCCUCCGAGCCGUAAGUAAAGAGAGGGGUUCAAAAAUUAGUGGCAUCCCUGUUUUAUUUCUGAGGAAGAUAACCAAAAUAUUACCUUGCAGUUCGGAUCUCAACCCUUCUCAGCAGAGCUCGUCUUCAGGGGAUCUUCGUCCGGAGAUGAUGGAGAGCGAAACGCCUCCCCUAGCUGCAGUGACUUACGAGGCAGGCGACCCCGAGGUGUCGUCCCGGCGGGUUUCUUCAAGUCCGGAUCCUGAAAAAGGUCGUCGGGCUAGUCCCGUGCCCUCUAGUGCGCGGUCGGAGAGGCUGAGGGAUCUGCUCGGGCGAGCAUCCGUCUUAGAAGAACACCGUAUGUUGAUGAACACGGUGAUAGAAAGGAUUUCAUUCGCGGAAAGCGGAUUGUACGAGGCCGCCAGGAGUUUACUGACAGGCUUUGAGGUACGUGAAAAGGUGUACCUUUUGAUAGAGCUGCAUAUAUAAAAUGCGCCCUGUAUAAAUAGUAGCCCCUGAGACUCUGUGUGUCGUCAAGAGUGAUGGCGCACAGAGGAUCAUAACCCCAGGUAUAAAAUGUCAACUUUUUAUGAAGGUGGCGAGGCGUUCGGUGGCUAGCCGGACUGAUGAAUCUGCCGAGCUAAAGCGGCAACCUGACGUGGCGGAUGCCGACAUCGCGCUUGUAAAUAAGUGGCUAGACGAGGCACAAGGUAUGCUCCACAGACAUCUGAUAAGAGGAGUGCGAUGCUCGUGCCUUACAAUAUAUGUGCUUAAUGCAGAUAGUGCUGCUGCCGUGGAGAACCUUCGGGCGGAACUUGCCCGAGCCAAGGAGCAAGCAAGGAAAAGUGAUGCGGCUGCCGUUAAGGCGGCUGAAGAGCCGAAAGCCGAACAGGCUGCUCACUGCCAGAGCAAGAAGGUAAUAGCCGAGAUGGCUAUAAAAUUGAAGGAUGCUGCCGACCGCUGUAAAUUUCUCGAACAAGAAGAAAGGGCGGCUCAGAAGGACCUUGAGAAGAUCACUGCCGAGGCCAAGGAUACUCGCUCUGCAAUGAGAGCUAUGAAGGAGGAGCUGCAUCAGGCCGGAGAUAUCAUGGCUUGAAGGCCCUAUAUGCUGCGGAUGAAGUUCGGGGAUCCUAGGUAUGCUCCGUUAGACCGACAGUGGAGUGCGGAAAACACUUAUCUGGAUUUGGCAGCGAGUGCGGCAGACGCAACCGAACACUCCGAGGUCGAGGUGACCAUAAAUUGGAAGAACUUUUUUGGUCGCAGUUCCACAAUCCCGAACGCCCACUUUUGGUAUCCGACCAUUUGGCCGCCUGGGCGGAGCUGAACAGGUUAUCCGGACUCGCCAUGAAGUAUGUUGCGAGUCGUUUGUGGUCGGGAGAGCCAGAGCCGAAGAGUUAUUUUGGAUUGGUGCAGCAGUUCCUUGGUUCUAUGCCGCAUGUUGAUGCAAUGAAGAGGUCGGCGUGCAUAGAGGGUGCACAAAUGGCUCUUGCCCAUGUCAAGACAUACUGGGCGGAUAUGAAGGCCAGUGUUGUUGCAUCCCGGGAUUCGGACGAAGGCCGGGUACCUGCCAGACACUACUUUGAGGAAGUUCUUCCUGGCGCUCGUUUAAUAGAAGCGCAAUGCUCGAAGGAUGUUGUGUUUGAAUAGCAUGUGCUAUUGUAAAAGAAAUAUUUUGAUAGAAUAUAAAAGCUUUUUAUACUUGUGCUUGCAAGAAUUAUAAUACCUCCUGUGCGGCUGUUAAUGUAUAUGUGUAUAUAACCUGAAAGAUGGCAGUCGUUGGCUUCAGCCCCCACGCAUAUAAUGCGGGGGUGUUCGCAAAAAAGGCGCCUUUUCACACUUAAUCCAACGUCUUGGUCCUACAAAGGAGGUGAUAGCGCGGCGAACUAGGCAACCGGACUAUAAUGCUUUAUCACUUUCACUUAGCCAUAGGAGUUUGACAUUGGGGCUACUCAAUAGCCCCUAAAGGCAUUGCGCUCGCCCGAAUUCGGGGCACGUGUGUGCCUGACUGGGAAGUGGUCCUUCGUUAAUGUGGAGGAAUCCUAAAGAUUCCGAGAGUCAUCGAGUGGUUGACCAGUCUCUCGCUAUAUCAUGACAGUCAAUUUUCGGCUUUCUCUACUGAGGUGCUCACCAGGCCGAACCGGGGCACAAUCACAGUAGUUCUCCCUGUGCCGCAUUAGCCGAUAUAACGGAACGUAAGGCAGCAAAACACAGGAGCCGGGCAAACCCAACAUUUGACCAAAGACAUGAUUCGGAGGUGAUGCAUAUAAGGCCAAACUCGCGACGCCGAACACUCCCUAAGGUAUUCAGUCUUUAUGAAGACGGGCCAAAAUAGAGCCCUUGGUAAAAAAGCCCCUGGUGUCCCGGUACGCGCAAAAUUCUGGCGUGGCCACAUGCCAAGACGCCAGCCUCCUCCUCGGUUAUAGCAAAAACCGGGGGAUGUUGUCAACAAGAGACAGUAAAAAAGGUUUACGCAGGGUCUUAAUCUGAAAAGAAUCCUUGAAACGGGUCCCUACUGCACGUCUGUGCCUGUGUCUCCGUUGUGCCGUAUCCUGGACGGGCGUAGCACGAUGUUUGUCUGCGAAAGAGAGGAACUUAGUAAAAAAUAAGCGUGCGAGAAAUCUAUAUUAAAAUAAACAAAAUAUAGUUGGAGCAAGAAAUGAGCCGUAUUGUCUCCUGGCAUGAACACGCGGAGCCCCUUGUACAGGGUUAUGCGGCUAUUAAGCCUAUGUAGGUUUACGCCGGACUCGUCGAGCUGUGUCCGGGAUAGUAGGGCUGGAUUAGUGUGCGGCUGUCCAGGCGGCCGCACCAUUACCCAUACUUUGGCGGUCAAUUGAUAUUCCCCUGUAAUGAGAUGAUGCCUCGUGGGCCGGGCAUUUUAAGUGUAAGGGAUGCAUAAUGCGGUAUUGCAUUAAAGCGAGCGAAAGCUUCACGUCCUAGUAGCGCUUGAUAGCGACUUACGAAUGGGGCGAUGUGGAAUGUUAGCUUUUCGCUUCGGAAGUUGUCGGGUGAGCCGAACGUGACUUCUAACGAAAGGGAACCCAUACUCUGGGUAUCUGGACCCGGUGUGACUCCUUGAAAGGAAGUGUUGCCAUGGCGGAUUAUAGCUGGGUUUACCCCUAGUUUGCGGAUUGUGUCCUGAUAUAACAGGUUUAAGUCACUGCCGCCGUCCACAAGGACUUGUGUAAAUUGGAGUCCGUCAAUAAUCGGAUUCAAGACCAAGGCAGUCCAGCCUGCGUUCCGGGCCCCUCUGGAGUAAUCCUGAUGAUCAAAGGUGAUUGGUUGUAACAACCAGCGGCGGUGCUCCUCUGGGGCUGGCCGUAUGGCGCGUGUCUUCGUAAGCGCCGUUUUGUUUUUCGCUUUUGUCAUCUGAAGUGAAUUUACUGUCUUGACUUCUUGUGGGAACUUCUUUUGUUCUUCAGUGUUCUUCUUGUGGGGUGCGUCGUCGUCCUCGCUUGGUGUGUCGAGCCCCUUGUGUUCGACGUUGAGUUUGCCGGACUGCUUCAAGACCCAACAAUCUCUGUGGGUAUGGUUUGCAGGUCUCCCGGGAGUACUGUGGAUUUGACAUAUUUUGUCCAGGAUUUUGUUGAGGUUAGACAGCUCGUCCCUGUCAUCUUUGGGUGGCGGCUUUUUCUGAUUUUGCCGAGAGCUUUUGAAUCCGGUGUUGACUGCCGUGCUCAUCGGGCUAUUAUCCUUGAUUCGGCGCUGUUCUUUGUUACGGCGCGGUUUCCCGUUUCCAUCUCUGAGUUUGGAUGUGCUCGGGUCGCUGGUGCUGUUUCUUGCCAACCAGCUAUCCUCUCCUACGCAAAAGCGGGUCAUGAGGCUUGUUAAUGCGGCCAUUGUUCUUUGCUUUUCUUGGCCGAGGUGUCUGGCGAGCCAUUCGUCUCGGACACUAUGUUUGAAAGCUGCUAGGGCCUCGGCGUCUGGAGAGUCGACUAUCUGAUUCUUCUUAGUAAGGAAUCUGUUCUAGAGUUUCCGGGCUGACUCUCCGGGCUGCUGAGUUAUAUGACUCUGAUCAUCUGCAUCCGGAGGUCGGACAUAGGUCCCUUGAAAAUUUGUCUGGAAAGCAUCCUCGAGCGCUUCCCAACUUCCCAUGGUGUUUUCGGGGAGGCUUUUAAGCCAAUGCCGGGCUGGCCCUUUGAGCUUAAGGGGUAAGUAUUUUAUGGCGUGAAGGUCAUCUCCUCUGGCCAUGUGUAUGUGGAGGAUAUAAUCCUCGAUCCAGACUCCAGGGUCUGUUGUUCCGUCGUAUGCUUCUAUGUUCACGGGCUUGAAUCCCGUUGGAAAUUCAUGAUCCAACACCUCAUCGGUAAAACAUAGGGGAUGUGCGGCGCCCCUGCAUGUAGGUGUGCCCCGAUGUUUGGAUAUUUUUUGCAUUGCAUUGCUCACUGGAGCUUGCUUUCUUGGCCCAUAGAUGGAUCUCGUUGGGCCAGUUUUUUGAUGCGAAUCCUUGGGCGGAUCGCGCGCCGUAUUGAGUGCGACGCCCUUUGUCGCUUGAGAUCGAUCGUGGGGUCGUCUAUCCGACCUUGUGGCCUCCUUGUUUUUUGACUGUGGGGGCUCUAUGGCCUCUUCAUAAAAUUCCGGUACUAGUUUCCGCUUCGGAUAGCUCUUUGUGUGACGACUGUUGCCGUACUUGUGUGCGGUAUUGAGUACUUUGCCCCAUCUGAUCCUGAGUGCAUCUUCCGCUGUUUUGAGCCUCCGCUUCUGCUUUUUCAGGUUACGUGCAGUGGCAACGAGCCUUUGGUGGAGGUUCUGAUGUUCCAGCAAUUUGUCCGGCGUGAGGUCGUCCGGACUAUUAUCUUUCCCGGGGAUGGGUUGUUCGGAUUGUCCGCCCUGUUUGGACGGUUGCUCGAUGGUAUGUUCGUCUUCCGUUGAUCCGCCCUGCUCUAUGGCUGGGUCUUUGUCGAUGUGGGGCUUGGCGUGGCGCUUACGCCGCCGCUUUGAUUGUUUUUCGAGGGAGCGAUCCCUGUUUGCGCCCUUUUGAUCCUCGUUGUCAUUUCUUUUAGGUGUGUCCACCAUGUAUACAUCGUAUGAUGAGGUGUCUUUCCAGUGCCCUAUAGGUGCUGGUUCUUGGUCGUCUCCUCCAUCGGCGUCCAUACCGUCGAUGUCUUCGGAGUCGAAGUUGAGCGUGUCGGUUAGAUCGUCGACAGUGGCUACAAAGUUGGUGGUGGGUGGGUUUCGAAUUUCUUCAUCGUCCGCAUCCCAACCCUGCCGACCAUAGUCCGGCCAGGGCUCUCCUGACAAAGAUAGAGACUUUAGUGAAUCCAGGAUUUCGCCAAAGGGCGAGUGCUGAAAGACGUCCACGGCGGUGAACUCCAUGAUCGGAGCCCAAUCGGGUUCAAUCGGAAGGGGUGCGGAAGAUUCGGAGUCCGAAACGGAGUCCGGCACCUUGGAGUCACGGCCUUGCAAAGGACUAGGCUGGUAUUCGGCUCUAUCGCCAUAGAGAUUGCGGAGCCUGGGGCGGUGUCCAACCGUCUGUCCCCGACUAGCAUGGUCGGCUCCGAGCUAAUGGUCGGAGCGGACACAUGAGUGGCACUUUGGGCGUUGUCCGGCGACAGAGCUAGAUCAUGCCCAUCGGGACAGUGUGGCGCGCUCGGUCGUGGCUCGAAUCCGUCGAAGAUCAAGUCCCCGUGGAUGUCGGCCGUGUAGUUUAAGCUUCCAAACCUGACCUGAUGGCCAGGGGCGUAGCUUUCGAUCUGCUCCAGAUGGCCAAGCGAGUUGGCCCGCAGUGCGAAGCCGCCGAAUACGAAGAUCUGUCCAGGGAAAAAAGUCUCACCCUGGACCUCGUCGUGGUUGACGAUCAAAGAAGCCAUCGGGCCUAAAGGUGACGACACAGAGGAACUCUCAAUGAAAGCAGCAAUGUCGGUGUCAAAACCGGCGGAUCUCGGGUAGGGGGUCCCGAACUGUGUGUCUAGGCGGAUGGUAACAGGAGACAAGGGACACGAUGUUUUUACCCAGGUUCGGGCCCUCUCGGUGGAGGUAAAACCCUACUCCUGCUUGAUUAAUAUUGAUGAUAUGGGUAGUACAAGAGUUGAUCUACCACGAGAUCAGAGAGGCUAAACGCUAGAAGCUAGCCUAUGGUAUGAUUGUUGUUCGUCCUAUGGACUAAAACUCUCUGGUUUAUAUAGACACCGAAGAGGGCUAGGGUUACACAGAGUUGGUUACAAUGGGAGGAGAUCUUCAUACCGUAUCGCCAAGCUUGCCUUCCACGCCAAGGAAAGUCCCAUCCGGACACGGGACGAAGUCUUCAAUCUUGUAUCUUCAUAGUCCAGGAGUCCGGCCAUCCGGACACCCCCUAAUCCAGGACUCCCUCAGUUAUUGUGGCCUAGUUUUAAAAAGAACUGCACUGACUACACGCAAACAAAUAAACAAGACAACAAGGAAAUAAAUAAGGAAGCAACUUAUGCUAGGCUAUCACGACUGUUACACAUAUUACAUCCACUGGGCAUCAAAGUUUGCCACCAGUGCAAAUAUAGGGAACAAAGCAACAUAUCAUAUACACUGGUUGUCAAAGUUGGCGACCAGCGCAAAUAAACGCCACAACAAAACAAAUCCAGAACUGAAACCACUUCAGAAGAUCUCAAGAAACAAUAUCCUGGGUACCCAUAAUGCUGGCAAGAUGCUUAGCAAGCUUAUUAACUUUCUCUUGUUUGGUGCUUAAAUCCUCCAGCGCUUGCUGUUGCACCAGAAAAUAUGCAUCUGAAUUCUGCAGGGACUUCCUCAGUCUUUCAGCUUCCUGUCGCAGCACAUCUGAUCGAUGUCUUUCAACUUGAAGUUGAGACUCAAGAAGAUGAACUAAUUCAGGCAGCGAGUUCGAAUAGCUUGUGCCAGCAGUAGUGGCCAGUAACUCGAACACUACAUCAAGACAUGACUUUUGGGUUCCCUCACUAUCGUCAAGAUAGUUUUUAUCAGCUUUCUUGGAGACCAACAGGGAUGUCUCACUAUCUUGAACCUUAUUUGCAUUACUUCCUUUACCAUUGGAUAACGCAGUACUGUUCUCCAAUAUUUUGUCCGCAUUCUAAAAGAGAAACAAGCAGACACAUCACAUGUUUACCAUGUUGUAUAUGAAACUCAUUUUGGUAAAUGAGUUCAGUAGUAAAGUGGACAGGAUAACAACAUGAAACAAACAUAUAUCUAUGUACCAUGGUCACUUUAUGGUCUAUAUCAUUCUAGUUUUUGUUGCCAAAUCAAGAUAGAGACACAGUUCAAAUAAUAUUUGUUCAAGACAAAGCAGAAUAGGCAGAAUAUAAGUGUGGGUAACUAUAGAGCAAUAACAACACUUGUAAUGUGCAUGACAUGAGAACAUAACUGUUUAUUCAAUUGAAACUGAAAUCAACAUAGAGCAGGUUACAACAGCAAACCAGUUAAAGAAACAGGUUUAAAACAUACCUGUUGCACCAUUGGAGUUUCAAUCCAUCCUUCAAAUUUGAAAAUAGUUGGUAUGAGUAAAUACAGUAAUGCAAGAGCAAAGGAGUAUGAACCAUAGCUACAGAACCUGACCUGAGAACAAAUCUUCUUCUCCUUUAAGCAUUGAGUUGGGAUUCGGAGUGGUGGUCCUCGUGCUUUGGGCACUGCAGCUCCCUUACUAACCGCUCGUGUUUGGGUGCUCAGUGGUGGAGACGGUGCUGUGUCAACUGGAACUGUGUUACUAUUUGUCGGGGUUGGGGUUAGAAGGGGUGUAGCUGGUUCUCUGUCCAACUGGGUAGGGGUACAGUCUGCAAGGGUCUGGGUUAUGUGUGGUGGAUCUGGUCCUUGGGCAAGUACAACCGUGGUUCUAUCUGCAUCAACUGGUAGCACUAUCUUUUUUUAACACCGUGUUGUUACUCCGUUAGAUACUGCCAUCACGCUCUCCAAUUCAAAUGGUUGAUAAACAAGAAAAGUAAUUGAAAGUAUAGACAUUGUAUGAUAGACUGGUGCAAUGGAUAGUGGGGAAUAAAAGAGGGCAUGAAAUAAUACAUAUUUAUGUUAUCUAACCAAACAGGAUAGCAUGACACAAUUUCACAUAUAUGAUGGCUAACUAAAUAGGAUAAUGACACAAUUUCACAUUAUGAUGGCUAACUAAAAAAUAUGGAAAGACAUAGUUCAAAAUAUGAGACUAUGUAAACAUGAUGACAUGACAUAACUAUAUAAUGUGUUUAUUAAAUAGGUUCGCAUGCCAUAAUUCACAUACAUUCAUGGAUAGAAUGCCAUAAUUCUAAAUAUGAUGACUGUAAACACUAAACAGGAUGAGAUGAUAUAACUAUAUGAUGUCUUUAUUAAAUGGGUUGCCAUGCCAUAAUUCAGAUAGAUGAUGUGUAUGUACUAUGUAAACAUGAUGGCAUGAUAUAAUUCAAAUAUAUGAUUUAUAUAGUAAGCAGAUGGCAAUCUAUAUAUGAUGUAAAAACUAAGCAAUGCAAGACAACAUGCAUGACAUGGGUAAUAUAACCCUGCCAUGUUUGAGCAUAGACCUCAUGGGGGGAAAUAGGACUGGUCAUCAGUCUCUGAAUCAUCCUCUGAGGAGCUCUUUGUAGCUAGCAAGAUGUCUGCUUCAGAAGGUAGCAUUGUCUGCUCUGAAUACCUUGUUUUCACUCCAGAUACUUCCAUCACCGCUUCAAAUGGCUGAUGCACAGUGUCGGUGUCAAAACCGGCGGAUCUCGGGUAGGGGGCCCCGAACUGUGCGUCUAGGCGGAUGGUAACAGGAGACAAGGGACACGAUGUUUUUACCCAGGUUCGGGCCCUCUCGGUGGAGGUAAAACCCUACUCCUGCUUGAUUAAUAUUGAUGGUAUGGGUAUUACAAGAGUUGAUCUACCACGAGAUCAGAGAGGCUAAACCCUAGAAGCUAGCCUAUGGUGUGAUUGUUGUUCGUCCUACGGACUAAAACUCUCCGGUUUAUAUAGACACCGGAGAGGGCUAGGGUUACACAGAGUCGGUUACAAUGGGAGGAGAUCUUCAUAUCGUAUCGCCAAGCUUGCCUUCCACGCCAAGGAAAGUCCCUAUCCGGACACGAGACGGAGUAUUCAAUCUUGUAUCUUCAUAGUCCGGGAGUCCGGCCAAAGGUCAUAGUCCGGCCAUCCGGACACCCCCUAAUCCAGGACUCUCUCAGUAGCCCCUAAACUAGGCUUCAAUGACGACGAGUCCGGCGCGCAAAUUGUCUUCGGCAUUGCAAGGCGGGUUCCUCCUCUGAAUACUUCAUAGAAGAUGUUUGAACACAAGGAUAGUGUCCGGCUCUGCAAAAAUAAGUUCCACAUGCCACCGUAGAGAGAAUAAUAUUUACACAAAUCUAAUAUGCUGACGUAUUCCGCGGUGUGACAUCAUGCCACGGCCGAGCCUUUAUUCAUUUUACUGUUCCACCUUAGGACGUUUAGCGAGGCGGUUUCCUUGGCACUUCUUGUCGAAGCAGAGAUCGUGUCCCCUUAUUCCGGGAUUCUCAUCAAUACGGGCGUGGGUAACCCAACCACGCCUUUUGGUAUGACUCUCUAAUUGAAAGCGAGUCCCAAACGGUUACGGGGAGGGCUCUUGGUAUUCAACUCCUUUAUAAAGAGACCAAGGCUUGAUUCCCUCUUCUUUCAAUCCAAUCGAAUCCGCCCCUCGCCUCGAGUUCCAACACUCAAGGUUUCUAGUUUUAGGCGCUUCGGACCUCCGACGAUGUUCGGCUCCAACCUUCAAGGCCGGUGGGUGCCUUCCUCCGUUAUGGAAGAAGACGUGCGAAAGCUGAGAGAUGCCAGGUAUCUAACCGGCGAAAUCUCGCAUAGGCUGCCUAUUCAAGGGCAAGCCAUUCCUUCUCCUUAGCCCGGUGAGAGCGUGGUGUUCACAUAUCACUUCCUUCGGGGGUUAGGCUUCCCGAUUGAUCCCUUUGUGAGGGGGCUGAUGUUCUAUUACGGGCUGGAAUUUCACGACCUAGCUCCGGAGUCCAUCCUCCAAAUUUCAUCAUUUAUCGUAGUGUGUGAAGCCUUCCUCCAUAUCACCCCUCACUUUGGAUUGUGGCUUAGAACCUUCAAAGUAGAGCCGAAGAUGAUCAAGGGGCAGCACACCGAGUGCGGAAGAGCUAUCAUAAGCAAGAUAGCCGGCGCUCCAUGGCCCGAGGGCACUUUCCAAGAAGAGUUCAGCUUAUGGCAACGGGACUGGUUUUAUAUCACAGCCCCCAGGGGCACCACAUGGGUGGCGCCUCCUGCCUUUCGCUCGGGUCCCCCACCACGGCGAGCGUCAUGGGUCAAUGAAGGGCUUAUCUGGGGGCCGUCCAAAGACGUGCCCCUACUACAGGACCGCAUUCGAGAUCUCCUAGAAAGAGAUAUUAACCUGACCGUAGUGGCACAAGUUAUGCUGAUUCGCCGCACGCUGCCCUGCAAACGUCGCCCUCUCCGCCUGUGGGAAUUUAAUCCAGAGGGACCGCGAGUGCUCCAACAUUUUAUGGGCGCAACGCCCAUGGAGAUGUACAAAUUGUUCUUUGGACCACAAGCAAGGUGUUUGGACCUAUCCGAGGACGCAUGUCUGAGCUGCAAUCGCCAGGAUGUUAAGGUAAGUAGCCCCAUAUUUGGACACACCAUCCGUAUUUUCAUCAUAAAAGUGGCCCUUUAACAGAGCUAUCCUUUGAACAUGAGUGGAUAGCGAUGGCAAAGCUUAUAAGGUGUCCAGCCCCCCUGCCCGAGACCGCGCCGGAUCCCGUGUUAACCAGGAUGCUGCAGAUUAUGCUUUCGGCGGAGGGCGAAGAGGGGAACCAAGGAGCUACCGCCUCCACGAAGGAGACUAUCAAGAAGGGAGGAAUCGAUAAUUCCCCCAACCUGGGAAAGAAAAGGAGUGCCUCUGAAGACCCGGAGGAGAUGACCUCGAAACGGGGGAAGAAAUCUUUGUCAGAGGAUCCGGCGCCGGAGACUGCCCCAGCCGCAUUGCGCCUUCAAAGGGAUCAGCUUGCCUCCGAGCUGUAAGUAAAGAGAGGGGCUCAAAAAUUAGUGGCAUCCCUGUUUUAUUUCUGAGGAAGAUAACCGAAAUAUUACCUUGCAGUUCGGAUCUCAACCCUUCUCAGCAGAGCUCGUCUUCAGGGGAUCUCCAUCCUGAGAUGAUAGAGAGCGAAACGCCUCCCCUAGAUGCACCGACUUACGAGUCAGGCGACCCCGAGGUGUCGUCCCGGUGGGUUUCUCCAAGUCUGGAUCCUGAACAAGGUCGUCGGGCUAGUCCGGUGCCCUCUGGUGUGCUAUCGGAGAGGCUGAGGGAUCUGCUCGGGCGUGCAUCCGUCUCAGAAGAACACUGAGGGAGUCCUGGACUAGGGGGUGUCCGGAUAGCCGAACUAUCAUCAUCGGCCGAACUCCAAGACUAUGAAGAUACAAGAUUGAAGACUUCGUCCCGUGUCCGGAUGAGACUUUCCUUGGCGUGGAAGGCAAGCUUGGCGAUACGGAUAUGUAGAUCUCCUACCAUUGUAACCGACUCUGUGUAACCCUAGCCCUCUCCGGUGUCUAUAUAAACCGGAUGGUUUUAGUCCAUAGGACGAACAACAAUCAUACCAUAGGAUAUCUUCUAGGGUUUAGCCUCCUUGAUCUCGUGGUAGAUCUACUCUUGUAAUACCCACAUCAUCAAUAUCAAUCAAGCUGGACGCAGGGUUUUACCUCCAUCAAGAGGGCCCGAACCUGGGUAAAACAUCGUGUCCCUUGUCUCCUAUUACCAUCCGCCUAGAUGCUCAGUUCGGGACCCCCUACCCGAGAUCCGCCGGUUUUGACACCGACAUUGGUGCUUUCAUUGAGAGUUCCUCUGUGUCGUCACCGAUAGGCUCGAUGGCUUCUUCGAUCAUCAACAACAACGCAGUCCAGGGUGAGACUUUUCUCCCCGGACAGAUCUUCGUAUUCGGCGGCUUUGCACUGCGGGCCAAUUCGCUUGGCCAUCUGGAGCAGAUCGAAAGCUACGCCCCUGGCCGUCAGGUCAGAUUUGGAAGUUUGAACUUCACGGCUGACAUCCGUGGAGACUUGAUCUUCGAUAGAUUCGAGCCACAACCGAGCGCGCCGCACUGUCACGAUGGGCAUGAUUUAUCUCUGCAGCCGGACAGUGCCCUAGAGGCCGCACACGAGCCCGCUCCGACCCUCGAUUCGGAGCUGGCUGCGCAGAUCGAGGACGGGUGGCUAGACACCGCCUCGAGGGCUGCAACCUCUACGGUGAUGGAGCCGAAUACUGGCCUUGUCCCUUGUGAAGCUCGUGACUCCGAGGUGCCGGACUCAUCGCCGGACUCCGUACCUCCCGCGACUCCUCCAAUCGAAUCCGAUUGGGCGCCAAUCAUGGAGUUCACCGCUGCGGACAUCUUUCAACACUCACCUUUCGGCAACAUCUUGAGUUCGCUAAAGUAUCUCUCGUUAUCAGGAGAGCCCUGGCCGGACUGCGGUCAGGACGGUUGGGAUGCGGACGACGAAGAAAUUCAAAGCCCACCCACCGCCCACUUAGUAGCCACUGUUGACGAUCUAACCGACAUGCUAGACUUCGACUCCGAAGACAUCGACGGUAUGGACGAUGAUGCCGGAGAAGACCAAGAACCAGUGCCUACUGGGCACUGGAAAGCCACCUCAUCAUAUGACACAUACAUGGUGGAUAUCCCAAAGGAUGGGAAUGGCGAAGGAAUAGCGGAGGAUGACCCCUCCAAGAAACAGCCCAAGCGCCGGUGUCAGCGGCGCCAGUCUAAAUCCCGCCACAGCAAGAAUGGAGAUUUCGGCACCGGAGAUAAUAAUAACCCAGACAGUGCCGAAGACAACCCCCUCCAGCAAGAUUCAGCACAGGAGGACGGAGAAGCCAGCCCUCAUGAGAGAGCGGCAGACGAAGAGGUAGAGGACGAUAAUUACAUGCCUCCCUCCGGAGACGAGGCAAGCCUCGACGACGACGAAUUUGUCGUGCCUGAGGAUCCCGUCGAACAAGAGCAUUUUAAACGCAGGCUUAUGGCCACGGCAAACAACCUCAAGAAAAAGCAGCAACAUCUUAGAGCUGAUCAAGAUCUGCUAGCCGACAGAUGGACUGAAGUCCUUGCGGCCGAAGAGCAUGAGCUCGAACACCCCUCCAAAAGCUACCCCAAACGCAAGCUGCUCCACCGAUUAGAGGAGGAGGCAUAUAAAUCUGCAUCACCAGCGCACAAUACGGCUGACCGACCACCCCGUGGCCGCGACAGAGAGGCCUUGUCGGUGUCAAAACCGACGGAUCUCGGGUAGGGGGUCCCAAACUGUGCGUCUAGGCGGAUGGUAACAGGAGACAAGGGACACGAUGUUUUACCCAGGUUCGGGCCCUCUUGAUGGAGGUAAAACCCUACGUCCUGCUUGAUUGAUAUUGAUGAUAUGGGUAUUACAAGAGUAGAUCUACCACGAGAUCAAGGAGGCUAAACCCUAGAAGCUAGCCUAUGGUAUGAUUGUUGUUCGUCCUACGGACUAAAGCCAUCCGGUUUAUAUAGACACCGGACACUACAAGAAAUAUGUCAACUUAUGACCUUUUGUCAGUGACCCUGGAAGAAUUGGUCAUAGAUUUAUGACCAUUUGAGACCAAUUGGUCAAAAGCUGUUCGAGGGGCUCCAAACCCUAAACCAUUGCGACCAUUUUGGUCAGAAAGGUCAUAAUUUCCUUACAUGAAAUGGUCAUAAAGCUAACAACGCUAGUCCGCUGUCUUAUUUCUAGUUGUUAACGACCAAUAUAGAUGGUCAUAGCCUUGUAAAUUGUGGUGGGUUGCUAUGACUAGGCGCCACCUCAUUAGUUUUGCCUAUGUGUCAUGUCCAUGUGGCAGUUUUUGCCCUAGGUUGUGAAGCAACCUAUAUUUCUGUCAUUCCCAAAAUUCCCAAAAAAAUCUCAUAAAUUCUUUGGGUCAUAUCUUCGUCAAAUAUGUAAAAACCUUCCUUGCCUAGUUCAAAAAUAAUUCAAAAAUAUUCAUUUUCCUAUUCUGUUCAGAGUAACAGUUCGUGAAGGAAGUACCACUUUGGCAUGUCCAAAUAGUAUCCAUUUUCUAUAGUACUUUCCUAUGCCCAAAUAACCAUCCUCCACCAAAUGCCAGCUCAAUCCAUUCAUUAUUUUGAGCCGAGCUUCAACAUUCGUAUUUAUGUCCAGUGUGGUAGUUUGCAAAGCAAGUACCACCUAGGGUCCUCCUUUUGAGCUGAAAAUUUGUGAAGACGGUCUUCUUAGUAACUGAUCAUCCUCAGCCAAAACUCACGCCCAUUAGCCAUGUACAUUUCCCGUACCGCUAAUCAAACACUUGGCCGCUAAUUCAUGUUUGAGCAUCGAUCGGUCUCCUCGUGAGAAUAUUAUGUUGUAAUUUUGUUCCUAGCACCUACCUGGGGAGUGCUCAACCCAGUAGACAUGCCUAGGCUGCCCAAAACACAUGGCAACGCCACGGUCACGCGGUGACCACGCGACGGGCAUGCGAGUUUACGCGCUCUAGAGUUGGGGCCCUCGGCCACCGCCCAAACCUCGACGUAUCACCACCAAAAAAUGUAUUUAUGAUUAAAUAGGUACUUAUGUAACUAGAAAUGAUUUUUGGAAAAAAUAAAUAGCAAACUAUGAGGCAGCUGCAGUUCAAAUUUGACCCGCUUCCAACUGAAUCGGCGGGAAUUUGUCUUUUUCACCAGAGGUGGAUCAAAACUUUUGACACCCAACCAUUUUGUCAAUUGUGCAUUAAAUAUGUCCUAAUAUUUUAUAAAAAUGAUUUGGUACAAUUUUGCAACAAAUAUAUGGUAGGUCCUUCACAAAAAAACCUUAUUUCGGGCACUCGAAAAAUGGAAAAUGAAUUUUCCAUGCAAAGAAAAUGAAAACUCCCUUUGGCAACAUUGUUUGGAAUUCCAAGAUGCACCCUUGUGCACAAUAUGAGAUCAUUUGAACAAACUAUGCCAUGAAUGUGACCAUGAGAUUGAGCGUUUGGGUUGAAAUCCAUGAAUCUUCACACAUGAUAGCUCAUUUAUGAGAACACUUUUCUAAAAUAGUUUCUGUAUUACAAGAUUAUUAUUUUUCCUGGAAACUUGGUCACACAUAAUGACACAAUGCGAAGGUUUUCCAAUUUUUUGAUUUUUUUUGAAUUUUUUAUGCCCGUUUGAAAAUGCGGUCAAAACGGCGGGCUUGACCGUUCCUAGCUAGUGGUUGAAUCUUGGAAAACUUUUGAUGUUUCUCUGAUUAAAUAGAUACUUAUGUACCUAGAAAUGAUUUUUGAAAAAAAUAAAUAGCAAACUAUGAGGCAGCUGCAGUUCAAAUUUGACCCGCUUCUAGCUGAAUCGGCGGGAAUUUGUCUUUUUCACCAGAGGUGGAUCAAAACUUUUGACACCCAAACAUUUUGUCAAUUGUGCAUUAAAUAUGUCCUAAUAUUUUAUAAAAAUGAUUUGGUACAAUUUUGCAACAAAUAUAUGGUAGGUCCUUCACAAAAAAACCUCAUUUCGGGCACUCGAAAAAUGGAAAAUGAAUUUUCCGUGCAAAGCAAAUGAAAACUUCCUUAGGCAACAUUGUUUGCCAUUCCAAUAUGCACCCUUGUGCACAAUAUGAGAUCAUUUGAACAAACUAUGCAAUGAAUGUGGCCAUAAGAUUGAUCAUUUGGCUUGAAAGCCAUUGAUCUCCACACAUGAUGGCUCGUUUCUGAGAACACUUUUUAAAAAUAAUUGCCGUAUUACAAGUUUGUUAUUUUUCCUGGGAACUUGGCCACAUAUGAUGACACAAUGCGAAGGUUUCCCAAUUUUUUGAUUUUUUUUGAAUUUUUUAUGCCCGUUCCAAAAUGCGGUCAAAACGGCGGGAAUGACCGUUCCUAGCUAGUGGUUGAAUCUUGGAAUUUUUUUGGUGUUUCUUUGAUUAAAUAGAUACUUAUGUACCUAGAAAUUAUUUUUGGAAAAAAUAAAUAGCAAACUAUGAGGCAGCUGCAAUUCAAAUUUGACCCGCUUCCAGCUGAAUCGGCGGAAAUUUGUCUUUUUCACGAGAGGUGGAUCAAAUUUUUUUACACCCAACCAUUUUGUCAAUUGUGCAUUAAAUAUGGCCUAGUAUUUUAUAAAAAUGAUUUGGUCCAAUUUUGCAACAAUUAUUUGUUAGUUCCUUCACAAAAAAACCUCCUUUCGGGCACUCGAAAAAUGGAAAAUGGUUUUUUCGUCCAACGAAAAUGAAAACUUCCUUAGGCAACAUUGUUUGCCAUUCCAAUAUGCACCCUUGUGCACAAUAUGAGAUCAUUUGAACAAACUAUGCCAUGAAUGUGGCCAUAAGAUUGAUCAUUUGGCUUGAAAGCCAUUGAUCUCCACACAUGAUAGCUCGUUUCUGAGAACACUUUUUUAAAAUAAUUGCCGUAUUACAAGUUUGUUAUUUUUCCUAGGAACUUGGCCACAUAUGAUGACACAAUGCGAAGGUUUCCCAAUUUUUUGAUUUUUUUGAAUUUUUUAUGCCCGUUUUAAAAUGCAGUCAAAACGACGGGAAUGACCGUUCCUAGCUAGUGGUUGAAUCUUGGAAUUUUUUUUUGUGUUUCUCUGAUUAAAUAGAUACUUAUGUACCUAGAAAUGAUUUUUGGAAAAGAUAAAGAGUAAACUAUGAGGCAGCUGCAGUUCAAAUUUGACCCGCUUCCAACUGAAUCGGCGGAAAUUUGUCUUUUUCAUGAGUGGUGGAUCAAAACUUUUUGCACCCAACCAUUUUGUCAAUUGUGAAUUAAAUAUGUCCUAGUAUUUUAUAAAAUUGAUUUGGUACAAUUUUGCAACAAUUAUUUGGGAGGUCCUUCACAAAAAAACCUCCUUUUGGGCACUCGCAAAAUGAAAAAUGGUUUUUUCGUCCAAAGAAAAUGAAAACUUCCUUAGGCAACAUUGUUUGCCAUUCCAAUAUGCACCCUUGUGCACAAUAUGAGAUCAUUUGAACAAACUAUGCCACGAAUGUGGCCAUAAGAUUGAUCAUUUGACUUGAAAGCCAUUGAUCUCCAUACGUGAUAGCUCGUUUUUGAGAAUACUUUUUUAAAAUAAUUGCCGUGUUACAAGUUUGUUAUUUUUCCUGGGAACUUGGCCACAUAUAAUGACACAAUGCGAAGGUUUCCCAAUUUUUUGAUUUUUUUGAAUUUUUUAUGCCCGUUUCAAAAUGCGGUCGAAACGGCGGGAAUGACCGUUCCUAGCUAGUGGUUGAAUCUUGGAAUUUUUUUUGUGUUUCUCUGAUUAAAUAGAUACUUAUGUACCUAGAAAUGAUUUUUUGGAAAAAAUAAAGAGCAAACUAUAAUGCAGCUACAGUUCAAAUUUGACCCGCUUCCAGCUAAAUCGGCGGAAAGUUGUCUUUUUCAUGAGAGGUGGAUAAAAGCUUUUGACACCCAACCAUUUGGUAAAUUAUGCAUUAAAUAUGUCCUAGUAUUUUAGAAAAUUGAUUUGGUCCAAUUUUGCAACAAAUAUAUGGUAGGUCCUUCACAAAAAAACUCUUUUUGGGCACUCCAAAAAUGGAAAAUUGAUUUUUCGUUAUUCAAGGAAUAACACUACUAAUUAUUUGAAAACUUAACUAACAUUGUCAUAAAAAGAGAAGGAAACUUACCAUCGGGCAUCGUGGUGCUGCGUUGGAGCUCACGCUGCAAUGGAGUUUCGCCGGGCGCUGUGGUGCUGUGUUGGUAGCGCCUAUUGUUAAUCAAUUACGACAAUUUUAGAUGGUCAUAAGCCCGCACUUCGUUCUGAUUGGUCUAUGGGCAUGUCACGCGGAUCAAGCAUUACAGACCGUCGGAUACUGCCAGAUCCAACGGCCCACACCCUCAUCCUCUCGCCACCCACACCCACCCGAAAGCAGCUCCCCUCACCUACACCACAUGUCGUUGAGGACACUGACAUGUGGGCCUAAUUCCUCGCGGGCCCACCUAUCAGUGGAUGAAUGCCACCACUCACCCACCGCACACCACUCACCCACCGCACACCACUCCUCCCCCUCUCCCCCGCACACCACUCCCCCCCACNNNNNNNNNNNNNNNNNNNNNNNNNNNNNNNNNNNNNNNNNNNNNNNNNNNNNNNNNNNNNNNNNNNNNNNNNNNNNNNNNNNNNNNNNNNNNNNNNNNNNNNNNNNNNNNNNNNNNNNNNNNNNNNNNNNNNNNNNNNNNNNNNNNNNNNNNNNNNNNNNNNNNNNNNNNNNNNNNNNNNNNNNNNNNNNNNNNNNNNNNNNNNNNNNNNNNNNNNNNNNNNNNNNNNNNNNNNNNNNNNNNNNNNNNNNNNNNNNNNNNNNNNNNNNNNNNCACGAUCCGCAGCCCAAACCCUAACCCCUCUCCCCUCUCCCUCCAUUGGACCGCCGCCGCCACCUACGGCGGCCGAUCCCGCCGCGACCUCCCCUCCCACCUCAAGCCGCUCCUCCUCGCCUUCGUGGACGACCACCUGCUCCCGCCGUUCGCACCCGCGCUGCUCGUCAUUGCCUCGGUCCUCGCCCGCGGAUCGCAGAGCAUCUCAUGGCAUUCCCGGCGCGGCCAGCCUCCGUCUCCGGCCCCUUCGGCUCCGCCGCCGACCUCGCCAUCUUCUCCACUCUGACCACGACGCGGCGGGCGGAUCCAGGCCGUGCGAGCGAGACGGCGGCCAGAUCCUCGAUGGCGAGGACACGCAGCGGUCCCCGCCGACCAAAUCAGGUCCGUCUCCUCCCGCAGCUGAGUUGUUUUACUGGCGAUUUUCCUCGCAUGGCCACGACCUCUGACCCCUUCUCAUUGAUUUGCUCGGGCUGCCGCCUCUCCCACCAUCGAUAGUGCGUGCUCAACACAGAGAUCCGCCGCGCCAAGGCCAAGCUCCUCAAGGAGGAUCCACCCAAGCUACACGCCGGCCACAGCCCCCCCUCCCCAUGCAGCAGCUGUCGCCGCCGUGUACCUCGACAGAUCUGCCGCCCUCGACAGCGUCAGACGAAGGCGGGGCCUCCGCCACUGCAGGCACAGUCGCCUCUGCCGCUGCGGUCCUCAACCGACCCUGCCGCCCUCGUCCAAGGCAUCCUCGUGUGCAACACUAGCUCGAUUAGGUGAGCUCGCAUGGCCUUGUUCACUCAGUUUUCUACAUGCGCCUGAUCCAUGCAGGUCAGGGAUCAGUGAUUGAAUUGUUUAGACACCUUUUUUGGAUAAAACUUGUUUAUCUGUGUCGUCAUUAAAGAAGGAUGAAGAUUUGCACCUUUGGAUUAGUGAAUUAUAAAGAGAAGUGAACAUAUAAAUAUAGGCCAAUUUGCUAGCAUUCUGGUGCUUAUCAACACUCGAAAUCCGCUUGUCUAGCUUCAACCUAUCUUGCUUUGCUAUGAAUAUUCCUUUGGGAUGACUAAAACUGGAGCUAUACUAGCCUAUCUCUGCUAUGUUCCAUCCACUGUAUCUGUUUAACCAACCUGAUCCUCCAAACAUAAAAGCUCAAGUGUGUACUGAAUCAUGUGUUAUUUAGUUAGCUGAGCAGUAUCUUUAGUUUUCUAAUGAUUGCUCAACUCUCAAUUCUGAAUAAAUAAGUAGCUGACCCUAUUGGUUCUUUCUUUCUUCAGGGCUAUGAGUUGAUGGCCACGCUACUGUUUUGCCCUACUUGAUAAUUCUUUUACUGUCCGGUCUGCUCUGCUCUACAUAGUUUCCAGUUGCUUAUAAAAUGAUAAAACUAUGGUGAUGUGAGGUCCGCCAAUGGUUUGUAAUUUUGGUUUCAUCCCCAACCUCUCCAGCUAGCUUCUUCUUCACAUCAUAUCAUAUUUGCACCUGCUGCUGCUUCAUGGAUUGGAUGGUCACCUACUAGCUAAGUAGAUUAGCUUGUAUUGCCAUCGAAUUAGUCAAUAUUGUUUCACUUGGCUUGUUUCUUGUACUAGGUCUGUCAAUUACAGCAUAAACAAACAAAUUGCUUAGCUCUCAACUAUGAAUACAUAGCUAGCUGAACCUGUUCUUUCUUUCUCUCUAAAGAGCUAUGACUUACAUGGGUCAAGCUGCUGUUUUUCUGUGCUCGAUGAUACUAUUGCUGCCUGUAUACUGAUACAUGUGGUGAUAUUUACCCGAAUUGAAGUUGUGAAUGUACCAUUAUGUUCCUGCUCACAAGCAUUUGAUCUCUACUGGAAUAUUAGUGUUUUUUAUGGGAGGAAUAUCACAAUAGUAGUGCAUUUCCCUGCUGUUUUAUGGGAAGCCUCCUCCCAUUAUCACAAUAUCACAAUACUGUAGCCAUUAAAGCUUGUUCAUCUAGAAAUUUUACAUUACAUACAUUGUGCUAUAUAUAGUGGCCGUUCAAACUUGUUAAACAACCUUCUGUUGUUGUUCCUGUAAUCUCUGAUUUGUAGCAUUGUUGGUUUUGCUCUUUUUUUUGUCUUAAAACUUGAUGGGCCAAAGAUCCUUUGUUUGUAUGUUAUCAUCACUAUGAUCUUCAGUUUUCCAUACACUGUGAUCUUCAGUUUUUCAUUGCGUGUUUUUUCUGCAGUUUGCUUGGUGUGUGGACAGGGCCAAAGGACAAGAUGCUUCAAUCCGGCGAGGACAGAGCCAAAUGACCAAAGUUUGUUCAUCUGUUGCCAAGGUGACCCCUCUCCUCCUCCUCUCUAUUUUUUGUUCAUUUUCUCAUAUGAUCUGAUGCGUGCUCUCUUGCUUGGUGUGUGUGCAGUUUGGUACCAUCCCGUGGGGAGGGCCAGGGACAAGCUGCUCCGAUCCGGCGAGGAUGCCCACCAUCUAUUGUUAAGGUGAUCUCUCUCUCUACACAUAUAUAUAUAUAUAUAUAUAUAUAUACAUAUCCUGUUAUGAUGAUUCUCAGCCCCGCCCCACCUUUAAGCUAUGCAUUCAGAAGAAACAUUCUAUAGUAAAGUAUGGGGUUGUUGAUUAAACUGCUGCUAUGUUCACUUCAAUGAGAAAAAGUGUAGUUAAUUCAGGUUGUGAACAUUUCUUAGCAGUUAUAUUAAGACACAUACUGUAUGAGAAAAACUGCUGCUGUUGUGUUCACUUCAAUGAGAAAAACUGCUGCUGUUGUGUUCACUUCAAUGAGAAAAACUGCUGCUGUGUUCACUUCAAUGAGAAAAACUGCUGCUGUGUUCACUUCAACUGAGUUACUCCUUUUUUGAAUGGAAUGUUCAUAAUAUAUUGUCUCCAGUUUUUCUAAUUUUUAUCAGCUGAUUCAUGUAACAGGGCGUCCGUGGAAGGCCCAGUCCUGACUCUCCAGUGAGCCGGCAUUUGAUCGCUAUUGAAGGAGCUACAUGUAGAAGAAGAAAAUACUUGUAGAGCUUGUAACUGAUUCCCAUAGUUGUAGAGCUUGUAUCAGCUAAGCUUGUAUUACGUGUAACUUGUAGAACUUGUAAAUGCUACAUCUUGUAGGACUUGUCAUUUGUAGAGCUUGUAAAUAAGCUUGUAUAUGCUACAGCUUGUAGGACGUGUCAUUUGUAGAGCUUGUAUUGAAUCUGGCUAUUGUUAUUUGAAGUAUCUUGUGUGUUCUUCCUUGCCAAUUUAACUACUAGUUAUUUUCUUAUUGUCAAAUUGAAAUAUGAAGAAUCUGGGCCUAAUAGCUAGGACCCACUUAUCAGAACCUGACAAGUGGGAUCUGUUUGACUAGUGGACCCAUUUUAUAAAAAAAACUAAAACUGUUGUACAAAAAGGCCAUGACCCAUAAAAUAAAAAGGCCAAAUUGUUGGGCUAGGCCCAUGUAGCUAGAGAAAAUUAAUAGAGAAAAUAUAUAGUAAAAAGGCCGAAUUGUUGGGCUCGGCCCAUGUAGAAAAUCGAAUUGGACCGGGCUGAAUCUUGUGCCACAUCAGCUUGCCACGCUGGAUGCCUACGUGGCCUGGGGAGGUUGCUAGUGACCAAAACGCCACAGUAGGAAUAUUUUGGUCGUAAACGUCUUUGACCAUUCCAGAAGAAAGGUCGCUAUAGUCAGUUUACGACGGCCAGCUUUUGACCUUCUGUUUUUGGUCACAAAAAGGUCGUAAAUGGAAAUUUGUGACCUUUCAGUGACCAAUAGUGGUGGUCACAAGUUGACAUAUUUCUUGUAGUGGGAGAGGGCUAGGGUUACAUAGAGUCGGUUACAAUGGUAGGAGAUCUACAUAUCCGUAUCGCCAAGCUUGCCUUCCAUGCCAAGGAAAGUCCCAUCCGGACACGGGACUAAGUCUUCAAUCUUGUAUCUUCAUAGUCUUGGAGUCCGACCGAUGAUGAUAGUUCGGCUAUCCAGACACCCCCCAGUCCAGGACUCCCUCAGGCCUCUAGGCCCUCCACUAGAACCGAACCCCAGCGUCGCUCGAAAAGCACAAGGCCAUAGGGGAACACUCUGGACUUGCGAGAUAUAUUGGAGGAUAAGGCAAGACAAUCAAGAUCGAUCUACGGAUCGCGUGGGCGCCCCAUAAUACGUGACGACAACCGCCGCGCCGGACACAGCAAGUCCGGCCGGGCCGAACACAGUAGACAAAGCUCUUUUGAGCUUCGUCGUGAUAUAGCCCAAUACAGAGGCGCCGCACACCCACUAUGCUUCACAGAUGAAGUAAUGGAUCAUCAAAUCCCCAAGGGUUUAAACCCGUGAAUAUUGAAUCUUAUGAUGGCACAACAGACCCCGCGGUUUGGAUCGAAGACUAUCUCCUUCAUAUCUACAUGGCCCACGGUGAUGAUCUUCACGCCAUCAAAUACCUCCCACUCAAGCUUAAAGGACCAGCUCGGCAUUGGCUUAACAGCUUGCCAGCAGAAUCAAUUGGGAGUUGGGAGGACCUGGAAGCCACAUUCCUUGAUAACUUCCAGGGCACGUAUGUGCGACCACCAGACGCUGACGACCUAAGCCAUAUAAUUCAGCAGCCAGACGAAUCGGCCAGACAAUUCUGGACACGGUUCUUAACCAAGAAAAAUCAAAUCAUCGACUGUCCGGAUGCGGAGGCCCUUGCGGCCUUCAAACAUAACAUCCGCGACGAGUGGCUUGCCCGGCACCUGGAACAGGAAAAGCCGAAAUCCAUGGCAGCCCUCACAUUACUCAUGACCCGCUUCUGUGCGGGAGAGGAUAGCUGGCUAGACCGCAGCAACAACCUCAGCAAAAAUUCUGGCAGUCCGGAUAUCAAGGACCGCAAUGGCAGGUCGCGUCGCAACAAGAACAAACACCGCAUUAACGACGACAAUAAUGAGUAUACAUCAGUCAAUGCCGGAUUCAGAGGCUCUAAACCGGGUGAGCGGAAAAAGGCAUUCAAAAGAACUACUCCCGGUCCAUCCAAUUUGGACCGAAUACUCGAUUGCUCGUGCCAGAUACACGGCACCCCCGAAAAGCCAGCUAACCACACCAACAGGGAUUGUUGGGUAUUCAAGCAGGCAGGCAAGCUAAUUGCCGAAAACAACGACAAGGGGCUGUAUAGAGAUGACGAGGAAGAGACCCGACCGCCGAACAAUAGAGGACCGAAGGGUUCCCCCCCCCCCCCACAAGUGCGGACGGUGAACAUGAUAUACGCAACCCACAUACCCAAAAGGGAGCGGAAGCAUGCACUCAGGGAUGUAUACGCGAUGGAGCCAGUCGCCCCGAAGUUCAACCCAUGGUCCUCCUGCCCGAUCACUUUUGAUCGAAGGGACCACCCCACCAGCAUCCGCCACGGCGUAUUCGCCGCAUUGGUUUUAGACCCAAUCAUCGAUGGAUUUCACCUCACCAGAGUCCUGAUGGACGGCGGCAGCAGCCUGAACCUGCUUUAUCAGGAUACAGUGUGCAAAAUGGGCAUAGACCCCUCAAGGAUUAAACCCACAAAAGACGACCUUUAAAGGCGUCAUACCAGGUGUAGAGGCCAAUUGUACAGGCUCAGUUACACUGGAAGUGGUCUUCGGAUCCCCGGAUAACUUCCGAAGCGAGGAGUUAAUCUUCGACAUAGUUCUGUUCCGCAGCGGCUAUCAUGCUCUGCUCGGACGUACCGCAUUUGCAAAGUUCAAUGCGGUGCCGCACUACGCAUACCUCAAGCUCAAGAUGCCAGCCCCUCGAGGAGUCAUCACGGUCAACGGAAACACUGAACGCUCUCUCCGAACGGAGGAACAUACAGCGGCUCUCGCGGCAGAAGUACAGUGCAACCUCUUAAGGCAAUUCUCGAGUCCGACCGUUAAGCGACCGGACACGGCUAAACGCGCUUGGAGUAACCUACAAAAAGACCACCUGGCAUGUUUCGAGCACGCGUAGCAAUGCGACCCCAACCCCAGCCCUUGCAAAAUUGCAAGACUGGUCCAUCGCGUACAUCAUUAUGCUCUGGAGAUACCAUGGGCAUAGGGGGAGGGGCACGACCACGAUAGGCCCAGAAUGCGGCUUAACCACACCAUGGGCUCUCAAGUGUGUCGUUCUUUUUUUUCUCUCUUUUUCUUUUUUUACCCACACGACUCCUUUCAUCAGAGGCCCUGUCCGACAGUAACCUGCCGAACUCACGAUGCAACAACCAGGGAAGGAGAAAGGCUACGACGAAUAUCCAGGUGGUCUCCAUUACGAGCAUUAAAUCUGUUUUAUACACCAUUCCGCAGCCUACCCCUGGAGGGGGACAUGUUUAAUAGUCCCAUUCCUUGCUUACCACACUAUUUGUAUCCUUCUGCAUUCACGGCAAUAUUUCUUGAAUAAACAAUGCAGCACCUUUUUGCUUAUAAUUGCAUUUCUUUCUUAUACAUAUGUUCAUUUAUGACAUGUUGCAUCCGUACACUUUGGUACGGCUAAAUACACCAGGGGCUUAUGUUUCCCGCAUCAUGGUGUGAUAAGUCCGAACACUUUCACAAGUGCGGCACCCCGAACUUAUAGCAUUAUAUGCAUCGGCUCCGAAUCAUGUCUUGGGUCAAUAGUUGGGUUUGCCCGGCUCCCAUGUUUUGGUACCUUACGUUCCGUUGUAUCGGCUAAGGUAGCACUGGGAGAACCACUGCGAUUGCGCCCCAGUUGAGCUGGGCGAGCGCCUCAGUGGAGAAAGCUAAAACUGACCGUCAUGAUGAGGCGAGAGCCGGUCGCUGUUCGAGAGGUUUUUUUCGAGUCCCUAAAGGCUUAUGCUGCUUAGAGCGAGGACCCGGAUUUGUCCGGCCCAGGCGUGGAUAGCGCCCCAAAUUCGGCCUUCCGAACACUAGGGGCUUCGCCGAUAUUUAAAAUUAUAGAAUUCUAUGGCUAAGUGAGAGUGUUCAAGCAUUAUAAGUCCGGUUGCCUCGUUCGUUGUGUUGAGCGCCUCCCUAGAUGGACCCAAAAAUGGGAACAAGAGUGCUCAAAUUUAUCCCGAACAGCCCAGCACUCGUGGCAUGGGGGCUGAAGCCGACGAUUUGCCAUCUCUCAGAUUUGAUAAACGGCCGCACAGAAGGUAAUAUUUUAAAUUAACAAGCGUUGCUUAGCGCAUAUGAACAAAGUUUUCAGUGCACAGGAUAACAAAAUGCGAGUCUACUCAAAUAUUACAUCUUUGGAGCACUCACCUGCAACAAUGCGGGCACCCUUCAGGACACUCUUAUAAUACAUCUCGGGCAUGCGAUACUCCUUGCCCGGCGGUGGCGCGUCCGUCACAAGCUUCUCAGCAUCCAUCUUGCCCCAUUGCACCUUUGCGCGGGCAAGGGCCCGACGGGCACCUUCAAUACAGGCAGAGUGCUUGAUGACUUCAACCCAUGGACACGCAUCCACCAGCCGCCGCACCAGGCCGAAGUAGCUCCCAGGCAUGGCCUCCUUGGGCCACAGCCGAACUAUGAGGCCCUUCAUGUCCUGUUCGGCCACCUUCUGGAGCUCGACCAGCUGCUUCAGCUGGUCGCUAAGGGGCACCGGAUGUCCGGCCUCAGCAUACUGAUACCAGAAGACCUUCUCCGUUGAGCUCCCCUCCUCGGCCCUGUAGAAAGGGGCAGCAUCGGACACGCUGCGGGGCAGAUCUGCGAACGCUCCUGGAGAGCUCCGAAUUCGGGUAAGUGAUAGUAAUUCACACUCACAUGCUUGCUUUGCAUGAAAAAUGCCUUACCCGCCGCUAUUUUCUUCAACGCCUCGAUUUCCUGGAGGGCCUUGUAGGCUUCGGCCUUAGAGGCUUUGGCACUCUCAAGAGCCGAUGCAAGCUCGGACUCUCGAGUCUUCGAGUCGUGCUCCAAACUCUCAUGUUUUUCCACGAGAGCCUGGAGCUCUUGCUGUACCUCCGCCACCUGCGCCUCCUGCUUCUCUCGCUCGGUGCGCUCCGCGGUCGCAUUACAUUCGGCCAUGGACACCGCCUUCUUCAGGGUCGCCACCUCGUUCGUGGCCCCUGCAAUACCCACGUUAUCCUUGUCAUUCUUCUUGCAACCAAAUCCUUUUUUGUAAGGUACAAUUUUAAUAAGGUGUUACUCACCUUCCUUGUCCUCGAGCUGCUUCUUGGCACGGCCGAGCUCGUUCUCGGACCAUUCGAGGCUUUGCUUCAAAGUCUUGACCUCCACAGUCAGUGCGGCAGAGGUCAGCAACACAGCCUGCAAUCCCAUAUUGACAUAUUUUUUAUGACUCCUGCAUAUAUCUUUUUAGAUCCUUAGUCCGACUUUUAUUUCCGAACACCGAACCGAGCAUCAGGGGCUACUGUCUAUGCGGUACUAUUUUACAUAUAUCAAAAUUCUUACCUCAAAGCCUGUUAAAAGGCUGCUGCAGGCUUCGGAUAGCCCGCUCUUGGCGAGCUGAACCUUCUAAAUCACUGCACUCAUGACGGUGCGGUGUUCCUCUUUGAUGGAAGCGCUGUUGAGCGCCUCCAGCAAGCUAUCCGACGCCUCUGGUUGGACGGAGGCCGCCGGCGUCACGGUCUUGCCCUUCUUACGAAGGGGCCGCCCGCCGGACUCCGGAGCCACUACAGGUUCCGGUGCGAAGUCCGGUGCAAAGUCCAGGAGGUUGCCCUGCGGCACCUCCGGAGCCACCUCCUCCUGGCGGGUGCCUUCCCGGGAUCCCACCUCGGCAUCGUCCGCAUCACGGGGGGAGGAGGCGGUCGGAAGGGAAUCCAUAUCCGACGCACCCAAGGACCCGCUCGACGAAGCGGGUAGAUCAUCCUUGGGCGGACUGCAGGGUUGUAUGCGGCAUUAGAAAGACACCAUGUGGCGAAAAGAAAAAUCAUGAAGUUGUUCGGGAGUCCGGAUACUUACGAUCUCACCAGGGGCUUGGCCCUUGAAGGCCAAUCCUUGUCGUCGUCGCCGGCGUUGGCAGAACAGUCCGGGGGAAGAGUCCUUCCCUUCUUGGACCCUUCGGCCUCCCUUGUUGGGGAGGCCUUCCUUUUCUUCCCCCCCCCUGCUGGGGGAGAGGCCUCUUUCUUCUCCUCCUCACCUUCGUGGGAGGAGUCUGCCUCAGAGCCACCGGACGAUAAGUUUGAUGACACCUGAAAAUGGGAACUCUUUCGAGUGCCCGUGGCCUUCUUCUUGGCCUUCUUCUCCGGCACCACGUGGGGUGCCGGAACCAGCAGCCCCGUUAAGCGGGCGUCCGCUGGGUCUUCUGGCAAAGGGGCCGGAUAGUUAGUCCGCUCGGCCUUCUUCAGCUAGUCCUAUCAAAGGAGAGGGAGUUUAGAUCCCGCAUAGAGUCAAACUAUGGAAAACAAGUGUCCUGUAAAGGGUAAAAUCGCUUACCUCGCUAGCCGGACGCUGCGAGCUAAAUCCGCGAUCUUUGGUAGCGGAUGCGGGAGCCUCGGCGCCCUUAAACAACACCCUCCAGGCCUCUUCGUACGUAGUGUCGAAGAGCCCGCUCAAAGUCUGGUGCUGCGCCGAAUCGAACUCCCACAUAUUGAAGUCCCGUUGUUGGCACGGGAGAAUCCGGCUGAUGAGCAUGACCUGGACCACGUUAACAAGCUUGAGCUUCUUGCUCACUAGCUUUUGGAUGCAGGCUUGGAGUCCGGUCAGCUCCUCCGAAUCACCCCAUGUCCGGCCACUCCCUUUCCAGGAGGUGAGCCGUAUGGGGAUGCCAGAUCUGAAUUCGGGGGCCGCUGCCCAUUCAGGGUCACGCGGCUCGGUGAUGUAGAACCACCCCGAUUGCCACCCCUCAAUGGUUUCCACGAAGGUGCCCUCGAGCCAAGUAACGUUGGGCAUCUUGCCCACCAUGGCGCCUCCGCACUCCACUUGGCUGCCCUUCAGAACCUUCGGCUUGACACUGAAGGUCUUUAGCCACAAGCCGAAGUGGGGCUGGAUGUAGAGGAAGGCCUCACACACGACGAUAAACGCCGAGAUGUUGAGGAUGAAAUUCGGGGCCAGAUCAUGGAAAUCCAGGCCGUAGUAGAACAUGAGCCCCCGGACAAAGGGAUGGAGUGGGAAGCCUAGUCCACGGAGGAAAUGGGAAAGGAAUACUACCCUCUCAUGGGGCCUGGGGGUGGGGAUGAGCUCCCCCUCGUCGGGGAGCCGGUGCGCGAUGUCGCUGGACAGAUAUCCGACGCUGCGCAGCUUCUUGAUGUGCCCCUCCGUAACGGAGGAGGCCAUCCACUUGCCUCCCGCUCCGAACAUAGUUGGAGAAGGUUGAGGUGAGAUGUGCGGACUUGGGCGCUGGAGCUCGAGUUCGCGGAGAUGGAUAAGCAAAGGAGGAAGAAGGCGUAGGUAGAAGGGUGGAUCUUUAUCCCCUUAUAUGGGCGAACGAAACCAUGCGUGUCACAUCCCUAACUUCUGGUUUGCUCUGAGCUAGCUAGUCAUGUGUUGCAUCAUGUUUAAUUUUUGCCUAAAAUUGUAAUGGGGAUGUUCAAACCCUAGCAUUAAAUCAACUCAACUAGGGUGAAUUAAAAUCUUUUCAAUAAACCCGAAAAGUUCCUAAGAAAAGUUCAUGAUUUCUGGUUAAGGUGGAAACCUCUGCCAAAAAUGAUGAAUAUAUUCUUAGGUCAUUUUUGGAUUUUUGAAUUAAAUCAUAUUGUAUUUGACUUUGGGCAUUUAAACACUAUAAAUAAUUUAAAUGUUCAAAUAAAUGUUGGAAAUUGUUAAGGGUCACUGAAAUAAUUCAGAAAGCACCCAUAAUUGUUUCCAGGAUUUUAUUAAAUGAUUUGGUAUUUUAAAUCAAAUCAAAAACAAAAUAACAGAAAUAGAAAAGAAAUAAAAGAGAGAGAGAGAAGGAAGUUAUCUGGCGCCCACUUACCUGGCCCAGCACGGCCCAGCCCAUCUCCACUCCCCCUGUCGUCUUCCUCCUUGCCAGAAGGACCGAGGCGUGGCGCGCGCCCGAGAGGCCUCGGCCACCUCCUGCUUCCCCUGGCCACCUCCUGCUUCCUCCUCGACGCCCUGGUGACGCCACGCGCCUCCCCGACCCCCUCUCGCUCUCCCUCGCCCUCAUCCUCUCCCCCUGGACCCCAUCCCCUCCUCUGCUCCCCUCUCGUGCACACCACCGAGCGGAGCUCGCCAUCAUCAUCGCCGUACCCGUGGCCACCGGCCACCCCUAGCCUCGCCGAUGCGCUCAAAGGCUCCGCCUCGACCCCCUCUUCCUCUCCACCAACCCAUGCCCCGCCGGACAACCUGCAACGCCGCCACCAUCACCGUUUCCGUCGCCGGCCACCGAAGCUCACCGCCGUCGAUUCGCGACGUCUGGCGCGUCCCCGAGCCCACUGAGCCACCCUGCUGCCUCCCUGUGAGCUUACCGUCGUUUCCCCUCACCUCUCUCUCUCGCGCGCGCCCUGUAGCCGCUGCCCCACGAGCACCCGAAGCCGCCGUCCGCCAUGGCUGGCGAGCUCCGUGCCCUGAGCACCUCUGCCUCGCAUAGCAGCUCCGACAUGCUCCUGCCGCCUUUAGGUGCUGCCUAGCACCUCCGUUCACCCACCUAUGAGCUGCAGCACCGCGCCCGCACUUAGCCGAGCUCCGGCCGCCGCGGAAGUGGACGCCGCCGUUGAUCUGAGCCGUCUCCGGCGACCCCACUAGCACCAGAGGACGCGGACGAGGCUCGGGGUUCCAACGGUGCCAUCCGCGCCUCGAUCCGUGGCCUGUGCUGCGAUUCCGCGCAUCGCCGCCGCCUCGGGCCUCGCCGGCGUCAUGUCGCCGGUGGGUUUGACCCCACCGACCCGGGAUUUGACCCUGUUUGACUUUCCCAGGGUCACUGACAGGUGGGCCCGGCCCCUGCUAACUUUGGUUAAGUUAAUAACUAAUUUCGGCUAAGCCACUGAGCCACUAACAUGCGGGCCCCGCCCGGCUAACUAAGUUAGUUAGGGCUAAUCAUAUUUAGGCUAGUCGCUGACCAGUGGGCCCAAUCCAGUUAGUUAGGGCUAACUAACUUGGUUAGUUGACUGGGUCACUGACCAGUGGGCCCCACUGGUCAGGUUUGACCUGGUCGACGCCUUUGACCUGCUGACGUCACCCCGGCGUCAGGCUGACGCAAUUAAAUCAUUUUCUGGAUUUAUUUUAAUUUAGGAAAUUUUAGAAAAUAGCUAAAACUUCAAUAAAUCAUAGAAAUUCAACCGUAACUCCAAAUUAAAUAAUUUAUAUAUGAAAAAUUAUUAGAAAAAUUCAAGGAAUCCAUCUGUACCAUUUUCAUGCAUGAUAGAACAACUUAUAGCUGCUGUUUAGCACAAAUCAAUUAAAGGGCAUUUAAAUAAUCAUAUAUGGAGUUGGAAUUUGAAUCAUGUAUUCAAACCAACCUCAUUUAAAUCAUAGCUAGGUGCAUUAGCUCAAAACACAUUCAUAUUGCCAUGUCAUGAGCAUGCAUCAUAUUGUGCAUUGCAUUGAUUGUAUUUCUUCUUGUUGCCGGUAUCUGUUCCCUCCCGGUAGACGAUGUUCCGACGUUGUGAUCGUUGACACUGAUGAAGACUCAAUGUUAUCUUCAGAAGUGCCAGGCAAGCAAAAACCCCUUGUUCAUUCCGAUACAAUCCUACUCUCUCGCCCCUGCUCUCUUUUAAUGCAUUAGGAUAACACCGAUUCAUCUGUUACUUGCUGCGGUAGCUGAACCCCUUUAUCCUCUGCAUGACCUGUCAUUGCCACAGUAAAUAGAUGAAACCCACUAGCAUGAGUAGGAGUUGUUUGGGCCCUGUUGUGCCUACUCAUUCAUGCUUAUUGUCAUGCCUGCUACUGCUUAGAGUUGUGUCAGGUCUGAUUCAUCCGGGAUGAAUCAGAGGUGUGUGAACAUGUCCUACUGUGUGUGAGCUAAGUGUGUGAACACGAUUUGGUAAAAGGUGUCGGUGAGAGGCCAUGUAGGAGUACAUGGUGGGUUGUCUCAUUGAAGCCGUCCUCAGGAACUGAGUUCUGUGUUUGUGAUCCAUGAUUCAGCUACUACCAUACAUUGGGCCCUGAAAUAUGACCCCGCUCGACUUCUUAUUCACCCUUGUCCUCUGUCCAGGAGUUGCAAGUAGUUUCUGGUGUUUGUAGUAUGCUGGAGGCUGUGGACAGCGCUGACCGUAGGGGUGGGCUGUGAUGCAGUAGGCACGUGGCCGGGUAUACCGGGCGCCCGUUUGGUGUCACGGAACCCUGUUCACAUCGUUUGGGGCUGUGAGCGAAACUCCGGCCGGAUCUCCUCAUGGAUGGAACCCGAAUAGGCGAUAAACCUGGACUAGAGACUUGAGUGUUUAGGUAGGUCGUGGUCUACACCCACGUCGGCUUUCGCUUGAAGUCUGCCGAGCACAUGUCGUGUGCAGACGCUAAGUGGUGGAAACAUGUAUGAAGAAGUACACCCCUGCAGGGUUAACAUCAUCUAUUCGAAUAGCCGUGUCCACGAUAAAGGACUUCUGGGUUGCUUAUAUCAGUUCAUAGACAAGCGAAAGUGGAUACUCUAAAAUACACAAGAUAAGCGUGAGUGCUAUGGAUGGCGCUCUCGUAGGGAGACGGGAGCGGAUCCAUAGUGAUGUAUUGAUAUGGGGAAUAUGUGGACUCGUGUGCACCACCUCAAAAGAGUUACAUUGCAGUCGUAGUUCAGGAUAGCCACCGAGUCAAAGCUGGCUUGCUGCAGUUAAACCCCACCAUCCCCUUUGUUGAUAAUGAUGCAUAUGUAGUUAGUUCUGAUGUAAGUCUUGCUGGGUACAUUUGUACUCACGUUUGCCUAUUUUAUGUUUUUGCAGAGAGACUUUGGUCUCACUAGUAGUUUCGCGUGGACUUCGACGUUUAGCUUGUUACCUCAGCUACGAUCUUGUGCCCCGGCAGGAUCUGGUAGAUAGUCAGGCUUCUCAGCCUUUUUCAGUUAUAGAUGUCUGUACCCAGACAUGAUAGCUUCCGCUUGUGCUUUGAUUUGUAUGCUCUGAUUGUUGGGUCAUGAGACCCAUGUUUGUAAUAUCUCGCUCCUCGGAGCCUAUUGAAUAAAUUACUUGCGUCGUAGAGUCAUGUUGUGAUGCCAUGUUGUAUUUGCACAUAUCGAGCAUAUUGUGUGUAUGUUAUUGAAAUGCUUGGUAUGUGUGGGAUCUGACCAUCUAGUUGUUUAUCUUUAGUAGCCUCUCUUACGGGGAAAUGUCUCCUAGUGUUCCACUGAGCCAUGGUAGCUUGCUACUGCUCCGGAACACUUAGGCUGGCCGGCAUGUGUCCUUCUUCGUUCCUGUGUCUGUCCCUUCGGGGAAAUGUCACGCGAUGAAUACCGGAGUCCUGUUAGCCCGCUACAGCUCGGUUCACCGGAGUCCUGCUAGCCCAGUGCUACAGCCUGGAUUCACUCGCUGAUGACCGACACGUUCGAUGCUGGGUCAUGGAUGCCUGUCCCUGUAAGUCUGUGCCACUUUGGGUUUACGACUAGCCAUGUCAGCCCGGGCUCCUUAUCAUAUGGAUGCUAGCGACACUGUCAUAUACGUGUGCCAAAAGGCGCAAACGGUCCCGGGCAAAGGUAAGGCGACACCCGUGGGAAUACCGUGCGUGAGGCCGCAAAGUGAUAUGAGGUGUUACAUGCUAGAUCGAUGUGGCAUUGAGUCGGGGUCCUGACAAUGCGUCCCCACCGGCCUGAUAAAACUCACUUAUCUCCCAAGCGCCGCAAUCAAUGGUGCGGUUGGGUUACCCACGUCCGUAUUGAUGGGAAUCCCGGAAUAAGGGGAACACGAUCUCUGCUUCGACAAGACGUGCCAAGGAAACCGCUUACCUAAAUGCGCGGAGGUGGUAUAAUAAAAAUGAUUCGAGUAAAGGCUUGGUUGUGGUGUGACGUCACGCCACAAAAUACGUCAGCAGAUUGAACUUGUGUAAAUAUUAUUCUCUCUACAGUGGUAUGUGGAAUUUAUUUUGCAAAGCCGGACACUAUCCUGGUGUUCACAAUCUUCUAUAAAUUAUUCGGAGGAGGAACCCGCCUUGCAAUGCCGAAGACAAUAUGCGCGCCGGACUCGUCGUCAUUGAAGCCUGGUUCAGGGGCUACUGAGGGAGUCCUGGACUAGGGGGUGUCCGGAUAGCCGAACUAUCAUCAUCGGCCGGACUCCAAGACUAUGAAGAUACAAGAUUGAAGACUUUGUCCCGUGUCCGGAUGGGACUUUCCUUGGCGUGGAAGGCAAGCUUGGCGAUACGGAUAUGUAGAUCUCCUACCAUUGUAACCGACUCUAUGUAACCCUAGCCCUCCCCGGUGUCUAUAUAAACCGGAUGGUUUUAGUCCAUAGGACAAACAACAAUCAUACCACAGGCUAGCUUCUAGGGUUUAGCCUCCUUGAUCUCAUGGUAGAUCUACUCUUGUAAUACCCACAUCAUCAAUACCAAUCAAGCAGGACGUAGGGUUUUACCUCCAUCAAGAGGGCCCGAACCUGGGUAAAACAUAGUGUCCCUUGUCUCCUAUUACCAUCCGCCUAGACGCACAGUUCGGGACCCCCUACCCGAGAUCCGCCGGUUUUGACACCGACAAACACCGUAUGUUGAUGAACACGGUGAUAGGAAGGAUUGCAUCCGCGUAAAGUGAAUUGUAUGAGGCCGCCAGGAGUUUACUGACAGGCUUUGAGGUACGUCAAAAGGUGUACCUAUUGGUAGAGCCGCAUAGAAUGCACCCUGUAUAAAUAGUAGCCCCUGAGACUCUGUGUGCCGUCAAGAGUGAUGGCGCACAGAGGAUCAAAACCCCAGGUAUAAAAUGUUACCUUUUUAUGAAGGUGGCGAGGCGUUCGGUGGCUAGCCGGACUGAUGAAUCUGCCGAGUUAAAGCGGCAACUGGACGUGGCAGAUGCCGACAUCGCGCUUGUAAAUAAGCGGCUAGAUGAGGCACAAGGUAUGCUCCACUGAUAUCUGAUAAGAGGAGUUCGAUGCUCGUUUCUUACAAUAUAUAUGCUUAUUGCAGAUAGUGCUGCUUCCAUGGAGAACCUUCGGGCGGAACUUGCCUGAGCCAAGGAGCAAGCAGGAAAAAGUGAUGCGGCUGCCAUUAAGGCGGCCGAAGAGCUGAAAGCCGAACAUGCUGCUCACUGCCAGAGUAAGGAGGCAAUAGCCGAGAUGGCUGUAAAAUUGAAGGAUGCUGCCGACCGCUGUAAAUUUCUCGAACAAGAAAAAAGGGCGGCUCAGAAGGACCUUGAGAAGAUCACUACCGAGGCCAAGGAUGCUCGCUCUACAAUGAGAGCUAUGAAGGAGGAGCUGCGUCAGGUCGGAGAUAUCAUGGCUGGAAAGCCCUAUAUGCUACGGAUGAAGUUCGGGGAUCCUAGGUAUGCUCCGUUAGACCGGCAGUGGAGUGCAGAAAACACUUAUCUGGAUGUGGCAGCAAGUGCGGCGGACGCAACCGAACACUUCCGAGGUCGAGGCGACCAUAAUUUGGAAGAACUGUUUUGGUUGCAAUUCCACAAGCCAGAGCGUCCACUUUCGGUACCCGACCGUUCGGCCGCCUUUGCGGAGCUGAACAGGUUAUCCGGACUCGCCAUGAAGUAUGUCGCGAGUCGUUUGUGGCCGGGGGAGCCAGAGCUGAAAAGUUAUUUUGGAUUGGUGCAGCAGUUCCUUGGUUCUGUGCCGCAUGUCGAUGCAAUGAAGUGGUCGGCGUGUAUAGAGGGUGCACAAAUGGCUCUUGCCCGUGUCAAGACAUACUGGGCGGAUAUGCAGGCCAGUGUUGUCGCAUCCCAGGAUCCGGACGAAGUCCAGGUGUCUGCCAAGCACUACCUUGAGGAAGUUCUUCCGGGCGCUCGUUUAAUAGAAGCGCAGUGCUCGAAGGAUGUUUUGUUCGAAUAGCAGGUGCUAUUGUAAAAGAAAUAUUUUGAUAGAAUAUAAAAGCUUUUUAUACUUGUGCUUGCAAGAAUUAUAACACCUCCUGUGCUACCGUUAAUGUAUAUGUGUAUAUAACCUGAAAGAUGGCAGUCGUUGGCUUCUGCCCCCAUGCAAAUAAUGCGGGGGUGUUUGCAAAAAAUGUGCCUUUUCACACUUAAUCCAACGUCUUGGUCCUACCAAGGAGGUGAUAGCGCGGCGAACGAGGCAACCGGACUAUAUUGCUUUAUCACUUUCACUUAGCCAUAGGAGUUUGACAUUGGGGCUACUCAAUAGCCCCUGGAGGCACCGCGCUCUCCCGAAUCCGGGGCGCGUGUGUGCCUGACCGGAAGCGGUCCUUCGUUAAUGCGGAGGAAUCCUAGAGAUUCCGAGAGUCAUCGAGUGGUUGACCAGUCUCUCGCUAUAUCAUGACAGUCAGUUUUCGGCUUUCUCUACUAAGGUGCUCGCCUGGCCGAACCGGGGCACAAUCGCAGUAGUUCUCCUGGUGCCGCGUUAGCCGAUAUAACGGAAUGUAAGGCUGCAAAACACAGGAGCCGAGCAAACCCAACAUUUGACCACAGACAUGAUUCGGAGCUGAUGCAUAUAAGGCCUAACUCGCGAUGCCGAACACUCCCUAAGGUAUUCGGUCUUUAUGAAGACGGGCCGAAACAGAGCCCUUGAUAAAAAAGCCCCUGGUGUCCAGGUACGCGCAAAAUUCUGGCGUGGCCAUAUGCCAAAACGCCAGCCUCCUCCUCAGUUAUGGCGAAAACCGGGGGAUGUUUUCAACAAGAGACAGUAAAAAAGGUUUACGCAGGGUCUUAAUCUGAAAAGAAUCCUUGGAACGGGUCCCUACUGCAUGUCUGCGCCUGUGUCUCCGUUGUGCCGUAUCCUGGACGGGCGUAGCACAGUGUUCGUCUGCGAAAAAGAGGAACUUUAGUAAAUAAGCAUGCGAGAAAUCCAUAUUAGAAUAAACAGAACAUAGUUGGAGCAAGAAGUGAGCCGCAUUGUCUCCUGGCGUAAACACGCGGAGCCCCUUAUAUAGGGUUAUGCGGCUAUUAAGUCCAUGUGUGUUAACGCCGGAGUCGUCUAGCCGUGUCCGGAAUAGUAGGGCUAGAUUAGUCUGCGGCUGUCUAGUUGGCUGCACCCUUACCCGUACUUUGGGGGUCAAUUUUCAUUCCCCUGUGAUGAGAUGAUGCCUCGUGGCCCGGGCAUUUUAAGUGUAAGGGAUGCAUAAUGCGGUAUUGCGUUAAUGCGGGCGAAAGCUUCACGUCCCAAUAGCGCUUGAUAGCGACUUACGAAUUGGGCGAUGUGGAAGGUUAGCUUUUCGCUUCGGAAGUUGUCGGGUGAGCCGAACGUGACCUCUAACGAAAGGGAACCCAUACUCUGGGUAUCUGGACCCGGCGUGGCUCCUCGAAAGGAAGUUUUGCCACGGCAGAUUAGCGCUGGGUUUACCCCUAGUUUGUGUAUUGUGUCCUGAUAUAACAGGUUUAAGUCACUGCCGCCGUCCAUAAGGACUCGUGUAAAUUGUAGUCCGUCAAUAAUCGGAUUCAAGACCAAGGCAGUCCAGCCUGCGUUCCGGGCCCCUCUGGAGUAAUCCCGAUGAUCAAAAGUGAUUGGUUGCAACAACCAGUGGAGGUGCUCCUUUGGGGCUAGCUGUGUGGCGCGUGUCUUCAUAAGCGCCGUUCUGUUUUUCCCUUUUGUCAUAUGAAGUGAAUUUACUGUUUUGACUUCUUGUGGGAACUUUUUUGUUCUCCGGUGUUCUGCUUGUGGGGUCCGUCGUCAUCCUCGCUUGGUGUGUCGAGCCCCUUGUGUUCGGCAUUGAGUUUGCUGGACUGAUUGAAAACCCAACAAUCUCUGUGGGUAUGGUUUGCAGGUCUCCCGGGGGUGCUGUGGAUUUGACAUAUUUUGUCCAGGAUUUUGUUGAGGUUGGACAGCUCGUCCCUGUCAUCUUUGGGCGACGGCUUUUUCUGAUUUUGCCGAGAGCUUUUGAAUCCGACAUUGACUGCCGUGCUCGUUGGGCUGUUGUCCUUGAUUCGGCGCUGUUCUUUGUUACGGCGUGGUUUCCCGCUUCCAUCUCUGGGUUCGGAUGUACUCGGGUCGCUGGUGCUGCUUCUUGCCAACCAGCUAUCCUCUCCUGCGCAAAAGCGAGUCAUGAGGCUUGUUAAUGCGGCCAUCGUUCUUGGCUUUUCUUGGCCGAGGUGUCUGGCGAGCCAUUCGUCUCGGACGCUAUGUUUGAAAGCUGCUAGGGCUUCAGUGUCCAGACAGUCGACUAUCUGAUUCUUUUUAGUAAGGAAUCAGUUCCAGAGUUUCUGGGCUGACUCUCCGGGUUGCUGAGUUAUAUGACUCAGAUCAUCUGCAUCCGGAGGUCGGACAUAGGUCCCUUGAAAAUUUGCACGGAAAGCCUCCUCGAGCGCUUCCCAACUUCCCAUGGUGUUUUCGGGAAGGCUUUUAAGCCAAUGCCGGGCUGGCCCUUUGAGCUUAAGGGGUAAGUAUUUGAUGGCAUGAAGGUCAUCUCCUCUGGCCAUGUGUAUGUGGAGGAUAUAAUCCUCUAUCCAGACUCCGGGGUAUUUUGUUCCGUUGUAUGCUUCUAUGUUCACGGGCUUGAAUCCCGCUGGAAAUUCGUGAUCCAGCACCUCAUCGGUAAAACAUAAGGGAUGUGCGGCGCCCCUGUAUGUAGGUGUGCCGCGAUGUUCGGAUAUUUUUUGCAUUGUAUUGCUCGCUGGAGCUUGCUUUCUUGGGCCAUAGAUGGAUCUGGUUGGGCGGUUGUUUGAUGCGAAUCCUUAGGCAGAUCGCUUGCCGUAUUGAGUGCGACGCCCUUUGUCGCUUUAGAUCGAUCAUUGGGUCGUCUAUCCAACCUGGUGGCUUCCUUGUUUUUCGGCUGUGGGGGCAUUAUGGCCUCUUCAUCAAAUUCCGGUAGUAGUUUCCGCUUCGGAUAGCUCUUCGUGUGACGACUGUUGCCGUACUUGUGUGCAGUAUUGAGUACUUUGUUCCAUUUGAUCCUGAGUGCAUCUUCUGCUGUUUUGAGCCUCCGCUUCUGCUUUUUCAGGCUACGUGCCGUGGCGACGAGCCUUUGGUGGAGGUUCUGAUGUUCCAACAAUUUGUCCGGCGUGAGGUCGUCCGGACUAUUAUCUUUUCCGGGGAUUGGUUGUUUGGAUUGCCCGUCCUGUUUGGACGGUUGCUCAAUGGCGUGUUCGUCUUCCGUUGAUUCGCCCUGCUCUAUGGUUGGGUAUUUGUCGAGGUGGGGCUUUGCGUGGCGCUUACGUCGCCGCUUUGAUUGUUUUUCGAGGGAACGAUCCCUGUUUGCGCCCUUUUGAUCCUCGUUGUUAUCCCUUUUGGGUGUGUCCACCAUGUAUACAUCGUAUGAUGAGGUGGCUUUCCAGUGCUCUAUAGGUGCUGGUUCUUGGUCGUCUCCUUCAUCGGCGUCCAUACCGUCGAUGUCUUCGAAGUCAAAGUCGAGCAUGUCAGUUAAAUCGUCGACAGUGGCUACAAAGUGGCUGGUGGGUGGGUUUCGAAUUUGUUCAUCGUCUGUAUCCCAACCCUGCUGACCAUAGUCCGGCCAGGGCUCUCCUGACAAAAAGAGAUACUUUAGAGAGUUCAGGAUAUCGCCAAAGGGCGAGUGCUGAAAGGCGUCCGCGGCGGUGAACUCCAUGAUCGGAGCCCAAUCGGGUUCGAUCGGAAGGGGUGCAGAAGAUUCGGAGUCCGGAAUGGAGUCCGACACCUUGGAGUCACGGGCCUUGCAAAGGACUAGGCUGGUAUCCGGCUCUAUCGCCAUAGAGAUUGCGGCUCCUGGGGCAGCGUCCAGCCGUCCGUCCCUGGUUAGCGCAGUUGGCUCCGAGCUAAUGGUCGGAGCGGACUCCCGAGCGGCACUCUAGGCGCUGUCCGGUGGUAGAGCUAGAUCACGCCCAUCCAGAUAGUGCGGCGCGCUCGGCCGUGGCUCGAAUCCGUCGAAGAUCAAGUCCCCGUGAAUGUCGGCCGUGUAGUUUAAGCUUCCAAACCUGACCUGAUGGCCAGGGGCGUAGCUUUCGAUCUGCUCCAGAUGGCCAAACGAGUUGGCCCGCAGUGCGAAGCCGCCGAAUACGAAGAUCUGUCUGGGGAGAAAAGUCUCGCCCUGGACCGCGUCGUGGUUGAUGAUCGAAGAAGCCAUCGGGCCUAAAGGCGACGACAUAGAGGAGCUCUCAAUGAAAGCACCAAUGUCGGUGUCAAAACCGGCGGAUCUCGGGUAGGGGGUCCCGAACUGUGCGUCUAGGCAGAUGGUAACAGGAGACAAGGGACACGAUGUUUUUACCCAGGUUCGGGCCCUGUCGGUGGAGGUAAAACCCUACUCCUGCUUGAUUAAUAUUGAUGGUAUGGGUAUUACAAGAGUUGAUCUACCACGAGAUCAGAGAGGCUAAACCCUAGAAGCUAGCCUAUGGUAUGAUUGUUGUUCGUCCUACAGACUAAAACUCUCCAGUUUAUAUAGACACCAGAGAGGGCUAGGGUUACACAGAGUCGGUUACAAUGGGAGGAGAUCUUCAUAUCGUAUCGCCAAGCUUGACUUCCAUGCCAAGGAAAGUCCCUAUCCGGACACGGGACGGAGUCUUCAAUCUUGUAUCUUCAUAGUCCAGGAGUCCGGCCAAAGGUCAUAGUCCGGCCAUCCGGACACCCCCUAAUCCAGGACUCCCUCACACAGGAAGAGUAGUUGAAUAUACAAACGCUAUCGACAAAUGGAACACGUAAUACAAAAAAAUGAUAGCAUGAUAUAAUUCACAUACAUGAUGAUUGGCUAAAUAGCAUGGCAUUGCAUAAUUCACAUAUAUAAUGCCUUUGCAACAAGAUAUCAUUGUAUAAUUCACAUAUAUAAUGUCUUGCAAUAAGAUGGCAAUGCAUAAUUCACAUAUAUGGUAAUUAGACACUGAACAAGUGGCAUUCACACAAAGCAUGUCAAACUAAUCAAAUGGCAUAGCAAUGCGAGACACCAUACGCACGAUAUGAGCAACAUAACCCUGCCAAGUUAGAGCAUACACCCCCGAGGGGGAUAGGACUGGUCAUCUAUCUCUGAAUCCUCCUCCGAGGAGCUAUCCAUAACCAGCGAGAUAUGCGCUUCGUCAGAUAGCAUAGUCUGCUCAGAAGACCUUGUUUUCACUCUAGAAUUUGCCAUCACCGUGUCAAAUGGCUGUUGCACACGAAGAGCAGUUGAAUGUACUAACAUUGUUGACAAAUGUAAUAUGUUACGAAAAAAGGAUGGCUUGAUAUAAUUUACAUAUAAGAUGACUGGCUAAGCAGGAUGGCAUUGCAAAAUUCACAUAUAUGAUGCCUGGCUAAACAAGGUGGCGUUGCAUAAUUCACAUAAAUGAUGAAUAAACUAAACAGAUGGCAUUCACACAAAGGAUGUCUAAACUAAGCAGAUGACAUAUUUGAUGUAUAAAGUAAGCAAUGCAAGACACCAUAUGCAUGAUAUAACCAACAUCAGCAUGCCAAGUUAGAGCGAAGACCUCAGGGGGUAAAUAGGAGUUAUCUUAUCCUUCUGAAUCCCCCUCAGAACAGAUAUCUUCCUCUCGAUUACAAUCCGAAAUGCAUGGAGGGGGGCUGCCUUUGCGCCUACCAUGGAGCAACGUCUGUAUGAAAUUAUAUUGCCAUGCAAGGCUCGUCUCUUUUGCUCUACAUGUUCAGUUCCAUUGUUUACAAUAACUGUCAUGCAUAGGAAUAAAACAUAGUGAGAUUAUGUAAGGAGUGCAUGCAUAAAUCCGGAGUGAUGGUAGCAACCUGUAGAUAGACCCAAAACCAAUAAUAGCAGGCAGAUAAUGGCUUCAGUUAAUAAAUAUAGAUAAUGGCUUCUUUACUGUUUGUUUCCCACCCAACAUGAAAAUCAUAGUAGACACCGGAGAUUAACCAGAUAGUAGAUAUAUACUAUUGAUAGCAGCCCCGAUAUGUACCCCACAUCCAUUUAAAAACUCAAGUUUGACCAUUAGUUUGGAGCUGACUCAGAGUCUAAUCAGUGAACAUGACGAUAAAGUAGCAUGUAAUAUUAAGCGAUGCAUAACGUAAGCAGACACGAAAGAGUGCGACCUCUCUUGCGGACCCAUGUAGUCCUCGAGGUCAUCUGCUUGGUUGAUGAUGGUAAUGCAGUUUUCAUGGCUGCCAGCGGCGGGGAAGAAGAUCUGGGGCGGCGAAAGACAGUCUGGAGGCCGGAUCCUACUGUGCUGGACCCUUCUAUCGUUGGAGCAGCUGAGCUGGGGUGGACGACGGCGCAGCAGGAGCGGGACAAAACACGCAAGGUUUUCUUUGACAACUAUCUGUAAGAGAAGUAAUUCUGUAAGGGCUCGUUUGAAUUGGAGGAUUCCAACAAUGCAGGGAUAGGAGAUAGACAAGAAUAGGAUAGGAAUGCACGUGCAAAAUAGAGAAUUUAAAAACACAGGAUUUUUGUCAAUCUGGGUGUUUGAUUCACAACAAUUGGAAGAUCACAUGAUGCAAAUAAGCAUGGUGAGAUUAAGUCAAACCACAAGAAAAUGUACGGUUAUAAUGCUAUUAUGCUACUAUCUCUUAGUCUUGUGCUUCAUGAAUAGGAAUUUGAAAAGGAGGACAAGUGCAAAUUAAAUUUCCUACGUUUUUCCUUUCAAGGAGACACUAAAGGAACAAAUCGGUGUGCUUAGUGGACAAUAUAUAUAACAUGUAGAGUAAAAAAGGGAUGCAACAAGUGUACAACCUCUUUGGCGAAGCCAUGUCGAUCUCAGCAUGAUUGGGUUGGCCGGUGAGGAUGCUCCGACUGAAUUUGCCGUCGGAGGAGGGGAAGAAGAUCUUAGGAGUCUGGUGAUGGAGCCUGAGGUAAUUCUCCGCUGUGAUGGAGGGUUUCGUCAUUGGAGCAGCUCCGGUGAGUUGUACGACGCCGAGGCUGAAGCAGGACAAGAGAGACAACGAACAACGUUAACCUGAGUGGAAUUCUAAUAGCAUCUCCAAUACAUGACGUAAAAUACAUAACCACAAAGUGCCAGAUGUAAAAUACAUCAGCCGCUCAUCUCUGAACUUAAUUGUCGAAACUGAACUUAACUGUCGAAACUGAACUUAACUGUCAAAACUGAACCUAACUGUCGAAACUGAAUUUUGCUAUCGAAACUGAAUUUUGCUGUCAAAACUGAACGCACUAGCAAGGUGAGGCUACACAUCGGUCGACUGACUUUUUCAUCUCUGGUCAGUCGAUUUUGCAGACAUUGGAUAUGAAAUCAAGGGCCUGCAGUUCAUCUUUAACCUCCACACCCCCUGAGCCGCCAGCCACCACCGACCAAACAGUAGCCCCCCGCCGCCCGCGGCCGACGGUGCGCCGCCCCGCCCGCCCCGAAAACACUCCCCACCGCCAGUCCGCCGCCGCCCCGGCCAUCCCUCUAGGNNNNNNNNNNNNNNNNNNNNNNNNNNNNNNNNNNNNNNNNNNNNNNNNNNNNNNNNNNNNNNNNNNNNNNNNNNNNNNNNNNNNNNNNNNNNNNNNNNNNNNNNNNNNNNNNNNNNNNNNNNNNNNNNNNNNNNNNNNNNNNNNNNNNNNNNNNNNNNNNNNNNNNNNNNNNNNNNNNNNNNNNNNNNNNNNNNNNNNNNNNNNNNNNNNNNNNNNNNNNNNNNNNNNNNNNNNNNNNNNNNNNNNNNNNNNNNNNNNNNNNNNNNNNNNNNNNNNNNNNNNNNNNNCCACGCCACCGCCCCACCACCGGCGGCGACCACCGCCCCCAUCCUGAACCCUAAGAUAGAUAGUGGGGUACCUCUCCGGCGAGCCCCCCUCCCUUCUGCGGCUGGUUCUUCCUUCACCCCGGCGAGCCCACCCCUUGAAAAUCGACUGACCCAAAAGUUGAUUCAGUCGACUUAAGUGUAGCCAAAUCGGAGCAGCAUCACAAGCAAGAGCAAGAGCAAGAGCAGCAGCGCGAGCAAGAGCAAUACCAAGAGCAGACCAGGCAGGGGACCGAGAGCAAGAGCAGAGCAGCAGCGCGAGCGAGAGCUAAAGCAGCAGCAACUCCUACUGAUGUGGACGUCACCGCCGAGGGAGCGACUCCGUGGAGGAAGUGGCCGGUGACACUGCCGUGGAUGGAGCCGCGCCGUGUCGGCUCGAGACCGAGCGCCCGCAACACCGUGAGAUCGAAUCAAGAAGAAAAUGCGGCGAUUAGUGUACAACCUCUUUGGUGGCGUUGAUUAGGCCGCAACUUCAUACGAGGAAACAGUGAUGAUGAUGGUCUUCCGGUGGUGCAGGUGAAGACGGCGGUGUGGGAAUGGAGGUGGCACAAAAGACGAGGGGAACAUCGGGGCAGCUCCUUGGAGGUGGAGGACGGGGUGGCUAAACCGGCGGGACAAUGAGAUCGAUGAUGGAUCCUCAUCCGGUACGGUGGAUGAUGGACGUCGAGGUGUUGCUGUGGACGACGUCGUCAGGGAAGAGGCUCCGGCUGGGUGGCGGACGGAGCAGGGUGUGGGGUUUCGUCGUGGGUUUUCGCGGCCUCAGUGUAUGAAUGGGUGGGCGGAUGGGAUGGUAGUGGGGAACCAUGGCUUAGAGACGCGCUUGUCCGAAAUGUGGGGUAAGUUACGAAAGUACCUGAGGGAGUCCCGGAUUAGGGGGUGUCCGGAUGACCAGACUAUAACCUUUGGCCGGACUCCUGGACUAUGAAGAUACAAGAUUGAAGACUUCGUCCCGUGUCCGGAUGGGACAUUCCUUGGCGUGGAAGGCAAGCUUGGCGAUACGGAUAUGUAGAUCUCCUCCCAUUGUAACCGACUCUGUGUAACCCUAGCCCUCUCCGGUGUCUAUAUAAACCAGAGGGUUUUAGUCCGUAGGACGAACAACAAUCAUACCAUAGGCUAGAUUCUAGGGUUUAGCCUCUCUGAUCUUGUGGUAGAUCUACUCUUGUACUACCCAUAUCAUCAAUAUUAAUCAAGCAGGAGUAGGGUUUUACCUCCAUCGAGAGGGCCCGAACCUGGGUAAAAACAUCGUGUCCCUUGUCUUCUGUUACCAUCCGCCUAGACGCACAGUUCGGGACCCCCUACCCGAGAUCCACUGGUUUUGACACCGACAUUGGUGCUUUCAUUGAGAGUUCCUCUGUGUCUUCAUCUUUAGGUCCGAUGGCUCCUCCGAUCAUCAACAAUGACGCGGUCCAGGGUGAGAGUUUUCUCCCUGGACAGAUCUUCGUAUUUGGUGGCUUUGCACUGCGGGCCAAUUCGCUUGGCCAUCUGGAGCAGAGCGAAAGCUACGCCCCUGGCCAUCAGGUCAGAUUUGGAAGUUUGAACUACACGGCUGACAUCCGCGGAGACUUGAUCUUCGAUGGGUUCGAGCCACAGCCGAGCAUGCCUCACUGUCACGAUGGGCACGAUCUAGCUCUACCGCCGAACAGUGCCCAGGAGGCCGCCCUAGUGUCCGCUCCGACGCUUAGUUCGGAGCCGACUGCGCCAAUCGAGGAUGGGUGGCUGGACACCGCCUCGGGGGCUGCAAUCUCUACGACGAUCGAGCUGAACACUAGCCUUGUCCUUUGCGAAGCUCAUGACUCCAAGGUGCCGGACUCCUUUCCGGACUCCGAACCUUCCGCGCCCCUGCCGAUCGAACCUGAUUGGGCGCCGAUCAUGGAGUUUGCCGCCGCGGACAUCUUCCAGCACUCGCCCUUUGGCGACAUUUUGAAUUCACUAAAGUCUCUCUCUUUAUCAGGAGAGCCCUGGCCAGACUAUGGUCAGCAAGGUUGGGAUGUGGACGACGAAGAAAUUCAAAGCCCACCCAUCACCCACUUCGUAGCCACUGUCGAUGAUUUAACCGACAUGCUCGACUUCGACUCCGAAGACAUCGACGGUAUGGACGCCGAUGUAGGAGACGACCAAGACCCAGCGCCUCUAGGGCACUGGAAGGCCACCUCAUCAUACCACAUAUACAUGGUGGACACUCCAAAAGAAGGGAAUGGUGAUGGAACAACGGAGGAUGACCCCUCCAAGAAGCAGCCUAAGCGCCGACGUUAGCGGCGCCGCUCUAAAUCCCGCCAAAGCAAAAACAGCAAUUUUGGCACGGGAGAUAAUAACACCCCGGACAGUGUCGAAGACAACCCCCUCCAGCUGGAUUCAGCACAGGAGGAUUGAGAAACUAGCCCUCAUGAGAGAGCGGCAGACAGAGAGGUAGAGGAUGAUAAUUACAUGCCUCCCUCCGAAGACGAGGCGAGCCUCGACGACGAGGAAUUUGUCGUGCCUAAGGAUCCCGUCGAACAAGAGCGUUUCAAAUGCAGGCUUAUGGCCACGACGAGCAGCCUCAAGAAAAAACAGCACCAACUUAGAGCUGACCAAGACUUGCUAGCCGACAGAUGGACCGAAGUCCUUGCGGCCGAAGAGUAUGAACUCGAACGCCCCUCCAAGAGCUACCCAAAGCACAGGUUGCUACCCCGAUUAGAGGAGGAAGCACCUAAACCUACAUCACCAGCGCACGACGCGGCCGACCGGCCACCUCGUGGCCGCGACAGAGAGGCCUCUUGCCAUCAAUUCAAGUUGCACACCGGUGCCGCUAUACCAAGGCACGGGGAAAUGCGCCGGACCCGCGAGACAUAUUGGAGGACAAGGCAAGGCAAACAAGAUUAAUCUACAGAUCGCAUGGGCGCCCCAUGGCACAUGACAAUAACCGUCAGGCCGGAUAUGGCAAAUACGGCCAGGCCGAACAUAGCAGACAAAGCUCAUUUGAGCUACGUCGUGAUAUAGCCCAGUACAGAGGCGCCGCACACCCACUAUGCUUCACAGAUGAAGUAAUGGAUCAUCAAAUCCCCGAGGGUUUUAAACCCGUAAACAUCGAAUCAUACGAUGGCACAACAGAUCCUGCGGUAUGGAUCGAGGACUAUCUUCUUCAUAUCCACAUGGCCCACGGUGAUGAUCUACACGCUAUCAAAUACCUCCCACUCAAGCUAAAAGGGCUAGCUCGGCAUUGGCUUAACAGCUUGCCAACAGAGUCAAUUGGUUGCUGGGAGGACCUGGAAGCCGCAUUCCUCGACAAUUUCCAGGGCACCUAUGUGCGACUACCAGACGCCGAUGACCUAAUCCACAUCAUUCAGCAGCCAGAUGAAUCGGCCAGACAAUUCUGGACACGGUUCCUAACCAAGAAAAAUCAAAUAGUCGACUGUCUGGAUGCAGAGGCCCUCGCAGCCUUCAAACAUAACAUCCGUGACGAAUGGCUUGCCUGGCACCUAGGACAGGAAAAGCCGAAAUCCAUGGCAGCCCUCACAACACUCAUGACCCGCUUUUGCGCGGGAGAAGACAGCUGGCUAGCUCGUAGUAAUAACAUGACCAAGAGCCCUGGUAAUUCGGAUACCAAGGACAACAAUGGCAGGUCGCGUCGCAACAAACAGAAGAGCCGCAUUAACGGCGACAAUGCAUAGGAUACGGCAGUUAGUGCCGGAUUCCGAGGCUCUAAACCCGGUCAGCAGAAAAAGCCAUUCAAAAGAAGUACUCCGGGCCCGUCCAAUUUGGACGGAAUACUCGGUCGCUUGUGCCAGAUACACGGCACCCCCGAAAAACCAGCCAAUCACACCAACAGGGAUUGUUGGGUGUUCAAGCAGGCAGGCAAGUUAAGCGCUGAAAACAGAGACAAGGGGCUACAUAGUGAUGACGAGGAGGAGCCCCGGCCGCCGAACAAUAGGGGACAGAAGGGCUUCCCCCCACAAGUGCGGAAAGUGAACAUGAUAUACGCAACCCACAUCCCUAAAAGGGAACGGAAGCGUGCACUAAGGGACGUAUAUGCGUUGGAGCCAGUCGCUCCAAAGUUCAACCCAUGGUCCUCCUGCCCGAUCACUUUCGAUCGAAGGGACCACCCCACUAGCAUCCGCCACAGCGGAUUCGCCGCAUUGGUUCUAGACCCAAUCAUUGACGGAUUUCAGCUCACUAGAGUCCUUAUGGGCGGAGGCAGUAGCCUGAACCUGCUUUAUCAGGAUACAGUGCGAAAAAUGGGCAUAGAUCCCUCAAGGAUUAAACCCACAAAGACGACCUUUAAAGGCGUCAUACCAGGUGUAGAGGCCAACUGUACAGGCUCAGUUACACUGGAAGUGGUCUUCGGAUCCCCGGAUAAUUCCGAAUCGAGGAGUUAAUCUUCGACAUAGUCCCGUUCCACAGUGGGUAUCACGCCCUGCUCAGACGAACCGCAUUUGCAAAGUUCAAUGCGGUGCCGCACUACGCAUACCUCAAGCUCAAGAUGCCAGGCCUUCGAGGAGUCAUUACGGUCAAUGGAAACACCGAACGCUCUCUCCGAACAGAGGAGCAUACGGCGGCCCUCGCGGCGGAAGUACAAAGUAGCCUCUCAAGGCAAUUCUCCAGUCCGACUAUUAAACGUCCGGACACCGUCAAGUGCGCCCGGAGUAACCUACAACAAGACCGCCUGGCACGUUCCGUGCAAGCGUAUCAGUGCGGCCCCAACCCCAGCCCUCGCGAAAUUGCAAAACCAGUACCACGCGUACAUAAUUAUGCUCUGGAAAUACCAUGGGCAUAAGGGGAGGGGCACAACCACGGUACGCCCAAAAUACGGCUCAACCGCACUAGGGGCUCCCGAUUUUGUCAUUUAUUUUUUCUUACUUUCAGGACUCCAUUCUCCGGAAGGCCUGUCCGGCAGUACAAUCGCCGAACACACGAUGCAACAGCCAGGGAGGCAGCAAGCUACGUCGAAUGUCCAGGUGGUCUCUAUAACGAGCUAAAUACCUGUCUUACAUAAAGUCUCACAGCUUGCCCCUGGAGGGGGACAUGUCAAAUAAUCCCGUCUCUUGCUUAUCGCACUAUUUGUAUCGUUCUGCUCUCACAUCAGCCUUUUAAUAAACAAUACAUAGCUCUUGUCUAUUAUUGCAUUCACUUUUUAUGUAAAUAUGUUCAUUUAUGACAUUAUGCAACCGUGCACUUUGGUACGGCCAAUACACCAGGGGCUUAAGUACCCCAGAACAUGGUGUGAGAAGUCUGAACACUCUCACGAGUGUGGCACCCCGAACUUAUAGCAUUAUAUGCAUCAGCUCUGAAUCAUGUCUUGGGUCAAUAGUUGGGUUUGCCCGGCUUCCAUGUUUUGGUACCUUACGUUCCGUUAUAUCGGCUAAGGUAGUGCUGGGAGAACUACUGCAAUUGUGCCCUAGUUGAGCUAGGUUAAGCACCUUAGUAGAGAAAGCUAAAACUGACCGUCAUGAUAGGGCGAGAGCCGGCCGCUGUUCGAGAGGUUUUCGAGUCCCUAAAGACUUAUGCCGCUCAGAGCGAGGAGCUGGCUUUGUCCGGCCUAGGCGUGGAUAGCGCCCCGAACUCGGUCUUCCGAAUACUAGGGGCUUCGCCGAAAUUUAAAAUUAUAGAAUUCUAUGGCUAAGUGAGAGUGAUAAAGCAUUAUAGUCCGAUUGCCUUGUUCGUUGUGCUGAGCGCCUCCCUCGAAGGACCCAAGAAUGGGAACAAGAGCGCUCAGGUUUAUCCCGAACACCCGAGCACUCGCGGCAUGGGGGCAGAAGCCGACGACUCUCAUCUCUCAAAUUUAAUAAACGGCCGCACAGAAGGUAAUAUUUUAAAUUCAAAAAGCGUUGCUUAGCGCAUAUGAACAAGUUUUCAAUGCAUAGGAUAAACACGAGCGAGUUUACUCAAAAAUUACAUCCUUGGCACAUUCAUUCGCCACAAGGCGGGCACCCUUCAAGAUGCCCUCAUAAUGCAUCUUGGGCCUGCGAUGCUCCUUCCCCUCCGGUGGCCCAUCUGUCACCAGCUUCUCAGCAUCCAGCUUGCCCCAGUGUACUUUAGCACGGGCAAGGGCCCUACGGGUGCCUUCGAUGCAUACGGAGCGCUUGAUGACUUCAAGCCGUGGACAGGCAUCCACCAGCCGCCUCACCAGCCCAAAGUAACUCCCGGGCAUGACCUCCCCAGGCCAUAGCCGGACUAUUAGGCCCUUCAUGGCCUGUUCGGCUACCUUAUGGAGCUCGACCAGCUGCUUCAGCUGGUUGCUCAAGGGCACCGGGUGUCCGGGCUCAGCAUACUGGGACCAGAACACCUUCUCCGUCGAGCUCCCUUCCUCGGCUCGGUAGAAUGUGGUAGCAUCGGACACACUGCGGUGCAGAUCUGCGAAUGCUCCUGGAGAGCUUCGGACUUGGGUAAGUAACAAGUAAUUCACUUUCACGUGCUUGCUUUGCAUAAAGAAUUCCUUACCCGCUGCUAUCUUCUUCAUCGCCUCAAUUUCCUGGAAGGCUUUUUGGGCUUCGGCCUUGGCGGAUUUGGCGCUCUCAAGGGCCAAGGCAAGCUCGGACUCUUGAGUCUUUGAGUCAAGCUCCAAUCUCUCGUGUUUCUUCACAAGAGCAUGGAGCUCUUGCCGCACCUCCGCCACCCACGCCUCCUGCUUUUCUCGCUCGGUGCGCUCCAUGGCCGCAUUGUCUUCAGCCUUGGACAACGUUUCCUUCAGGGUCGCCACCUCGGUUGUGGCCCCUGUAACACUCACGUUGGUCCUGUCAUUUUUUGCAACCAAGUAUUUUUUAUAUACUAACAUUAGGUACUACUUACCUUCCUUGUCCUCGAGCUGCUUCUUGGCAAGGCCGAGCUCGUUCUCAGACCGCUCAAGGCUCUGCUUCAAUGCAUCGACCUCCGCAGUCAGUGCGGCAGAGGUCAGCAGCGCAGCCUGCAUUCCCAUAUUGACAUACUUAUGUUAGACUCCUGCGUAUAUCUUUUUAGAUCCUCAGUCCGACUUUUCUUUCCGAACACCAAACUGAGCAUCAGGGGCUACUGUCUAUGCGGUAAUAUUUUUACAUAUCUUAAAUACAUACCUCGAAGCCUGUUAGAAGGCUGGCACAGGCUUCUGUCAGCCCGCUCUUGGCGGACUGAACCUUCUGGAUCACUGCACUCAUAAUAGUGCGGUGCUCCUCGUUGAUGGAGGCGCCGUUGAGCACCUCCAACAAAUUAUCCGGUGCCUCCGGUUGGACGGAGGUCACCGUGUCAUAGGCUUGCCCUUCUUACGAAGGGGCCGCCUGCCGGACUCCGAAACCACUGAAGGUUCCGGUGCGGUGUCCGGCCCGGGACCAGACUUAGAGCCCUUUGGGGUUUUAUGCCCUUUGUGCCUGGAAUCCGGAAGGUCGCCUUGCGGCGCUUCCGGGGCUACUCCUCCUGGCUCGUCCCCUUUUGGGACUCCACCUCAGCGUCAUCCGUGGGGCGAGGGGAGGUAGCAGUCGGGAGUGAAAGACUAUUCACAUCCGACGAAUCCAGGGAUCCGCUCGAUGAAGCGUCGAGCUGGGCCUUGGGCGGACUGCAUGAUUAUGUUCGGCGUUAGAAGAUACUGUGCAGUAAAGGAACACCAUGAGUUAUUCUGGUAUCCGGAUACUUACGAUUUUGCCAGGGGCUUGGCCCUGGAUGGCCACUCCUCUUCGCCGUCGUUGGCGUUGGUGGAGUAGUCCGGGAGAAGGGUUUUUCCCUUCUUGGACCCUCCGGCCCUCCUAGUUGGGGUGGCCUUCCUUUUCUUUCCUCCCCCCGUUGGAGGGGGAGAGGCCUCUUCUUCCUCCUCCUCGCCUUCGUGGGAGGAGUGCGCUUUGGAGUCAUUGGACGAGGAAUCUGACACUAGCAGGCGCCGGGAACUCUUUCGAGUUCCCGUGGCCUUCUUCUUGGCCUUCUUCUCCGGCACUACAUGAGGUGCCGGGACCAGCAGCUUUGCCAAGCCGGCAUCUGCUGGGCCUUCGGGCAAAGGAGCCGGACAGUCGAUCUGCCCGAACUUCUUCUGCCAGUCCUGUUAAAGGAAUGGGAGCUUAGAUCCCGCAUAGAGUCAAACUAUGAAAAACAAGUAUCCUAUAAUGGGUAAAAUAAGCUUACCGCGCUGGCUUGGUGCUUUGCGUAGAAUCCACGAUCCUCGGUAAUGGGAGGGUGAACCUCGGAGCCCUUGAAUAGCACCUUCCAGGCAUCUUCGUGCGUUGUGUCAAAGAGCCUGGACAAAGUUUGGUGCUCGGCCGGGUCGAAUUCCCACAAGUUAAAAGCCCGUCGUUGACACGGGAUGAUCCGGUGGAAGAGCAUGACCUGGACUACGGUGAUGAGUUUAACCUUCUUGUCAAUCAGGUCUUUGACGCAGGUUUGGAGUCCGGUCAGCUCUGCAGAAUUACCCCACGACAAGCCCGUCUCUUUCUAGGAGGUGAGCCGUGUGUGGAUGCCAGAUCGGAAUUCGGGGGCCGCCGCCCAUUCAGGGUCACGCUGCUCGGUGAUGUAGAACCACCCCGAUUGCCACCCUUUGAUGGUUUCCACAAAGGAGCCCUCGAGCCAUGUGACGUUCGCCAUCUUGCCCACCAUGGCGCCUCUGCACUCCGCCUACUGGCUGCCCACUACCUUCGGCUUGACAUUGAAGAUCUUCAGCCAUAAGCCGAAGUGGGGCUUGAUGCGGAGGAAGACCUCGCACACGACGAUAAACUCCGAGAUGUUGAGGAUGAAGUUUGGGGCCAAAUCGUGGAAAUCCAGGCCAUAGUAGAACAUGAGCCCCCAAACAAAUGGGUGGAGGGGGAAGCCUAGUCCGCGGAGGAAAUGGGGGAGGAACACCACCCUCUCAUGGGGCCUGGGGGUGGGAAUGAGCUGCCCCUCGUCUGGAAGCCGGUGCGCAAUGUCGUUGGACAAGUAUCUGGCCUUCCUCAACUUUUUGAUGUGCCCCUCCGUGACGGAGGAGGCCAUCCACCUGCCUCCCGCUCCGGACAUGGCUGGAGAAGGUUGAGGUGGGAAGUGCGGACUUGGGCGCUGGAGCUCGAGUGCACGGAGAUGGAUAAGCAAAGGAGGAAGAAGGCGUAAAUGGAAAGAGUGGAUCCUUAUACCCUUAUAUGGGCGGACGAAACUAUGUACCCCCACCAGCCUAGUAAAACUCGCUUAUCUCCCAAGCGCCGUGAUUAAUGGCGCGGUUGGGUUACCCACGCCCGUAUUGAUGAGAAUCCUGGAAAAAGGGGACACGAUCUCUGCUUUGACAAGACAUGCCAAGGAAACCGCCUCGCUAAACGCACUGAGGUGGGACAGUAAAACGGUUCGAAUGAAGGCUUGGCCGUGGCAUGAUGUCACGCUACGGAAUACGUCAGCAGAUUAGAUUUGUACAAAUAUUAUUCUCUCUGCGAUGGUAUGUGGAACUUAUUUUGCAGAGCCGGACACUAUCCUUGUGUUCAAAAUCUUCUAUGAAGUAUUCGGAGGAGGAACCUGCCUUGCAAUGCCGAAGACAAUUGGCGAGUCGGACUCAUCGUCAUUGAAGCCUGGUUCAGGGGCUACUGAGGGAGUCCCGGAUAGGGGGUGUCCGUAUGACCGGACUAUAACCUUUGGACGGACUCCUGGACUAUGAAGAUACAAGAUUGAAGACUUCGUCCCGUGUCCGGAUGGGACAUUCCUUGGCGUGGAAGGCAAGCUUGGCGAUACGGAUAUGUAGAUCUCCUCCCAUUGUAACCGACUCUGUGUAACCCUAGCCCUCUCCGGUGUCUAUAUAAACCAGAGGGUUUUAGUCCAUAGGACGAACAACAAUCAUACCAUAGGCUAGCUUCUAGGGUUUAGCCUCUCUGAUCUCGUGGUAGAUCUACUCUUGUACUACCCAUAUCAUCAAUAUUAAUCAAGCAGGAGUAGGGUUUUACCUCCAUCAAGAGGGCCCGAACCUGGGUAAAAACAUCGUGUCCCUUGUCUCCUGUUACCAUCUGCCUAGACGCACAGUUCGGGACCCCCUACCCGAGAUCCGCCGGUUUUGACACCGACAGUACCCCCCACCGAUUUGAGGCGGUUCUUUCGGUUCAGGGGUACCACGGGCAUUUUGCGUGUCGGUAUUUCACAAGAGGUGGGAGUUUUCGCACGCGUUGUAAUUUCGGAAUAGCAAGGCGCUGGUUGAGAUGGAGGGAUUUGUCGGAGCACAACAAGACAAAGAUAUAUCUUAAAUAUUUCGGGCUAACAAGGCGCGGGUUGAAAUUUCCGGACAAGCCUAAUGUGUACUGUACCAAAUCAUUGCGCACUACAAAUGUCAUUCAAAACUUUGAAUUCAUGUUAUGUUCAAUUAAAAUAUUUCGCUACAUGUAUGAUGCAUGCAACCUACUACUCAAAUGAACGUUUUAGUGCAUUCCAAACGUAUAUACUACCGCUUCAAUAUGAACUAAAUUUGAAUAAGAUCUAUAGUAAUGAUUGUUGUGAAGUCAAAACAUUUGAAUUCGUUUCUCUGUUUUAAUAAGAUCUACAAUCAUCAUUAUUGUCAAGUUAAACCAUCAUUUGUGUAUUAUCUUCACAGCACACCACAUGAUUAGUCUCGAGUUACAUAUGAACUAUGUGUACUAUAUGAACUCGAACUAGAUUUUUUGAAUCCACUUUAUUUUGAUUUCAAAUCACAUUACAUUUCUAGCUCUAGCUAGAUCUUCAUAAUCUAAACCAUGUCUCAUAUGUAUAAUGUGUUUAUCACAUUACGUAUGGUGCCCCGCCCCCUACGCCUACAAGUAUUUAGAUGUGAGUUGCAAACACUGCACAUUACCACAAAUUCAAAUAAAAUGUGAGAAUGUUCGAUAUAUAGUAUUGUUUAGAUUGCUCGAUAUUUAGUUGUAAGCUGCGAACGCCGCACAUUAUCACAAAUUCAAAUAAAAUGUGAGAUUGUUUGAUGUAUAAUAUGGUUUAGAUUGUUCGGCAUUUAGAUGUGAGUUCCAAACGCCAUGCAUUAUCACAUUAUGGUAUAACAUGUGCACGGCACGUGUAUCACCGCUAUAUUCAUGCAUGCAAUGUUUAAAACACUAUGAUCUCCUAUUCAAAUAUAUGAAUCCGCUUUCAUAUCAAAUUAUGAUCUUUGUUAGUCUCUUACACCUAUACAAUCCUCUAACCUUUGUAGCUACCACUAACUUUCUCUCGUGCAUGCACACGCCCUCCUCGCCCUCCCCCUCCCUCGGCAUUCUAUCCACCAGACACAUUCAUUUUUUUCUUUAGGUCAUUCUCCCAGAGUCUCCACAACUCCUUUUCGACACACACCGAUCGAUAAACCUCUCCAGCGAUGCCUGCCUAUAGCAUACACACACAGCUUCAAUCUCCUCCUUUAUGUGUCCUUGCCUCGUGUCUCUUAUAUGGUCAGACACACGUGUAAACUCUCACCCCUCUUUUCAUCGAUCUCACAACCGCACACUCCUCCCCCUAUCUAGCUAGUAGUUGGGCCUCUCGCACCACCUCCUAGCUCCAUUCUCUCUGUCUAUCCGUCUCGCCGGGCCUUAUUUGCCUCUAACAAAUGGACGUACACCGACCGAUCUCUCGCUAUACAUAUAACCAGCUAGGUCCUUAUAACUCAUUUUUACCCACACAUCGAUCGAUCUACCUCAUUAGUUGUGUCUCUCCCUUCCUCCGACAAACAGCAAUUGAUCUACCGAUCUAGUUAGGUUUGCUUACCAAACACAUGGUUCCCCUUCAUCAUCCAUGGAUGCGUCCCGACAGAUCUAUCACGCACAGGCACACACAGAAACACAUCCCCACUCUUAUUGAUAACAUUGCAGUUCCACCCUCAGUUUGUCUAGUAGGCCUCUCCCAACAUCUCCAAGAAGCAACUCCAUCACCCAUCCAGCACUCUACCCCUCUCCCUCACUCUCCCUCCCUCUCUCUCUCUGUCCCAUCAUAUUUCCCGUCCUUCAGUUAUGUAUGGAUGUCGACCGAUCUCCCUCAAGACAUAGCUGGGUCUCUCCUUCUCAACACAUAUACGAAUCGUUCUACCUCUAUAGUUAGGCCUCUGCCUACCCCUCCCCCCACCCCUCCCCCCCACACACACCAAUACAUCAAGCGCUCUAGUCAUGUCUCCCUGCCACACACAAACUUGACAUGNNNNNNNNNNNNNNNNNNNNNNNNNNNNNNNNNNNNNNNNNNNNNNNNNNNNNNNNNNNNNNNNNNNNNNNNNNNNNNNNNNNNNNNNNNNNNNNNNNNNNNNNNNNNNNNNNNNNNNNNNNNNNNNNNNNNNNNNNNNNNNNNNNNNNNNNNNNNNNNNNNNNNNNNNNNNNNNNNNNNNNNNNNNNNNNNNNNNNNNNNNNNNNNNNNNNNNNNNNNNNNNNNNNNNNNNNNNNNNNNNNNNNNNNNNNNNNNNNNNNNNNNNNNNNNNNNNNNNNNNNNNNNNNNNNNNNNNCCACAAAACAAAAAACACUCACGAACGUAGUUUGUAUCUCUCGCACACACCCACGUAGGUGGGGGACGUGCACGAAGAGAAGAGGUUCAUGCACGACACACGUACUCCCGUCUCUUUCCCAAUCACACCAGCGCGGGUACACGGUGGAGCUCAUUUCUGUACGAAAAAGGCAACCCACAUGGUAAUUUGGCACGUGUACUGGUUGUCCACUUGGUGGAGGGAGGAUCGUCUACCACGGGUGAACAAACAAAUUGUGACUUGACGCGUUAUGUUAAAUUAAAAAAAGAGGCAAACCAUGUGGGGCCUACCUUAGAGGCAAGGCUCUAUACACUGGAGUACUUUUGAUGUGUCCUGUCAACUCGCAGAACGAGGAGAAGCUCGCUUAGUACGCCGUCUCCCCCGCCCACGGGCGCGGUGGCUCGCAGGAUGAGGUGAAGCUUGCUCCUCCCUCGCCCAUGCGCGCGGUGGCUCGCAGGACGAGGAGAAAAAUUUACUACUCCCUCCGUUUACUCCUCGUCUCUACUACCUUGGUUAUAGAGAUUAUAUCAUAUUGUUUGGAAUAUAUAUGUCCUUUAGUAGAUUUCAAUAUGAACUACUAGUACAUACUCCAAACACUGAUGUAUAUAGACGUAUUUUAGAUUGUACAUUCACUCAUUUUGCUCCGUAUGUAGUAGCACUCUCCCUCGCCCCUCGACCCUCGCCCACGUGGUGGACGUGCAUCAAUUCAUUCGGUCUCAUAUAGCCAGAACGAUAUAUACUACACUACCAUUAUUGCUCGACUUCCCGAAGAGGCGAAGAGCCAAUCGCAAGGUUAAUAUUUUGGAGAUGCCAAGCGCAAGGUUAUAGGAGAACGAGUAGUAGGUGCCGCGUCAUUUAUAAAUAAUUUUUUUCUUCAGUGGCAUGUACACAAUAUGAUAGGUUCAUAUGGAGAGGAAAGGAAACCGCUCCACUAUAUACAUAGUCAGGACGGGCCAACCUACACGGUUGCUUGCUGGGGUUGCUCUCUUCACACUCUCUCGCACAAAACGACUGUGGCCACAUCUCUAACAUCCCGGCGGAUCACGUCCGCUUGGGGAAGGGGUGGAUGCUUAGUGUAGAUGCGGUGGCCGUCGCCGACGGCGAAAACCCACUGUCGGCACGUCCCGAUCAGGGGUCCCCGCCGUUCUCUCUCACAAAGCCUGUGAGGUUGCCUUCGUCCCUUGCUCACUGCCGCGACGUGGGCAGUUGCCGCCUCCCGCCGCCCUCCUCAAGGUUGAGCUACGUCCCUCAGGUACAACUCCCUUUACAGCCGGCUUGCACCACUGCUCCAGCUGCCCACGUCACUCCCUGUGGAUAGUUCUCUACUUCUUUGCCCCACACAUACCUGAUACCUCUACUGGCUUCUACGUACUAUAUUUGUGAUGAGAUUAUGUCUCAUCAACUACUCCUAGUAAUCUUAUUCUAAUCAUGCUUCUUCAAUUUCUUUGCCACAGGGAUGCUCAUCUCGAUUUUGGUGAAACUGCACAAAAUGAUCCGAUGGUCAAAAGGUUGCAAACUUCAUUUAUUAGGAAGCUCGAACGUUGCCAGCAAAUUGAAGCCUGGUCAGGGUUCACGGUUCAAGGGCUAGGGACUACAUGGACCAUUUUUUCCUUUAGCUGCCUCUGUUCCAAAAUAAGUGUCAACUUUAGUAGUAGUACAACUUUGUACUAAAGUUUGCACAAAGUUGAGACACUUAUUUUGGAACGGAGGGAGUACAUAUUUGCUAUGAUCAGUCAAUCAUUGAGAUGCAAUAGCAUGCAUGUUAGUCUCCUUUGUAUUUGAUGAAAUGUUGCAAUGGGCAACCUUGGACGCAAGAUACAUGUAACAGGAGCUGUAAGCUCCAUAGCAUUGUACAAAUUUAUCUCGCUGAUAAAUUACAGUACGUACUAGUACUAUACUAGUACUUCCUCCAAUCCUAAAUAUAAGUCUUUGUAGAGAUUUCACCAUUAACCACAUGCGGAUGUAUAUAGAUGCAUUUUAAGUGUAGAUUCAUUCAUUUUGUUCCGUAUGUAGUUCACCUAGUGGAAUCUCUACAAAGACUUAUCUACUAGUAAUAGCUAGCCCCCACUACUAGGAAUUCUCUAUCCUCUCCUUGAGCCACAUCAUCAAAAUUGACGUAGCCGUUGGAUGAAGUAAAUCAGUCAUAAUAGCCAUCUGAUCUAGACGUUGAGAGGCUCCGCACUAAGCCACAUGCAAGCAUGCAGAAAUACCAUGGCACAUGCAUGUGAGUGGGUUUUAAAUCACAUCAACAUGUCUGCAUGCAAGCAUGCACCGGUAGCAUGCAUGUAAGCGAGCUUUUAAGUCCCAUUAACAUGUCAAAAAGAAAAAUAUAAUCCCAUUAUGCAGUAGGAGUUGGCUGAUCUUUUUUCCUUAUGUGGGAUGAUCUAAAUGAUGAUGGGAGUUUAUUUAGUUUGGCUACCACAUUUGUCAUGCGGUUAUAGAUUUUUUUAGUUCUAUGAAAUCGAUAAUUUUGCGCAAAGAGAUAUACCGCUGUUCCGCGGCAACGCGCGGGGACUCAUCUAGUAAUAUUUAGGAACGGAGGGAGUACUAUGUAAAGAGUUAGGUGUCGCACGGUGAUAGUGUGAGGUGGGCCAUGUAAUCACUGAGCCUGCGUGUUUUCACUGCUCUUGCACUCCUCCGCUGUAAGAAUGGAGAAAAUUGUAAUCUACUACCUCCUUUCGCCGAAAGCGUGGGACAUCCAGCAGUCCUACCACCUCAGUAAUAAAGACUAAUGAGCCAUCAAAUCACAUAGACCCAGCAGUAAGUUGGACGGACGAAGCAACCGUCACUCUUGCGCUAGUGAGGGGUCGCGUCCGCUCUGCCCGGGCAUGAAUGCGGCACCGAUUCUUUGGAGCGGCACUGACCGUUUCGGGCGGGAAGCGCGCGUGGGCGAUGGAGGGGCUUUGGGUGGGCUAGGCUGGUCAGGAGCGGGCGUGGCAGCUGUCCGCAUGUCCCUACUGGACACGCCCGGAAACGAUAGGAUGCAUCGACUCUCGCGGCUAAAAUCGUACACUACACACCAUAUCUCUGUAGGAGUAGGUCGAUCUGUUGCACUCUCUAACACACACAUGUUGUUAAACACACACAGGCACACGCACGCACCUUGGUCCCGUUGCACCUUCUAACGUGACUUAUUACACCUAGACGGAGGGAGUAGUAAGUAUACGAGAUACGGUGGCACACUGACUUAAGUUGAAUACAAGUGCCCAAAAUUUGUGUGCAUGUUAUAAUAAGGAUUCACUUAAAAUAGUACAUGAGCGAACAGAGGGAUCAAUUGGACAGUGUUCCCGAGUAGUAGCAAGAUGUGUGAUGUAGUAAGAUACACCGCUGGCGCUUUUAAUUUUUCUUAUUAAUUUGUUUGUUUCACCCUCUUACUGGUGGGACCCAACGUACUACAUGGAGAGAGGUAAGGUGACUAAGGCUGCAUUAUUUCUGCACCACUGUGGAUAGUCUUACCACCAAAGCCACAUGACACGAUUAUGAUUGAAAUCCUGAUGACUCCCACACACACAAAAAAAACACGGCAUGCCUGUCACACGAAUGCAGGAAUGUAUAAAAGGUUAUUUUCCUCUCGUUGAACAUAACGGGAGGGUUGUGUAGCUGGUUAGCCUGUUCGCUCAUCAAACUUGAGGUCUCGGGUUCGAUAACUACACUUGAGCAUAAUUUUUGCCAGGAGGAUUCUUUGACUGGUCAAAAUGUUUUCUAGGGUUUGCACGCUUCACACUCUCUCAGCAAUAUAUAUAUACACACUGGAGCCUCAGCGCUUGUAGUUGCUCUCUUCACACUCUCUCGCCCUCUCCCGAUCUAAACAAGACUUUGUUGGCCUCUCUCUCCCCUCACUGCUGCUCAAAGAGCCGGCAGGAUCCAUCCGCCGGGAAGGGAAGGAGGCUUAACGCUGUCGCCGUCGGCAAGGGAGGGAAUCCACUACCGGCGUUGUUGUUCACUUUCCACCCAGCGGCGGCACGGGAGGGCCUCUGACCCCUUCUUCUUUGCCGCCGUCCCGUCGCCCACCGAACCACGCCCCAAGAACCUUAAGGUAUAUUUUACUUACUCCACAUGCAUUGCUCUAGCUGCAUGUAUACCAUGAAUCUAGGACGUGGUUCAAAGAGGAAAGGAGUGGGGGAAAGUAGUGGGAAAAGUUGUAUAUAGCAUGAAUCUAGGACGUGGUUCAAAGAGGAAAUGAAGGGAGAAAGUUGUAUAGCAUGAAUCUAGGACGUGGUUCAAAGAGGAAAGGAAUGGGGGAAAGUAGUGGGGAAAGUUGUAUCACAUAAAUCUAGGACGUGGUUCAAAGAGGAAAGGAAGGGGCAAAAGUACUAGUUCAAAAAGGAAAGGAAGGGACAAGGCUAUAGAGUUUGAGCAGGACUAGAUUUGCUGCGCUCACAUAGGGAAAGGUGUCUAAAGAUAACAAAACUGGGACCAACACAAAUAUGCUCCUUGGUUGUUUGUUCUUUGUUGCAACAGACUGUGCAUGACCACAGUACAUCGGUAGAUGCACAUGGUGUUGGUGCGUCCACUGUCCCGUGCAACUCAUUAGCUAUUGUUAAUCUAAGGCCCUGUUUGGUUAAAAACUCCCAAGUCCCUACCUGCUUGGUUCCAGGGACUAAACAUGGACUAGAGGUUAUUAAAUGACAUGAUAAAAGACCAUGUUACCCCUAGUAAUGAACUAAUAGAAACAAGGUGCGAUGUGUGGCAGGGGCAACUAUUGGAAAAAGUCCCAAAAAGACCCCCUCGGGGUCUUCUUUCUUUAGUCCCAAAUGCCCACUUUUAGUCUCGAAAAGUCCCUCCUGUUUGGUUUAGAUGUGACUGACAUGGAGUUUUUUUCGUCCCUACACGAAAAUGUCCCUGUAAACAAACACCCUCUAAUAAUGCCGCUGGAAAAUUGAUGCAAUGCCACUGUUAAAAGCAAAUUACAUGUUUAACGAAUUUUAUUGUUAAUAUAAUCUCUAUGUUAAUAUUAAUCAAUGCCACCAUUUGAGAAAUGCUACUGUCUUGCUUUCUUUCCCAUUUAGAUAAGGUAGAUGCUUCUUUUUGUUGGCUUCUGUGUCAUCCACCGUUAUUGAUCACUAAUUGUUUCCUUUGCACCUCUGUGUAAAUAGGGUUAUCUACUUCACCUCGUUGCCAUUGUGACCUUUUGUUGCACUACACCAAACACUUUUGUUUUAAGAGUGUUUUGUGCAGUUCAACCAAAAUGUCACACUGACAACAUUGCUUGAUUGCUUGAUCUUAGUGGAACUGCACAAGAGGAUAUCUUACUUCCUAUCCGUUAAGGCGAAUUUGGUUCAGAUCUUCUUCUUGUGAGUUAUUUGAAUUCCGCAUCAUGAGAGGUCAGUACUAGCCUUCUUUCACAUGAUUCUGCAGUGUGCUUUCAUAUGUUGUGCUACUUGUACGAUAAUGUUGCUUGAUUUUAGUGAACUGCCCAAAUGGAGACAAGACUUCCAAUCUAUAUAUGCACCGUAAUAUCCCAUUGAGGUAAGAUAAGGAUAUUUCACAACUGUUGGCCUGUAUUUUGCCACUUCCAUCAGAAAAUUAAUGUCAUUGUUUAGUGCUAUACUUGUGCUCCCUAAUUGACAUGCCAAAUCUUACAUUGAAGUCGAAGCUUGUCUGUUAUUGAACCAAGUGAUGAAGGGGAAGAACAGGCAGAAAAACAAAAAUCAACUCCCGGUGCUGUAAUGAAGCACUGGAACUGUGAUGACACAAGUAAUGAUAUAGUUUUGCAUCUUAAUUUAUUGCUAUGGCUGGAACGAGCAAUUGUUUUGCCACUGAUUUGAUGACACUCUUAAUGUAAUACGUAAUUAUCUCUACUUGAGCAAACAGGGAUCUUCUUUGAAGAUACCAUAUAUUUUAGUGGAACUGCACAAAAAGAUGUUGGAAACAUUAAACUAAUCGAGGAGUAUAUAGUAAGCAUGGCCACCACAGUAGAUAGCUACAGAUGGUUCCGGAGAAGUGUUUGAUUUGUAUGCUCUACACAAUAAGCCUCCUGACAAAGGUUGGUACUCGCCCACUAAUUCAUCCAUAUGAUUGAGCUUUGUCAUCUCUACUGGUGUUGUGCUACUGUUUAGAUACUGCAAUGAAAAAGUGGUAUUGUCCUUGAGAAGUGCUUCAUCGAUGUUGUUUUAAAUAUUUCCUUUCCUUUUUAUCGAGCAAAUAGGGAUGCUAGCAUUUAGUUGUCCUCUUGUCUUUGCACAACAGGAUCAUCUUCCUCUGAAGAAGAAUAUGGAGUACGUGAAGUGACUAGUUCUGAUUAUGCCAGGAUGAAGAAGCCCUGUCUAUCUUCUCAUCAGAAGGAGCAGUUGAAGGAUGGUUACAUUACUCCCCACAAGACCAAACUAACUUCAGCUCAGAAGGACUGACAAAUCUCCAUUUUUUUGCAGUGAUGCGCGAGUACAAUGUUGCUCUAGGAUUCUUUCUGGUGAGUUCCAUUUUUCUAAAAGUGUGCUCUACAUGGACCAUGUAUGUGCCUGUUGAAACUAUCAAUUAAUAGUACAGUUUGCUUUAUACUAAUCACUUUUUUGUAUUUGUGCAAACAGGGGUGCUCAGCUUGAUUUCAACGGGAACUGCACAAAAUGUUCAUGAAUACAUCGAAUCAUUCAUUUCCACCACAAGAAAGGAGGUGACCAUAAGUUCAAGGCGUUGCACAAAAAGAACAACUGGUUUAUUUAGCACGAGGUGCCAUGUCAAUGUCCGAAUUGAUGGCAAACCCUGCCCAUUCCACAAUCGUAGGCAUUUGAUAUUUUGGAAUGGGACAACCUUGUCAAAUUUAGCUCAUUUAUUUUAGCAAGAUAUGCGUUUGAUAUUUUCGAAUGGGACGCCCUUUGCUGUCAGCAGCGGCGAUCAAUUUUUUCUUUAUUCUUUAGUUGUGAAGUAAAUAUUGCCUCUGACAUGUGAGUCGCUGAGAUGCAUAAUCAUCGAUUGUUUUGAAUGUUCUCUAUGAAUUGCCAGGCCUGUGUGUUUGAUUGCAAUGUACAGAAACGCUAAAAAGCUGCUCAAACUCUUUGUACUCCUUCUGUUCUUUUUUAUUUCGCACAUUGUGAAAGUGCAUACUUUUUUGUAUAAGAUUGGUCAAAGUAGAGAUACUUUGACUGCAGACAAAACUUGUAUGCAGACUAGAAAGAACCGGAGGGAGUACAUGUGAAACUGCUGCAGACGUGGUGAUCACCCUGGGAAUAAUGCUAGUACGUAUUGUUUUGCAUGUUCAUCCAAUGCCAGUGAUAUAGGAAUUCGAACUAAUCGAAAUAAAUUCAUUCAUACACGGUCGGAUUUCAUAUAAACAUGCCGAAUUUCAUUACAUUUCAUACAUUCUUCAACUAAAAAGGGGUGUUUGUGGCUGCAUGCAUCUCCCAGAUGCAGAGGCCGGGGGUCAUCCUCCUUUUCUAAAAAAACAAAAAAGGGGUGCGCUGGAGGUAUAAUUAAUUAACCGAAGCUACCCACCUGUGUCCCGCUGAGCCGAACAGAAGCUUCAGUGACUUAACUGCAGGUGCAGUUGCGUAACUGACAUGUGGCAUGUUGGGCCCACGUGUCAGUCAGCCAACUGCACCAGCAGUUAAGUAGAAGCGGCGUUCUUCUCCAGCGCAGCUCUCCAACUCCACGUCGCCGCCAAGAAGCUAACCGGCCGUCAAUGGUCAACCCGCCUAGCUUGGCUUCAACUGGAGGGUAGCAGCGGUGGCCUUACUUGGACCCGAGCGGCGGUGACCUACCGUGUUCUACUCUUCCUUGUUUUCUGUGUGGCGCGGCCUCGUUGGCAGCGGGGCGGGGCCUCGGCAGAGCCGGCGAUGUCCUCUGUCUCAUUGCCGAUGGGCGGCGCCUUAGCGGAGCGGUGGAAAUCUUCCCCACGUUGUCGGCAGGGUGGGGCCUCGGCUGAGCCAGCGAUGUCCUCUGCCUUGUUGUUGGCGGGAGGCCUCGGCGGAGCCGGCGGUGUCCUCUGCCUCGUUGUUGGCGCCGCGGGGCCUCGGCGGAGCAGGGCAUCGUCGACGCCAGCAGAGCGGGGACUCGUCGGAGCCGGCAUUGUCCUCUGCCUCGUCCUCGGUCUCGCCAAACAGCGCCUCGCCCGCUUCAUCGCCCUCUUUGCUAGCCUCUUUGUAGGCGGCCGUAGCCUCCGCUACCUGCAUGCGGUACUGCCAGCGCUCGAGGCAACCCUUGCGGGCGGAGCGGUAUGAGUCGAGCAGCGCCUCCUGCUCCGCCCGCUCCGCGACGAUCUGCGCCUCCGCCUGCAGGUGCUCCUGGAGGAGAUGGUGGUUGUAGGCGGCGUCGGCCUGCGCCUCCCGGAACUGCUCCUCACGCAUCUGCCUCACCCUGUCCAUAUAUUGGUCACGGGCCUCGCCGAUGGUCAUGGUGCAAUGCACCGGUGAGGAUGGCGCGGAGGAGGGGGUUGGCGUCAGAUCGUCGACUACCAUGUUCUCCAUUGGGACGUCGUCGUCCUUCGACUGCCUGCCGGCCAACCGGUCGGCAGUAAUGGCUGCCAUCUCCUUGUGGUCCGUCGUCUGCCCAUCCCGAAGAGCGCUGGAGCACGAGGAAGCCAUGGUGGGCAGUAGUGGUGUGGACAGGAGAAAGGGAAUGAAUGCGGAUGACUGCGGCUAUGGCCGGCGCAUCAGUUUAUAUAGCAAUGGUGGGCAGGUGGAGGGACGGACGUGUGGCGCCGGAGUAGCCGCCUCGGCAACCGCGUAUCAUUAAUGUGUGCGGCAGGUGGACGGACGGACAACACUUGUGUCGUUUGAAGGCGGAGCAAUCGCCUGCACCGGGAAGCGGGGCGGCCGACGCUGACUAUUUCGGGCGGAAAGCACGCGCGGGUGAGGAGAUGACUUUACUUGGAUAGGAUGACAAUGGGGACCCACCAGGUCCAUAGCCUCACGUAUGCAAGUGCCUCCUUAUUAUAUAUAUAUAUAUAUAUAUAUAUAUAUAUAUAUAUAUAUAUAUAACUAUAAUUUAUUUUGCUUCCUCCUGGUUUCCUGACAUCACGGUCCCACAGCAUUGUCAACCUAUGUACUCCCUCCUUUCCGGUUUAUUGGGCUUAUCUCAAAAUUUUAGUUUUUCCAUUUUAUAAGGCUCAAUUUAGUUGUUUUCCAUCACAUGUUCAGAUUCCAAGGUGCAUUAAAUCAUUGCAUGUAAGUAUUAAGAGAAAAUUGACCAAUGCAUGUACUUUAUGCAUGCAUGCAUUACAAUUAAUGCAUUGAUAAACAUAAUAUUUUGAGGAUAACAAGAGCAUUAAUUAGGUGCUUUUGCAAAACUACAAAAAGUAUUCCACCACUCGCCAUCUACCUUGAUUAGUGAGAUUUUUGAAUUGAGCAUUAUAAACCGGAAAUGAGGGAGUAGUCAAUAAACGAGAGAAUUGCACAAGAAGCGGCCGACAGCUGGGACCAAGCAGCUCGAGCAGUAUUUGUGUUUUUGAGGUGUGAGCACUGCAGAGUUUUUCGAUGUUUACCCGAGAUAUUAAUUUUUAUCCUCUGAACAACAACGAAAACAUCGCUGCAGGUAUUAACUAGGCGGGUUGUGGCCCGUCUAGCCCAGGCCAGAUAUCCAGCCCAGAUAUUAAUUUUUGUCAAGCUGAAAAUGGCUAGCCUGGCUAUACUUUUUUUUGAGGAAUACCCAGGCAAGGUCAAGUUGUUAUUCUCCGCCCCGCUGGGCUGCAAAUCUUACCUAGGAGGGAUGCAUUAGGCUUAACAAGAAAAUGGGCUUUAAGAAAUAAUAAAUGGGAUGUAAUUAUAAAAACUGGGUAGUAACUAUAAAAAAAUGCACCAAACAAUGAUUACUUUAUAAAAUAUUAUUUUUGGAAUAUUGAAAAUUUUAAUUUCAUUAAUUGUUGCGAGCGCAAUGUUUUGUUGGAUUUUUACGUAAUAUAAAUUUAUAUGAAAUUGUAUUUAAUCUGACUAGAAAUUUCGGGAUAAAAUAUUCGGAUCCCAUCAAAAUGAGGGAAGUUUUAUUGAAAAUUUUGUUUUGAACGGUUGGUUGAAAUGGGCUGUACUUUUAACAAACUAUAAAUGGGCUCUAGUAAAUUCCAUUAGAAUUCAAAAAUGGGCUACACAUUCUUACAAAUCUCAAAUGGGCUAUAAGUUCUCUGCCACACACUUCUGGCCUUACUAAGUUGACACGUCCCCUAAAGAAAUAGAGUUGACGCGUAUGCAAGGCUUUGUCAACUUAUAGUCAACACACGGUUCUAGCAGCAGUGGCCAUUGGAUGUCCAUCCAACGGAUGCCGUGCUUCUUCUUCAAUCUCGGAUAUUCUAGCUUCAACCGCCCAAAAAAUGAUUCCUCCCCCUGACAUCUGGGGCGCACCGUUUCGGAAGCUGACCUGUGGGCCUACUAAGUUGACGUACCAAGGGCUUUGUCAAGUUAGUCAAUAUAAACGAUUCUAGCUGCAGUGACCGUACGAUGUCCAUCCAACGGCCGUCGUGCUUCUUCAACCUCUGGUCUUCUUGCUCCAGUCGUCCAAAGCAACACCGGUCAUGCCGCCUGCUCGUGCCUCCCGUGGCCGGCUGUGCUGCCGCGGAGGCCUCACCGCCCCCUACUACACCCACCGCUGGCCAGGCCAUACCUCCAGUCACCCACACCCCCUGUUAUUUUGCGGUGACGGCAGCGCAGCCGAACCAGUGAACCCUCGUACUCCUCUCCGCGUGUGCAUCCACUGCCGUGUCUUCCCCGGCUCCAUGUCAUCCCCUUCCUAGGCCUCGCCAUCGUCCACCGCCGUGGUGCUCUCGGCGCGGCGUGGUCAACAUGGUCAAGGAACGACUUCCAUCGGACGUGGACUGUAUGUGGAGAGGCUGACAGCUGGGUCCACGACAGCCGCAAGGAAGUGCCUCCUUAUUACGUGCAAAAUAAUUAUUCCUCCACCUGACAGCAGGGACCCACCGCACGGGCCACCGUAUUUCGCAAAAAAAUGAUUCACCCCCUGACUGCUGGGACCCACGAGCUACAUCUUCCCACGUAAGGAAGUGUGUCCAGGAAAAAAACGAUUUGCCCCCCUGACUGCUAGGACCCACCAGCUACAUCUUCGCACGCAAGGAAGUGCGUCCGAAAAAAGAGAUUCGCCCCCCGACUGCUGGGACCCACCAGCUACACCUUCGCACUCAAGGAAGUGCGUUCGGGCAAAAAAAACGAUUCGCCCCCCUGACUGCUGGGACCCAGCAGCUACACCUUCGCACGCAAGGAAGUGCGUCCGGGCAAAAAAAAAAUGAUUCGCCCCCCUGACUGCUGGGACCCAGCAGCUACACCUUCGCACGCAAGGAAGUGCGUCCAGGCAAAAAAAAUUGAUUCGCCCCCGUGACAGCUGGGACCCACCAACUACAUAUUCACAGGCAAGGAAGUGCCUGACAGUCGGGACCCACCUGGUCGAAGCAUACGUAGCGUUGUCAUCCUAGUUGCGAACGUGUAUGUACAUACUGGUCGAUGUAGAGGCGCGCACGUGUCGUAGUAGAGGCGCGCAUGUAGCAUGUACACGUACGUACAAUGGCCAGGGUGCAAGAAAGAAAAUACGGCCACGUAUGUGUACAUACGGGCGGGGUCUCAAAUGCUUAGUCGCGCAUACGUAUGGUGAGGGCUCGUGUUCAUGGGGAGGCAACAGAAUGCGUCGUGUUCAUGGGGAGGCAACGAAAUGCGUCAUGUUCAUGGGGAGGCAACGGAAUGCGUCGUGUUCAUGGGGAGACAACGGAAUGCGUCAUGUUCAUCGGGAGGCAAUGGAAUGCGUGGGAGCCAACCGGCUUGGACGGAACAAGAGAUGGAAACGAGGCCUGGCGUACCGCAGAACGGAGGAAACGGCCUUGUGUUCGACCGACCACGUUCGGAACAGGGUCCUGUUGACCGGGAGGGGUGUGGCGUACCGCAAAACGGAGGAAACGGACCUCCUAUAGUCAAAACGGGGGUCCUGUUGAUCGGGAGGGGUGUGGCGUACCGCAAAACGGAGGAAACGGACCUCCUACGGUCGAAACAGGGGUUCUGUUCAUCGGGAGUGGUGUGGCGUACCGCAAAACGGGACUCCACAGGAUACUGUUCAUAUCCACCGUCGACCUCCUCCAGCCUCCACGGGCUACCGUCGACCUCCUCCAGCCUCCACGGGCUCCUGUUCAUCCAGCCUCCACCGCGCGCUACUCCACCGGCUACUGUUCAUCCAGCCCUCCACUGUCUACUGUUCAUCCAGCCCUCCAAUGUCUACUGUUCAUCCAGCCCUCCACACCACGGGGCCCUGUUCAACCACCCCUCCACGGCCACCCCUCCACUAUCCACUGUUCAUCCAGUCCUCCACACCACGGGGUCCUGUUCAUCCAGAGGCAACGCCACCGCUCACUGUUCAUCGACCCCCUCCGCAACGCCCACUGUUCAUCCAAUCGAUUGGCUUCAGUUAGCAGCAGUAGCGAAGGAAUCGCUCCAUUGGGUUCAGUUAACAACCAUCGAUCGAUCGCUCGGGUUCAGUAAUGCGUAGCCUGCAGUGCAAUCACUCGGGUUCAGUUAGAGCCCAACGCCUUGCUCGGGUUCAGUUAGAGCCAACGCCUCGCACACACGCGCAUACGUGUACGAGAGAAACGCGCAUUGCUCGGCCCCCGACCUCCCACCGUAACCAGCAACUCCCCGGAAUUUUCCUACCCCUCGCUUCUACCACGGUUUUUUCUGUCAUGGACUGCCCAAAGAAUGUUAUGCAGCUGCGUCUCCGGCCCGCCCAGGACGAAAAGCCCAUUUUCUGUCAUGAUUUUUUGUCAUAGAAGUAGGAGCCCACCACAUCUAUGAUGAUACCGGGUUCUGUCACAACUAUCAUCAUAGAAGUGUCAUAUGUAUGACAGAAUUUUUUUCCGCUCGGCCCAAAAUGUCACGGAUGUGUCUUUUUUUGUAGUGUUACAAGAGGACUGCAGAGCUAAACCUCUUCAAAAGCAUUGGGUUGAUUCUAAAUUUAUGUAAGAGUCCAUCGGAUCUUAUACUGUCCACCAAAUGGACGAUUACGAGGCUAACAUGUGCAGUGAUGCUACAUAAUCAAACAACUAUGAAAGUAAGUAUGGUUAUACAGGGCAAGAGGUACUCACAAGAGUAAUGCAGUGUGCAGUAUAGUUGCAAGAUUCUGUGAUCCCUUGAGAACGAAUGUUCUUCUACUAACAGUUUUCGUACAAGUGAGACAUUAAGGCAAAUGCAGGAAAGUAGUUCAAAUUGUGAUCUGAUAUCAUAGACAGUACCUUACACUGCAGCCGAGACCAAUGUGUAACAAGAUUAUUCCUGUCACCGUUGGAUAAAUGUAGCACCAGAGACUUUACAGAAAUUUCAUUCACAUGCUUGCCAUCAAAGUGCGCUUGCCUCAGGUAGGAAUGAUACUUCAUCAACGAGUGCUUGAAAAGCACAACCAACCCUUGCUCGUCUUCACAAUCCAGUUUGCUCCUCGCCUGUUUAAAAGAAUGAAAUCUUGUGUCUUCUAUCAGCAGAAACAUAUGCAGUAAUGACCAUGAAUAACAUUAGUACAUUACUUAUGCGUAAGUUGCGGAGGAAGACUGGAAAUUGUUCUGUGUUUGCGGUAUAAUCUUUCCUUGAAGGAAAGAUGCACACAAAGUUCCUCAUAACAACAUAAGCUUCGUCUUCUAAACUUGGAAGAAAUGGAACAUCGGUCCUAUUUGCUGCAAAUGGGGCUCUCUCUGGUUCGAAAAGGGAUUUGGCAACUGGAUUUGGUGUACUCUUUGCUGGAAUGGGUUUUUUGCAUCGUAGAGCUAGUGCUAUGUCAACUGGCAUAAUCAUACUGUUUGCUGCAGUUGGGGUCUACUGAGUUGGGGCAUCAGAAAUGACCAGUGUAGUAGGGCUAGAGUCUGCUAGAGUUGGGGUGUUUUGUGGGUCAGGUGAUAUUGCAACUACACCUAAUGGGCUAUUUGAUUUAUCAGGUGCCACUAACUUUUCCAAGUACUUUGCUUGUGCUCCUCCACAUCAACAAUCGCCCUCUUCCUUUUGAAUGCCUGAUACACAAGAAUAGCAUUUGAAUGGAUCAAUAUGGUAUGAUGACAGAUGGAAUAUGUACUGAAAAUGGAUAGGCAGGGCAUAUUCACAUACACGAUGUGUAAACUAAGCUAACGGCAGUUCAACAAAGUAGAAGCAAUGCAAAGCAUCAGUUGCAAGAUAUGUGCGACCAAUGUAACCUUGGAAAGUUAGAGCAAGCACCUUGAUGGGUGAAUAAGAUAGGGCAUCUUCCUCUGACUCCUCCACUAGGGAGCUACAUUGACUUAGGUCUCCCUCUAGCUCAGAAUCACUGUUAGGAUCAUAUUCUGAGCAUGAAUCUGUAGGUGGAGAGCGUUUGCAUUGAAUUGCAUCCAGACUUGAUUUCAGUCCCUUAAUGCCAAGUUUGACAACCAUGGCAUUGUUCUGCUUUAUUCUUUUCAUGCGCGCAAACUCAUAAUCAUUACAAUGCUGUUCAGAUUCUGUGAUUCAUGAAAACAUAAAAAGUAGUCAGAUUAUCUAUGGAAUGCAUUGCGGAUUCAACUCGAAGAGUGUCUCGCUAUAAACCCCUGCAUAUGCAAAGUUCACCCCCCAACCGUGCUGACCAGACCACACACAAAAAUACAAACCCCUUAUGUCUCUAUAACAGGCAGACACAUAUUUCAACACUGAAGUAGGAACAUUAGAAUCAUAUGAAAUUCGUAUUUGAACAAAUAAACUAAGGAAUUAUGAGAGGCAUAAUGUUUAGCUUCAAGGGUGGAGUGUUGGUAGUGCGACACAAAGCAAGUAGGACAGAUUGUAUUCCAUGUAAAAGAUCGAAGCCUAUGUAAAAGCUGGAAAUGACACUUUCUUUCUAUACAAUGCAGUGUUCGUUGCCCACACAUGAUGGAAGAGAUCACAUAGAGAAAUACUAUUCACUCAUGUCUACGGUUCCAGUAUUUAGAAACAGGGUGGUCCACCCUAAAAGAAUAUUGACAACAAAUAUGACAAGGCAAGCAUAGAUGUGGUGAAUCAAUCAUUUACUUGUGAGCUUACUAGGACAAGUAUGCAGAAUUGUAACUGCAGUAAGAGACCAUCCAAAAUCUGAAUGAAGAAGUUUGUCUAGCACUUAUUGUUUGCAACUAAUCGACGUGAAUAUUUGGAUAUUAUAUCAAAUGAGUAAGACAGACAAGUAAAAUUGUCAACAAACCUUUCUUGCAGUAGUAAUCUGGGUCAAUGUCACUACGACCAACAAUCCAAAAUGACUAGUGCCUGUUCCGAGGUCCGGAAUUUUGAAAACCCUGUGAACUUUAGAGGUACUAAAGAUUACCAAAAUACAUCUGAAACAUUAAGUGUAGGUAGCACUGAGCACACAACAAACCCUAAUGACAGUCCUGCCUAAUGACUAAUGAAUCAAUUAGAAAAUGGGUGAUGAGGACUGGCUGUUGAGUGUUGAGGACACAUCUGAAGAUAAAUCGGGUUGGCUUGGUGGGUGCUGCACGCUUGAGCCCUGAACGGACUGGGAAGGUAGGCACGGCGACGCGCCCGGGCAGCGGUGACGUUGUUGGGCGAGCGGCUCCUGACCUCUUGUUAGUCCGGCGUCUCCUCCUAGAGUCAUGCUGUCCAGGGACGGCAAGUCACCGGCAAGGCAGGCGACUGGGUGCGAGUAGAGAUCGGAAGUGCGCAGCAGAACAGAGGGGAAUCAGGGCCUGGGACGACCCAAAAUCCCAGGGUGGGUCGGCCCACCAUGGGCUCCCUGUAGAGAUACACACCCGAGCAGCGAACAUGCAUUUUCAAAACUAAUUCAGGAACAUUUAGCUGACCAAUUAAACGACUCUGUUUUAAUAAUAUCAGAUUCGUAUUUGAAUAACUAAGCUUGUUUAGCUUGAUGGGUGGAGCAGUGUUAUUAUGACACGAAGCACAUAUUCUGCUCGUAUAGUGAUCAUAAAAGGGGGAAACUCCAAGCAUGUUUUUUUAGCAAAAGAAGGUUUCCCCUUCGAUUUCUAUUAGAGAAACCACCACGGAACAAACAUGAUCAAUUAAACCCUAAGCAUGAUCAACUAAACCUUAUUAUGGCUGUGCCAUGGCAGAUUUGAAGCUGCAAACUGAAGAAAUGAUAUUUAGCAUCCAUUGUUUGCUUCAAACUAAGAACUAAAUUCUAAGAGCUGAAAGGAAAGUAGAGUAACCAAUUUAAGAUCUAUUUUUUGGUUGAGAUCAAAAAGAUGAGGAGAUAUGAAGUACCACCUAUCUUGCGGCGCCGUGUAGGCAUCGAGGGUGCGAUGGCUGUCAGUGGUGUUGAAGCGGAUAUGCGACGGUAGACGGGUGCAUCAGGGGAUAAGUCCCGUUGCGGUGGAAGAGAAGGUCGUGUUAGCGGCCCCGACAAAGAGGACGACGACGCCGAUGAAGUGAGAGGAUGCGAUGCAAGGCUAUUGGUCCGUCGCCAUGGAUGAGAAACGUCCAUCUCUAGCGGUGGAUGACGCGGUCUUGGUAGGCGCUCGGGAAUGGUGGAGGACGGUGGCGAUGGAUGUGGUGGAGGACGGCGGCGAUGGAUGUGGUGGAGGACGGCGGCGAUGGAUGGGGUGGAGGACGGAGGCUGGUGUGGGGAUGGUGUUCUAGCACGGAUUUGUUGGGAUCUAUGGUAGGGUGCGUCGACUGCAAAUUAAAAUUAUCAUAUGCGUAGAACAACAGGAACAUGCUACGGAGAUGGAUCACAGUUUGUUACCUCUAGACAUGCAGUGCCAUGCAGUGGAAGAAGAGUUGGGACAGCGCGUCCGCGUGGAUCAUCUCCUCCUCGUCCGAUCUCCCUCGAACAGCUGGUCGUCUGAUCCCACGUACAAGUUCGCCGGAGCGGCGCAAGUGCAUCGCCUCUAACGGUAUCCACGCGUGAAGGAGGAACACCGUGCGGCGGACUGCUAGAUCUGAUCACAUAGUCGGCGGCGAGUGGAGGUGGCUAUUCGCAACACAUGCAAAUCCUAGUCGUAGCGCUGAAGCGAUCAACCGCAUGGGUGUGCCACACCUCCACUUUAUAUAGGCGUCCGUCGCGGGCUCAACACUUGGGCCUCGCACGGACUCUAAAGCCCACAAGUCUACUCAGCCACAAUCCAAAUACAGUUCGGAUUACAUCCGACCAGUGUCCUCAGAUCCGACCUCAUAGGUUCCUUCCCUUAAGCGCGCGACCCCUUAGGUUCAAGUCGGCUUGGUUGCAGUUCGGAUCACCUCUGAACUACACAGUUGGUAGUGGCCUCUAGCAAGGCAUGCCGAACACCAAGCAGACUAUGAAGCUGGUUAGGCGAACCUGUACAACGUGUCACACUUCUGUUCCCUUUGCCACGCUAUAUAUGUUGUCAGGCUCAAGGCGAGAUUGUCAUCCUUGUGCUAGCCCGACCUAUUUCUCAUUCCAGUGAUUCCGACUACUAUCCGGAUUAUCUGAUAAUCCUUGUCACAUGGCCAUGCUUAUCGUGGUCGGAUCACACGAGGGCCCCAGAGUAUAUCUCUCCUGAUCGGAGGGGCAAAUCCCAUCUUGCUCGACCAUGUCUUGCAGCAUUGAACUGGACAAGCCUGAAACCUACCUUUGUAACUACCCAGUGUCGGAGUAGUGUUUGGUCGGCCCAAAGCAGGUCUGUCACCAUCCCGAGUAUAUGCGCGAGCUCAGGUCUUAGGACAUAGAACGUAUGUUGUACUAGAGACUCACAGAUGACAUAUCUUUGCGUCUCAUAGUUGGGUCUGUCCGACUUGGACCUUAUCUUGACUCGGAUCCGACUACGUCGAAUCCGACCGGACCUUUCCAAGUCCAUAUUAUCCGGAGCAUCCAAUGCUCCAUGGUUAGUGAGACCAAGCCAUCGACCAUGUCAUAUGCUAGUCUAGUCGGAUGCGUGUCCACACAGCCCUUUCGACUAGGGACCUUUUUGGACAGUCAUCAUACAAUGCAUAGUUCCAGAAACAAGUCACGUACUUGCUAAUACACAUCAUUGAUAAUGUCCAAGGACUAUAUUUAUUCAUAAACACAUAGGAAAUAUAAUCAUACAUGAUUGCCUCUAGGGCAUAUCUCCAACAGUCUCCCACUUGACUAGAGUCAAUCAAAUAGACAUCAAAUGCCCAUAGCUCUAACGUGCCCCUCAUGCUUGGGUUGUGGAAGCGGCUUAGUCAACGGAUCUGCAACAUUUGCAUCCGUGUGAAUUUUGCAUAUGUCUACAUAACCGUUCUUUACGAUCUUUCGUAUCAGGUGAUAUUUCUGAUCUAUGUGUCUGACCUUGUGGUGAUUCCUUGGCUACUUGGCUUGUGGGAUGGCACCAGAAUUAUCACAAUAAAGGUCCAAUGGUUUUACCGAGGCUGGGAAAAUACCAAGAUCAUCCAGAAAAUGCUGGAUCCAAACACCUUCCUUUGCAGCUUCACAAGCCACAAUGUAUUCGGCUUCUGUGGUAGAAUCGGCCAUCUAUCUUGCUUGCAACUCAUCCAGCUCACUGCUCCUCCAUUCAUGAUGUACACAAAUCCGGACUAUGAUCAACAAUCAUCUCUGUCGGUUUGGAAACUAGCAUCAGCAUAACCACUUAUGAUGAGCUCUUCCUCACCUCCAUAAACUAGGAACAUCUCUUUAGUCCUUUUCAGGUACUUCAAAAUAGUUUUUACCGCUGCCGAGUGACUCUCACCUAGGUUGGGCUGGUAUCUACUUGUUAGGCUUAUUGCAAAAGCAACAUCAGGCCGUGUACAUAUCAUGGCAUACAUGAUGGAUCCGAUUGCCAAGGCAUAGGGAAUCCUACUCAUCCUGCUUCGCUCAUUAGAUGUCGAAGGACUCUGAGUCUCGCUUCGCCUUAUACCAUGUGAGAGUGGCAAGAACCCUUUCUUUGCCUCACUCAUGUUGAAACGCUUCAACACUUUAUCUAUGUACGUGCUCUGGCUUAAGCCGAGCAGCCUCCUCGAUCUAUCUCUAUAGAUCUUAAUGCCUAAAAUAUACACUAGUUCACCAAGGUCCUUCAUUGAAAACUUGCCAUUCAAUGACUCCUUGACCGAGUUCAGCAUCGAAACAUCAUUUCUGAUCAGUAGUAUGUCAUCCACAUACAAGAUCAAAAACACUAUCGAGCUCCCACUUAACUUCUUGUAUAAACAAGCAUCCUCUUCACUUUUGAUGAAACCGAGACCAGUGACGACCUCAUCGAAACAAAUGUUCCAGCUCCGAGAUGCUUGUCUCAACCCAUAAAUGGAUCUCUUGAGCUUGCAUACCUUACUAGUGCUAGUCGGGUCGACAAAACCCUUGGGCUGUAUCAUAUACACGUCCUCGGUUAAAUUUCCGUGAAGGAAAGCCGUUUUGACAUCCAUCUGCCAUAUCUCGUAAUCAAAAUAUGCAGCUAUAGCUAGAAUGAUCCUUAUCGAUUUUAGCAUCGCUACCGGGGAGUAAGUCUCGUCAUAGUCAAUUCCAUGAACUUAUCAAUAACCUUUAGCGACAAGCCGAGCUUUGUGGAUCUGAACAUUUCCAUCCACAUCAGUUUUCUUCUUAAAGACCCAUUUGCAACCAAUGGCCAGUACGCCAGGCGGCGGAUCAACCAAGUCCCAAACUUGAUUCUCAUCCAUGGACUUUAACUCGGAUCUCAUGGCCUCCAGCCAUGCCACGGAAUCUGGGCUCACCAUCGCUUCCGCAUAUGUGGCCGGCUCAUCGCUUUCUAGCAACAAUACAUCGCGCACUCUGCGCAAUCUUUCCGACCUCCAUGGUUCCGGUGCCGCUUCCACUACAGGUUCCCUGACUGACUCCGGAAUGAUCUCAUCACCAGCCGAGCUGUCCUCGAGUGGUCCUCGAAUUUCUUUGAGUCGAACCGUCCUCCCACUGGCCUCCCAACUGAGAAACUCUUUCUCAAGGAAAACCCCGUUCUGAGCAACAAACACUUUGUUCUCUUCCCGGUUGUAGAAGCUAUAUCCCAAGGUUUCCCUCAGAUAUCCCACGAAUAUGCAUUUAUCCAAUUUAGGUGUAAGCUUGUCUGACAUAAGUCGCUUGACAAAUGCUUCACAACCCCAAAUCUUUAGAAAAGACAAACUGGGACUCUUCCCAAUCCACAUCUCAUGUGGUGUCUUGUCUACGGAUUUUGAUGGUACCCUAUUAAGUGUGAAAGCUACAGUUUCUAGAGCGCAUCCCCAGAAUGAUAAGGGUAAAUCUGAUUUGCUCAUCAUAGACCAGACCAUGUACAAUAAGGUCCUAUUCCUCCGUUCGGACACGCCGUUUCCUGUGGCGUACCCGGAGGUGUGAGCUGAGGUACAAUACCUCGGCUUUUCAGACGAUCAUCAAACUCCUGGCUCAUGUACUCACCUCCAUGAUCAGAUCUAAGAAGCUUUAUAGUCUUGCCAAGCUGAUUCUCAACCUUGUUUUGAAACUCUUUGAACUUUUCAAAAGUUUCCGACUUGUGCCUCAUCAAAUAGAUAUAUCCAUAUCUACUCAAGUCGUUGGUAAAAGUCACAAAGUACUGAUAGCCACCUCUGGCAGUUGUGCUCAUUGGACCACACACAUCACUGUGUAUAUGCUCCAACAGCUCGGACGCCCUCUCGCAACUCUUUGCGAAAGGAGACUUAGUCAUCUUGCCGAGCAAGCAUGAUUCACAUAUCUCGAACAACUCAAAGUCGGACAAAGUUAGCAGCCCAUCAUCAUGGAGCUUCUUCAUGCGUUUUAGACUAAUGUGUCCAAGCCGGCAAUGCUAGAAGUAUGUCGAAUUUAUCUCAUUAGGCUUAUGCCUCUUGACAUUCACGUUAUAGACCGGUUCCUGUUCUAGAUUCAAUACAAAUAGCCCACCAAUAAUGGGUGUAUAGCCGUGGAACAUACCAUUCAAAAAUAUCGAACAACCAUUGCCCUUUAAAUUGAAUUCAUAACCUUGACUCAUCAAACAUGAGGCUGAAAUAAUGUUCAGACUAAGUGUAGGAAUGUAAUAACAAUUAUUCAAUUCCAUAAUUGCCACAUCCCUAGUUCUGGUAUGACCUAGACUAGCUAGUCAUUUGUUCAUCAUGUUUAAAUUUUAUUUAAUUCUGAAAUGAGGAUUUGUGAAACCCUCAGGAUCAUCUCUGAAAAUGACCCAAAUAAAAAUUGUUCCAAAAAGGUCCAAGAAAAUGCUCAUGUUGCUCUCUGAAAAUAUUGGACAGAGAUAAAAAUCAAACCAAUAUUUUUAGGAACUCAUAAGUAUUUAUUUUGGGCAUUUGGAAUUAAUGCAUAAUUAUUUACAUUGGAUAUAUAUUUGUUAUAUACAUAAAAUAUGUCCAAAAAAUUAUGCCAUUUAUAAAGGAGCUCUGGAAUAAUAUAACUAGCUUCCAUAAAAAUUGGCAUAAGAAAAUAAAAUGGUUUAGUAUUUUUUUUAAACCAAACAAAUGUCAGAAAAUAGAAAAAGAAACAAAACAGGAGAAAACUUACCUGGCGCUUAGCUCCUCCUGCUUCCCCCUCGCCCAAGCAGCUGCGUGCCCGCGCCGCAGCCGGCCGCGGCCACGCGCCCGGCCACCUCCUGCUUCCCCCUCAUCGCUCUGGAUGACCCGGACAACGCCAGCGACGCCCCGCACCUCUCUCCCUCUCUCUCAUUCCUCCCCCUCCCAUGGUCUCUCUCCCAUGUGCACGACCGAACGCCACAUGUCGCCGCCGACGAGCACCACCGCGGCCAUCACCGUCCCCUCGCCCCUCCGUCGUGCCCAGAAGCUCCGCUGCGUCUCCCUCGUCCUCUCAGACGAGCCAAACAAGCUGUAGCGCCCUGCAACGCCGUCCUCGACGCCUUUUCCAACCGCCGGCCGCCGUGGAUCUCCAUCGCUGCUCGCCGCCGUCAGCGCCUCCCCCGAGCUCNNNNNNNNNNNNNNNNNNNNNNNNNNNNNNNNNNNNNNNNNNNNNNNNNNNNNNNNNNNNNNNNNNNNNNNNNNNNNNNNNNNNNNNNNNNNNNNNNNNNNNNNNNNNNNNNNNNNNNNNNNNNNNNNNNNNNNNNNNNNNNNNNNNNNNNNNNNNNNNNNNNNNNNNNNNNNNNNNNNNNNNNNNNNNNNNNNNNNNNNNNNNNNNNNNNNNNNNNNNNNNNNNNNNNNNNNNNNNNNNNNNNNNNNNNNNNNNNNNNNNNNNNNNNNNNNNNNNNNNNNNNNNNNNNNNNNNNNNNNNNNNNNNNNNCCUCCUCUCCUGCCUCCUCGUGCUCUGUAGCCGCAGCCGCUCGAGCCCGAGCUCCGGCCGCCGCCGCGAGCUUCGCUCCGGCGAGCUCCUCCCACCUGCCCCACCAGAUGCGCGAGAGACCGGGCUACGCCCCGGUGCUCUCCGCCGCCGCCCCCGUGGCCUGUAACACGGACGCUGCCGCGUCCUGAGGUCGCCGCCAACGACCUCGCUGGCCUGACAUGCGGGCCCUAUCGGCCAGGUGAUUAGCUUAGUGCUAAUCACCGCCUAAUUAACCACUGACACUGACCAGUGGGCCCCGGCCCCCUAAUCCUUUUAAUUAAGCAAAUAACCCCCUGUUUAACCCCGUGUCACUGACGUGUGGACCCCACAUGUCAGGUUUGACCCCAGUCAGCCGCAGUUGACUUGUUGACGUCAUGCUUACUCAAUGCUGACGCAGUAAUGCAAUUUUUUGGAUUUAUUCUUAUUCAGGAAUUUCCAGAAAAUGCCCAAAACUUCAAAAAUUCAUAGAAAUUCAACCGUAGCUCAGAUUGAAAUAAUUUAUAUAUGAAAAAUUAUCAGAAAAAUGCAAUCUUUCCAUCUGUACUAGUUUCAUGCAUGACAAACCAACUUAUACAUGCUGUAUAAGUGAAAACAUGUAAAUGGCAUAUAUAAGAGCUUAACUUGGAGUUGCAUUUGAAUCUUUGGUUCAAAUGGACUCCAUCCAAAUAACAGCUAGUUGCAUUAGCUCAAACAGCAUCACAUCUUCAUGCCAUGUUCAUGCAUCAUAUUGUUGCAUAUGCUUGAGUAUUGAUUGUCAACACCGUUCCUUCUCGAUAGGUCCUGCUCCGGAGACCGUUCCAGAGUACCUGUCUGAGGAGCAGUGCCUUCCUUGUUGAUCUACCAGGCAAGCAAAUCCCCUUGUUCAUUCCGAUACAAUCCUACUCUCUCGCUCCUGCUCUCAGUUAUUGCAUUAGGACAACAACGAUUCAUCUGCUACUUUGUGCUGCGGUAGUUGAACCCAUUCCUCUGCAUGACCUGUCAUUGCCACAGUAAAUAGUUGAAACCCACUAGCAUGUGUAGGAGUUGAUUGAAGCCAUUGUUGUGUUCCUACCAUGCUAUGCCUGCUAUUGCUUAGAGUUGUGUCAGGUCUGAUUCAUUGGGAAUGAAUUGGAGUGCAGUGCUCUAUGUUCUGAUGCUGAGAGUGAAGUGUGUGAACACGAUUUGGUAAAGGUAGCGGUGAGAGGCCAUGUAGGAGUACAUGGUGGGUUGUCUCACUGGAACCGUCCUUAAGCACUGAGUUCUAUGUAUGUUGUCCAAUGACUCGAUACUACCACACAUUGGGUUCCGGUAACUCGACCCCUCUCGACUUAUUAACCAACUUGAUCUCUGUCCAGGAGUCGUAACUAGUUUCUGGUGUUUGUAGGUAGUGCUAUUUUUCUACCAAGUGGCACCCGGCAGGGUGGGCUUGGGACAGACUAGGCACACGUGGCCUGGUGUACCGAGUGGCACCCGGAUGGUGGGCUUGGGAACCCUGCACACAUCGUUUCGGGCCGUGAGUGACACCCCGGCCGGAUCUCCUUGCGGAUGGAACCCGAAUAGGCGAUAAACCUGGACUAGAGUCUUGUGUGGUUAGUCAGGUCGUGGCCGACACCCUCGCCAGGCUUCCGCUUGAAGGUUGCCGAGAUACAUGACGUGUACAUGGCGGUAAGUGGCGAGAGCGUGUAUGAAGAAGUACACCCCUGCAGGGUUAACAUGAUCUAUUCGAAUAGCCGGGUCCGCGGUUAUGGACUUCUUGGGUGCUUACAUGGUACAUAGACAACUUGAAGUGGAUACUCUAAAAUGCUCAAGACAAAGUGUGAGUGCUAUGGAUGGCCUUCUCGUAGGGAGACAGGGAUGAAUCCAUAGUAGUGUAUUGUGUGGUGAUUAGUGGACUCGUGUGCGCCAUCUCACCUCAAAGAAGUUCUCGUAGUCGUAGAACAGGAUAGCCACUGAGUCAAAGCUGGCUUGCUGUAACUAAACCCCACAUUACCCUCUUGAUACAAAUGCAUGUAUGAUAGGAUCUGAUGUAAGUCUUGCUGAGUACCUUUGUACUCAUGUUGCUUUAAUUAUGUUUUUGUAGCGGAGACUUCGGUCUUACUAGUGUUCUCGUGGACUUCGACGAGUAGCUUGUACCUCAGCUACGAUCUUGAUCGGACGUUGUAGAUAGUCAGGCUCUUCAGCCUUUUUCAUUUGUAGAUGUCUGUACCCAGACAUGUAAUGCUUCCGCUUGUUGCUUGUAUGCUCUGUAUGAUGGGUCUUAUGACCCCUGUUUGCAAUAAAUGCUAUGAUGGCUCUUUGAGCCUUAUCUAUAUGAGUUGUUGAGUUAUGCUGUGAUGCCAUGUUGUACAGCACAUACUUGCAUGUUAUGCGUAUGUGUAAUGUGUAUUGCUAUGUGUGGGAUCUGACUAUCUAGCUGUUUAUCCUUAGUAGCCUCUCUUACCGGGAAAUGUCUCCUAGUGCUUCCACUGAGCCAUGGUAGCGUGCUACUGCUCCGGAACGCUUAGGCUGGCCGGCAUGUGUCCUUCUUCGUUCCUGUGUCUGUCCCUUCGGGGAAAUGUCACGCGAUGAAUACCGGAGUCCUGUUAAGCCCGCUACAUCCCGGUUCACCGGAGUCCUGUUAGCCCAGUGCUACAGCCUGGAUUCACUCGCUGAUGACCGACACGUUCGAUGCUGGGUCAUGGAUGCCUGUCCCUGUAAGUUUGUGCCACUUUGGGUUUACGACUAGCCAUGUCAGCUCGGGCUCCUUAUCAUAUGGAUGCUAGCGACACUAUCAUAUACGUGUGCCAAAAGGCGCAAACGGUCCCGGGCAAAGGUAAGGCGACACCCGUGGGGAUACCCUGCGUGAGGCCGCAAAGUGAUAUGAGGUGUUACAUGCUAGAUUGAUGUGGCAUUGAGUCGGGAUCCUGACAGCUUUGCUAUCAGAGCCUGACUGCCUAUAGGAUUACCAAGCCAAACUGGUCGAAGUUGAGUCUAGAAAUUCUCUAGUUAUGUAAGGGAAUUGAUUGUGGGAAGGAACGUAAGGCUCUUUUUACUCCUUAUACCUCAUGGCUUUCUGAUCUGAGUCAUCCUAUCUUUCCUGCGGGGUUAAGGAACUAGGCUCUCUCUUCCGUCUAUCAGGAUCACGUGUUACUACUCCAUAGUCCCAUAGGAUUGGUUGAUCAGAGUCAUAUCCCAGUUUUCGAGUACUUCCGGUGUAGCCUGUUUAGUAUGAUCUCAGAACCUUGAGCGGUGAUGUUGAGUAAGUUGCUACCCCAUUGUUGGCAGCAUGUCUCAUUUUGAGCAUUUUACUGCCGUUAUGCUGCCGGAAUUGCCCUAAGAGUUCGAGAGAUACUAAUUUCCUUGUCCCACAUUCUGUAGCCUAUAGUUGAUGCUGAUUCCGUCCUUGGUUUCGUUUCUCAGGAUGUCAUCAGUUAAGCAAAGUUCUGUUGCUCGUAGCCAGAACCACGGAGAUGGUAGGGAUGAGGAUCCUCCCGACCCGUCUUCAUUGACAGAGAUCAUGUUAGAAAUGGAGAGGAACAAGCGUGAGUCUAACCGCUUGUUGGCACGUAUCGAGGAGAACACCGCACAUCAGUUCAAAGGAUCUGUGACCAUUCAUGACUUCAUCCGCUUGCACCCACCCACCUUUCAUCACUCCAUUGAGCCGCUCGAUGCAGAUGACUGGCUCCGUAGCAUCAAUCAUAAGCUGCAUUCCGCAAACGUAGCUGAAAAUGACAAGGUCACCUAUGCCACAUACCACCUGGAAGGUCCUGCUAGUCUUUCGUGGCAGAACUAUGAGGCUAUGCUUCCAGCUGGCCAGGUUCCUACCUGGAGAGAUUUCACUGAGGCUUUUCGCGAGCAUCACAUUCCUGAAGCCCUCAUUGAUCGCAAGAGAGAAGACUUAUGUAGUCUCACCCAGAGUAAGAUGGCUGUUGAUGCUUACAGUAGAGAGUUUGAGAACCUCGCCCGCUAUGCCAGAGAAGAGGUGUCCACAGACGCCAAGAAGCGGGCUAGGUUCCGGAAGGGUCUCAACCCCAAGUUGCGUCGUGAUCUCCACCUACAUCAUUGUGAUACAUUCCAGGCUCUUGUGAACAAGGCCAUUAAUGCAGAGACAGCUCAGCUCACUUACAAGGAGUCUCGUAAGCACACCGGUGAGUUGGGAUCUUCCUCCGGUUCUGGUUCUCAGAAGCGCUGGAUUUGGGUUCCAAACUCCGCUCUUCCUUCCGGUUAUACACCGAGGCCAUCUUAUGUGGUGCCUCCCCCAGCCCAGUCGUGUGUUCCACCCAGGCCUACUGGUAGACCGCUUGUUAGUGCGGGUCCACGUCCAACCUCAGGGACUUGCUUCACAUGCGGGAAGCCAGGACACUAUGCACGUGACUACUCUCAGACUAGUUAUGCUCCACCCCAGCCCGAGGAGUCUGUUGGCCAUGGUAAGCCAUCACGCAAGAUGAUCAGUGCCAAGCCAGCCCCCACUGAACGUGGACGUGUGCAUCACGUCUCAGCUAAAGACGCUCAUGAUGAUCCGGAUGUCGUUCUUGGUACACUCCUUGUCAACUGUCAUCCAGCAUCGGUUCUAUUCGAUACUGGAGCAUCUCACUCCUUCACUUCUGAAGGCUAUGCUCGUUUGCACGACAUGUCAUUUUGUGAUAUGCCAACUCCGCUUGAAAUCCAAACCCCAGGGUCUAGAUGGCAGACCACUAGAAUCAGCCAUGGUAAUGAAAUCCUUGUUGAUAGACUUGUAUUCCUUGCAUCACUUGUAGCCCUCAAGUCCUCAGAUAUUAACAUCAUCUUGGGUAUGGACUGGAUGACAGCUCAUCAUGCCAAGAUUGAUUGUUACACAAGAUCUGUUCAGCUCACACACCCAUCUGGCAAGAUAGUCACUGUCUCCACUAGAGUUGCAAAGCGUCAGCUCUAUUCUCUUAAUGCCAGCCCUCUUCCAGACCCUGAAGAUAUCCCGGUAGUCCGUGACUUUCCGGAUGUAUUUCCAGAGGAACUGCCAGGUGUUCCACCUGACAGAGAUGUAGAGUUCGUCAUAGAUCUUAUUCCAGGAACCGCCCCAAUUUCUAGGAGACCUUACAAGAUGGCACCCUUAGAACUAGCCGAACUUAAGAAACAACUUGAUGAGUCCUUGCAAAAGGGUUUCAUCCAUCCUAGUUCUUCUCCUUGGGCUUGCCCCGUCCUCUUCGUCAAGAAGAAGGAUGGUACGGACAGGAUGGUUGUAGAUUAUCGCCCUGUUAAUUUGGUCACGAUAAAGAACAAGUAUCCGCUCCCCAGGAUCAACGACCUGUAUGAUCAGCUUGCUGGAUCCUCAGUCUUCUCCAAGAUGGAUUUGAGGUUAGGCUACCACCAAGUCAAGAUCAGAAAUGGGGACAUCCCUAAAACGGCUUUUGUCACUCGUUAUGGCCAGUACGAGUACACCGUCAUGUCCUUCGGCCUAACCAACGCCCCAGCCACUUUCUCCCGCCUGAUGAACUCGAUCUUCAUGGAGUACUUAGAUAAGUUCGUCGUGGUUUACCUCUAUGAUAUUCUUAUUUACUCGAAGAACGAGGAAGAGCAUGCCGAACAUCUUAGACUUGUGUUAGAAAAACUCAGAGAGCACCGCCUUUAUGCCAAGUUCUCCAAGUGUGAAUUUUGGUUGCCAGAAGUGACCUACCUAGGCCACGUAAUCUCUGGUAAGGGCAUUGCUGUCAAUCCUGAGAGAGUUAAGGCCGUUCUUGAUUGGACUCCACGUGAAACCGUUAAACAAGUUAGGAGUUUCCUUGGUCUAGCCAGCUAUUGUCGCCGCUUUGUUGAAAACUUCUCCAAGGUAGCCAAACCCCUCACGGAACUUCUCAAGAAAGAUAAAAAGUUUGAAUGGUCCCCACAGUGUGAGUAUAGUUUUCAGGAACUGAAAAGACGCCUGACAUCUGCUCCCAUACUUGUGCCACCGGAUUUCACGAAGGACUUUGUUAUCUACUGCGAUGCCUCACGACAGGGACUAGGUUGCAUCCUUAUGCAGGAUCGUCAUGUGAUUGCCUAUGCAUCUCGACAGUUGCAUCCACAUGAGGAUAAUUAUCCUACACAUGAUCUAGAGCUUGCAGCCGUAGUCUAUGCACUCAAGACCUGGCGACAUUACCUUCUUGGUAAACGUUGCGAGAUCUACACCGAUCACCAGAGUCUCAAGUAUAUCUUCACCCAACCAGAUUUGAACCUUAGGCAAAGACGUUGGUUGGAGUUGAUCACAGAUUAUGAUCUAGGGAUUACCUACACUCCAGGUAAAGCCAAUGUCAUGGCUGAUGCUCUAAGCCGUAAAUCCUAUUGCAACAAUCUCAUGUUGCAGCAAGGCCAACCACUUCUCCAUGAGGAAUUCUGUAAGCUUAAUCUUCACAUUGCUCCUCACGGAUUCCAUUCUACCUUGGUGGCGAAACCUUCUCUUGUGGAUCAUAUCAUAGAAGCCCAGAAGCAUGAUACGAGGAUUGCCGGGAUCAAGAGAAACAUUGCCAAGGGUAUUGCUGGUAGUUUCUCUAUAGAUAAUCGAGGUGUCGUUUUCUUUGGGAACCGCCUGGUGGUCCCCAAGAAGCAACAUCUUCGACAAUUGAUCCUUAAGGAGGCGCAUGAAUCUCCUCUCACGAUUCAUCCUGGUAGUACUAAGAUGUAUUAGGACCUACGCCAGAGGUUCUGGUGGACUAGGAUGAAGAUUGAAAUCGCUCAGUUUAUUGCUAACUGUGAUGUUUGUUGUCGCGUUAAGGCAGAGCAUCAAAGGCCUGCUGGCACCCUUCAGCCUUUAGCUAUUCCUGAGUGGAAAUGGGAUAAAGUUGGUAUGGACUUCAUCACCGGCUUUCCCAGGACCAAGAGAGGGAAUAAUGUUAUCUUCGUAGUCAUUGAUCAUCUCUCCAAAGUGGCGCACUUCCUUCCUGUUCGAGAGGGUAUCACCGCUAGUCAGCUCGCUGACUUAUAUAUUUCUCGAAUAGUGUCACUCCAUGGUGUUCCACUAGAGAUCAAUUCAGACCAUGGCAGUCUUUUCACUUCUCAUUUCUGGGAGAGUUUCCAAACUGCCAUGGGAACCCAUCUUUCCUUCAGUACUGCUUUCCACCCUCAGUCGAGUGGUCAGUUGGAAAGGGUCAACCAAAUUCUCGAAGACAUGCUUAAAGCUUGCGUUAUCUCAUUCGGUAUGGAUUGGGAGAAAUGUCUUCCUUUCGCCGAGUUUGCUUAUAACAAUAGCUAUCAAUCCAGCCUCAAAAAAGCUCCUUUUGAGGUUCUCUAUGGACGAAGAUGUCGAACACCUUUGAACAGGUCAGAAACCGGUGAAAGACAGUUCUUUGGACCGGACAUGAUCCAGGAGGCAGAAGAGCAAGUUCGCAUCAUUCGUGAGAAUUUGAAAAUAGCCCAGUCUCGUCAGAAGAGUCAGUAUGACCGCCAUCAUAAGGAUAUGACUUAUGAAAUUGGCGACCAAGCUUACCUUCGGGUCACUCCUUUGAAGGGUACCCAUCGCUUCAGUAUCAAGGGCAAGUUGGCUCCUCGUUACAUUGGUCCUUUUCGCAUUCUCGCUAAACGAGGAGAGGUUGCCUACCAGUUGGAACUACCCCCACAUCUUUCUCGAGUUCAUGAUGUCUUCCACGUCUCUCAACUCCGGUGUUGCUUCUUGGAUCCUAUCCGCGGAGUGGACCACGAAACGCUUGAUCUCCAAGAUAACCUCACAUACCGAGAGUACCCGGUUCGCAUUCUUGAUCAAGCAGAGCGUGUCACUAGACGUCAGAAUAUCAAGUUUCUCAAGAUUCAUUGGUCUCAUCAUUCUGAGAGAGAAGCUACUUGGGAGCGAGAAGAUCAUCUUCGACUGGAGUACCCCACUUUCUUUCCGUCGACCCUGAAUCUCGGGACGAGAUUCUCCCAAGUGGGGGCGAGUUGUCACAUCCCUAGUUCUGGUAUGACCUAGACUAGCUAGUCAUUUGUGCAUCAUGUUUAAAUUUUAUUUAAUUCUGAAAUGAGGAUUUGUGAAACCCUCAGGAUCAUCUCUGAAAAUGACCCAAAUAAAAAUUGUUCCAAAAAGGUCCAAGAAAAUGCUCAUGUUGCUCUUUGAAAAUAUUGGACAGAGAUAAAAAUCAAACCAAUAUUUUUAGGAACUCAUAAGUAUUUAUUUUGGGCAUUUGGAAUUAAUGCAUAAUUAUUUGCAUUGGAUAUAUAUUUGUUAUAUACAUAAUAUAUGUCCAAAAAAUUAUGCCAUUUAUAAAGGAGCUCUGGAAUAAUAUAACUAGCUUCCAUAAAAAUUGGCAUAAGAAAAUAAAAUGGUUUAGUAUUUUUUUAAACCAAACAAAUGUCAGAAAAUAGAAAAAAAAACAAAACAGGAGAAAACUUACCUGGCGCUUAGCUCCUGUGCAGCCUGGCCGGCCCAGCCCACCUGGGCCCCCUCCUCUGUCUUCUUCCUCCCCCUCGAGAGCUCCUAUGCGACGCUCUCUGCGUCAAGCAGUCGAGCAAUCGCAUAGGGGAUCAAGAGACUGGGCCGGCCCAUCUCUCUCGCGAACAGUAGCUCACUGCUGGAAUAAAAAAAGAUGCAUUGCCAGGACUCGAACACUAGACCAACUGCUUCCGAGAUACAAUUCAAACCAGUUGACCUAGCUAGCUUUCUUAAUAAUAGAACAUUUGCAAAACCUUAAGAAAACUCAAACACCGAUCCGAACAUCUUUCAAAAAUUCGAACACAAAACAUUUUUUUUCAAAAACAAAACGUGAAUGUUUUAUCAAAGGCGAAAAUUAUUGUUUUUCAAUUUUUUUGAGAAAACUCAAACAUUUUUGAACACACAAACGAAUUUUGGAGAGGCAAACAUAUUUUUUAGAACGGAAACAUUUUUUAAACUACCCAAAAAACUGAACAGGAACAAUUUUUCUAAUUUCAAAAAAAAUUGAAACAAGAACAACUUUUGCACACGAACAUUUUCUGAAACCCCAGAACAAAAUUUGGCAAACAAACAUUUUUUCAAAUUUGCAAACAAUUUUGGAAACAGAACAUUUUUCAAAACUCUGAACAAAACUUGUAAAUAUCAAUAUCUUUUAAAAUUUGCGAACAAAUUUUGGAACCGGAACAUUUUCUCAGACUCCCAAACAAAUUUAUGGAAUUUACAAACAUUUUUCAGUUUGUGAACAAAAUUUGAAAACAUGAACAUUUUAUAAAUCCGUGAACAAAUUUGGAAUGCUGGAACACUUUUUGAAAUUCCUAAACAUUUUUGAAUGCAAACCAAAUUUGAAAACAUGGACAAUUUUGAAAAAAGGAACAUUUAUUGAAUCUCACGAACAAAAAUUGAAAAGCGAACAUUUUUAAUAAAUUUGUGAACAUUUUUUGCAAAGUUGUUAAAUUUUAAAAAAACAUCAAGAAAAGAAACAAAAACUAAAAAAAGAAAAGAAACAGAAAAGGAAAAAAAUAAAAAAAUCGAAAAUCGAAAAUAACCAGAAAAAACGCUACAGAAAAAAACCCGGUUCAGGAAACUUUCUAGAAGCUGGCCCAUGUCGGUAGCUCGCGCCGCUCCUCUGUGCGAUCCCUCGACAAUUUGCCGCAGAGAGCAGCGAAUAGGAUUUUCCCGCUUAAGGCGCCAAGGAGGGAGACCUCCUAUAUGCCGCAUUUUGCGACCAAUAGGUCGCGCGACGCACAGGGGACGUGCACCUGGGCCGGCCCAUUCGCUGUCCGUCAAGGAAUGAAAAAUUCGACAAAAUAGAAGUGUUGUGGUGGGGAUUCGAACCCACGACCUUACGGCCAAAAUCAGUAUUUUGACCGUUUCAGCAAACUUUGUCACAAAAUGAACUCGACAUGAAAGUAUUUCACGAUCUGACCCUUUUAGCAACGCCAUAGCCCGCGGCGUUUCUGCCCAAAAUGAAAACGCCGAGCUAGCUAGCGCUCCUGUUCAAAGAAGAAGCGUCGAGGUAGCUCGCGUUGUGGACCAGGUGAGAAACGCCAGAUGGCUUUGGCGUUUCUGCCCCGGACAGCAACGCCAGGAGCAUUGGCGUUUCUGCAAAAGGAAGGCCGCAAUAUUUUUGUACUGUGGAAUAGCUACGCCUAGCUAGCUAGCUAGUCCAUGGAAACGCCAAUGCUUAUGGCGUUGCUAGCCAGGGCAGCAACGCCCACUAGCUUGGUGUUUCUAUGUGGAUCGGCAACACUAGCUAGCUCGGCGUUUGAAUGUGGAUUUGAAACACGAGCUACAUCGGCGUUUCUAUAUGGAGAGGAAACGUCACGGGCUAUGGCGUUGCUAAAAGGGUCAACUCGUGAAAUACUUUCAUGUUGAGUUCACUUUGUGGCAAAGAUUGCUGAAAAGGUCAGAAUAGUGAUUUCGGCCCGACCUUACAUAGGCGUACGCUCUGCUCUAGCCACUGUGCCAGGCUAGUUACUUUGUAAGAAAGGCAGCAGGAGCUUAAAUAAACCGCCACAGCGGCGAAAAGUAAAAAUCAAUUCAGCCAAGUCUCUAAAUUAAAACCAGUUAAGCCAAUUACAAAUUUACAAAACUGCAGUAUUUUUUGGAAUAUGUGAACAACUUUCAGAAACAGGAACAAAAUUAUGAAUUAGUGAAAAAAUUAAACAUGCGGACAAUUUUUUGAAUUUGUGAACAAAUUUUGAAACAUGAAAAUUUUUUAAUACGUGAACAAAUUUUAUGAAAACAAACAAAUUUUGAAUUUCCCAAAGAUUUUUCGAAAAUAUGAACAUUUUUGGAAUAUGUGAACAAUUUUUCAAAGCAAGAAUGAAUUUUGAAUCUUGAGAACAAAUUUGUAAGCGCCAACUUUUUUUGAAGCACGGACAUUUUUUUUAAUCUCGAGAAAUUUUUUUGAAUUGGAGAACAAUUUUGAAAAAUCCUGAACAAAUUUGGAAGCGCGAACAAUUUAUUAAAGCACGAACAUUUUUUGAAUCUGGAGAACAAAUUUUGAAAAAGUACGAACAAAUUUGGAAGCGUGAACAUUUUUUUGAAUAUGUGAAUAAAAAAUUGAAAUCUGGUACAUUUUCUGAAUUUCAAAAGUUUUGAACUUUUUUGUGUAACGGGAACAACUUUUGAAAACAGUAACAGUUUUGAAAAAUUGUUACAAGAACAUUUUCUGAAAUGCCCAAACAAUUUUUUUGAAAUGCGAACAUUUUUUAGAAACACGAACAAUUUUUGAAUUUUCUGAACAAUUUUCAAAAGAAACCAAAAUUAGAAAAAAGAAAACAGAAAAAAAAAAGAAAAACGGAAAAAAAUAAAAGAAACAGUAAAACAAAAGAAAAAAAAGAAAAAACUGGUGUAAAAAUAGAAAAACCGGUUCAGGGAACCUUCUGGAAGGUUCCCAAAACCGGCUGCCUCGGUGUGGGAAAGUGGGCCGGCCCAAUACUUGCGCUCGGGGGGAUCGCCGUGUGCGAACAGUCGACAUUUUGACGCAGUUAGCGUCAAAUAGGAUUUUCCCUCCCCCUCGCCCAAGCAGCUGCGUGCCCGCGCCGCAGCCGGCCGCGGCCACGCGCCCGGCCACCUCCUGCUUUCCCCUCGUCGCUCUGGAUGACCCGGACAACGCCACGCGACGCCCCGCACCUCUCUCCCUCUCUCAUUCCUCCCCCUCCCCUGGUCUCUCUCCCACGCGCAUGGCCGAAUGCCACCCGUCGCCGCCGACGAGCACCACCGCGGCCAUCGUCGUCCCCUCGCCCCUCCGUCGUGCCCAGAAGCUCCGAUGCGUCUCCCUCGUCCUCUCCGACGAGCCAAACAAGCUGUAGCGCCCUGCAACGCCAUCCUCGACGCCUUUUCCAACCGCCGGCCGUCGUGGAUCUCCGUCGCCGCUCGCCGUCGUCAGCGCCUCCCCCGAGCUCGCCGUCGUCUUUUCAGGUCCCCUGUGAGCCCUCCCCCCCUCCCCCCCGCGUCGGUUCCCCCUCCUCUCCUGCUUCCCCGUGCUCUGUAGCCGCAGCCGCUCGAGCCCGAGCUCCNNNNNNNNNNNNNNNNNNNNNNNNNNNNNNNNNNNNNNNNNNNNNNNNNNNNNNNNNNNNNNNNNNNNNNNNNNNNNNNNNNNNNNNNNNNNNNNNNNNNNNNNNNNNNNNNNNNNNNNNNNNNNNNNNNNNNNNNNNNNNNNNNNNNNNNNNNNNNNNNNNNNNNNNNNNNNNNNNNNNNNNNNNNNNNNNNNNNNNNNNNNNNNNNNNNNNNNNNNNNNNNNNNNNNNNNNNNNNNNNNNNNNNNNNNNNNNNNNNNNNNNNNNNNNNNNNNNNNNNNNNNNNNNNNNNNNNNNNNNNNNNNNNNNGCUCCUCCCACCUGCCCCACCAAAUGCGCGAGAGCCCGGGCUACGCCCCGGUGCUCUCCGCCGCCGCCCCCGUGGCCUGUAACGCGGACGCCGCCGUGUCCUGAGGUCACCGCCGACGACCUCGCCGGCCUGACAUGCAGGCCCUAUCGGCCAGGUGAUUAGCUUAGUGCUAAUCACCACCUAAUUAACCACUGACACUGACCAGUGGGCCCUGGCCCCCUAAUCCUUUUAGUUAAGCAAAUGACCCCCUGUUUAACCCCGUGUCACUGACGUGUGGACCCCACACGUCAGGUUUGACCCCAGUCAGCCGCAGUUGACUUGCUGACGUCAUGCUUACUCAAUGCUAACGCAGUAAUGCAAUUUUCUGGAUUUAUUCUUAUUCAGGAAUUUCCAGAAAAUGCCCAAAACUUCAAAAUUUCAUAGAAAUUCAACCGUAGCUCAGAUUGAAAUAAUUUAUAUAUGAAAAAUUAUCAGAAAAAUGCAAUCUUUCCAUCUGUACUAGUUUCAUGCAUGACAAACCAACUUAUACAUGCUGUAUAAGUGAAAACAUGUAAAUGGCAUAUAUAAGAGCUUAACUUGGAGUUGCAUUUGAAUCUUUGGUUCAAAUGGACUCCAUCCAAAUAACAGCUAGUUGCAUUAGCUCAAACAUCAUCACAUCUUCAUGCCAUGUUCAUGCAUCAUAUUGUUGCAUAUGCUUGAGUAUUGAUUGUCAACACCGUUCCUUCUCGAUAGGUCCUGCUCCGGAGACCGUUCCAGAGUACCUGUCUGAGGAGCAGUGCGUUCCUUAUUGAUCUACCAGGCAAGCAAACCCCCUUGUUCAUUCCGAUACAAUCCUACUCUCUCGCUCCUGCUCUUAGUUAUUGCAUUAGGACAACAACAAUUCAUCUGCUACUUUGUGCUGCGGUAGUUGAACCCAUUCCUCUGCAUGACCUGUCAUUGCCACAGUAAAUAGUUGAAACCCACUAGCAUGUGUAGGAGUUGAUUGAAGCCAUUGUUGUGUUCUUACCAUGCUAUGCCUGCUAUUGCUUAGAGUUGUGUCAGGUCUGAUUCAUUGGGAAUGAAUUGGAGUGCAGUGCUCUAUGUUCUGAUGCUGAGAGUGAAGUGUGUGAACACGAUUUGGUAAAGGUAGCGGUGAGAGGCCAUGUAGGAGUACAUGGUGGGUUGUCUCACUGGAACCGUCCUUAAGAACUGAGUUCUAUGUAUGUUGUCCAAUGACUCGAUACUACCACACAUUGGGUUCCGGUAACUCGACCCCUCUCGACUUAUUAACCAACUUGAUCUCUGUCCAGGAGUCGCAACUAGUUUCUGGUGUUUGUAGGUAGUGCUAUUUUUCUACCAAGUGGCACCCGGCAGGGUGGGCUUGGGACAGACUAGGCACAUGUGGCCUGGUGUACCGAGUGGCACCGGAUGGUGGGCUCGGGAACCCUGCACACAUCAUUUCGGGCCGUGAGCGACACCCCGGCCGGAUCUCCUUGCGGAUGGAACCUGAAUAGGCGAUAAACCUGGACUAGAGUCUUGUGUGGUUAGUCAGGUCGUGGCCGACACCCUCGCCAGGCUUCCGCUUGAAGGUUGCCGAGAUACAUGACGUGUACAUGGCGGUAAGUGGCGAGAGCGUGUGUGAAGAAGUACACCCCUGCAGGGUUAACGUGAUCUAUUCGAAUAGCCGGGUCCGCGGUUAUGGACUUCUUGGGUGCUUACAUGGUACAUAGACAACUUGAAGUGGAUACUCUAAAAUGCUCAAGACAAAGUGUGAGUGCUAUGGAUGGCCUUCUCGUAGGGAGACAGGGAUGAAUCCAUAGUAGUGUAUUGUGUGGUGAUUAGUGGACUCGUGUGCGCCAUCUCACCUCAAAGAAGUUCUCGUAGUCGUAGAACAGGAUAGCCACUGAGUCAAAGCUGGCUUGCUGUAACUAAACCCCACAUUACCCUCUUGAUACAAAUGCAUGUACGUUAGGAUCUGAUGUAAGUCUUGCUGAGUACCUUUGUACUCAUGUUGCUUUAUUUAUGUUUUUGCAGCGGAGACUUCGGUCUUACUAGUGUUCUCGUGGACUUCGACGAGUAGCUUGUACCUCAGCUACGAUCUUGAUCGGACGUUGUAGAUAGUCAGGCUCUUCAGCCUUUUUCAUUUGUAGAUGUCUGUACCCAGACAUGUAAUGCUUUCGCUUGUUGCUUGUAUGCUCUGUAUGAUGGGUCUUAUGACCCCUGUUUGCAAUAAAUGCUAUGAUGGCUCUUUGAGCCUUAUCUAUAUGAGUUGUUGAGUUAUGCUGUGAUGCCAUGUUGUACAGCACAUACUUGCAUGUUAUGUGUACGUGUAAUGUGUAUUGCUAUGUGUGGGAUCUGACUAUCUAGCUGUUUAUCCUUAGUAGCCUCUCUUACCGGGAAAUGUCUCCUAGUGCUUCCACUGAGCCAUGGUAGCGUGCUACUACUCCGGAACGCUUAGGCUGGCCGGCAUGUGUCCUUCUUCGUUCCUGUGUCUGUCCCUUCGGGGAAAUGUCACACGAUGAAUAUCGGAGUCCUGUUAAGCCCGCUACAGCCCGGUUCACCGGAGUCCUGUUAGCCCAGUGCUACAGCCUGGAUUCACUCGCUGAUGACCGACACGUUCAAUGCUGGGUCAUGGAUGCAUGUCCCUGUAAGUUUGUGCCACUUUGGGUUUACGACUAGCCAUGUGAGCCCGGGCUCCUUAUCAUAUGGAUGCUAGCGACACUAUCAUAUACAUGUGCCAAAAGGCGCAAACGGUCCCGGGCAAAGGUAAGGCGAAACCCGUGGGGAUACCGUGCGUGAGGCCGCAAAGUGAUAUGAGGUGUUACAUGCUAGAUCGAUGUGGCAUUGAGUCGGGGUCCUGACAAUAAUGAAUCCAGAAGGAAGUUGGAGCUGCAUCGUGCCGACCUCUAACGCAUCAACUCUUGCUUUGUUGCCGACCCUGAUGUCAAUCUCCCCUUGUGCCACAUGCCUAGUUCUUACCAGCCCCUGCAUCGAGUUGCAAAUAUGAACAACCGAUCCGGUAUCAAAUAACCAAGAGCUACUAGGUAUGUCAGCAAGAUAAAUGUCUAUAACAUAUGCAACAAGUGUACCUUUGCCUGAAGAAGCAUUUCCGGCCUUCUUGCCAUGCUCUGCAAGCCACUUGCUAUAGUUCCUCUUCCAGUGACCAGUUUCCUUGCAAUGAUAGCAAACGGUCUUUGAGUCCGGUCUAGACUUCGGCGCAGCAGCGGAGGUUACCAUCUCCGUGCCCUUUGCCUUAGCCUUCUUCUUGGACCAACUCUUCUUGAACUUAGCCGAUUUCUGCACCAUCAACACUUGAUGCGUGCCUUUCUUAAUAUCCUGCUCUAUCACUUUGAGCAUCCCAUGCAAUUCAGUGAGCUUCUUAUCCAUGCCAUGCAUAUGAUAGUUCGAGAUGAACGUCCCAUAGCUAGGCGGAAGAGAACCCAAAACUGCAUCUGUAGCAAGCUCAUCCAAGAGCGGGAAGCCCAAACGAUCCAAAGCUUGCACAUAUCCGAUCAUCUUGAUCACAUGUGGGCUCAGUGGAUCACCUUCCUUCAGCUUGCAAUCCAUCAAGGAUCGCCAGACCUUGAACCUUUCGGUCCUAGCUUGUGUCUGAAACAUGCUCUUGAGACUCUUGAUCAUAUCGUAAGCCUCAACAUUUUCGAAAUGCUGUUGCAAAUCAGGCUCCAUACAAGCUAGCAUCAGACAAUUGAUCUCCGUUGAGUCAUCAACGAGUUUCUGGUAGGCAUUCUUAGUGGUGGCAUUAACAUUAGCGGAAGGUUCCUCUGGAAGUGGGUCCUCUAGAACAUGUUCCUUUUUAUCGUGCUUGAGAACAAUUCUCAGAUUUCUAUACCAGGUGGUAAAGUUUGUUCCAUUCAGUUUAUCCUUUUCCAGAAUUGAUUUCAAUGCAAAGUUGGGUUGAGAAGGUGUUGCCAUUGAUCUACAACAGAAAAUAUGCAAUCACUAAGCAAUGUGUUUAUGUAGAGUAUUUUGAGCCUAAACAGAAAUACUCCCACUGAAGUCAACAUCACUGCUAGCCAACAUACCUAUCCGGUAAGCAACUACUUGCUAAUCGCAUCUCUAUACGACUCCUGUCGGUCGGGAAGGUAUCUCAUACCCCGGCUCCCAACCUCCUUUGCCACAAGGACCAAAACCAUUUUGAUAGCCUUGUCAAGUUAACCUGAUGCAGUGCAUGUCCAUCUCCGACACGAACCCUUCAGUUCAAGGACACCUAGCAGCACCCCAAUUUUAUGAACCCACCACUAGACGUACUUGACGUGCGAAGGUGCAACAUCGGGGAUGGCAAUUCGCUUGAUAUUCAUGAGGGAUCAUUCUACCAUUCUAACAUGCAUAGAAAUAAAGAAGCAUAACAAUCACAUAUAAACAUAUAUUGUGAAAUAGUAUGGUCCUUCAUGGACGUUCUUCCAGGUCGGCUCCAACUCUGAUGACCAUCUACGAACUCCAUCUUGUUUGUCACGCCGGGACGCCAAGCCACCAACAUGAUCUCUAUUAUCCAACUACUACAACUAGUAAUGAAUUUUACAUAGAGUCACAAGUCGACACGCAGGUCGUUAUACAAUAUAAUGACAACACUUUGGCUCCUGCCGGCUGACAAACAUGACACGCAGGCCAUGUAUAAAUUACACACAUGCAUCACAUACACAUGAGCCAUACUAUUCACAUCAAACCUGCAAAAUAGAGUUACUCGCAUUCUACCGGUUUGAGUGAUCGCGUACGAAAUACAAGGCGCUACGCACACGGCGGUCCCGUCGAAUUUUCCGAUCUAACCGAUCUCAUCGAUCAUCGUGAGUCCUAUUCGGAUUUACGUUUCACUGUUAACCCCGAUGGCGGAUUCCGACCGGUAGGGGUAGGUUGUGUCACGACCUCAUCGACUCCGAUCAUCAGAAAACAUAGCCUCAUCGAUCCCCAUGUGCAGUUGAUCUCAUCAACCGUGCACACAGCCGAACUCACAAACAACAACAGAUCUCAUCUGCCGUCUCCAUAUAUCUAAUAUGCAUAUGAUCUGAAUCCAAAUCCUAUAGCAGAGGCUCUGAUACCACUGUUGGGAUCUACGCUAGGGUGCGUCAACUGCAAAUUAAAAUUAUCCUUCACGCAGAACAAUAGGAACAUGCUAUGGGAGAUGGAUCAGAGUUUGUUACCACUAGAUGUGUAGUGCCGUGCAGCGGAAGAAGAGUUGGGGCAGCACGUCCGCGUUGAUCGUCUCCUCCUCGUCCGAUCUCCCUCGAACAGUCGGUCGUACGAUCUCACGUACAAGUUCGCCGGAGCGGCGCAAGUGCGCCGCCUCUAACGGUAUCCGCGCAUGCAGGAGGAACACCGUGCAGCGGACUGCUAGGUUCGAUCACACAGUCGGCGGUGAGUGGAGGUGGCUAUUCGCAACACAUGAAAAUCCUAGUCGCAGCGCCGGAGCGAUAAACCGCAUGAGUGUGCUGCACCUCCACUUUAUAUAGGCGUCCGUCGUGGGCUCAACACUUGGGCCUCGCACGGACCCUAAAGCCCACAAGUCUGCUCAGCCACAAUCCGAAUACAGUUCGGAUUACAUCCGACCAGUGUCCCAGGAUCCGACCUCGUAGGUUCCUUCCCUUAAGCGCGCGACCCCUUAGGUUCAAGUCGGCUUGGUUGCAGUUCGGAUUACCUCCGAACUACACAGUUAGUAGCGGCCUCUAGCAAGGCAUGCCAAACACCAAGCAGACUAUGAAGCUGGUUAGGCGAACCUGUACAACAUGUCACACUUCUGUUCCCUUUGCCACGCGAUAUAUGUUGUCAGGCUCAAGGCGAGAUUGUCAUGCUUCUGCUAGCCCGACCUCUUUCUCGUUCCAGUGCUUUCGACCACUAUCCGGAUUAUCUCAUAAUCCUUGUCGCAUGGCCAUGCUUAUCCUGGUCAGAUCACACGAGGGGCCCAGAGUAUAUCUCUCCUGAUCGAAGGGGCAAAUCCCAUCUUGCUCGACCAUGUCUCGCAGCAUGGGACUGGACAAGCCCGAAACCUAACUUUGUAACUACCCAGUCACGAGUAGCGUUUGGUCGGCCCAAAGCAGGUCUGUCACCAUCCCGAGUAUAUGCGCCAGCUCAGAUCUGAUGAGAUCAACAUGAAAAUCCAAGAACCAGAUACUCAAGAUGUCCAUAACCGGGGACACAGCUAACCAUGAUUAGUUUGUACACUCUGCGGAGGUUUGCGUACUUUUCCCCACAAGACUCGAUCACCUCCAUUGAAUUUCUCGCACUUCAUGAUGUUUGAGAAACAGAUGACCGAGACACAGUCUUUUAGAAACACUAACUCUUUACUCUGGGUGGAGAGUUACACCUACUUUCCCGUACAUCUGCUAGCCCACCACUGAAAAAGGUCAUGCAACCUACUCAACUAUGCUAGAGCCCAUAAUAGCUUGUGGCUUCACACGGAAGUUUCUAGCAUGAAUAAUCUUAUGAUCCCUUUGAGCCAGGGUGGCGAACCGUAGGAUGAUCACACGGGUACUCCAGGAUAUCCUAAGACAACACUAGAUUCGCCAGGUGCCCGCAACCAAUCCACCCAGAUGUGUGGUUAAGUUGCCACCUUAAGUUAACCAUUAAUUAACAAUUCUCACAUCUGUCAUGGAUACACUCACCCAAACCACGUCUACGAGCAUAGCAUAACAAUCCUGAGGAAUCAUAGAAGUAACUCCCAAAGGUUUGAUAAUAAAAAGGCAAUAGGUUCUACCUCAUCAUCUACUUCCCAAACCCACAUGUUAUUCAAAUCCUAACCAUGCAAUGUUUGAGGAUUGAGGCUAAUGCAUAAAAACUGGGCAGUAAAGGGAUAUGAUCAAAGUGUUACUUGCCUUGCUGAUGAUCUGCAAAACCUAGCGACUCAUAGUAGCAUGCUUCACACUCCGAGAAUUCUAUCACAAACAAGCAAUAGCAUACAUAAGCACUCAAACUGGAAGCACGAGUAAAACUCAAAAAAGAAGAUAUAACCAGAAAGUUCAACUGAAGAACUCCGGUUUGCAAAAAGAAUAAAAUCAAACGGAGCAACAAAACUCAAACUAUGAAAGAAACAAGAUUCGUUUACUAAUCUAGACUAAAGUCAAAUUUUACAGUACCAAAAUCAUGUUCAAGUUGGUUAAACAGAAAGAGGGCUUCGAGACGAAGAUUUAGGCGCUUGUUUCAUCUAAUUCGGAUAAAAGAGCGAAAAGUUAUACUGGAACGAAGAUCAAGGAAGAAACCGCGAUAAAAAAUAAUCAUAGAAAAACCCUGGAAAAUAAACUAGAUGAACAGGCUAACGAACGAACGUUCGCUGUCUGCGACUAACCGACAAACAACGUUCGUUAAAACGAACAGACGGACGAACGUCCGCUAAAUAACUAAACCGAAAAAACCAAACUGAUCUAUUAAAAAAACAGAUCUAGGUUUCUAAAAAAACACCGAAUGGUUUUUCUGAAAAAAAAAACAAAACGGUGGCGGCGCCGGCAUCUACCUUCGGCGAGGUUCGGGGGACGGGGCAGCGCGGGGGCUGUGGCGGCGCGGGGCUCCGGCAGUAGGGUGUCAGGUGCGGUGGCGAGAGGCGACGGAGGUGGCGUCGGGCGACUCAGGGCGCAGGAGCGACGACUUGCAUCGACAGCGGCGCAGGUGGCGGCGUCGCGUGCGGGCGGUGGUGGCUGGCGAGGCGAGAGGCGGCGGGGGCAGGCGGCUUUUAAGGGGGGUUAGGGUGGAGGCCGUCUUGGUGGAGGUGGCGGCCGGCGGCGGCUCCGAGCCGGACUCCGAGAGGAGUCCGCCGCGAGCACAGCGGGGAAGGCGGCGGCGCUUGGCGGGCCGGCCUGCUCGGCUGGGCUUCGGCCCAGUCGGGCGGGAAACUCUUUUUGUAAAAAAAUAAAUAAUUUCGCCGAACAUAAAAAAAUCCUAAAAAUAUUAAAAAAAUUCUAAAAAAUGCCAAAAACAAUUUUCACCGUCUAAAUAAAAUAUUUAGCACAAAGUGAACAUUUUUCUGGCCUAAAAUGCAAAUUUUGAAAGCGUGCAAUUUUUCUAACUCAAAUAAAAUAGCAAUAAAAGUCCAAAUAAAAUACUUAUUUGAUUUUAACAUUUUUUCUCCAAUAUUUCUUUUAUUUUGGAUAAGUCAUUUUAUCCCCUCUAUUUUAUUUUAAUAUUUGAAAUAUUCAGAGAACGAAAUCCCCAACUCUCUCCGUGGAUCCUUGUGUUGCUUAGAAUUUCUAGGAUAAACCAAAAUGCAAUAAAAUAUGAUAUGCAUAUGAUGACCUAUGUAUAACAUUCCAAAUUGAAAAUUUGGGAUGUUACAAACCUACCCCCUUAAGAUGAAUCUCGCCCUCGAGAUUCGGGUUGGCUAGAGAAUAGGUGCGGGUGGUCCUUCUGUAGGUCUUCCUCUCGUUCCCAGGUGGCUUCAUCCUCGGUAUGGUGGCUCCACUAAACUUUGCAAAACCUGAUAACCCUUGCUGCGUGUGACUUGGCAGGCAAACUCGAGAAUCUUCAUUGGUUUCUCUUCGUAGGUCAAAUCACUAUCCAGCUGAAUCGCUUCCAGUGGAACUGUAUCCCUCAGAGUAAUAUCGGCCAUCUCCGCGUGGCACUUCUUCAACUGGGAAAUGUGAAACACAUCGUGAACUCCUGACAAUCCUUCGGGCAAUUCCAGCUUGUAAGCAACUUCUCCGGUACAUUCCAAAACUUUGUAUGGUCCCACAAAACAUGGUGCUAACUUUCCCUUAACUCCAAAACGCUUAACUCCUCGAAGUGGGGACACACGAAGAUAUACUAUGUCUCCGACUUUGUAAACUGUCUCCUUGCGUUUAGAAUUCGCAUAACUCUUCUUCCUGGACUGGGCUACCUUGAGUCUGUCGCGAAUCAGUUUAACCUUAUCUUCAGACUCCUUAAUCAAAUCUGGUCCAAAGAACUGACGGUCCCCAACUUCACCCCACAUCAACGGUGUCCUACACCUCCUUCCGUACAAGGUUUCGAAGGGGGCCAUCUUCAAACUGGCUUGAUAACUGUUGUUGUAAGAGAACUCUGCGUACAACAAAUUGUCGUCCCAACUAGAUCCAUAAUCUAGUGCACAAGCUCUCAACAUGUCCUCCAGGAUCUGAUUGACUCUCUCGGUUUGUCCAUCUGUCUGUGGAUGAAAGGUUGUACUGAACUCUAGCCUAGUACCCAAAGUCUCAUGCAACUGAUUCCAGAACUUUGAGGUAAACUGGGUUCCUCCAUCUAAUACAAUGGUCCUCGAAACUCCAUGCAGACAUACGAUCCUGGUCAUCUAUAUCUUUGCCAACUUCACUUGUAUAAGUGGUCUUCACUAGGAUGAAAUGAGCUACUUUCGUCAACCGAUCGACUACAACCCAUAUCGAGUCAUAGCCUAAGCGAGUCCUGGGCAAUCUCGUGAUAAAGUCCAUGUGAAGCUUGUCCCACUUCCAUUCGGGUAUCGGCAAUGUCUGUAGCAAUCCUGCUGGCUUCUGAUGCUCUGCCUUCACUCUCUGACAUACAUCACAUACUGCUACAUGCUCAACAAUAUCCUUCUUCAUUCCUGUUCACCAGAAACUUUCCUUCAAGUCCAAAUACAUCUUAGUGUUUCCAAGGUGAAUCGAAUACGGUGAAUCAUGGGCCUCCUGCAUAAUCAACUUCCUGAUCUCGGGAUCAUUAGGCACAUAUACGCGAUCCUCAAAACAUAAGGUAUCAUGCUCAUCCUCACGAAAUCCUUUUGCCUUCCCUUUGCUCAUCCUUUCCUUUAUCUCGGCAAUUCCUUGUCAGUCUUCUGGGAUUCUUUGAUUUUAUCCAUCAAAGUGGAAUGAAUUUCCAUUGCUGCUACAUAACCUCUUGGAACUAUUUCCAAACAUAGCUCGCGAAGAUCCUCUGCUAACUCCUUGGGUAAUCCUCCGGUCAUGAGCGUAUUGACAGAGCUCUUGCGACUCAACGCAUCGGCUAGUACAUUAGCCUUUCCGGGACGAUAGUGCAACUUCAUGUCAUAAUCCUUAAUGAGCUCCAACCAUCUCCUCUGCCUGAGGUUCAACUCCUUAUGCAUGAAGAUGUAUUUCAAACUCUUGUGAUCCGUGUACACCUCACAAUGGUUUCCGAUGAGAAAGUGUCUCCACGUCUUCAACGCAUGCACUACUGCUGCUAACUCCAAGUCAUGAGUAGCAUAAUUUUGCUCAUGAGGUUUAAGCUGUCGUGAGGCAUAGGAAACAACUCUUCCCUCUUGCAUAAGUACUGCUCCAAGUCCUCGACGAGAAGCGUUGUAAUACACUUGAUAAUCCUUACGUUGGUCUGGAAGAAUCAGCACUGGGGCUGUAACCAAACGGUUCUUCAACUCCUGGAAACUGGCUUCACACUCCUCAAUCCAUUUGAACUUGGUGUCCUUCUUCAACAACUCUGUAUGGGCUUUGCAAUCCUAGAGAAAUUCUCAAUGAACCUCCGAUAAUAUCCCACGAGUCCAAGAAAACUCCUGAUCUCUCCAACUGAUGUGGGUGCUACCCAUUUAGUCACAGAGACAACCUUGGUAGGGUCUACUGCUAUUCCUUCUCCGGAUAUAACAUGUCUGAGAAAUUCAACUUCCUUCAACCAAAACUCACAUUUGCUGAACUUGGCAUAUAACUGGUGUUCCCUGAGCUUCUCUAGAACCAAACGCAAAUGCUCCUCAUGCUCCUCUAAAUUUUUCAAGUAGACCAAUAUAUCAUCAAUGAACAUUGUCGGUGUCAAAACCGGUGGAUCUCGGGUAGGGGGUCCCGAACUGUGCGUCUAGGCGGAUGGUAACAGGAGACAAGGGACACGAUGUUUUACCCAGGUUCGGGCCCUCUUGAUGGAGGUAAAACCCUACGUCAUGCUUGAUUGAUAUUGAUAUUGUGGAUGUUUACAAGAGUGGAUCUACCACGAGAUCAAGGAGGCUAAACCCUAGAAGCUAGCCUAUGGUAUGAUUGUAAUGGUUGUUGUUGUUGUUGUUGUGUCCUACAGACUAGAGCCAUCCAGUUUAUAUAGACACCGGAGAGGGCUAGGGUUACAUAGAGUUGGUUACGAUGGUAGGAGAUCUAUGUAUCCGUAUCGCCAAGCUUGCCUUCCAUGCCAAGGAAAGUCCCAUCCGGACACGGGACGAAGUCUUCAAUCUUGUAUCUUCAUAGUCUUGGAGUCCGGUCGAUGAUGAUAGUCCGGCCGAUGAUAGUUCGGCUGAUGAUGGUAGUCCGGCUAUCCGGACACCCCCUAAUCCAGGACUCCCUCAGUAGCCCCUGAACCAGGCUUCAAUGACGAUAAAUCCGGCGCGUAUAUUGCUUGGCAUUGCAAGGCGGGUUCCUCCUUCGAAUGAUAGAAGAUUGUGAACACCAGGAUAGUGUCCGGCUCUGCAAAAUAAAUUCCACAUUCCACUGUAGAGAGAAUAAUAUAUACACAAGUUCAAUCUACUGACGUUCUUUGCGGCAUGACGCCACGCCACUACCAAGCCAUUACUUGAAUCGUUUUUACUCUACCACCUCAGCGCAUUUAGCGAAGCGGUUUCCUUGGCACGUCUUGUCGAAGCAGAGAUUGUGUUCCCCCUUAAUCCAGGAUUCUCAUCAAUACGGACGUGGGUAACCCAACCGCGCCAUUGAUGGUGACGCUUGGGGGAUAAGCGAGUUUUACCAGGCCGGUGGGGGACGCGUAGACUUCGCCCGCCCAUAUAAGGGAUAAGGAUUCACCUUUUUACCUACGCCUUCUUCCUCCUUUGCUUAUCCAUCUCCGCGCACUCGAGCUCCAGCGCCCAAGCCUGCACAUCUCGUCUCAACCUUCCCCAGUUAUGUCCGGAGCGGGAGGCAAGUGGAUGACCUCCUCCGUUAUGGAGGAGCACAUCGAAAGACUGUGCAGCGCCGGCUACCUGUCCGGCGACAUCACGCACCGGCUGCCCGACGAGGGGCAGCUCAUCCCCACCCCCAGGCCCCAUGAGAGGGUCGUUUUUCUUCCCCAGUUACUCCGCGGACUGGGCUUUCCACUUCACCCCUUUGUUCGGGGGCUCAUAUUCUACUACGGCCUGGAUUUCCAUGAUCUGGCGCCGAACUUCAUCCUCAACAUCUCGGCGUUUAUCGUCGUGUGCGAGGCCUUCCUCUGCAUCCAGCCCCACUUCGGCUUGUGGCUCAAGACCUUCAAUGUCAAGCCAAAGGUAGUGAAGGGCACUCAAGCGGAGUGCGGAGGCGCCAUGUUGGGCAAGAUGCCCAAUGUCCUUUGGUUCGAAGGGGCCUUCGUGGAAUCCGUCAAGGGGUGGCAAUCGGGGUGGUUCUAUAUCACCGAGCCGCGCGACCCUACGUGGGCGGCGGCCCCCGAGUUCAGAUCUGGUAUCCCCAUGCAGCUCACCUCCUGGAAAGAGAAGGGCUUGCUGUGGGGUAGUUCGGAGGAGCUGACCGGACUCCAAGCCUGUAUCCAGAAGCUGGUGAAGAAGCUCAGGCUGGUUAACAUGGUCCAAGUCAUGCUCGUCCGCCGGAUUCUCCCAUGCCAAGAGCGGGCAUUCAAUCUGUGGGAGUUCAAUCCGGAACAGGACCAGGCGCUGAGCGGGCUCUUCGACACGAUGUACGAAGGCGCUUGGAGGGUGCUGUUUAAGGGCGCCGAAGCCCCCGCAUCCGCGACUGAAGAUCGCGGAUUUCGCUCGCAGCGCCAAGCUGACGAGGUAAGUGAUUCUACCCCUUUACGGGACACUUGCUUUUCAUAGUUUGACUCUAUGCGGGUUUUAAUUUCCCCUUUUCCUUUGACAGGACUAGAUGAGGAAGGCGGAGCAGAUUAUCUGCCUGGCUCCUAUGCCAGAAAACCCAGUGGACGCCCAUCUAGUGAGGCUGCUGGUUCCGGCACCGCACGUGGUGCCGGAGAAGAAGGCCAAGAAGGAGGCCACGGGUGCUCGAAAGAGUUCCCGUUUUCAGGUGUCCGACGACUCCGGGGCGGACUCCUCCCCCGAAAAUGAGGAGGAGAAAGAGGACUCUCUCCCAGAGGAAGGAGAGAAGAAGAGGAAGGCUUCCCCAACAGGGGAGGCCGAAGGGUCCAAGAGGGGAAGGACUAUUCCCUCGGACAGCUCCGCCAACAUCAACGUUGGAGAGGAAGAAUGGCCUUCAAGGGCCAGGCCUCCGGCGAGAUCGUAAGUAUCCGGAUUCCUGAAUGAUUUAUAAUUUCUUUUCCUGUGUCACAUAGUGUCAUUCUGAUGCCGCAUGUUGCCUGUAGUCCGGCCAAUGAUGAUCUCCCCGCUUCAUCGAGCGGGUCGUUGGCUCCGUCGGAUGUAGACUCCAUCCCGACCGCCUCCACCCCUCGUGACACCGAGGACGCCGAGGUGGGAUCCCAAGAAGGGACCCAUCAGGGGGAGGCUCUGGAGGCGCCACAAGGCGGCCUCCCGGACUUUGCGCCGGACUCCACAUCAGAACCCGCAAUGGUUCCGGAGUCCGGCCGGCGGCCCCUUCGCACGAAGGGCAAGACCGUGAUGCCGACAGCUUCCGUCCAACCGGAGGCGCCGGACAAUUUGUUGGAGGCGCUGCGGAGCGCUUCCAUCGAGGAAGAACACCGCACUAUUAUGAGUGCAGUGAUUCAGAAGGUACAGCUCGCCAAGAGCGGGCUGACCGAAGCCUGCAGUAGCCUUCUAACAGGUUUGAGGUAAGAAGUUAAAAAUAUGCAAUGUAAUACCGCAUAGACAGUAGCCCCUGAUGCUCGGUUCGGUGUUCGGAAAGAAAAGCCGGACUGAGGAUCUGAAAAAAAAGAAGAUAUAUGCAGGGUUGCUAAAAAAUUAUGUCCAUAUGGGUUGCAGGCUGCGCUGCUGACCUCUGCCGCACUGACUGCGGAGGUCGGUGCUUCGAAGCAGGAGCUCGAGCGGUCCGAGCAAGAGCUGGGUCGCGCCAAGAAGCAGCUCUAGGACAAAGAAGGUGAGUAACACCACUUUGAACUUGUACCUUACAUAAAAGGAUUUAGGUUGCAACAAAAAAUAACCAGGAUAACAUGGGUACUGUAGGGGCCACGAACGAGGUGGCGACCCUGAAGGAGGCCGUGUCCGCGGCCGAACGCAAUGCGGCCGCGGAACGGGCAGAGCGAGAAAAGCAGGAGGCGCGGGUGGCGGUGGUUCGGCAAGAGCUCCAGGCUCUCAUGGAAAAGCAUGAGAGUUUGGAGCGUGACUCAAAGACUCGAGAGUCCGAGCUUGCCUCGGCUCUCGAAAGUGCCAAAACUGCCAAGGCCGAUGCCCAUAAGUCCCUUCAGGAGAUUGAGUUGGUGAGGAAGAUAGUGGCGGGUAAGGCAUUUUUCAUGCAAAGCAAGCAUGUGAAUGUAAAUUACGUGUUACUUACCCGAAUUCGGAGCUCUCCAGGGGCGUUUGCAGAUCUGCCUCGCAGCGUGUCUGAUGCCGCCGCAUUCUACCGAGCCGAGGAGGGGAGCUCAACGGAGAAGGUCUUCUGGUCUCAGUAUGCUGAGGCCGGCCAUCCGGUGCCCCCUAGCGACCAGCUGAAGCAGCUGGUCGAGCUCCACAAGGUGGCCGAGCAGGCCAUGAAGGGCCUCAUAGUCCGGCUGUGGCCUGGAGAGGCCAUGCCUGGGAGCUACUUCGGCCUCGUGCGACGGUUGGUGGAUGCGUGCCCCUGGGUGGAGGUUAUCAAGCGCUCCGCCUGUAUUGAAGGUGCUCGUCAGGCCCUUGCCCGCGCAAAGGUGCAUUGGGGCAAGCUGGAUGCGGAGAAGCUAAUCACUGAUGCGCCGCCAGCGGGCAAGGAAUAUCGUACGCCCGAGAUGUAUUAUAAGACUGUCCUGAAGGGUGCCCGCAAGAUUGCAGAUGAGUGCCCCAGGGAUGUAAUUAUUGAGUAAAUUCGCAAUGUGUUAUCCUGUGCGCUGAAAACUUUGUUCAUAUGCGCUAAGCAACGCUUGUUAAUUUAAAAUAUUACCUUCUGUGCGGCCGUUUAUUAAAUCUGAGAGAUGGCAAGUUGUCGGCUUCAGUCCCCAUGCCACGAGUGCUGGGGUGUUCGGGAUAAACUUGAGGCCUCUUGUUCCCAUUUUUGGGUCCAUCUAGGGAGGCGCUCAACACAACGAACAAGGCAACCGGACUUAUAGUGCUUGAACACUCUCACUUAGCCAUAGAAUUCUAUAAUUUUAAAUUUCGGCGAAGCCCCUAGUAUUCGGAAGACCGAAUUCAGGGCGCUAUCCACGCCUUCGUCGGACAUUAUCCGGAACUUCGCUCGAAGCGGCGUAGGUCUUUAAGGACCCGAAAAGACCUCUCGAACAGCGACCAGUCUCUCGCCUUAUCAUGACAGUCAGUUUUAGCUUUCUCCACUGAGGCGUUAACCCGGCUCAACCGGGGCGCAAUCGCAGUGGUUCUCCCAGUGCUGCCUUAGCCGAUAGAACGGAACGUAAGGUGCCAAACAUGGGAGCCGGGCAAACCCAACUAUUGACCCAAGACAUGAUUCGGAGCCGAUUCAUAUAAUGCUAUAAGCUCGGGGUGCCGCACUUGUGAAAGUGUUCGGACUUUAUCACACCAUAAUGCGGGGAACAUAAGCCCCUGGUGUAUUUGGCCGUACCAAAAUGUACGGAUGCAACAUGUCGUAAAUGAACAUAUAUAUAUAUAUAUAAGGUAAUGCAAUUAUGCGCAAAAAGUGUUGCAUUUUAUUCGAGAAGAUCUGCUAUGAGUGCGGAAUGAUACAAAUAGUGCGGAAAGCAAGGGAUUGGACGAAUUAAAGGCGUCUCCCUCUAGGGGUAGCCGCGGAAUGGUGUAUUUAACAAAUUUAAUGCUCGUAAUGGAGACCACCUGAGUGUUCGUUGCAGCCUUUGUCCCUCCCUGGCUGUUGCAUCAUGAGUUCGGCAGGUUCGCCGCCGAACAGAGUUCUGUAUAAAAAAGAGAAAAAUAAAAGAUAAAAAGAGCGACACACUUGGGAGCCCCUGGUGUGCUCGAAGCGCACUCUGGGUCUGUUGUGGUUGUGCCUCUCCCCCUAUGCCCAUGGUAUCUCUAGGGCGUAAUUAUGUACGUGGAGAGUUUGUCUUACAAUUGUGCAAGGGCUGGGGUUGAGGCCGCAUUACUACACGUGCUCGGAACGUGCCAGGUGGUCUUGGUUGAUGUUGCUCCGGGCGCGUUUGGUCGUGUCUGGUCGUUUAACGGCCGGACUCGAAAAUUGCCUUAAAAGGCUGCUCUGUACUUCUGCCGCGAGAGCCGCUCUAUGUUCCUCCGUUCGGAGGGAGCGUUCCGUGUUUCCAUUGACCGUGAUGACUCCACGAGGGCCUGGCAUCUUGAGCUUAAGGUAUGCAUAAUGCGGCACCACGUUGAAUUUUGCGAACGCGGUUCGUCCGAGCAGAGCGUGAUAGCCACUGCAGAACGGGACUAUGUCAAAGAUUAACUCCUCGCUUCGGAAAUUAUCCGGGGAUCCGAAGACCACUUCCAGUGUAACUGAGCCUGUACAACUGGCCUCGACACCUGGUAUGACGCCUUUGAAGAUUGUCUUUGUAGGUUUAAUCCUUGAAGGGUCUAUGCCCAUCUUGCGCACUGUAUCCUGAUAAAGCAGGUUCAGGCUACUGCCGCCGUCCAUCAGGACUCUCGUGAGGUGAAAUCCAUCAAUGAUUGGGUCUAAAACCAACGCGGCGAAUCCGCCAUGGCGGAUACUGGUCGGAUGGUCUCUUCGAUCGAAAGUGAUCGGACAAGAGGACCAUGGGUUGAAUUUUGGGGCGACUGGCUCCAUCGCGUAUACGUCCCUUAGUGCACACUUCUGCUCCCUCUUGGGUAUAUGCGUUGCGUAUAUCAUGUUUACCGUCCGAACUUGAGGGGGGAAUCCCUUUUGUCCUCUGUUGUUCGGCGGUCGGGUCUCUUCCUCGUCAUCGCUGUGUAGCCCCUUGUCAUUGUUUUCGGCGAUUAAUUUGCCUGCCUGCUUGAAUACCCAACAAUCUCUGUUGGUGUGGUUAGCUGGCUUUUCGGGGGUUCCAUGUAUUUGACAGGAGCGGUCGAGUAUUCGGUCCAGAUUGGAUGGGCCCGGAGUGGUUCUUUUAAAUGGCUUCUUCCGUUGACCGGGCUUGGAGCCUCGGAAUCCAGCGUUGACUAUCGUAUCCUCAUUGCUGUCGCCGUCAAUGCGGCGUUUGUUUUUGUUUUGACGCGACCUGCCAUUGCGGUCCUUGGUAUCCGGACUGCCAGUGUUUUUGCUGAGGUUGUUGCUGCGAGCUAGCCAGCUAUCCUCUCCCACACAGAAGCGGGUCAUGAGUGAUGUGAGGGCUGCCAUGGAUUUCGGCUUUUCCUGUCCUAGGUGCCGGGCCAGCCACUCGUCGCGGAUGUUAUGUUUAAAGGCAGCGAGGGCCUCUACAUCCGGACAGUCAACGAUUUGAUUUUUCUUUGUUAAGAACCGUGUCCAGAAUUACCUGGCUGAUUCGUCUGGCUGCUGGAUUAUGUGGCUUAGGUCAUCUGCGUCCGGUGGUCGCAUAUACGUGCCCUGGAAGUUGUCGAGGAAUGCGGCUUCCAGGUCUUCCCAGCAUCCAAUUGACUCUGCGGGCAGGCUGUUAAGCCAAUGCCGAGCUGGUCCUUUAAGCUUGAGCAGGAGAUAUUUGAUGGCGUGAAGAUCGUCGCCGCGGGCCAUAUGUAUAUGGAGGAGGUAAUCCUCAAUCCAAACCGCGGGGUCUGUUGUGCCAUCGUAGGAUUCGAUAUUAACGGGUUUAAACCCUUCAGGGAUUUGAUGAUCCAUUACUUCAUCAGUGAAGCAUAGUGGGUGUGCGGCGCCUCUGUAUUGAGCAAUAUCGCGACGUAGCUCGAUAGAGCGUUGUUUGUUGUGUUCGGCCCGGCCGGAGUAGUUGUAUCCGGCGCGACGGUGUUCGUCGUGGGUCUUGGGGCGCCCACGUGAUCCAUAGAUAGAUCUGGAUUGUCUUGCCUUGUCCUCCAAUAUAUCCCGCAAGUCCGGCGCGUUCCCCCGUGGCUUCAUGCUUUUUGAGCGAUGCCGGGGUACGGUUUUGGUGGAGGGCUUGCAUGCCUCUCUGUCGCGUCCACGAGGUGGUCGGUCUGCCGUAUUGUGCACUGGUGAUGCAGGUUUGUAUGCUUCCUCCUCUAGUCGGGGGAGCAACUUGCGUUUUGGGUAACUUUUGGAGGGGCGUUCGAGUUCAUACUCUUCGGCCGCGAGGACCUCGGUCCAUCUAUCGGCCAGUAGGUCUUGAUCAGCUUGAAGCUGUUGCUGCUUUUUCUUUAGGCUGUUUGCCGUGGUCAUUAGCCUGCGUCUGAAACGCUCUUGUUCGACGGGAUCCUCAGGCACGACGAAUUCGUCAUCGUCGAGGCUUGCCUCGUCUCCGGAGGGAGGUAAGUAAUUAUCAUCCUCGACCUCUUCGUCUGCCGCCCUCUCGUGAGGGCUUGCUUCUGCCUCCUCCUGCCCUAGAUCGUGCUGGAGGGGGUUGUCUUCGGCACUUUCUGGGGUGUUAUUAUCUCCUGUGCCGGAAUCUCCAUUCUUGCUGUGGCGGGAUUUAGAGCGGCGCUGCUGACGUCGGCGCUUGGGCUGUUUCUUUAAGGAAUCGGCCUCUAUUGCUUCUUCGUCGUCCCCAUCUUUUGGGGUGUCCACCAUGGAUACGUCGUAUGACGAGGUGGUCUUCCAGUGUCCUGUAGGUACUGGUUCUUGAUAGUCUCCGGCAUCGUCGUCCAUACCGUCGAUGUCUUCGGAGUCGUAGUCGAGUACGUCGGUUAGAUCGUCGACGGUGGCUACGAAGUGGGUGGUGGGUGGGCUCUGAAUUUCUUCGUCGUCCGCGUCCCAACAAUCCUGGCCGUAGUUCGGCCAGGGCUCUCCGGAUAGCGAGAGAUGCUUCAGCGAAUUUAAGAUAUUGCCGAAGGGUGAGUGCUGAAAGAUGUCCGCAGCGGUGAAUUCCAUGAUCGGCGCCCAAUCAGAUUCGACUGGCAGGGGCGCAGGAGGUUCGGAGUCCGGCAGAGAGUCCGGCACCUCGAAGUCAUGGGCUUUAUGCGGGACAAGGUAAGUGUUCGGCUCCAUCGCCGUAGAAGUUGCGUCUCCCGAGGCGGUGUCCAGCCAUCCGUCCUCGAUCUGAGCGAUCGGCUCCAGACUAUGGGUCGGAGCCGAUUCGUGUGCGGCCUCUAAGGUGCUAUCCGGCGGCAGAGUUAGGUCGUGCCCAUCAUGACAGCGCGGCAUGCUCGGCUGUGGCUCAGAUCCAUCGAAGAUCAAGUCCCCGCGGAUAUCGGUCGUGAAGUUUAGGCUUCCAAACCUGACCUGACGGCCAGGGGCGUAGCUUUCGAUCUGCUCCAGAUGGCCAAGUGAGUUGGCCCGCAGUGCGAAGCCGCCGAAUACGAAGAUCUGUCCGGGGAGAAAAGUCUCACCCAGGACUGCGUCGUUGUCGAUUGAAGAGGCCAUCAAGCCUAUCAGUGACGACACAGAGGAACUCUCAAUCAAAGCACCAAUGUCGGUGUCAAAACCGGCGGAUCUCGGGUAGGGGGUCCCGAACUGUGCGUCUAGGCGGAUGGUAACAGGAGACAAGGGACAUGAUGUUUUACCCAGGUUCGGGCCCUCUUGAAGGAGGUAAAACCCUACGUCCUGCUUGAUUGAUAUUGAUAUUGUGGAUGUUUACAAGAGUGGAUCUACCACGAGAUCAAGGAGGCUAAACCCUAGAAGCUAGCCUAUGGUAUGAUUGUAAUGGUUGUUGUUGUUGUUGUUGUGUCCUACGGACUAGAGCCAUCCGGUUUAUAUAGACACCGAAGAGGGCUAGGGUUACAUAGAGUUGGUUACAAUGGUAGGAGAUCUACGUAUCCGUAUCGCCAAGCUUGCCUUCCACGCCAAGGAAAGUCCCAUCCGGACACGGGACGAAGUCUUCAAUCUUGUAUCUUCAUAGUCUUGGAGUCCGGUCGAUGAUGAUAGUCCGGCCGAUGAUAGUUCGGCUGAUGAUGGUAGUCCGGCUAUCCGGACACCCCCUAAUCCAGGACUCCCUCAAACACCAUGAUGAACUUAUCCAAAACUCCAUAAACACCUUGUUCAUCAUGUCCAUGAAAUAGGCAGGCGCAUUAGUCAGACCAAAUGACAUAACGGUAUACUCAUAUAGCCCGUACCUUGUGGUAAAAGUUGUCUUAGGUAUAUCCCACUCUCGAAUCUUCGGUUGAUGGUAUCCUGAUCGCAGAUCGAUCUUGGAAAAUACUUUAGCUCCUUGCAACUGGUCAAACAAAUCAUUGAUAAUCGGCAGUGGGUGCUUAUUCUUGAUUGUCAUCUCAUUCAACGCAUGAUAAUCAACAACCAUCCUCAAUGAUCCAUCCUUCUUCUCCACUAGAAGUACUGGGGCUCCCCAAGGUGAAGAACUUGGUCAAAUGUAACCCUUAUCCAGUAACUCCUUAAUCUGCUUCUUAAUUUCCUCCAAAUCCUGUGCGGGCAUCCGGUACGGUCUCUUUGAUAUUGUCCGGUGUCUGGCAAAAGCUCAAUCAAAAACUCAAUGUCUCUAUCUGGUGGUAUGCCUGGCAACUCCUCUGGAAAUACGUCAGGGAAAUCCUUCACCACUGGUACUUCCUCCUGUACAACUCCUAAUAAGGAAUUUAGUUGAGUCCUCUUUGGCACAUGCCGGGAUACAUACUUGAUCAUUUUUCCUUCUAGGGUGGUGAGCAUAAUCGACUUACUGGCGAAAUCGAUGUUUCUCCAUACAUCGAUAGCCAAUCCAUACCCAAAAUCACAUCCAACCCUUGUGACUCCAGAAUUAUUAGAUCCGAGGGUAAAAUAUGCCUACCUAUGGUCAAUGGCAUCUGAAAACAUCCUUGGCUUGCCAUAUGCUCUACUCCUGGCGAGCUUACUAACAUAGGUGUCCUAAGAACUUUGGUGGGCAACUUAUACUUAUCCACAAAUCCCCUUGAUAUGUAUGAAUGCGAUGCACCAGUAUCAAAAAGAACGAUUGCAGUAAAGGACUUAACCAAAAACUUACCUAUAACUGCAUCUGGCUGCUCUUCAACCUCCUCCACACCAACGUGGUUCACUUGUCCCCUGUUGAAAGGGUUGGGCUUCUUCCCAGAGCUUCCAUUGCCAUUUCCAUUCUUUGUUUCAGAACACUCAGUGACGUAAUGUCCAUUCUUCCCGCCUUUGAAACAAGUAAUGUGGCUUAGAUCCUUCUUGGCAGGCGUUGUUGGGUUGGAAUGGUUCUGGCCGUUGCUUCCUCCAUUCCCAUUCCCAUUCUUGGGGCCACUAUGGUUCUAGGAACUUCCUCCAUUAGAAUUAUGGCCUCCAUGGUUAUGGUGAAUGUGUCCUCCCGAGUUCGGGGUAAAACGAGGCCUCUGCUGAGCUCCUGCAUUGUACUUCCAUUGUCCAUACUUCCUCUUGCGGCUAUCUAUCUGCUGCUGCUUCCCUUCAAUCAUGAGAUCUCUAUCUACCAACUCCUGGUAGUUGUUGAAUGUUGCCACCAUCAACUGCAUGCUCAGCUCAUCAUUCAGUUCCUCUAGAAACUUCUCCUGCUUAGUAGCAUCUGUAGCUACAUCAUCAGGGGCAUAACGUGCUAACUUACUAAACUCAUCCACAUACAGGCCCACUGUGCGUCCCCCUUGGUGCAAGUUGCGAAACUCGCGCUUCUUCAUGUUCAUAGCUCCUGCUAAAACAUGGGAAGUGCGGAAACCCUGCUGAAACUGAUCCCAUGUAACAGUGUCAAUGGGGUAAGUGGCUGUGAAAUUCUCCCACCAUGAUGUUGUGGGUCCAUCAAGCUGAUGUGCAGCAAAACGCACUCUCUCCACAUGUGUGUAUCCUGCAGUGGUCAGCUCCCUUCCAAUCUUGCGGAGCCCAUCAUCUGUGACAAUCGGCUCGGUGCUACUAGAGAACACCGGCAGAUUCAGCCUUAGGAAACGGGCUAAGUGAUCAAUAGGUGGUGGUGGUGGUGGGUUGUUGUUGUUGUUGCCUUGAUUCUAAUUCUGAACUAGUAGCUGCAUCAAGGUAUUCUGCUGCUGGAUCAACUGAGUGAGCUCCGGUGGGAAGGCAAAUCCAUUGUCACGUCUCGGAGGCAUCUGAUGGGUUUAGAAAAGAUGAGAAAAUAGAAUAGAACGGGGUCUAAAAGGGAAAACACUACCCAUAUGCACAUGAGACAAAAACAAACAGAUCACACCAAUAAACUCAAACAAGGGCAUACAAUCGGUCUAACUAUCGUUACAAAAGUUCUCAGACUAUACCAUAUACAUGGGGAAAUACUACUACUGAUAUGGUGGUUGACUGGAAGUUUUGAUCGGUAGAAGACUCCAUGAUAUCCGCUCCAGCUUCAUCAACAUAGUCAUCAUCGCUUGCAUCAGGGUCAGAAUCGGUGUUGUCGAUGAUGAUGUAGUCCUUUGAACGAAUUUCCUUGGAAUGGUCAUCAUCUCCUCCUGGCGCGGGGUUUCCCAUGAACACUCCUACCUUCCUUGUCAGGUUGUCAUUCUUCUCCACUAGUAUCGUCAUUUCCUCCUCAUAUCCAUCGCGUGUAGAAUGAGUUCCUCUUCUAUCUCUGUAAUCUUGGUCAUUGCCUUCUUCAGAUCUAUCAUGCUUGCGCACAUCUGGUUCUUCUAGCGGCAAAUGUGCUGGAUUAACUCCUGGAUGGAAGCUGCAAUGGACCUGUCCCUCCUGGUGUUGAUCAUCUCCCAUUUCUCAUCUCGGCACCCACAUAUCUAGUAGAUAGCGUCCUUAAGAUCCAAAUUGGAGGGAGGGCAAAAUUGGUGGCGUGAGUUUUUGAUCUGGAAAAAGGAGUGUGACGCGGAGUGGAUCCUUGUCAGCCCCUCAAAGCGGUGUGCCACGCUCGGUAUGUUGGCCAUACAUAAGCCUCGUGUCAAGUCUGCGAUCAGAUCUGGUAAUUCAUCUCGCAAAAGGCUUUCUUUCGCUACAUUUCAGAACUAUGAUGCAUGUAAGGGUUAUUGUUAUCCUGCUACUCAGAAUUGCAUUGAAUUAGCUGCUAUCUCCGGUUAUGAUUUACCCCGAAGGAACGUGUUGUCAUUCACCCCCCGCCGCCGGUGGAGCUUUAGUGGACGGUUGCCUCGCCGUCGAUCACUUUUGGCAUGGUCGUUCCCAUACGAUCGUCUUUUUCGGAACCACUCGCUCCAUCCCCGGCGAGAUCUUCAGGCGGGGAAGAUCUUGUUUUGAAUGAUGCCAUGUUGGGCUCUCAUGCCAUGUUGGGCUCUUCGGACUCGGUGAUCACUGGUCCAUCGCUCGCAUGCCUCCCCAAGCCUAGUUUUCCUCCUUCAGUUGCCAGCCCAGUUGCAACUGAGCCCACUCCUGCUGCUCAUUCACCUGUUGGGCCUGCUAGUCCUAUUCCGUGGGAUAUUCCAUCUACAUAAGAGGCCAAUGAUGCUUUCGAGACCAUGGUCAAUGACAUGGUGGACCAAGUGCUUACGUGUUCUCGCUACUCUAUGGGGGGCCACCUAUUUGUCAACUGCUCGGUCCCCGUUGGAUGUUUGGCCUGUGGGGAUCUUGGUCAUUCUAGGAAGGACUGCGAGUUUAUUGCGAUAGAAAAAGGUUUAUGUUGGAAACAGAAGCGUCCUGAUAUCUCGGAUAGGCCGGUCUCUCCCUCCUGCAUUGGGAAGCACGCGCUGCCGCCACCCUUGCUGUCCUGCCCCAUCACAUCACCAUUAUCCCCGGCGACCUGCGCUCCACGCACACCGGCUAGCUCGCCUCCACCGACGCCUCCGCUUCCUUCCUCCCCCCCACCCAUGGCCAACUUUGCCAUUGAUCCGAUGCGCUAUGUGCCUGUGGGGCAUCACAUCAUCGAUGGAGGUGUUCAUCGUCUUCCUCGUACCUUCGUCUUGCCUCCGUCGCCCGUGGUUCGUUCUCAUGAACGCGUUUUAAUUGCGGAGGUUAUGCCGGCUCCGCCUCUGGAUCAGAUGGGACAGGUACGUGAGCAGGUGGUUGAGCUUGUUAACCACAUGGGUUUUCAUGUCCGUUCAGCUCAGCCAUGGAUUUCGGGUGUUGGUUUAUUUGAGGUCAGAGAUGCUGGGAGAGUUUUGCUUUGGUUCAGAUGCCUCCUCAAGAUCUUGGUCAGGAUCGUUUUGUUCGUUUUAUGAGAUACGAUCAUGGUGAGGUUUUUUGUGGGGUUCAAGGUUUUUGUCAGGGCUGCCUAAUGUUUUUGGGCGUCCCUCUUGAUCUGUGUAAUGAGGAGAACUUAAGGGCUGCUGUCAAUACUUUUGGAAAAUUCCAUCACUGGAUUAGUGACGAUCCGUAUCUUGUUAGAUCUAUCGUUUUUGCUUCUUUUCCUGAGGACAUCUUAGUUCCCAGGGAUGUGGUGUUCUCUGACUAUGCUGAUUGGGGAGGUGCAAAAGUAUCUUGGACUGCACCUUGCUAUAUACUUGGCGCUAAUUUUGCGGAGCAAAUGCCGCAAGAUGAAGAUCCCAUGCCGAUUGAUGGAAACCCUCACCCCUUGCCUGGGCACUUGAUCCAUGAAGACAACAUUUUUGCUCUGCCACCUUACCCUGCGCUUGGAUGGAAUGAUGUGUCGCCGCCCCCGCCUCCUAUGGAUGUUAAUCAGGGGGGUGGAUGGGGAUGGAAUGACAAUGUCCAAGCUCCAGCAGAUGAUCCAGUUAUUGCAGUUGUUCCUGAUCAGGAGUCUAUUGUCAUAAACCAGCAAGAUUUUUCUGGCUCUGUUAAUCAGUCUGACAGCCCUAUUCAGCUUGCUCCGCCUGUGCUCGUACAUUUGGAUGCUGAUGCAGUUGAGAAUGAUCCCCCUGCUGUGGUAGCCGAGCCUGUGUAGUUGCCCCCAGUGAUUGCUCCAUUCAAUGCUGGGGAUUCGGUGCCAGGCUUGGUUGUGGCUGAUCCUGGUAUUGAUUUUCAGCCUCCUGAUGCUUUUUUGGGAAAUGACCUUCAGAAUGUUGCUCUGCAUGACGACCCUGAUGCUUGGGCCAUUGUGCCAUAUCAGCAGCCUACAGUGCCCCAGCAGAAUCUUAUUGUUGGGCGUUUGAAUGUGGUGUACGGUCCACCUUUGCCGCCGGAGAUGGCAUGGAGAAGGACUUUUGAUACCCUUUUGGGUCGCUGCUCUGCUCUGCAUGUUCCAAAGCAUGUUUUUCAGGCUUCGUUUCAGCCUCUGAUUCUUUCUAAGAGAUCUUGGUCGUUGGCUUUUGAGAAGGUUAGCUGGGUUUCGAAAUUAAUUCCUGAUGAUUCUGCUAGCAUGGUUGUCCCACUGUCAACUGCUUCGCCUCCCAGAGGGCCUUCUCGUGCUCUGUUCGCCGACAGUUCUCAGGAGUUGGAGCUGGGCCCUGGUUUGCAGCCUGUUCCUGCUUCUGAGGAGCAGUUCUCUUUCUCUGCUCCUGCCCCGAAGACGAAGAGAGUGGCCAAACGUGGUCGUGCUCCCAUUGUCGACUCCGACCUACGCCGUUGCACUCGUAGCUCUGCAAAGAGGGAUGGUUUUAAGCCUGUGUUGCAAGCCCUGCCAAUGACGGAGCCCAAGAAGAAGAAGCCCCGCUCCAAACCCCUAGCGGAUGAUGAUCAUGUUCCUAGGUUGACUCCAGUGCCGCCUCCAACACCAAUUCUUCAUAUUCAGCAAAUUGGAGCAGACCUGGGUAUUGCUACUGAAAAGCUUAUUGUGGAUGCUCUUAUGGCGGAUCCUUCCUCUGCUAAGGGUAAUACUUCUGAUGUUUAGUCUGGGUUAUGAAUGUGGGGUGUGGUCGACCCAUAACCAGGCUCUUUAUCAUAGGCUUAUUUCAUAUCUCUUUUGUUGGGGAUUUGUUGAUGAUUGUUGUCAGGGCAUGUUUAUUUUGUUUGGCUUUGUCGCCAGGUUGAACUAUUGUCUGUGCUGCCCGCUACGCGGGCAUGCUUUUAAAGCAUGUAAACAAUAUGUUUUAUGGAUUCUCGAUCUACUAGAAGUUGGUGUGUAAUGUGUUGGAACGUUUGGGGUCUUAAUUCUGACGAUCGCCAACGUGCUGUUCGCAAUAAGGUGGAUGAAAGCAUGGCUUAUGUUGUCUGUCUACAAGAGACGAAAAUGGAGUGCAUUGAUUCCAUGAUUGUCCGAAAAUUUUGCCCCAGACGUUUUGAUUCGUUUGCUUUCAGUCCUUUGGUUGGGGCCUCGAGUGGCAUUGCUGUGUUGUGGAACUCCUUUGUUCUAUCUGGUCGCUUAAUUGAGGUUAAGCAUUUUGGUAUUGUUGUACAAUUCACUUCCAAGCAUAAUAAUGAAACUUGGACGUUGGUCAAUGUUUAUGGGCCGUGCAGAGGCCAAGCUAGGGAUGAUUUUGUGGACUGGCUCUACCAUCUUUCUAUCCCUGACGCUGCUAAUUGGCUGGUCCUGGGGGAUUUUAAUUUUAUUAGAUCAACUGAAAACAGAAACCUUCCUGGUGGUGAUGCUAAUGAUAUAUUUAUCUUUAAUGAAAUUAUUGUGCAUCUUGGUCUGCUGGAAUUACCUAUUAAGGGAAGAUCUUUCACUUGGUCAAAUAUGCAAGAUAAUCCUCUCCUUGAGCAGCUGGACUAGUUUUUUCCUUCUGCAAAUUGGAUCUCCUGUUACCCUUCCACUCAAGUAUUGCCACUUGCAAGGACUGCUUCGGAUCAUGUGCCAUGUGUGGUGGCUAUCAACACCUCUAUUCCAAAAUGUAAUAUCUUUCGUUUUGACAAUUAUUGGGUGGAGUUACAGGGUUUUCUUGAUUGUGUGUCUGCUUCUUGGUCUUCUACUUCAAAUAAAGCACACAUUUCUGCAAAUAUUGCUGCUAAGUUCAAAUCCUUGAGGAGAGAUCUUAAGAGUUGGCAUAUGAAUGUCUCCCAAAUGAAGAUUUUAAUUGCUAAAUGCAACAGAGUGGUUCUCAUUUUGGAUUGCUUGGAGGAGUUGGGGCCCCUAUUCAAGCAUGAGUUCAACUUCAGAAAUCUUGUCAAGCUGCAUCUGGAGCAUCUCUUACACCUACAGUACCUCUAUUGGAGGAAGAGGUGUACUGUUAGAUCCAUUAAAGUGGGUGAGGAGAACACUAAAUUUUUUCAUGCUCUAGCCUAUGAAAGAUAUAAGCAUAAUUCCAUUGCUUCAUUAAGGUUGGAGGAUGGUUCUGUGGUGUCUGAUCAUGAGCAAAUGGCUGCUGCUCUUUGGCUUAAUUUCAAAAAUAGAAUGGGCACUAGUCAUGGGAUUGAAAUGUGUUUUGAUCUCUCCUCUAUUCUGGUUAGGGUGGAGGGUCUGGAUUCCUUGACCAACCCUUUCUCGAAGGAGGAAAUGGAUAACACUGUUAAGAACAUGCCUAUUGAAAAGUCACCUGGCCCUGAUGGAUUUAAUGGCUUGUUCUUCAAAAAGUGUUGGCACAUAAUCAGUAAGGACUUUUAUGCUUUGGCUUCUGCUUUUCAUGAAGGGACUGCUACUCUUGAGAAUAUCAACUAUUCAUACAUCACCCUGGUCCCCAAGAAGAGGUCUCCUGAAUCUGUUAAUGACUUUAGACCUAUCUCUCUUACUGGUAUGGGGGUUAAGUUUCUUUCUAAGAUGGCUGCUAACAGGUUACAGUUGGAUAUCAUGAGAUGUUUGCACAAAAACCUAUAUGGUUUUAUCAAGUCAAGAACAAUUCAGGACUGUGUGGCUUGGAUACUUGAAUACUUGAAUCAAUGCCACCAGUCUAAAAGGCCUAUUGUUAUUCUGAAGUUGGACUUUGAGAAAGCUUUUGAUUCUAUUGAGCAUGAGUCUAUUUUUCAGAUUUUGAGGCACAAAGGUUUCAAUGAGAAAUGGAUUUCCUGGGUUAAGCAAUUCCUUGCUUCUGGUACUUCUUCUGUUCUGCUUAAUGGAGUACCUGGUAAGCAAUUUACCUGCAAAAAAGGUGUUAGGCAGGGUGAUCCUCUCUCCCCACUCCUGUUUGCAAUUGCUGCUGAUUUGUUGCAAUUAGUUGUGAAUGAUAUGUUUCAUAAAGGACUUUUGGAGCUUCCCAUUCCCUGUCAUGACAAGGACUACCCCAUUAUUCAGUAUGCUGAUGACACCCUAAUUAUCUUGCCUGCUGAGGAAUCUCAAUUGGUUGCUUUGAAGAAGAUGUUACUUCUGUUCUCCAAGUCCACUGGGUUGCAUGUCAACUAUCAUAAGUCUUCUAUGCUACCUAUCAAUGUAGAUUCAGUGGAGAUUGCUAGGCUGGCUUCAGUUUUUGGUUGUGUGGUUGGCACUCUGCCUUUUACCUAUCUUGGGCUGCCUAUGGGAAUCAACAAACCCAAGAUUCUGGACUUAAUGACUUUGGUGGAUAGCAUGGAGAGGAAACUUUCUGUAAGCUCUUCCUUCCUUGCACAUGGAGGAAGGCUUCAGUAUUUGAUUUCGGCCCUCUCUUCUGUUCCUAUUGUUUUCCUCUGCAGUCUGGACCUGCCUCCUGGUAUCUUAAAGCAAUUAGAGAGAAUUCAGAGGUAGUGCCUUUGGAGAAAGUAUGGACAGGAGUCUGGUCAGUCUUUGGCUGCUUGGAGUUUGGUUUGCAGGCCAAAGAAUAAAGGUGGGCUGGGUAUUUUGAAUUUGAGGUUGCAGAAUGAAGCUUUACUUCUCAAACAUGUUAGUAAGUUCUACAAUAAAGUUGAUAUCCCCUGGGUUCAUUUGAUCUGGAAUACCUACUAUCAUGGGAGAGUCCCUCAUGCCACAAUCAUUUGUGGUUCCUUCUGGUGGAGGGAUAUUUGCAAGUUAAUGGAUAAGUUCAGGCUGGUCUGUGCUGUGCAUGUUCAUAAGGGUGACACGGUCCUGUUUUGGUCUGAUUCUUGGUCUUUGGGGGACUCCAGUGUCCCACUUGAUCAAAGAUUUGCAAGACUAUUCUCCUUUGCCAUUGACCCUCUUAUUUCUGCUGUUGAGGUUUUUGACAUGUCUGAGCUCACUUCACUAUUUCAUUUACCCCUCUCAGAGAGAGCUUUUGGUGAGUUACAGACUUUGCAAUCCUUGCUUGAAAAUUCCAGUCACAACCACCAGCUGAAUGAUGUUUGGGUUUGGAAAGAGGAUGGAAAGGAUUAUUCUGCCAAGAAAUAUUAUUCUUUCCUGCAUAAGCAUAUAGUGUCCAACCCAAUUCUGUCCUGGAUUUGGGCUAGUUGUUGCACCUUGAGGAUCAAGUUCUUUGCUUGGAUGUUGGUCAUGGAUCGGUUGAAUACCCAGGAUAUGCUGGAGAGAAGGCACUGGAAUGUUUCUGACUCAAAUUGGUGUGUGUUGUGUCCCACACACACCAAGGAGGACAGGGAUCACCUUUUCUUUCAGUGUAACUUUAGUUGCAGGGUCUGGAAUUAUCUUCAAAUCAGCUGGCCUGCUGGAGAUGACAUGAUUGCCAUUGCUUAUCAAGCAGAAGGGAUUUUGCAAGGCCUUUCUUCUCUGAAGUUGUUUUUCUAGCUUGCUGGAAUAUCUGGAAUGUUAGAAAUGACAGGGUUUUCAGGAAUAUCAAACCAUCUUUUCGUAGGUGGAGAUCUUCUUUCAUUUUGGACAUUUCUCUUUUAGUUCAUAGGAUUAAACCUAAGUUCAAAGAUGAUCUGAUUAGAUGGAUCUCUCUUUUGCCUCCUUGAGGUUAGUUUUUCUCCUUUGCCUUUUCUCUUUUAGGGUCUCUCUGACCUUGUAAUUACUGCACAUAUGUAUUUUUGUUUGGCAGUAAAAAAAUUGCUGUGGGGCCUAAGCCCUACAGUUUCAGGUCAAAAAAAAACUCCAACGGCAUAGCUGAGUGAAAGACCACGACCUAUGGCACGUUACUCGUCGUCUGAAAAGUCUGCAACAUGAUAUGUUGCAGCCCGAAACGGGUCAGCACAUGGAAUAUGUUGGCAAUGUAACACAUAGAGUAAUGAAUAGAAUAAAUGCUAUCACUACAUGCAAUAUGGCUGGUGGAAUGCUCUAUGGUUACAAUUUUGCAUAAAGCCAAUUUUUCCCUACAACAAAGGAACAAAUUUAUUUAACUAUCAUGGUAGUUGUUAAACAUUGAGAAGGUUCCUCCAACUCAAUCCCAAUUAAGCAUCAUCAUUAAACCCAAUCAAAUUAAUUACUUUAGAGUGAUGAGAUCAACAUGAAAAUCCAAGAACCAGAUACUCAAGAUGUCCAUAACCGGGGACACGGCUAACCAUUAUUAGUUUGUACACUCUGCAAAGGUUUGCACACUUUUCCCCACAAGACUCGAUCUCCUCCGUUAGAUUUCUCGCACUACAUGGUGUUUGAGAAAUGGAUGACCGAGACACAGUCUUUCAGGAACAAUAAAUCUUUACUCUAGAUGGACAGUUACACCUACUUUCCCCUACAUCUGCUAGCCCACCACUGAAAGAGGUCUUGCAACUUAAUCAACUAUGCUAGAGCCCAUAAUAGCUUGUGGCUGCACAUGAAAGUUUCUAGCAUUAAUAAUCUUAUGAUCCCUUUGAGCCUGGGUGGCGGACCUUAGGAUGAUCACACGGAACCCCGGGAUAUCCUAGGACAACACUGGAUUCUCCAGGUGCCACAAGCAAUCCACCCAGAUGUGUAUUUAAGUAGCCACCUUAAGUUAACCAUUAAUUAACAAUACUCUCAUCUGUCAUGGAUACACUCACCCAAACCACGUCUACGAGCAUAGCAUAGCAAUAUAAUCAUAACGUAGAUGUAACUCCCAAAGGUUUGAUAAUAAAAAGGGCAAUAGGUUCUAUCUCAUCAUCUACUUCCCAAAACCCACAUAUUAAUCAGAUCCUAACCAUGCAAUGUUUGAGGGUUGAUCUAAUGCAACAAAAACUGGUAGUAAAGGGAUAUGAUCAAAGUGUUACUUGCCUUGCUGGUGAUCUGCAAAACUUAGAGACUCGAAGUAGCAUGCUUCACACUCCGGGUACUCUAUCGCAACAAACAAUAACAUACAUAAGCACUCAACUAGAAGCACGGGUAAAACUCAAGAAAAGAAGAUCUAACCAGAAAUUUGAACUUAAGAACUCCAGUUUGCAAAAAGAAUCAACUCAAACGAAGCAACGAAACUCAAACUGCGAAAGAAACAAGAUCUGUUUACUAAUCUGGACUAAAGUCAAAUUUUACAGUACCAAAAUCUUGUUCAAGUUGGUUAAGCAGAAAAAGGGCUUUGAAACAAAGAUCUAGGCGCUUGAAUCGCCUAAUUCUGACAAACGAGCGAAAAGAUAAACUAAAACGAAGACCAGGGCAGAAAUCGCGAUCGAGAAUAAUCGCGGAAAAACCCUGGAAAAAGAAAAUUGACGAACAGGCUAACAAACAAACGUUCGCUGUCUGCGGCUAACGGGUGAACACCGUUCAUUAAAAUGAACGUACGGACGAACGUCCACUAAAUAACUAAACCGAAAAAACAAACCGAUCUAUUAAAAAACAGAUCUAGGUUUCUAAAAAACCAAAUGUUUUUUAAAAAAAAACUGAAAUGGCGGCGACAGCGACAUCUACCUUCGGCGAGGGUCGGCGGGGCGGGGCGGCGCGGGGCUUCGGUGGCGGGGCGUCAGGUGCGGCGGCGAGAGGCGACGACGGCGGCGGCGGGCGACUCACUGCGCGGCGGUGGCGACUUGCGGCGACAGCGGCGUUGGGUGUGGGCGGCGGUGGCUGGCGAGGCGAGAGGUGGCGGGGGCGGGCGGCUUUUAAGGGGGGUCGGGGUGGAGGCCGUCUUGGGGAAGGGGCCGGCCAGCGGUGGCUCCGAGCCGGACUCCGAGAGGAGUCCGCCGCGAGCACGGCGGGAAAAGCGGCAGCGCUUGGCGGGCCGGCCUGCUUGGCUGGGCUUCGGCCCAGACGGGCGGGAAACUCUUUUUUUUCUAAAAUAAAUAAUUCCACCAAACACAAAAAAAUCAUAAAACUCUAAAAAAAACCUAAAAAUGCCAGAAACAAUUUUCACCAUCUAAAUAAAAUAUUUAGCACAAAGUGAACAUUUUUCUGGCCGAAAAUGCAAAUUUUGAAAAUGUGCAAUUUUUCUAUCUCAAAUAAAAUAGCAAUAAAAGUCCAAAUAAAAUAAUUAUUUGAUUUUAACAUUUUUCCUCCUAUAUUUCUUUUAUUUUGGAGAAGUCAUUUUAUCCCCUCUCUUUUAUUUUAAUAUUUGAAAUAUUCAGAGACAAAAAUGCUUAAAACCAAAAUGAUCCUCUUUUCAAUAUUUGAGAAAAUUCAAAUAUGAAAAUAAAUGAGAUCCCCAACUCUCUCCGUGGAUCCUUGAGUUGCUUAGAAUUUCUAGGAUCGACCAAAAUGCAAUAAAAUAUGAUAUGCAUAUGAUGACUUAUCUAUAACACUCCAAAUUGAAAAUUUGGGAUGUUACAACCCAGUACUCGAAGCAAAGUAAAUUUCCUUGUAUGUAUUGACUCUACCGCCACUUUGGUUUUUUGCUUGUGUGGGUGUUGAUUUGCUUCAUGUUGUUGGAUUUUGAAGAUUUCUCUUCUCUAGCCAGGAAGCUAAGGGGGGAAGCUAGGGAUUUCUGGAAGAACCUCCAUGCCCGAUUCAUUCCUCUUUGUCCCAACAUAUACAAUUUACAUUUACAUUUUAACCCCUCUCACUUUCCUAUUUGCAACUAACUUCUCACAACACUCCCCCUCAAGAUGGGGUGAAAAUGUCUAAGAGCCACAUCUUGCCACACAACUUAAAGAAGGAUACAACACUCACGCCCUUUGUUAAUACAUCAGCAAGUUGGUCUCUAGCUUUAAGAAAACCUACUUGAAGUACUCCCGCAUCAAGUUUAUCCUUAAUGUCUAUCAAUUUCGAUUUGUUUUGUUCUAUCAUGCUGAACCGGAUUGUUGACAAUGUUGAUUGCGGCUUGAUUAUCACAAUGGAGCCUGAGUGGUCCUCCUUUAAACAACUAAAGUUUAGUUAAUAGUAAUCGAAGCCAUAACAACUCACAUAGCCAUGAAGCCAUGGAGCGCAGCUCUGCUUCUACCGUGGAUUUGGUGACAACACUUUGCUUCUUACUCCUCCAACUGACUAAAUUUCCUCCUAAGAAGAUCCAAUAACCUGAAGUGGAUAUCCUGUCAUCCAAGCACCCAGCCCAAUCAACGUCUGUGUAUCCCUCAAAUUCUAGAUGCCCAUGGUUGGAAAGGAUAAUUCCUUUUCCAGGAUAACCUUUGAGAUACUGCAGAAUUCUAUUUACUGCAUCUAGAUGACCUGAUCGAGGAUCAUGCAUAUAUCUACUCACCAGGCUUACGACAUAUGCAAUGUCUGGUCUAGUAUGGGAUAGAUAAAUUAAAUGUCCCACAAGUCUCCGGUAUCUCCCCCUAUCAAUAGGUUCUCCUAAAUUGGCUGUAAUACAAAGGUUUGGCUCAAUAGUUGUGGCAGGUGGUUUACUUUCAAGCAUCCUAGUUUCAGCGAGAAGAGCAAGCACAUAUUUUCUUUGAGAGAGAUAGAUACCUUGAGAUCGAUAAGCCACUUCUAUUCCUAGGAAGAAGUGGAGGAAGCCAAGGUCUUUGACUUCAAAUGACCUCGCCAAUAUUUUCUUCAGGUUCUUUAUCUCCACGUCGUCAUUCCCUGUGAUCAUAAUGUCAUCAACAUAUACAACCAAUAUGACAAUUUUAUUUUCAUGGUGCUUAAAGAAAAGGGUAUGGUCAGCAUUGCUUUGUCAAAAACUCAAAGUGCAGACUUCCUUGCAAAAUCUCCCAAACCAAGCGCUAGGUGGCUAUUUAAUUCCAUAAAGUGAUUUCUGCAAUCUACACAAUUUACCCAUUGUCCCAGGCCCACUGAACCCUGGUGGAAUCUCUAUAUAAACUUAUUCUUUCAAAUCUCCAUGAAGAAAUGCAUCCCUCACAUCUAGAUGAAACAACUUCCACUUGUUAUUUGCUGCUACCGAGAUCGUCACCUCAUUCAACGCACGAUAAUCAACAACCAUCCUCAAUGAUCCAUCCUUCUUCUCCACUAGAAGUACUGGGGCUCCCCAAGGUGAUGAACUUGGUUGAAUGUAACCCUUAUCUAGUAACUCCUUAAUCUGCUUCUUAAUUUCCUCCAAAUCCUGUGUGGGCAUCCGGUACGAUCUCUUUGAUAUUGGCCCGGUGCCUGGCAAAAGCUCAAUCAAAAACUCAAUGUCUCUAUCCGGUGGCAUGCCUGGCAACUCCUUUGGAAAUACGUCAGGGAAAUCCUUCACCAUUGGUACUUCCUCCUGUACAACUCGUGAUAAGGAAUUUUGUUGAGUCCCCUUCGUCACAUGCCGGGAUACAUACUUGAUGCUUCUUCCUUCUGGGGUGGUGAGCAUAAUCGACUUACUGGCGCAAUUGAUGUUUCCUCCAUACAUCGAUAGCCAAUCCAUACCCAAAAUCACAUCCAACCCGUGUGACUCCAAAAUUAUCAGAUCCGAGGGGAAAACAUGCCUACCUAUGGUCAAUGGCAUUUGAAAACAUCCUUGGCUUGCCAUAUGAUCCGCUCCUGGCGAGCUUACUAAUAUAGGUGUCCUGAGAACUUUGGUGGGCAACUUAUACUUAUCUACAAACCCCCUUGAUAUGUAUGAAUGUGAUGCACCAGUAUCAAAAAGAAUGAUUGUAGUAAAUGACUUAACCAAAAACUUACCUAUAACUGCAUCUGGCUGCUAUUCAACCUCCUCCACGCUAACGUGGUUCACUUGUCCCCUGUUGAAAGGGUUGGGCUUCUUCCCAGAGCUUCCAUUGCCAUUUCCAUUCUUUGUUUCAGAACACUCAGUGGCGGUCCAUUCUUCCCGCAUUUGAAACAAGUAAUGUGACUUAGAUCCUUCUUGGUGGGCGUUGUUGGGUUGGAAUGGUUCUGUCCGUUGCUUCCUCCAUUCACAUUCCCAUUCUUGGGGCACUAUGGUUGUGUGAACUUCCUCCAUUGGAAUUAUGGCCUCCAUGGUUAUGGUGAAUGUGUCCUCCCGAGUUCGGGGUAAAACGAGGCCUCUACUGAGCUCCUGAAUUGUACUUCCGUUGUCCAUACUUCCUCUUGCGGCUAUCUAUCUGUUGCUGCUUCCCUUCAAUCAUGAGAGCUCUAUCUACCAAGUCCUGGUAGUUGUUGAAUGUUGCCACCAUCAACUGCAUGCUUAGCUCAUCAUUCAGUUCCUCCAGAAACUUCUCCUGCUUAGCACCAUCUGUAGCUACGUCAUCAGGGGCAUAACAUGCUAACUUACUAAACUCAUCCAUAUACUGGCCCACUGUGCGUCCCCCUUGGCGCAAGUUACGAAACUCACACUUCUUCAUGUUCAUAGCUCCUGCUGAAACAUGGACAGUGCGGAAAGCCUGCUGAAACUGAUGCAAUGUAACAAUGUUAAUGGGGUAAGUGGCUGUGAAAUAAUCCCACCAUGAUGUUGCAGGUCCAUCAAGCUGAUGUGCGGCAAAAUGCACUCUUUCCGCAUUUGUGCAUCCUACAGUGGUCAGCUCCCUUCCAAUCUUGCGGAGCCAAUCAUCUGUGACAAUCGGCUCGGUGCUACUAGAGAACAUCGGCGGAUUCAGCCUUAGGAAACGAGCUAAGUGAUCAACAAGUGGUGGUGGUGGUGGGUUGUUGUUGUUGUUGCCUUGGUUCUGAUUCUGAACUAGUAGCUGCAUCAAGGUAUUCUGCUGCUGGCUCAACUGAGUGAGCUCCAGUGGGAAGGCAAAUCCAUUGUCACCUCUCGGAGGCAUCUGAUGGGUUUAGAAAAGAUGAGAAAACAGAAUAGAACGGGGUCUAAAAGCGAAAACACUACCCAUAUGCACAUGAGACAAACACAAACAUAUCACACCAAUCAACUCAAACAAGGGCAUACAAUCGGUCUAACUAUCGUUACAAAAGUUCUCAGACUAUACCAUAUACAUGGGGAAAUACUACUACUGAUAUGGUGGUUGACUGGAAGUUUUGAUCGGUAGAAGACUCCAUGAUAUCCGCUCCAGCUUCAUCAACAUAGUCAUCAUCGCUAGCAUCAGGGUCAGAAUCGGUGUUGUCGAUGAUGAUGUACUCCUUUGAACGAAUUUCCUUGGAAUGGUCAUCAUCUCCUCCUGGCGCGGGGUUUCCCAUGAACACUCCUACCUUCCUUGUCAGGUUGUCAUUCUUCUCCACUAGUAUCGUCAUUUCCUCCUCAUAUUCAUCGCGUGUAGAAUGAGUUCCUCUUCUAUCUCUGUAAUCUUGGUCAUUGCCUUCUUCAGAUCUAUCAUGCUUGCGCACAUUUGGUUCUCCUGGCGGCGAAUGUGCUGGUUUAACUCCUGGAUGAAAGAUGCAAUGGACCUGUCCCACCUGGUGUUGAUCAUCUCCCGUUGCUCAUCUCGGCGCCCACAUAUCUGGUAGAUAGCGUCCUUAAUAUCCUUGUGAUAAACUUCUCCAAUGCGUCCCAUGGCGAUGUGGGCUGCCAUGCUCUUUCCUAGACUCCAGGUUGGUGCAUCAAAGGAAAACUCUAUGGGCUUAGUGACUGGCAUGAGCGUCCUUCCCGGAACUUGAACUCGAAUUCCAACACUCCUCUUAUGGUAAAGUGGCGAUGUAGGUCCCGGUGAAGCUUGGUAUUCCGAUGUUCAGGUACCUAGUAACUUCCUUCAAGUGUCGUCCAAAAGGAGUGUCUUCAUCCGGCUGUGUAAACUUGUUCCCUGAGUCCGCCAUCCUAUAGAGUGGAAAAGGGAGAGGACUCAGAAUUGAGUAGAGAAGAGUGACCUAUGGUUUAACUUAGUGGUCGUGUCCUACAGUCAGCGUGUGAUCUGAUACCAUCUUGUAGUGACCAGACCUCAAACGGUCUAGUCUCUGUGCAUCAGUGUCAUCCCUGGACCGGUAAUGCUGACACGCAUAGUACUCGAGGAUUUAUAACCUUGUUUCAAUCACACACUUAUUACAUCGAAUGUCUCAAAAGAGAACUUAUUACAAUAAAAUGGCUUAAGGCCAUCUAAAUAAGAUAACAGCGGAAGGCUUGGAAGAUAAAGUGAGUCCAUCAAACUCCAACGGCAUAGCUGAGUGAACGACAAUGACCUAUGGCACCUUACUCGUCGUCUGAAAAGUCUGCAACAUGAUAUGUUGCAGCCCAAAACGGAUCAACACAUGGAAUAUGCUGGCAAUGUAACACCAAAGAGUAAUGAACAGAAUAAAUGCUAUCACUACAUGCAUAUAUGGCUGGUGGAAAGCUCUAUGGUUAAAGUUUUGCAUAAAGCCAAUUUUUCCCUACAUCAAAGGAAUAAAUUUUAUUUCACUAUCAUGGUGGUUGUUAAACAUUGAGAAGGUUCCUCCAACUCAUCCCAAUUAAACAAAUUAGCCCACAAAAUUAAUUUAGAGUGAUGAGAUCAACAUGAUAAUCCAAGAACCAGAUACUCAAAAUGUCCAUAACCGUGGACACGGCUAACCAUGAGUAGUUUGUACACUCUGCAGAGGUUUGCGCACUUUUCCCCACAAGAGUCGAUCUCCUUCGUUGAAUUUCUCGCACUUCAUGAUGUUUGAGAAACGGAUGACCGAGGCACGGUCUUUCAGAAACAUUAACUCUUUAUUCUGGGUGGACAGUUACACCUACUUUCCCCUACAUCUACUUGCCCACCACUGAAAGAGGUCAUGCAACCUACUCAACUAUGCUAGAGCCCAUAAUAGCUUGUGGCUGCAUACGGAAGUUUCUAGCAUGAAUAAUCUUAUGAUCCCUUUGAGCCUGGGUGGCGAACCGUAGGAUGAUCACACGGGUAGUCCGGGAUAUCCUAGGACAACAAUGGAUUCUCCAGGUGCCCGCAACCAAUCCACCCAGAUGUGUAUUUAAGUUGCCACCUUAAGUUAACCAUUAAUUAACAAUUCUCACAUCUGUCAUGGAUACACUCACCCAAACCACGUCUACGAGCAUAGCAUAGAAAUCCCGAGCAAUCGUAGAAGUAACUCCCAAAGGUUUGAUAAUAAAAAGGAAAUAGGUUCUACCUCAUCAUCUACUUCCCAAACCCACAUGUUAUUCAAAUCCUAACCAUGCAAUGUUUGAGGAUUGAGGCUAAUGCAUAAAAACUGGAUAAUAAAGGGAUAUGAUCAAAGUGUUACUUGCCUUGCUGAUGAUAUCCAAAACCUAGCGACUCGUAGUAGCACGCUUCACACUCCGGGAAUUCUAUCACAAACAAACAAUAGCAUACAUAAGCACUCAAACGAGAAACACGGGUAAAACGCAAAUAAGAAGAUCUAACCAGAAAGUUCAACUGAAGAACUCCGGUUUGCAAAAAGAAUCAAAUCAAACGAAGCAACGAAACUCAAACUAUGAAGGAAACAAGAUUCAUUUACUAAUCUGGACUAAGGUCAAAUUUUACAGUACCAAAAUCAUGUUCAAGUUGGUAAACAGAAAGAGGGCUUCGAGACGAAGAUUUAGGGGCUUGUUUCAUCUAAUUCAGAUAAACAAGCAAAAAAGUUAUACUAGAACAAAAAUCAGAGCAGAAAUCGCGGUAAAAAAUAAUCGCAGAAAAAACCUGGAAAAUAAACGAGACGAACAGGCUGACGAACGAACGUUCGUUGUCUGCGACUAACCGACGAACAACGUUCGUUAAAACGAACGUACGAACGAGCGUCCGCUAAAUAACUAAACUGAAAAACAAACCGAUCUAUUAAAAAACGGAUCUAGGUUUCUAAAAACCCGCAUGUUUUUUUUUGAAAAAACGAAAUGCCGGCGGCAGCGGCAUCUACCUUCGUCGAGGGUCGGCGGGGCNNNNNNNNNNNNNNNNNNNNNNNNNNNNNNNNNNNNNNNNNNNNNNNNNNNNNNNNNNNNNNNNNNNNNNNNNNNNNNNNNNNNNNNNNNNNNNNNNNNNNNNNNNNNNNNNNNNNNNNNNNNNNNNNNNNNNNNNNNNNNNNNNNNNNNNNNNNNNNNNNNNNNNNNNNNNNNNNNNNNNNNNNNNNNNNNNNNNNNNNNNNNNNNNNNNNNNNNNNNNNNNNNNNNNNNNNNNNNNNNNNNNNNNNNNNNNNNNNNNNNNNNNNNNNNNNNNNNNNNNNNNNNNNNNNNNNNNNNNNNNNNNNNNNNNNNNNNNNNNNNNNACUUGCAAAGACGGCGUCACAGGUUGCAGCGUCGGGUGCUGGCAGUGGUGGCUGGCGAGGCGAGAGGUGGCGGGGGCAGGCGGCUUUUAAGGGGGGGUAGGGGUGGAGGCCGUCUUGGGGGAGGGGGCGGCCGGCGGCGGCUCCGAGCCGAACUCCGAGAAGGAGUCCGCCACAAGCAUGGCGGGGAAGGCGGCGGCGCUUGGUGGGCCACCCUGAUUGGUUGGGCUUCGGCCCAGUCGGGCGGGAAACUCUUUUUUUUUAAUAAAUAAUUCCGCCAAACAGAAAAAAAUUUCCUAAAUAUAUAUAUAUAUAAAUGCCAAAAACAAUUUUCACCGUCUAAAUAAAAUAUUUAGCACAAAGUGAACAUUUUUCUCACCUAAAAUGCAAAUUUUGAAAAUGUGCAAUUUUUCUAUCUCAAAUAAAAUAGCAAUAAAAGUCCAAAUAAAAUACUUAUUUAAUUAUAACAUUUUUCCUCCAAUAUUUCUUUUAUUUUGGAGAAGUCAUUUUAUCCCCUCUCUUUUAUUUUAAUAUUUGAAAUAUUCGGAGAUAAAAAUGAUUAAAACCAAAAUGAUCCUCUUUUCAAUAUUUCAGAAAAUUCAAAUAUGAAAAUAAACGAAAUCCCCAACUCUCUCCGUGGAUCCUUGAGUUGCUUAUAAUUUCUAGGAUCAACCAAAAUGCAAUAAAAUAUGAUAUGCAUAUGAUGGCCUAUGUAUAACAUUCCAAAUUGAAUAUUUGGGAUGUUACAACCCACUACUCAAAGCAAAGUAAAUUUCCUUGUAUGUAUUGACUCUAACGCCACUUUGGUUUGUUUGCUUGUGUGGGUGUUGAUUUGCUUCAUGUUGUUGGAUUUUGAAGAUUUCUCUUCUCUAGCCAGGAAGCUAAGGGGGGAAGCUAGGGAUUUCUAGAAGAACCUCCAUGCCCGAUUCAUUCCUCUUUGUCCCAAUAUAUACAAUUUACAUUUACAUUUUAACCCCUUUCACUUUUCUAUUUGCAACUAACUUCUCACAACACCCCCCCUCAAGAAGGGGUGAAAAUGUCUAAGAGCCACAUCUUGCCACACAACUUAAAGAAGGAUACAACACUCACGCCCUUUGUCAAUAGUUUUAAGAAAACCUACUUGAACUACUCCCGCAUCAAGUUUAGCCUUAAUGUCUAUCAAUUUCGAUAUGUUUUGUUCUAUCAUGCUGAACCCGAUUGUUGACAAUGUUGAUUGCGGCUUGAUUAUCACAAUGGAGCCGGAGUGGUCCUCCUUUAAACAACUAAAGUUCAGUUAAUAAUAAUCGAAGCCAUAACAACUCACAUAGCCCAGAAAACAUGGAUCGUAGCUCUACUUCUACUGUGGAUCUGGCGACAACACUUUGCUUCUUACUCCUCCAACUGACUAAAUUUCCUCCCAAGAAGAUCCAAUAACCUAAAGUGGAUCUCCUGUCAUCCAAGCACCCAGCCCAAUCAGCGUAUGUGUAUCCCUAAAAUUCUAGAUGCCCAUGGUUGGAAAGGAUAAUUCCUUUUCUAGGACAACCUUUGAGAUACCGUAGAAUUCUAUUUACUGCAUCUAGAUGACCUGAUCGAGGAUCAUGCAUAUAUCUACUCACCAGGCUUACGACAUAUGCAAUGUCUGGUCUAGUAUGGGAUAGAUAAAUUAAACGUCCCACAAGUAUCUGGUAUCUCCCCCUAUCAACAGGUUCUCCUAAAUUGGCUGUAAUACAAAGGUUUGGCUCAAUAGGUGUGGCAGCUGGUUUACUUUCAAGCAUCCUAGUUUCAGCGAGAAGAGCAAGCACAUAUUUUCUUUGAGAGAGAUAGAUACCUUGAGAUCGAUAAGCCACUUCUGUUCCCAGGAAGAAGUGGAGGAAGCCAAGGUCUUGGACUUCAAAUGACUUCGCAAAUAUUUUCUUCGGGUUCUUUAUCUCUACGUCGUCAUUCCCUAUGAUCACAAUGUCAUCAACAUAUACGACCAAUAUGACAGUUUUAUUUUCAUGGUGCUUAAAGAAAAGGGUAUGGUCAGCAUUGUUUUGUCAUAAAGCUCAAAGUGCAGACUUCCUUGCGAAAUCACCCAAACCAAGCGCUAGGUGGCUGUUUAAGUCCAUAAAGUGAUUUUUGUAAUCUACACAAUUUACCCAUUGUCCCAGGCCCACUGAACCCUGGUGGAAUCUCUAAAUAAACUUAUUCUUUCAAAUCUCCAUGAAGAAAUGCAUUCCUCACAUCUAGCUGAAACAACUUCCACUUGUUAUUUGCUGCCACCGAGAUUAAAGCUCUGAUGGUGUUCAUAUUUGCAACUAGGGCAAAGGUUUCAUCAUAGUCCACUCCAUAUGUCUUGCUAUAACCUUUUGCCACAAGUCUCGCCUUAUAUCUAUAUACUUUCCCUUCGGGUGUAUGUUUUAUGGUAAACACCCAUUUUCAACCUACCACUUUCUUGGUACAAGGAAGUGGAGUAAUUACCCAUGUAUUAUUCUUGUCGAAAGCAGACAUCUCCUCAAGCAUUGUUGCCCUCCAUUUUCGGUUUAAUUUUGCCUCCCGCCAAUCCCAUGGUAAGGGUUCUUCAAAAUCCAAUGAUACGUCUCCAAUGUAUCUAUAAUUUUUUAUUGUUCCAUGUUGUUAUAUUAUCAUACUUGGAUGUUUUACAAUCACUAGCAAAAGGGCCCGUGCGUUGCAAAGGGGAAAAAACAUAAUGUUCAAUCACGAUGAUCACAUUUUAUUCAUGUCUCAUCGCAUGAUUUCGAAAAUUUGUUCAAAAAUGUAUGAAAAUGUUUCUAAAUUUAUUCACAAAUCAAAGCAAUGUGCACAUUUUUUAAAUAAUAUCAUGGUUGUCAAAAAACUUGGUAAUUCAAAGAAUUAUUCUGAAUGUCAAGAAACAUAUUUUAAAAAACAUACCAUAAUAUUUCAAUCCACCCCGGCAGUUAAUUUUUUAAAAUUCACGCGGGUAUAUAGUCACAAACAUUCAGAAGCAUUAUUGUUUAACUACAUACCUUCGAUCAUUCAUGAACAUUUUUAUGAAUUUGCGAAUAUUUUUAAAAAUCAUGAAAAUUAUUUAAUAUUGGGAUGGUUUUUAAGCAUUUUCUUUAGAAUCGUUGAACAAUUCUAGAAUAGAGGAACAUUUUUUUUGAAAUUCAUGUAUAUUUUCUGAAUUAGCAAACAUAUUAUGAAUCAGUAAACUCUAUUGUAGUUCACAAACUGUUUUGCUAAUCCCGUUUUAUAAGCUCACUGAUUUUUUUCCCAAGGCUACUGAUGGCAAUCGUUUGAGAAAGUAUAUAAACUGAUGGUAAUCAGUUUAACUGAGCAAGGUGGGACUGUUGACCAAAAAAAGACACAUCACAUACAGGCCUACGCUAGUUGAGAAGUUUUUUGAUUCCAUUGAAAGCUGAGACGUGUCUACUAGCCCAUAAGGCCCAGCCAGACGACUGGUUUCUUGUUUAGAAAAAAAAACUGAAACAACUUACGGGAGGGCAUAGAAAACGGGAGGAGCUCGAUCGCCUGCUCGAUCCCUUGCGGGAGAAGGUAGGAUUCUUACAAAAAAACUGAAACAAUCUUUUUUCCUUGAGAAGCAAAACUGAAACAAAUUUUUAAUAGCCGAUACGAAACUUUGCUGUAAAAAUUAGUACCACCGCAUGUAUUUCAUGUAAGGUGGGAUCAAUUGCAGGACGAAACCAAGAAUAGCCUUGCUUGAAUAAUAUGUAUAGAUAUAGAAUACCUUUCUUAUUUAUCCGAGCCAUCUCUUUUAAUAUUGUUGUUUAAUUGCCCAUCAUAUUUGUGAAUCGUGCAUUUUAGGAAUUGUAUUAUAUUAUGCAGGCGUGUCUUAGGAAGGAAUAUCUCUUAAUUGCCCUAUUUAAUUGCCUAUCUUUCUCAAGCAUCCAAUUAGGUCGUCUCUUAAUUAUCCCACAUAGUACCGAUUCCACCUUGCCCCGUUUGUUUGAUUGCCCAGCAUAUUUAUCCUUGGAUGUUUUCUUCCUUUUUCAAGAAUCCUUCUUUUCUUCAUUACUUCCUUUCUGGGCACCCACUCGUCAUCCUCCGAUCACCAAUUGCCAGGCCGACUUAUUAAGGUGACUAGUAAAACGUCCGUGCGUUGCCACAGGCUUUUGAAAAAAUUUAAGAUGCUACUCACGGAGCUAAAAUAACCAAGAAUAAUGUCGUCUCAACUAACUCACAUCUUUUUCUUGACAAUCAGCUAACACACAUCAUACUAUCAUACUAUCGAAGCCUUCCCCACCUUCAGCUAUCAGUUGGCCAUUCACAAGAGGGCGGCGGGCGCGGGCGCUAGACUUGGUCAUCUACGGCGUUGCAGCAGCCGAAGAUCGAGUUGGGCGUGGGGGGUGUAAGAAGGGAAACAAGCAUGCAAGGAGCAGCGGCAUUGCGACGGGCAGUCGUGCCACGGCCUUUACCUUUUCUCGGGCAACAGUGAGAGGCCACCACGCUCCUCGACUCUCCCUCCUCUCUUCCAUGCCUGGCAACAAGAUGGGCGAGAUAGAGAGGAGGCAACCAAGAUGUUUUUCUAUAUGGCGACCAAGAUGCUUUUGUUUACUCGUGCCACGGAUUCCUUACAGCCCCACCCUCGAGCGAAAAAUUAUCUCUUCUUUCCAAAUUUAGCUUCUUUUGCUGCUUGGUUUUUCAUUAUUCUCGUCAAACAAGAAUUGCCUUGCUAUAUAAUCUCGUCAAACUAAUAUCAUACACUUUUAUGGAUCCACUAAUAUGAGUUCAUCAUUAUUUCGUUACUAAAAAGGAUGGAACUCUAAAAUGUUAAACAGCAUGCUACACCAAAUAAUGUGAACUGAUUGUAUAAUCAAACAAUUUAAUGCAAAAUUAAAAGAUCUUAGGCAUGUAAUUACAAAACCAAUGUGUUUGUGUUGAAUGUUAUGUUUGAUCACUUUUGCAACCAAGUUCUUCUUGAUAUAUGUACACCAAUUUUAAAGCAAAUGUAGAGUAGCUGAAACAACCAUUUCUCCCUUUUUCCUUCUUCUAGAAAUCAGUAAUAGACUAAUGAUAUAGACUGCUCUGUUUCCUUUAGAUGUAGGAUCCUCCUUGAUUAUGAUGUAGGGUCUCGUCGGGACAUCGAAGCCUAUGGAAGUAUGGUAUGCUUUCUAUCCAUCACCACGAAUGAACAGAGAAACAGGGAGCAGAAGAACCCAAAAUCGAGACGCUAAAUGAGAGGGAUAGGGCUCACAGAAAGGGUCUUCUCAUUGUAGCAGCAUCGAUAUUUGCUCAAGCCAAAUCUCUCCGGAGUUGCCCAUGCCUUACUCUUCGACCGACCAGACCUCCUCCAAUGGUUGCCGUCAGCUCUCGCCUCCUCAUGCACCCCCCUUGUAUUUUGUGCUUCAGCACUGAACACGAAUAGAAGAUUCAGCUAGUGAUAUUAUAGAUCUAACAAUUGGGGAAUCAUAUAAGUGAACUUACAUCCAUGCUUGACAGAUCAAACCAUUUCGUACCUCCUGGCAACAGUACCGAGCAUCCCAAGAACCUUGUAUAUCAUGUAUGGAAGAAGAGUGAAACAGACAAAGAUUUCAUGACUGUGUAGCAUUGGGAAGUCCCUUUUCCAUGACUUCAUCAAUAACCGCUUCAUAUGUGUGCAAUCCUUUGAAGUAAAGUGUACUUCCAUCCUACAUCUUCACCAAGAAAACAUCACUUCAAGCAACAGAACGUCAACGCACCCGGAUUUAGAAUACACAUACACUUUGUUCUAGCUGUAGAAAUCUAAUAGCACACUGAUCAAAAUUAGUGCAAGGACAUAUCAAACAGGUAAAAAAGAUAUGAAAGACUAACUUUAUCCAAACAAAUAGGAAGAGGAGCAAUAUAAAAUAAUGGGCCAGAUUAAAGGGAGUUGGAUGUGGGAGAGAAGUGUCGAUGAUUACCACGAUUCAGUUGCUAAUCACCGUCGAGGAUCCCAACAUCGACAAACCAUAUCGAUUCAGGAAGAGCUGGAACAAUUCGUGAUAGUGCUGCAUCAGCCUCCCCGCUGGAUGUUUUUAGUGGGAAAAUACAGUAUAAUAUGUAUAUCUAGUCCAGCCUAAUUCUCUAGUUAAUGACCUCCUUUGUUUUGUUUUAUCAGAUUCUAUUUUAAUUCAGACGAUUUUUAUUUUACAUUCAGACUGUAGUUAAUUGCCUCCUUUCUCCCUCUGUCCACACCAUAGACAAGGAUGCACUACCAGCUUUAGGGGCCAAAAUAUGGAUCUAUUGAGUCAGCUUCAUCACCCAGAUCUUCUGAAAAAUAACACGAAAUCAUAAUAUCAUUAUACAACAGUUGAAAAAAUCGUACUGGGCAUGGGCCGUCUAUUAGCUUUGCUAAGUAUGGUGCCGUCCAUUAGGCCGGCUUGAUUAAGAAACUUUAUAUAUACUACUAUAUAUUAGUAGAUGAGUUACAUCUCAUAAGAAAACUAAGUUACAAGAAUUGAAAUCCACCACCGUAACUCUACUUGUAUAUAAUAGAUGAGGUUUAGACAUAAAACAACAUUAAUUUUAUGUCAACAAGGAGGUUCACAGGUCAUCUGGAUUUCUUUCAUUUUUGUGAAUUGACAUGUCAAGUGGUCGGACCGUUCCCCGGACCCUGCGCAAGCGGGAGCUAUGUGCACCGGGCUGCCCUUUGUGAAUUGGCACGUCAAGCAGGAGUGACGUGACAAACUAAUAAACAUGUUCAGUGAUGUAUCACAAAUGCAAGGUAAGAAAACAAAAAAUAUUACUAACCAAGUUUACUAACUAUCAUUCGAGUUUGCCUGCACUGGAGGAAAUGUUGCAGUAUGAUUCCUUGAGUUAGAAGCAAAUAAAGAUAAUUGAUUAUCCACUACAAAAUCUCUAACCACUGUACACAUGCAAUGAUGGUUAGUAGGAAUACACAAUUUUAUGACCUGUAACAUUACUACAAGGUUCGUUGGUCAAUGUCCUUCCAAAAUAUGAACUUGAAUUGUGUGGGUGCAUAUUAUGACCUGUAAAAGAAUGACACGGAUCAUCCACCAUAUAGAUAUCCAUACAUCUACCUGGAUCCAUUUAUGACUGACUACGAAACUAAAUGUCACAUAAAGGACAAGGAGCAGUACACAAAAACCUUUCAACAAGUAUAUGUAUUUAACAUAGGUGUAUAUUAAGUUAUUAACUGCAUAGCAACUUGGUAGCUAAGCAGCUAUGCUAACUUGCUAACUUAAGUUUCUGUUAGCAAAUGUUCGUACAGUUUCAGAAAACCUUGGGAGUACUUGAUAGGAGUUCAUCUUGCUAAUUACAAAUAUUCCAGACUACACUGCGAAAGGUGAAACUUGAAUUACUAAUACACUGGCAAUCCUUUCAAUAACAAGAUAUGAACGAAUAAGCAGAAAACCAAUAUUUCCUUGUAUCAAGACAGCAGACUCAUGACUUACCAUGGUACAGAACAAGAAACUUGUCAGCGUUAAUUUUAAGUUAAUAGGCAAAGCUCACAAGUCAUCAAGAUUUUAUUUCUUUGUAUGGGUUCACCUUGUAAGUAUGUUCGCCUUAUAAGUAUCAAGAAACUUGUUUGCUAACCUGAAUAUAAUUCUCAACUGAUGGCUAAAAUGGCAGGCAGAGAAAGAGCAUAUCUGAACAAAAUACCUGGUAGAGCACCCUACAACAAACCUCCCAAAUGAUUAGCGGCAUUCGAUCAUUUCACAGUGCCUGCAGAAAUAAAAUCGAAAUAGUAAUCAGGACAAUUUUUUUUUUGCAGAAGUGCACUCUAAAUUCAGAUAUAACGUUUUCAAAAAUCCAGUGAUGCUAAAGAGGACAUAUCUUGCACAUAUUUGAAGAAGCCACCAUCAUCCCGCAUUGGUCAUGGCAGUGAGAAACAAUCAUUAGUCCUAAAACAGAGUAGGAUCUAUUAGAGAAAAUUUGAAAAGGUGUGUUAGUAUGUGACCAUAAAAUAAGGUUGUAGACAGACCAGGAAUACUCGUUUAGAUCAUCAUAAUUACACCAUGUUGAAUGUGGUGUUUUUCCAUGCUGGAUUUUUUCUGCUCCCUACCAAAUAUAAGAGAACCAUCUCCAUUACCAAGAAGCUUCUUCCUUUCUUUCAAGAGUAUGUGUUCGACCCAAAGGCAUUUUUUCGCAUCAUUAUCGGAAUCCACUACCCUAAUCUCCUUUCUCUGUAUCUAUCUUUAACAUAUUUACUAGCCCUGAAAUCUGUAGGGAAAUUAGACGCAAACUAUGACAGAAAAGUGUGAAACACAGUGACAACAUAAUUAGCUCACCCCUUCAUACUGCUGUAGAGUCGAGUAUUUAUAUAUGAUCUCUGGUUAGUGUAGUAAGCUGAUCUUUAAUUCCAAAGGCAAGUGCACCAUCGGCAUGUGGUUCUGCAAAAAUCAUCACUGAAGCAAUCAUAUCAGAAAUCCAUGAACUGUCAUGUGUACAACAAGAACAAGGAAAAAAGGACCACAAAUGGGUAUCCAACUCGGCCAGCAGUGGCGACUUUAUACAUUGUUCAAAUCAACCCGCAUAUAUAAUAAACAACAAUAUAAUUUAUUUAUAAACAAAAUUAUUAGCAGCCAAAAGACACUUAAUCUUUUUUCUUAGAGUUUGGCGAGUAGCAGUGGAGGAACUUCUGUUGAAUACCUGCUAUGUCUGAACGGUAGCUGAUAUGCCUAUCCCAUAAGAUAAUCUCCCUGUACAUGACAUAAGCCUUAUAGAUAAUAUCCAUGUACAAUCCUAUAGAUGGAACAAAUUCAGCAGAAUAUAAGUGAGUGGUAGUCUCUCAUUUUGAACUCAAUUCUCCCUUCAUUGGCAUCUUGGUUGUACACAUUGAUUUGCUCUUGUGAGUGGCAGUGCAUUGAAGAUUUAUUUGAUCUGUCGGUGUGUCUUGUGAGUGGUAGGCAUUAAACUGGGUAUUGCUUGGAUUACCGAACAAUGACCAUUCAUGAUUAUGCAACCUCGCAUAGCCUAGAUAAAUGAUGAAAUCAGUUGAAGAUCCUCUGCAUGCAUAUAAAUUGUAGAAGAAAAGUUUUGGUAAAAAAUCACAAAAAACUAACUUUAGAAUGUUGCAAAUGUACUGGUGCCCGGUCACAGUAUAUAUGCAAUUAUGCACGAGUAUAUGAUUCUGCCGCAAGGAUCAGAUAGACAACAAUUUGGAGCAUGGUGUUGUGUGACAUCUCACAAAGUGAGUGUAUGAAUUUUCGAUUGUUACAGAAAAUUUCAUAUAUAGAUUUUCAAUGUAAAAACGAACUUUAGGCCUAUGUUAUUUGUACAUACAAAAUGUAUUUCUUGGUUCCCAAAGAGGUUCAGUAACCAUCCUAAGUAAACAAUCAAACAUACCUUGAAUCACUUUACCGAAAAUAUUGCAGAUCAGAAGUAAGACCAGCCCAUGUCUUAUCAACUGCAAAAAGAUUCCACAGACAAAACUUGCAAAAAAAGGUCACUCUCAUAUCUACUGUUUCAUAUCAAGAAUCUCCUCAAACAUGUCACCAGACAAACCAUUUUUGGUUCAGUUUGAAGGUACAUGGCCAAAAUGAAGACUACUGUGAUAUAAAAGGAAACAAAUACAUCAUAGAAAUGACAUAGGAACACUAUGCAUGCUCAACAAUGAUAUGGGUCUGACAUAUGGAGUUAGCAGUUUCCCUAAAACAACAACUUUCUGAAUAUUAUUGUCUCGCCCAUUAUGCCCACAAAAGGAAAGAGAAACCUGAUGCAAACAAAAUAUUACAGCGAACAAACACAGAGUUUUUCAGAAAAAGGAACACUUACCAGGAAACUUCCAGUCCUUGAAGAAAGGAUAACCUUCCUACAAAUACACCAUCCAAUGCAGAUUCAUACAAUUUUCAUUGUGCACAAAUGAUGCAACAUGCAGAUUCAAGCCAAUGCGACAAAAUGUCCAGUUAACUUAGAGCUAUUUACAUAUCGUUUACUUAAGUAAAAAAACUCAAGUUAUCUUGCUGCAGGCAAUCUACUCAAUGCUGAUCACACAAAUAAUAAUGUCCGAAAGCACUUAGGAACAACCAGACCACACAAGCAUAAAAUUGUGUAACCAAAUAGACAUCAGAGGGGAGGGAGCAUUUUUCAGAAGUACCUCAUUAAGUUUCACGGUUAUUAUGUGAGGAGUAAAGGACCCGAUGAACCUACAAAUCAAAAGAAAUAUCAUAGUCAGCACAAAAAUUGUUCAAAGAAGAUGAUCAAAUUAAAAAUCAUGUAACUGAACAUAUAGAAGAAUCUUCUUAUAAACGUGUGAAAUCACAUGUAAACCAACUAACCAAGAUGGAUGCCCUUUUUAUUGAUAGGCUGAAUAUAAUAAGACACAUGCCCUUUAAACGUGUGAAUUCACAUGUAAACCAACUAACCAAGACGGAUGCAGCCAAAAUUACCCAAGGCAUCUAGUUGUUUCUUUUAGGGUUUAGGGUGUGCAAGUGUCGUUGAGGACAUUACCUGUCCACUGAAUCUAAUGGAAAAUUCAUGGAAUAUAUGAUUGUUCCCACGAAAUUGGAUUCGAACUCAGGUUUAAGACGAACUUGCAUCGCUGGAGACUUCUCCAACUCCUUCAAAGACUCCUGCAACUUUUGCUCAGGGGAUUCACCAUGCCACCAACUUCUUCAGGUGCCAACAACAUGAACAGAUAACGGGGUGGGAGGGGGAAGGGAGAAGAGAGAAGAGGGGUAAAGAGGAAGGGGUGGAGAUACCUGUGAUAACGGGGAGGCGGCAGUGCAGGACCGGAAGACUCACCGCCGGCGGGCAGGAUGAAGAGCCGGCGGCUCCAACCCUAGCUUGCGCGUGAGAACUGCAUCCGUCGCACACAACCAGGGCAUCCAUCGUCUGCCGUCGUGCUCCAGCGAGCCGGCGACCGAGGGUUGCCUGGAGCGAAGGUGGAGGCGACCAGAGCCGGCGGCGACGUGGUGCCGAGGUUGGUGCGACCGCGAGCUCGGGCGGUGAGGCGGAAGCUGCAGGAGACGGCGGCGGGAACCUCGAGGCCGAGCUCAGGCCAUGGCAUCCCUGGCUGCAGAGGCCGUGGCGGCGCCGGACGCAGCAGCGGGGCGAGGAGGAGGCCGGCCGUCGGGGAGGCAGGAGCUCCUCGUCCCCUCGAUCCAGAUCGGGUACGAGGAGGGAGCAACAGGGGUGCGGGGAGUGGGCGACCCGCGGGCGGCGGUCGGGGCGUAGGUUUUUUUUAGGAGUAGAAGAUAAUGAGAUUUUUUUUCUAUGGUGUAUGAUGCGUCUUUAAAAUCUUUUAUUUGUUUCCUUAAAAUCUAUUAUUUGUUUCCUAAAGAAAUUUGUAAUAAUGGGAGGUAUCGGUUGAUUUGGGUAAGUUAGUAAAGUUAGAUCCGUGAUUGCGUGUACGUUUGAAAAGUGCUGAUUUGCAUGGAAAGAGCUGAGGGGUAAAUAAACCGGUGAAUAAGAAACCAGCAUUGAUGGGGAGGUGGGAGGAGGGACGAAAAAAAACCAGACGAAGGUGGGAGGACGAAAAAAAACCAGCGAAAAAUAACCGGCGGACUAUUCACCAACUGCUACAUUAGGAGUAGAGAUGAUGACAGGGGUAACUUGAACGCGUAUAUAAAUUGAUGGUUGUUCUUGUAAAAAGUCGAGGUGGUAUUGUUUGAUAAUUGAUAAUAAGACCAACCGUAUCCAAUCAACAUAGAUGGACAUAGUUCAGUUGGUUGUCGUCAAACGUAUCGGCUGGAAGGUUGCGAGUUCAUUUCCUCUUGCAAGUAUCUUUUUUCUUCCUCGUGUUGUACUGGACCUGGGCCAAGCUGGCCAAUGGACAUCCUGAAGGCCCAAGUACCUCCUCGCAUUGCAGGGCCGAGCUGGCCAACGGACAUCCUGACAAACAUUGCUAUUAAUUAGUACCACCUCAUUUAUAUUAUGAUUUUGUCUAUACGAAUCGUAAAAGCGUAUUACGAUUGGACGGAAGCGUAUUGUGACGGUGAACCCGAAAAAUUCAAUCCAUGCUUUAUUAUUAGGGGGAGAUUUUAUAGUCAUUUUAUAUCAUUUUUUGGUACGAACUUAUUGAAAUAGUGCCCAGUGUCAGUUGCUAUUUUCUGCAUGUUUUUGACAUUGCAGGAAAUCAAUACCAAACGGAGUCCAAACGCAACAAAACUUUUUGUGGAUUUUUUUAGACCAAAAGACAUCUCGUGGGCCAAAGAAGUACCAAGGAGGGGCCCCGAGGUGAGCACAAGACACCUGAGCACGUCUAGAGGCCCAGGCACGCCCUGGUGGGUUGUGCCCACCUUGGUGGCCUCCCGCACCACCUCUUUGCUCUAUAAAUACCCCAAUAUUCCAGAAACCCUAGGGGAGUCGACGAAAAUCAAUUCCAGCCGCCGUAGAGUCCAGAACUACCAGAUCCAAUCUAGACACCAUCACGGAGGGGUUCAUCAUGCCCAUUGGCGCCUCUCGAUGAUGCGUGAGUAGUUCUUUGUAGACCUACGGGUCCGUAGUUAGUAGCUAGAUCGCUUCCUCUCUCUCUUUUUUGAUUCUCAAUACAAUGGUAUCUUGGAGAUCCAUAUGAUGUAACUCUUUUUUGCGGUGUGUUUGUUGGGAUCCGAUGAACUUUGAGUUUAUGAUCAGAUCUAUCUUUUUAUCCAUGAAAGUUAUUUGAGUCUCCUUUGAUCUAUUGUAUGCAUGAUUUCUUAUAGCCUCGUAUUUCUUCUCUGAUAUUUGGGUUUUGUUUGGCCAACUUGAUCUAUUUAUCUUGCAAUGCGAAGAGGUGCUUUGUGAUGGGUUCGAUCUUACGGUGCUUGAUCCCAGUGACAGAAGGGGAACCGACACGUAUGCAUCGUUACCAUUAAGGAUAAAACGAUGGGUCUAUUUCUACAUAAAUAGAUCUUGUCUACAUCAUGUCAUCGUUCCUAUUGCAUUACUCUGUUUCUCCAUGAACUUAAUACACUAGAUGCAUGCUGGAUAGCGAUCGAUGUGUGGAGUAAUAGUAGUUGAUGCAGGCAGGAGUCGGUCUACUAAUCUUGGACGUGAUGCCUAUAUAAUGAUAAUUGCCUAGAUAUCGUCAUGAUUAUUUGAAGUUCUAUCAAUUGCUCAACAGUAAUUUGUUCACCCACCGUUUGCUAUUUUUCUCGAGAGAAGCCACUAGUGAAAUCUACGGCCCCCGGGUCUCUUCUAUAUUAUAUUUGCCUUCGCGGUCUAUUUUUAUUUGCUUUUAUUUUCAGAUCUAUUAAACCAAAUAUACAAAAAUACCUUGCUGCACUUUAUUUUACUUGGCGAUCUAUCUAUCAAUUUAUUGCAACUUUCUCACGUCCACUUGCCAAUUUCUUGAGCCGUUGCCCGAAAGUGAUUGACAACCCCUUUAAUACGUCGUGUUGCGAGUAUUUGUUAUUUGUGUGCAGGUGUCGUUCACGUAGUGUUGCGUGGUUCUCCUACUGGUUCGAUAACCUUGGUCUCCUCACUGAGGUAAAUACCUACCGUUGUUGUGCUGCAUCAUCCCUUCCUCUUUGGGGAAAUACCGAUGUAGCUCAAGCAAACAUCAAAAGGAAUUUCUGGCGAUGUUGUUGGGGAGACAUCAUCAACAUCUACCAGGUUCCUAAUCACAUAUCUCAUCUCCUCACAAUUUACAUUAUUUGCCAUUUUCCUCUCGUUUCCCUCUCCCCCACUUCACAAAAAUUUGUCGUUUUACUCGCCCCUUUUUCGUUCGCUGUUUUCUUGCAGGAUCUGUUUUUGAGUGCAAUCUUGUUGCAUAGUCAUAAUGACUCAAGAGAACACCAAGUUGUGUGAUUUCUCAAAUACCAAUAACAAUGAUUUUAUUGGCACUCCUAUUGCUCCUCCCGCCACUAGUGCAAAAUCUUGUGAUAUUAACACUGCUUUGCUGAAUUCUGUUAUGAAAGAUCAAUUUUCUGGUACUCCUAAUGAGGAUGUCGCGUCCCAUCUUAACACAUUCGUUGAAUUAUGCGAUAUGUAAAAGAAAAAUCAUGUGGACAAUGAUGUUGUGAAGAUGAAAUUAUUUCCCUUUUCUUUCCGUGAUUCUGCAAGAAAUUGGUUUUCUUCUUUUCCUCGCAAUAGUAUUGAUUCUUGGAAUAAGUGCAAAGAUGCUUUCAUCACUAAGUAUUUUCCACCCGCAAAUUUUUCCCCUUAGAACCAGAUCAUGAAUUUCAAGCAACAUGAGCAUGACCAUGUUGCACAAUCUUGGGAAAGGAUGAAAAUGAUGCUAAGGAAUUGCCCAACUCAUGGGUUAAAUCUUUGGAUGAUCAUACAAAAGUUUUAUGCGGGGUCGAAUUUUGUUUGUCGUAAUCAUUUAGAUUCUACUGCGGGUAGUACUUUUAUGGAAACUACUUUGGGUGAAGCCACCAAAUUGCUUGAUAAUAUUAUGGCAAAUUAUUCAGAAUGGCACACCAAAAGAGCUCCUACUAGUAAAAAAGUUAAUUCGGUUGAAGAAAUUUCUUCUUUGAGUGAAAAAGUUGAUGCUCUUAUGAAAUUGGUUGCUAGUAAAAGUGCUCCUAUUGAUUUCAAUGAUAUGCCUUUGUCUACUUUGAUUGAGCAAAAUAGUGAUGCCAUAAAUGUGGAUUUUAUCUCUCGAAACAAUUUCAAUAACAAUGCUUAUAGAGGUAAUUUUAAUCCUAGGCCUUUUCCUAGUAAUUCCUCUAAUAAUUAUGGUAAUUCCUAUGGAAAUCCUUCUUAUAAUAAUAAUAGGAACAUAUAUGAUCUUGAGAAUAAUAUUAAAGAAUUUAUCAACACACAAAAAGUUUUCAACACUAUCAUAGAAGAAAAGUUGAAUAAGAUUGAUGAUUUGUCUAGAAGUGUUGAUAGAAUUUCUCAAGAUGAAAUUUUUUGUGCCUAAGGUAGAGGAAUCAAAUAAAGCUCUUUACGAUUCCAUGGAUGAAAGUAAGAACAGAACCGCUAUGCUUAGAGCUAGAAGAGAAUUUUUAGAAAAUGUGUUUUCAAGUGAUUGCUUUCGUAAAAGUGAUGAAGAUCUUAAAAUGAUUGAUGUUUCUUCUAUUGAUUCCUUGUUUAGUAAAAUUAAAAGUGAUAAUAAAGGGACUAGAGAAGAGUCAACUUUAUAUAGAAGGCGUCCCGAUAAUUCGGAGGGUGGAAAUAUUGUUGAGAAAAUUGAUAAAAGUGGGUUUGAAGAGGUCAAGACUUUUAACUAAUGAUGUGCCCACUCUUUUGGAUUACAAAGACUUUAAUUAUGAUAGUUUAUCUUUGAUUGAUUGUAUUUCUUUGUUGCAAUCCAUGAUAAAUUCACCCCAUGCUUAUGAACAAAAUAAAUCUUUUACUAAACAUAUUGUUGAUGCUAUGAUGAAAGAUUUAGAAGAAAAGUUGGAAUUAGAAGUUUCAAUUCCUAGAAAAUUACAUGAUGAAUGGGAACCUACUAUCAAAGUCAAGAUUAAAAAUUAUGAGUGUUUUGCUAUAUGUGACUUGGGUGCUAGUGUUUCUACAAUUCUGAAAUCUUUAUGUGAUGUGCUUGGUCUUAUCGAUAUUGAAGAAUGUUCUUUAAAUUUGUACUUGGCGGAUUCUACUAUUAAAAAGCCUAUGGGAAGAAUUAAUGAUGUUCUUAUUCUUGAAAAUAGGAAUUAUGUGCCUAUAAAUUUUAUUGUUCUUGAUAUUGAUUGCAAUCCAUCUUGUCCAAUUAUUCUUGGUAGACCGUUUUUACGCACUAUCGGUGCAGUGGUUGAUAUGAAAGAAGGCAAUAUUAAAUUUCAAUUUCCACUAAGGAAGGGAAUGGAACACUUCCAUAGAACAAUAAUUAGUCCACCAUAUGAAUCAAUCACGAGGGCAUCUUAUGGAUCUCGAAACAAAGAUGACAACACGUAGAUCUUUGCUUUAUGCCUAGCUAGGGGCGUAAAACGAUAGCGCUUGUUGGGAGGCAGCCCAGUGAAUAAAAUUUAUUUUUGCCUUUUUCUUUCUAUUCUUGAGUGUUUGCACAAUCAUGCGACUGUUUUGAUUGUGUUUUUUGUGUUUUAGUUAGUGUUUGUGCCAAGCAAAGCCUUUAGGAUCUUCUUGGGUGAUAGUAGUUUGAUCUUGCUAAAAACAGAAACUUUUACACUCACGCAAAUAAUUUUCAUAAAUCACAGAAACGUGAUUUUGCUCUGAUUAGUUUUGCAUAUGAUUAAUAUACAAAUUUCUUAGGUCUUCCUAAUUUUUCCAAAUUUUUGGAGUUUCAUAAGUAUUCGAAAUAUCCAGAUUUCUACAGACUAUUCUGUUUUUGGCAGAUUCUGUUUUCUUUGCCUUUUGUGCUUGUUUUGAUGAUUCUAUGGUCUUAUUUGAUGAGUUUUUGCCAUCAAAAAGUUGGAAUACAAUAGAUAUAAUGCAAAAAUAAAAUAUGAAUUGGUUUUAUACAAUACUUAUAGUAGUGAUUUGUUUUCUUAUACUAACGGAUCUCACGAAGGUUUUGUUGAGUUUUGUGUGAUUGAAGUUUUCAAGUUUCGGGUGAUGUUAUGAUGGAUGAAGGAAUAAGGAGUAAGAAGAGCCUAAGCUUGGGGAUGCCCAUGGCACCCCAAGCUAUUAUCCAAAGAUAAGCAAGCAACUAAGCUUGUGGAUGCCCUGAGUGGCAUCCCCUCUUUCUUCUAACGACCAUCAGUAUUUUACUCGAAGCUAUAUUUUAUUCAUCACAUACUAUGAGUUUUGCUUGGAGCGUCUUGUAUGAUAUGAGUCUUUGCUUGUUUUGCUUUGUGUUCUAAGUCUUGAAUCUUUGCUGGACGCACCUAUUUGAGAGAGCCAAAAUUAUGCCAUGACUUGUUAGAAUUGCUCUCUAUGCUUCACUUAAAUCUUUAUGAGCUAUGGAAUUGCUCUAGUGCUUCACUUAUAUCUUCUUGAGCACGGUGUGCUUUAAUAUUUUUGAAGAAAUACUCUCUUGCUUCACUUAUAUUUAUUUGCAAGUUAAUAACUUUUUUAAGAAAUUCUCUCUUGCUUCACUUAAAUUAUUUUGAGAUAAAGAAAAAAUAUGCUCAUGAUCUUCACUUAUAUUUGUUUGAGCUUAUCAAAAGCAACACAUGGAAAUUAGUUCCAAAUUGAUAGAUAUCCAAGGAGGAUAUAAUAAAAACUUUCAUGAAGAUCAUUAGAGAAAAUAAACUUGAUUCCUUGUAAUAGUUUUGAGAUAUGAUGAUGUGAUAUGUGAGUUAUGUUGAUGAGUAAUUGUGCUUUAGUAAGAAUAUUGGUGUUAAGAUUUGUGAUUCCCUAUGCAAGCAUGAAAGUCAAUAGUCAUGCAAUGAAAUUACAUCCUACUUGUGGUGCAUUAUUCGGUGUUAAUUAUUCUUAUUUCUCGCUUAUGAGAUUAUUCGUUUAUUGGUUGGUCGCAUCUCAAUCUUUUGCUAGCCUUCAUUUUGCACUAAGUAUGAUCACUACUUGUGCAUCCAAAAUCCUUUAAACCAGUUUUGCCACACGAGUCCACUAUAUCUACCUAUAUGAAGUAUUCUGUUGCCAUUCUAAGCAAAUUUGUAUGUGCCAUCUCUAAUUUUCAUAAUAAAUUUCUCUUUUGUGUGCUCAUACCGCUCGUGAGGUGGUGAGGGGUGGCCACCGAAAUUAAAGAUCUGAUGUUGUUCAUCUUUGCAACUGGGGCGAAGGUUUCAUCAUAGUCCACUCCAUAUGUCUGGCUAUAACCUUUCGCCACAAGUAUCGCCUUAUAUCUAUCUACUUUCCCUUCGGGUGUAUGUUUUAUGGUAAACACCCAAUUUCAACCUACCACUUUCUUGGUACAAGUAAGUGGAGUAAUUACCCAUGUAUUAUUCUUGUCGAGAGCAGACAUCUCCUUAGGCAUUGCUGCCCUCCAUUUUGGGUUUAAUUUUGCCUCCUGCCAGUCCCAUGGUAAGGGUUCUGCAGAAUCCAGUGAUACAUUUCCAACGUAUCUAUAAUUCUUGAUUGUUCCAUGCUAUUAUAUUAUCAUACUUGGAUGUUUUACAAUCAUUUUAUAUCAUUUUUGGUACUACCCUAUUUGCCCAGUGCUAGUUGGUGUUUUCUGCAUGUUUUUUACAUUGCAGGAAAUCAAUACCAAAUUGAGUCCAAACGCAGGGAAACAUUUUGUGUAUUUUUUUGGACCAGAAGACAUCCAGUGGACCAAAGAAGUACCAAGGAGGGGGACCGAGGUAAGCACAAGACACUUGGGCACGCCUGGGGCCAGGCGCGCCCUGGUGGGUUGUGCCCACCUCGGUGGCCUCCCGCACCACCUCUUUGCUCUAUAAAUACCCCCAAUAUUCCAGAAACCCUAGGGGAGUCGACGAAAAUCGAUUCCAGCCGCCAUAGAGUCCAGAACUACCAGAUCCAAUCUACACACCAUCACGAAGGGGUUCAUCAUGCCCAUUGGUGCCUCUCCGAUGAUGCGUGAGUAGUUCUUUGUAGACCUAUGGGUCCGUAGUUAGUAGCUAGAUGGCUUCCUCUCUCUCUCUUUUGAUUCUCAAUACAAUGGUCUCUUGGAGAUCCAUAUGAUGUAACUCUUUUUUGCGGUGUGUUUGUUGGGAUCCGAUGAAAUUUGAGUUUAUGAUCAGAUCUAUCUUUUUAUCCAUGAAAGUUAUUUGAGUCCUCUUUGAUCUCUUAUAGGCUUGUAUUUCUUCUCCGAUAUUUGGGUUUUGUUUGGCCAACUUGAUCUAUUUAUCUUGCAAUUGGAAGAGGUACUUUGUGAUGGGUUUGAUCUUACGGUGCUUGAUCCUAGUGAUAGAAGGGGAACCGACACGUAUGCAUCGUUGCCAUUAAGGAUAAAACGAUGGGGUCUAUUUCUACAUAAAUAGAUCUUGUCCACAUCAUGUCGUUGUUCUUAUUGCAUUACUCUGUUUCUCCAUGAACUUAAUACACUAGAUGCAAGCUGGAUAGUGGUAGAUGUGUGGAGUAAUAGUAGUAGAUGCAGGCAGGAGACGGUCUACUAAUCUUGGACGUGAUGCCUAUAUAAUGAUCAUUGCCUAGAAAUCAUCAUGAUUAUUUGAAGUUCUAUCAAUUGCCCAACAGUAAUUUAAUCAACCACUGUUUGCUAUUUUUCUCGAGAGAAGCCACUAGUGAAAUCUACGGCCCCCGGGUCUCUUCUAUAUUAUAUUUGCCUUCACGAUCUAUUUUUAUUUGCUUUUAUUUUCAGAUCUAUUAAAACGAAAAUAUAAAAAUACCUUGCUACACUUUAUUUUAUUUGCCGAUCUAUCUAUCGGUUUAUUACAACUUUCUCACAUCCACUUGCCAAUUUAUGGCGCCAUUACCCAAAAGGGAUUGACAACCCCUUUAAUACGUCGGGCUGCGAGUAUUUGUUAUUUGUGUGCAGGUGUCAUUCACAUAGUGUUGCGUGGUUCUCCUACUGGUUCGAUAACCUUGGUCUCAUCACUGAGGGAAAUACCUAUCGUUGUUGUGCUGCAUCAUCCCUUCCUCUUUGGGGAAAUACCUACGUAGUUCAAGCAAACAUCAUCUAGCGCUGCAAUAAAGGACUUAUAAGAAGGACUAACAAUAUCAUAAGAGACAUAGCUGGAGACAUUACAAGGAUCCAAUUUAGAGGGAAAUUUUCUGGCAUUAGCUUGUGGUUGCUUUCUAUAAGCGAUUGGGACAUCAAGGUCGUCACAUUGAGAAGAUAUGUUACCACUGUCCAAGGAAGGUGUAGUAUCACUAGUUUGAACUUGAAUAUUAUCUUUUUGGUCAGCCUCCUUCUCUUGCUCACCGUGUUUCCCAUAAGCCCCGGGCUCAAGUUCCAACACUUGGAUCUGUUCCUCCUCAAUAUGAUGUCUUCGUGUAUACACCUGAAUCUCCCUUUCCUCAUUUGGUUUUGGCCACCGGAAUGCUUCACUUGAUGUGUCAUACUGCUGCUCAUGUCUUCAUUCUUGCUUUGUUUCCUCUAGAAUUACCCAAAUUAUCAUCUUUUUGGAUCUCGCAUCAUCUUCCUCUUCCUUAUCUCCCCCUGUCUCACAAUCUGCAUCCAAAUUUUCAUUAGCAAACAAAUCAGGGAGGACAUCGGUUAAAUCUGUCGGUUCACCAUAGAAUGGUUCCUGCUCCCUAAAUACCACAUACAUACUCACAAACAUUCUCCUUUCAAAUGGACACCAACAUUUAUAUCCCUUCUGGUUACUAGAAUACCCCAUGAAUACACACUUUAACACCUUUGGAUCUAGCUUGCCAAUAGAUGGUCUAUAAUCCUUCACAAAACAAACACACCCAAAGACCUUAGGUGGAACCACAUAUUUUGUUUCACCCAUUAGACACUCUAACAGUGUUUUAUAAAAAAGUACCCUCGAUGGCAUUCUAUUCAUCAAGUAAGUGGCUAUAAUUACAGCUUCAACCCACAAAAACUUAGGAACAUUCAUAGAUAGCAUUAUGAAAUGAGUGAUUUCCAGAAGAUGUCUAUUCUUCCUUUCGGCCAAAUCAUUCUACUCUGAAGUAGCUGGACAAGUUGUGUGAUGAAUAGUCCCAAAACUGGAUAAGUACUCAUCAAAUUCCCUGUUCACAUACUCUAUGCCAUUAUCAGUGAGAAAUGUUUUCACACAUGCAUUAUAUUGCAUUCUGAUCAUAUUAUGAAAAUCAACAAAGCAUUCAAACACAUUGUUCUUGUUCUUCAACACGUAAACCCAAGUUAAUCUAGUACAAUAGUUAAUAAAGGUAACAAACGAGCGAUAUCCAUUUAAAUACGAAACUCCACUAGGACCCCACACAUCCGAAUGUAUAACUUGAAGUGGUGUGCCACUUCUGUUAUCAGAUGAUGUAUAGGAGCUACGUGUUUGUUUACCAUAUUGACAAGCGUCACAUACUAGACUUCCCUGGUUAAAUUUACUAUAAAGAGCAGGAUAAAUCCUACUAAGGGUGACAAAAGACAUAUGUCCUAGCCUGCGUUUGUGAAGAAGGAAUUCAUCAUGUGGUGAAUGGGACGCAACAACUGCAACCACAGGUGGCACAUUAUUAUCCAGAUAAUAUAGUCCAUCAUGCAUGAUCCCCGUCCCAAGUCUUCUUCCAGUCCCAAGUUCCCAAAACAAGCACCAUGAUGGAAAGAAGAUAGAACCACAAUUAAGUUCAUUUGUGAUGCAACUAAUGGAUAGCAGAUUUAUUGGGAAUGAGAGAACAUGCAAAACAGAUGACAAAGACAUAUCAGUGCUACACAUAAUUGUCCCAGAUCCCAUAAUGGUUUGGGAGGAGCCAUCAACUAUUUUAACAGUUUGCUUAUUUAAAUUAGGAGUAUAGUCAAUAAAAUUUCCGUGGGAACCAGCCAUAUGUCUAGAUGCACCUGAAUCUAAUAACCAUGGUGCAUCCAUGGACUUAUCUAUCAUAGUGUGAGAGUUGUUACCAUCAAAAAUUGCUAACGCAGCAGAGGUAGGCGCUUCAACAGUUGGCUUGUCACCUAGAGAAGGCCCCUUGAAUUGACACCACUUCUCCCAAUCCUCAGCAGUCAUCUCAACACUCAUAUUUGGGUGGUAUUUUCGGUGAUUACCGACAUGUUUGCUUUAGCAGUAGGGCGUGUACCUCGCCCAUGGCCAUGGCCUCUUCCAUGGUAGUCCUGCCCUCUUCCUAUGCCGCCUCCCAUUAACUCAGGGCAUGAAAACUUCAAAUGUCAUGGAUGACCGCACUCGAAGCAUGUCUUCUCAACUGUAUUUGAUCUCGACCUUUGAUAAUUUCCACCCUCUGCUACAUACAGUGAUGAUUGCCGCUGCAUGAUACCUUGCAUCACUGACCUGUCUGCCUCUAAUUUCAACCUGGUUUCCUCACUAAUGAUAGCUAAUAUUGCCUGCUUCAGUGUAGGAACCUUUCCGCCACCAUACAAUGCAAUCCUCUUGUUUUCAUACUUAGAAUGAAGUCCAAUUAGGAAGUCCCUCACACGUCUCUUUUCUGUCCACUCAUUAAAUUUCUCCAUGCACUUUCCACACUCCAUAUCAAUUGGAUCAGAGUAAUCAAUCUCACUCCACAAUCUCUUCAACUCAGACACAUAAUCCACAACUGACUUGUCACCCUCACUCAACCCCUGUAGUUCCUUCUGAAUUUUACAAGCAAGCAUCUCAUUACUCACUCCAGAAUAUGUACUUUUCAGUAGACACCAAAUUUUUGACGCCUCCUUAAUCCUUUCCACCUGCUUAGCAAUUUUAGGUGAGACUGAACUCAGCAGGCAUGCUCUCACUAAUGCGUUGGUCAUCUUCCACUUCUGGCCUUCCUUGGAGUUCUCGUCAGCUGGUUUUUCAAUUGCCCCAUGUAUGUAGCCCUCUAGGCUUCUUGAGACAAGAAUUGUCUCUACAUGCUCUGCCCAACUUGCAUAGGUUUCAGAUCCAUCUAACCUCACCAGGGGCAUUUGCAAUGGAUGAACCUCCUCCUUGACCUCUGCUUUUGGUUUUGGACUCCCUCCUUGCUUGUUCAUAGCCUCGAACAACAAUCUGUAUUUCUCAUCCAUGGCUUGCAACACCGCUACAAGCUCCCCUGCCGUGACUCCCGAUGGAGCGGCAUCCUUGUCACCCAUCAUUGCGAACCUAUCCUUGGUGCGCUGCUCUGACCUGGUGUUUAGCAGCAUAGAAAUCCUCUUGCUUCAGGAUUAAGCACACUUCUGACCUUCGGUGCUUCUUUCUCUGUUGCAACACAAGAGCAGCUCAUGCAUCCUCCCGUACACGAAUCUUUCCCAACAACACCACAUAACCACCUCCAGGGAGCACUCUCCUACACCUCUGCUUGGCACCUCCAGCCUGCUUCCACACCUACAGUUCUUCUUGCCUCCAAAUCAGUGGCUCUCCACCAACUGUUGCCCCAGCCGCAAUUAUUUGUACCCACUCGCUCCAAAUUCCCAGGGUUGUGCAUGACUCCUAUUGGCUAUUUGGCUGGUUUCCUUUUUCAGGACGAAAACAAGGAACGAGUUUUGGGAUUAUGCACUGGUGACGGUACGAACGGAGUAGGACAGUUGGCAAGCAAUACAAUGAGCUCUUCUUAUUGAUAAAGCCAGUAAUAAUCAAACUAGAAAGGAAAAGAAAAAAGAAAAAGAAAAAUAUCUGCAUGAAUCUUCGCGUAACAUCAAUGGCAUAGGAGUACCUAGAUGUGCAUUAUUUAGAGCACAUCUAGAUGUGCUUUAGCAAUACUGUCAAACAAAACCCCUAAUCAUCAUUGCAAACAGCGCAUAGAACAUGGCUAAUGCGACAAUCACAACAAGAUGUAGGAUCUUGAAGUAUGUCUAGAGGGGGGUGAUUAGACUACUUGACCAAAUAAAAACUUAACCUUUCCCCAAUUUUAGUCUUUGGCAGAUUUUAGCAAACUUAGCACAAGUUAAGAAAUCUUAACACAAUUCAAGCAAGCAUGCAAAGAGUAUAUGAGCAGCGGAAAAUAAAGCAUGCAGCUUGCAAGAAUGUAAAGGGAAAGGUUUGGAGAUUUCAAACGCAAUUUGGAGACAUGGUGAUUUUUGAGCCGUGGUUCCGAUAGGUGGUGCUAUCGUACAUCCACGUUGAUGGAGACUUCAACCCACAAAGGGUAACGACUGCGCGAGUCCACGGAGGGCUCCACCCAAGAAGGGUCCACGAAGAAGCAACCUUGUCUAUCCCACCAUGGCCUUCGCCCACGAAGGACUUGCCUCACUAGCAGUAGAUCUUCACGAAGUAGGCGAUCUCCUUGCCCUAACAAACUCCUUGGUUCAACUCCACAAUCUUGUCGGAGGCUCCCAAGUGACACCUAGCCAAUCUAGGAGACACCACUCUCCAAGAAAUAACAAAUGGUGUGUUGAUGAUGAACUCCUUGCUCUUGUGCUUCAAAUGAUAGUCUCCCCAACAUUCAACUCUCUCUUACAGGAUUUGGAUUGGGUGUAAGAAGUUUUGAGUGGAAAGCAACUUGGGGAAGGCUGGAGAACAAGAUUCAUAUGGUAGGAAUGGAAUAUCUUGGUCUCAACACAUGAGUAGGUGGUUCUCUCUCAGAAAUGGUAAGUUGGAAGUGUAGGUUUGUUCUGAUGGCUCUCUCCACGAACGACGAGGAGGUGGCGGGGUAUAUAUAGCCUCCACACAAAAUCUAACCAUUACACACAAUUUACCAAUCUCGGUGGGACCAAAUCAACAAACUCGGUCAGACCGAUUUAGUAAGCAAUGUGACCGUUAGGGUUUUCGGUGGGACCGACAUGCAACUCGGUAGGACCAAUAUGGUUAGGGUUAGGGCAUAACGUAAUCUCGGUGAGACCGAUUACACAAACUCGGUGAGACCGAUUUUGGUAAUAAGCUAACCAGAGAGUUGGUCAGGCAAACUCGGUGUGACCGAUUACACAAACUCGGUGGGACCGAUUUGGUAAUAAGUUAACCAAAGAGUUUGCAUUGUAAUCUCGGUAGGACCGAUUACUCAAACUCGGUAAGACCGAUUUUGAUAAUGGACAUACACAGAGAGAUUACAAUCCCAUCUUUGUGAGACCGAGAUCCCUAUCGGUGAGACUGAUUUGCCUAGGGUUUGUGGUAGUGGCUAUGACAUCUGAACUCGAUGGUGUCGGAUAGAAAGAAUCGGUGGGGCCGAGUUGGACUUUAGGUUUAGGUCAUAUGUGGAUGUGGGAAAGUAGUUGAGGGUUUUGGAGCAUAUCACUAAGCACUAUGAAGCAAGAAACUCAUUAAGCAACACCUCAUCCCUCCUUGAUAGUAUUGGAUUUUCCUGUGGACUCAAUGUGAUCUUGGAUCACUAAAAUGUAAAAUGUAGAGUCUUGAGCUUGAAGCUUGAGCCAAUCCUUUAUCCUUAGCAUAUUGAAGGGGUUCCACAUCCUUUAGUUCAUGCCACUUCAUUAUUGAACUUAUCUGAAAAAUAUACUAGGUAAAAGUGUUAGUCCAACAAGAGAUAUGUUGACAUUAAUUACCAAAAUCACCUAGGGAGCACUUGUGCUUUCAAUCUCCCCCUUUUUGGUAAUUGAUGACAACAUACAUCAAAGCUUUAGAUAGAGGAUAUAUAUAUAUAUAUAUAUAUAUAUAUAUAACUAUUCUGUUACCGGUAACAGAAUAUUAUUCUGUUACCCUCGGUCCCUAUAAGGGUGCGACGCGCAAACACAGUAGAAACUCCCUGACCCAUGCCCAAUUUAACCCGCCUCCUACCGCCGGAGGCAGCUGUCGCGGGCGAGCGAGCGACGGCAGCAGCCGGAGCGAGGGAGCCCGCGGCACCGUGACGGGUAGCUCCUCCGACACGCGCUGCCGCCAGCCCCUCCCCGUGCGCCUUCCCUCCGACGGGCGCCGCUACCUCCGCGCGCACCUCCCCGUUGAUGGGUGCCAGAUCCUUCCUGCAUGCCUCCCCUCCGAUGGGCUCGCCGGCCGCUCCCCGCGAGCCUCCCCGCCGACGGGUGCUGGCCCCUCCCCGUCCGCCACCCCCAGCUUCGAGAGUCAGUGCCCAUCCACGGAUUCAAGCAUCGCCGCCCACCCCCGGAUUGGAGGGACGGCGGCCUUCCUCCCGACUGCCUCCGCCGUGACUCUAGGUACCCACCUCCACUUCACGGUCGUUCACUAACAUGGGCACCACCGCCUCCCCCGUGCUUCCUCCCGACUGCUUCUCCUUGUGUGGUUGGGAACCAGCCCCCGUGCACUGCUUCAGCGCAGUCCCGGUCCAGGUACGGUGCUUACCAAAGUCCAGCUCUACCUCCCUUGCCCGUCCGAGCUCAACAAUUCUGACUACCGAUGCUACAAAUUCGAGUCUAGUGCGCCACUGAGGCUACAAGUUCGAGUCUAGUUCUCCACCGAGGCUACAAGUUCAAAUUACUACAACAAUUCAGAGAAGGGAACCAGAGAAGUUCAAAAAGAAAAACUCACAUCUGAAGUAUAAUCUAGUUUACCUUGUUGGUGCUAUUCCUAUGUAAUCUAGUUUGUUCGGGAUUGGGAUACUAGUAUGUAAUUGUUGAACUAAGAAUUUGGGAAAACUAAUUGGAUUACAUAUGUCAUCUCUUGCUGAAUUGUUGGUGCUAGACCUAGGUCGAGUGCGGAGUGCCGCUCCAGUUGUACUUCGGCGCUGCGGCAUGUGGUAGGGAUGCAGAAGGAACACCUCGGCUUUGGCGGGCAAGCACACCACGAGGUAAUGGAAAGCUCCAAUGCACACCUACAAUGUAUUUUGUGCUGAAUGUGUUGUUCUAAUCUGCUGUCAUCGCAAGCUGCUAUGAUGUGUUGUCACCAUUUAUAAUCUGUUAAUGACUGGUAUGUUCUUGUCAGUCAGUUCAUGUGUGUCCUUGUUGUCAGGUCGUGUUCAUCUUUUAUAUUCUACGGAUGUGUUCUGCUCUCCUCCAUUUUCAACUGAACGUGCUGCCAUGUGUGGAUUUCCCCUCUAACUCCACAACAAGUUGAAUCCCGAAAAUUAUAAUGGUAAGUGCAAGAUUCAGUACUCUCCAUUUUGAUUUUCUAUAAAAAAAAGGCCAAUCAUUCUUGUUGCUUCACAUACACUAGUAUACGGGAGUACUGGAAUCCAUCCACGGAACAAUCAAGCAACCAUAGAUAUCAGCCCACCACCGUGUUGCGUAUUUUCUUAUGCUUACAAGAAUUCUGCACUCAUACUGUUAUGCAUCAGUUCAAGUCGCUUAUGGAGUUUUAGAUAUAUGCAAUUGGAUUAGAGCACCAUGUCUCUCACCUAAAAGUUUGAAAAAUCAUUGCUUUCAGUUCUGGUAACAUAUAUUUUUGUUUUGGUUUUGCUAAUUCUUUCUCCAAUGGCCUUUAUAUAUUAUCUUUCAUAUGUCUUACUAUAUGAAAAAAUGUUGCCUUCAGCAAGCAAUCUUGCUUAGUUUUCUGGUUAGAAAAACAGACAACAUGGAUUACUACCAUGGGAAUUCAAAGAAAUGUCAUAUAUAAAAAUAGUACAAUUUGUGAGCUUCUUGCAGACUAAUGAUGAGUUACUAGAUAAACUAAGGGUCAUCUUUUAUGGGCUCGUGGCCGGAACACGAAGCUCAAGUUGUGGUCCAGUAUGUCAGAAAAAUUCAGCCACCCCGUGUCCAGGAACUUUGCCUCGACAGUACAACAUCACACUCUGUUGUCGGUCGCGAGAAGAGCUGCGUGCAAGCCACCCCGUGUCCGCCCUCGAUCCGUCUCAGUCAUCUCCCUCUCAUCCCCUCUCUCUCUGGUCUGCGUUUCUAUGUGCAGGGAGUGGGAGGUGAUAGAGCAGGGGAGUGGGAGGCCCUUCCAUGGCAAAUUCGUUGGCAUCUUCCAUGGAGAUAGCGACCUCUCUUGAUUUUUGCUUGAGGAUUUCUCCUCUGGAUCUGUCCACUGAAGUUCUUGUAUAGCGGUGUCCUUUUUUCUAGUGUUCCUUAAUGCUAAUGCAUGUGUUUAAUAACCCACUCAUACGAAUUCUAAAAACAAGCUUCAGUACAAGAAAAAUGGGUCGUUCAAUUCAAUUCUGAAUUAUAGGUGUGUGUAAACACAUCCUCCUUACACAGUAAAUAAUUAACUAUGAUACCAUGUUCAGACUUCUACAAAUCCCAAAACUAUGCAGAGUUAGGAUUGUUACUACCUUGUUUCUUACUAUUGAUUCAUUUUUAUACUAUAUUGAGAUGGUGCAUGUAGUUGGACAUCUCAAUAUACUGGUGAUUGCUUCUUGCUGCCUCUGUUUUUAUCAUGAUUUGGUGUGUGCACUGCAGGAGUGUUUUUGUUCCUAGAUCAGUUGCUCAACGACAGAAUUGUGUAUCGCACAGUACAUGUAUUACUACUAUGAAGGUUCAGAAAUAAGAACUCAAAGAAGUAUUGAUAGCAUAGCUACUGUAUAUUCAAGGAGUCGGGUUUUGCUCCUGCGCCAUCUCGUCUCCUCUGUUCAGCAAAAGCCUCUAGAUAAAUUCACACAUAUGGUUUUGUUCUUUCUAUAUUUCUUGAGUCCAGACUCCUUCGUUUUUUGUUCCUGAGAAAUUAAAUAAACGUGUAGAAGUUUGGGGUAUAAAAUUAUGUAUGUUUGAAAUCGGGAAACUGGUAAGUGCAGACAAAAUUAAAACUGUCAAAGAACAUGAGAGUGUUUGUCAAAGAACUGAGGCUUCCCCACGACAGUACAAAAAUUUUAAAUGUUCGAAUUUUGUUACAGCAAAAACUGAAUGGGUGGCAAGAUGAAUAUCAUUAUUAUUAAAAGUUUCUUUUUGAACUUCUCGGGUUAAUAUACAUGAACUUGAUUAUCUUUUUAAGCAGUUAAAUAUACAUGGUUGGCAAGAUGACUAUAGUUGUUAUAGCAAAAAUAGUACAUUUUUUCAAGAAAAGUUUCUGUUUGAACUUCUCCGGUUAAUAUAGAUGAACUCAAUUAUCUUUUUAAUAUGCACUCACAUGAGCUCGUUUGGAUUUGUGUGUAUAUUUGUAACACAAUCAGUUGAGAUCUGGAGAGAUCGUAAGUUCAGUUGGCCUUGGCAUCACGAGCGGGUUCAGUUCGAUCUCGCACAGUGGGCAGGUCCCCGAUGGUGUGUGCGUCAGGUCUACUCGCACGAGUGGACGUCAAAUCACGCAAGUGGGCAGGUCCCCAAUGGUAAGAACUAAGAACUUAUUCAAUUCCUGCUGCUAUCAAGCUGUUUGUUGAUAUGCUUACAAGAAAUGAAAUAUCCUUUUUGAUGUUUCUUUGUUGCCAAAUAAAAAGCUAAUAUUUACGGGCAUGUGCAAUAUAAACAUUUGUUAUGGAGUAGUACACAUUUUAAAACUUUUAUAUAAUUGCAAAAAAACAGGUAUUCUCAUUCCCAAAAUCCUACAAAAAAACAUCAACUUAUAUUGAUAGUUUUGGUUCUAGUCCUUAUGGCCCGGUUCUAGUAACUGUGUCGCCCGUGCAUUUUAGUUUUUUGUUAUCUCUCCUGGAUGCUUUUGAAGAGCUUCAAUUGUUUUUAGUUCAUAUUUUGAAUUCUUUUCAGUACAUCUACUUACCAAUCGUAAGUCAAGUUUCCUUUGUGUUUCCAUGAUAUUUCUAUAGCACAACAGGUGUGUGUGGUUAUGUUAAUGAGCGCAUGUAACAAAGUUUAUUUUGUAAGUUCAAAGAAGCAACGAGGUAAAAGCAAAAUACUAAAACCAUGCAGUUCUUGUAAAGAUAUCUGAAAGUUCAACAAUAAAAAUUAUAUAAGUUUAGUCUCAAGUGGAGAGAAGUUCCUGCAUCUUUGUCUGCCCGUGGAUGCUCGUGUGCUAUAGUUGCUUUCUCCCCUUCUUGCACAUGCUGCUACUCACCUUUUUAUCUCUCUGAUGCGUUGUGUCACACUACUACAGCUCGAUCCAGGAGGUGCUAGCUCAUGCUGGCUGGAACUAGGAUGCAAAACGGUUGACGGAUCCAUGCCGCACAAGCACUGGUGCUCUACUUUCUUCUUACUUUGUGUUCUAAUUUGCUUUCUUCUUAUUGACAAAACGGGGGGUGCUAAUAUUUUUUUAUUGAUGCAUGUUCAUGAGCAGUUCAAAACCUAAUAUUUUUAUUGACAAUUUGAACUUGCAACCUUACUAUCUUGUACUAUUCUAAAAAAAAUGUGCUCAUGCAGGUACUUGAAGGGUGCAGACUUGGCAGCGGAGUGGUUUGUUCAACAACAGUACAAUGACAGAAAGAACAUCAGUUCAAAAAAAUAUGCAAGAGGUUUGGGAGCCAAACAACUGGUAUUUUGUUGUGUUUUAAUUUUUUGGGUGCAUGAUUGAACAAAGAGAGAAGAAUAAUGUAUGAUAUAUAUACCGUUGUUGUAGGAGGUUCAAAGAUUGUCGUGGAGCAAGUUCAAGAGUUUGUUUUCAUGUGAAAAAAUGUGAUUUUUUGGUCAAGAUUUUGCAUGAUUGAUAGCCAUUAGUGGCAGCUGGCCAGCAGUUCAAGCCCGCAUGCGCGAGCCGCCCAUCGUCUUCCACACGUGAUCCUGUUGCUUGAUGAUGCUUGACAUGAACUGAACUAGCUCGAUGGAAUUGUUUUUCUGCAAUGUAAUGUAAAUGAAUAUGGUAAACAAACUGGGACACCAGAUUGUUUUAGAGGUGGAGUUUGUGCUCCAGUUGAGUUCCAGCAGAUUGUGGUUGCUGGUUGUUUCAAGUGAAGGUGGUUGGGCAUUACUUGUGUAGGACUGAAUGAAUCUUGUAUGUAAAGGAAACUGGAUCAAAUAGUCGUCGGUAUUAAGAUUUAAAAUUACAUUUUGAAUCAUUAUCUUGUGAUUUUAGGCUGAACUCCAAUACUUGCAUCCGCCACCCCAACGCCGAUGUGUUCCCUCGGUCCUCUCUCGACAAACCCAACAGUACAGGUUCUCCGAUGCGCCAAGUAUUGCCUGCGGUGAUGCCUGCAUCAUGGCCCAUUUGAGGAGAUCUUGUGUAUUCCACAUAGAAGAAAUAUUGUUUGUUCAUGAAUAUUCUCGCCAGGUAGGAUGUUUUGGAGAGGAAAACAUAAGUUUUUAAAAGAAGGAAUGGUAAAAAUGUAAGUCCGUUCAACUAUAUAAACCAUAAAAGUACGAUGGUGAUGACAUUGACAGUAAGGAUAAGGAUGAGAAAGAAAAUUAAAAACUAAAACUAAAAGAACAUUGAGUGAUUAUUUUUUGAGAAGUACAAACUCUCUAGUACCAUAAGUACCAUAAAUUAAAAAUUAAAAAUUGCCUAAGUUCUGACUGAAGGGGACAAAUUUGCAAAAAAAAUCAUAGCAGUAAAGGUUCGAAGGAAAAAAGCAACUUAACAAAUGGAAAAAACGACAAUGGAUUUAUAUUAUGUUAAUCACCGGUGUGCUCUUGUUUGUCAGUUCAUGUGUGCUCUUGUUAUCAGGUCGUGUGCCAACUUGUUAUUAAUUUUGUGUGUGUGUGAGUUGGUAAACCAAGUGUAGAUGCUGCAGAAAAAAGGCAUGGGAUGUGCUGCCGUCGGUUCUCUCUUGACAAAUCCAGCACUGCGGGUUCUCUGGUGCGCCAAGUAUUGCCGGCGGCGAUGCUUGCAUCAUGGCCCAUUGAGUAGAUGCAAUUUUCCUGAUUUUCACAGACAACAUGGAUUUUAGUUCAGCUACAGAAACCACGCAGGUUCAAUGAUAAUGAUACCAUAAGUUCAGACAAGAAAACAAAUAAGAAUUAAAACAGAAAAUUUUAAAUUAUACAAGUUCAAGUGCUCAUCCACACAUGAUAAUUCAAGUUGGUAAAAGUUUAAAAUGGUAAAAAGUUCAAGUUGCAAAAACAAGAGAAAUCUAGAACAUUCGUUGCAAAAAAAUUGACUUCAAAAAAAAGAAACACGCUAAAAAAAUUUGGCAAAAAAAUAACAUUCAGUUCAACAAUAAAAACCAUGCAAGUUCGGGCUAGGAUACAGUACACUGUUGAAAACUUACGAGAAAAAAAUUACCCAAAAACAGAGCAAAAUCUAAUUAGUGAAAACACGCUUAGUACAAACCCAUGCAAACAUGAGUACAAGUAUAGUUUUUUGGAACCAUUCAAAAUGACUGUACAAAAAUAGCUCAGUACAAACAUACACAUAUAUCAGUACGACUACUCUAUUUUUCAGACGAGAAAACAGUAGGAUCCGUCACGCCGUAUUCGAAAUUACUCUUAAACGGUUGCGAAGUAAAGAAAACGUCCAACAUGACUAAGUUUCACAUUUUCGAUAGCUAUCCAACGGUAUAUUAUUUGCCCCAUUUCGACAAACUUUUUAAAAAACCACGUUCGAAACCAAUUUUAACCGUAUUUUAAUUCGUAUUUAAACCAUAAGGAAUUAGAAAAAACUUUCUAUACGCAAAAGUUACGCAUUUUCCAUAGCUUUCCAAUGUCGCAUCAUUUGCGUCAACCGACAAACCGUUUGCAAAAAAUAGGGAAAAAACGUUUCCCCAGAAUUUUACCGUUUUUCAAAUUACUUUUAAAUCAUAUAGAAUUUGAAAAAAUAGUAGAUAUAUGGAAGAUGCGAAUUUUCACAAGCUUUCCAACGCCGUCUCAUUUGCUCAAUUCCGACAAACCAUUUGAAAAUUAGGUCCAAAAUACGAUUCGCGUUUUCGGUUUUCAAAAAAACGGUUUUUUCAAAAUUGCUCUUAAAUCAUAAUUUUUUUUGUAAAAAACAAAUUAUAGGAUUGUAAUGUGGAUGUCAAGAGCUUUCCAACGAUAUAUUACACGCCCCGUUUCGACAAAAAAAAUUACAAAAAAAUUUGAACUAAAGAAAACGAUUUUUAACAUAGGUAUAACAAUAUCGGGACGUGAAGCACAUAGGUAUAACAAUAAACCAAUCAUAGAGCAAUAAACCUUUUGAUCAACCGGUUCACCAUCUUUGGUCAAACCAAGAUGUCCACUAAUAGUCAUGGGUGUAGCCAUACCUUUGCAUUCUUGCAUAUUGAACUUCUUGAAUAAGUCCUUCGUCUACUUCGUUUGAGAGACAAAAGUACCUUCCUUAGUUUGCUUGAUUUGCAACCCAAGAAAGAAUUUGAGUUCACUCAUCAUUGACAUCUCAAACUUCUCCGACAGUAGCUUUCCAAACUUCUCACUAAAAUGAGGGUUAGUUGAUCCAAAUAUAAUAUCAUCAACAUAAAUUUGGCAUACAAAUAAUUCUCCAUUAACCCUUUUAGUAAAAAGUGUAGAAUCAAUUUUCCUAAUUUCAAAGCCUUUUUCAAUAAGGAACUUGGUUAAGCAUUUAUACCAAGCUCUAGGAGCUUGUUUAAGACCAUAAAGAGCUUUGCGAAGUUUGUAGACAUGAUUGUGUUUCUUAGGAUUGAUAAAGCCGGGAGGUUGUUUUACAUAGACUUCCUCCUCUAUUUCACCAUUUAGAAAAGCACUUUUGAUGUCCAUUUGUUACAAGGUGAUAUCAUGGUGAUUAUCAUAGGCAAGUAAUAUGCGAAUGGAUUUGUGACACUCCAAAAUUUUAAUUUGGUUUUCAUCAAAAAAAAACUUUGUGGUUUUUGAAAAGAGGCCAUUUAAUUUUUUUUUCCAGAAAACCUUCCUCUUAAAAACUUCCUUUGCUUUGGCAAGGAUUUUAUUUUUUUCAGACUUUGGUGUUUGAUCUUUUGAAACUUCUUCUCUGUUGGUUCCCUCUCAAAUUAUUUUGGGAGUUUAAUUUGUUUUUCUUUUAAAAUGAAACUCUAUGAAAAUUUGGGAUUUUCAUAUCUUGGAAACCACCCAUGACUUGGCAUUUUUGCCCAUGUGGUAAACCCCCUCCAAAACCUCCCCUACUCCUUGUAAUCAGCCUAAAUUCUCUGUCCCAACUAAUCCAAGCAAGUUUUGGAUUUUAUUCUAAUUAUUUUUCCUCUCAAAUCAAUUCUAUAAAUUAUUUUGAGCCUUAGUGAUUUUCAAAGCAAGUACCACUUUGCCUUUGAGUUUUUAUCCCAAACCAACUGUCCUGGAUAGUCCUUUGUACCCACAACCCAGAACCAUCUUGAUCCACUCCUCCUCUUUUCAAAUUUUUCAAAAUUCAGUCUCUGCAAGUUUGGACCAGAUUUGCCAAAUUUGAUGAAAUUCAUAUCUACACUCCUCCAAAAAUUCCACCAAAAAUCAUGCAGCCUACUGGAGCAAUGAGAAGCCACUCCACCAAAAAUCAGCUCAAGGAAAAAUCACCAGAGGCCAAAUUCAUUCUGUCGAACACCUUGCAUGCACUGUUGCUAUUCAAAAUUCAGAAAGAUUCAGAAUUCAGUGUCAUUUUUCGUUCGUCAGCUUCACUCACGCGUUCACAGUGCACUUGGCACGUUCCUCGCCGCCUCUUCCUACUGUAUGGAGCACCACACGCGCACUUGGCCUCUUCCUAGCGUCGGUGGCACGCUGGCCCGCCCUCGCCGGCGUCUUCUGCGGCGUCGGGACCUCCCGCGGCGGCCGACAGGGGACGGAACGGCGGCUCAACGCCGUUCGGCGCCGCCCAACGCCCGUCUGCUCUCCGCGUGGCCUCAUGCAUGCCAGCGCACGCCCGUGGCACCGUCGCCGUGGCCCAGCAAGCACGGAACAUGCUCACUGCCGGCGACGGGCCCGCGCCGUCCCGUUCUGUCGAACUCGCCCCUAGUACCAAAUCCCAGGCCGAUUAGCACCUAAAUGGAACCGGUGGACCUCAACGGCGUUUCCCAAGCCCCUAAUCCCACUGCCCAACCACAACGCCGCUGUAAUCACUCGCCGGACUUAUCCCGUUCGCGGCAACGCCUCGGGCCGGCUAUAUAUAGCGCCCCUAAGCUCCCUCUCGCCCCCGCACACCUCCACCACCUCACUGGACCCCGACCAGCAACUAGAAGAGCCUCGAGGGGCCCUUCUUCCUCGACUCCGGCCGCCUCGCUCCGCCUCGGCCACCAGCUCGAUUCGCUCCGGUGAGGCCGUCUCCGGCGCCCAAACCCCGUCCGUUACCCCCUCUAGCUACCAGAAGCCUAACCUACUCUUCAAUUUGAUCUUCACAGCUCUCUCCGAUGAAGUCCGCAACCACCCGAGCCGCCGUCCGCCGGAGCCAGGCUCGCCGUCGACGUGGUACUCACCGGCGACCACCACCACCACCAACCGAUGCGGAAUGGCACCCUGAACUCGGAGGUACCCUCCGAUCCCCCUGCCUCGCCGUGCAUCGCCGCCGGCGACCACCGCGGCUCUCGGGCGCCGACGAGCUUCAUUUCCCCCCUUUUGAAAGUUCAAACCUGACAGGCGGGACCCGCUGUCAGCCUCUCUGUCCUUUCUAAACGAAGCGUUUUUUGAAAACGCCUUCUGCCAAAUUCGCUUUCCCUUUGGGCUGGCGUAGUUUCUGCCGAAGCGUUUUCUGUUUUUAUAAGCUAGCCCCUGGAAAUCUUCUGUUUCAUUACAGAUGAGUCCCUGGACAAAAACCCUUAUAACUUUUAAACAAAAAAGUAUUUUUGAUUGAUUCUUUUUCUGUUCUCUUUAAAAUUUUGUCUAGUUUUUUAUCAGAUUUAUUUGAAAAUAUUUGGAAUACUUUUUGUGCACUCCUUGGUAUUUACGAUAGCGCAUAUAUUUUCUUUAUACCGUAGAUACCGAAGGAGGUGACGGAGCCGCGAACUUCACCGAGCUAGGAUCCGACUACUCUGAACCAGGCAAGCAUGUUUGAACUUUUGAUAUGAUGAGUGUCUUGGCAUGUUUUGCAUUUAGUUAGUUUCAUGACAUGUUGAGGAGCAUAUCGAUGAACGUUAUUUUAUGCAAUAAUGAGGUAAGUGAGUUCGAUGAUCCAUAAGUGGAUGGAUGUGAGUAUGAAUGGCCAUGUGUUGGCAUGAGGAUGGGUAAGAUGGCAGUGUCGUAGCAUGCCAGUCUUAUGCCAGACUAUGUGACUUCACUGUCAAACCGUAUCGGUCCAGUUCCUCUCAUUUCCUUCCCUGUACUACCACAUGUUUUCCGCAAGGAAUAUGGUUUAGUAAGUUGCAAACCGCUUUUCUGGUACACACCAAAAGGAGAGGCCGUGAUGAUGGUUCCAUGGCCCUGGAUUAAAGCCAGUCAUCCGGUCAGGGGGCAUGGGUGUUUCCAGUUGGGACCGAGAGGGGGGCACCCCUUAGAGCGCGCGUAUAUAAAUUUGAUCCCAUGCUAUUCGAGAUUGUGAUCUCCCCGUCUCAAAAGUUUUUCUUGGACGAUGUCUAGGGUGAUUCCUAGCAUCGAGAGGUAGGAUGGGUGUGUACUGGUUAGCUGUGUUUUCUUCCGAAAUACCGUAAACGGAACUAGUCCUUCGGGACUACGGAAAUCCGUUAGCUGUGGGAAAAAAUUUGUACAAACUCUGCAGAGUCAUAUAUUCCUCCAAAUCAUCUAUUCCAUGUCCUAGAUCGAUAUUAUCUUAUCCUGAUCAAAUGUCAGUUUUGAUGACAGAGACUCCGGUGAAUCGCAUGAGUGCUAAGUCCGGUUAAAUGAUUAUUCCUGUGGAUGGACUAACCCAUUUAUUCUCAUGAAUUGAACAUUUAUUAUGAGUAUUAUUUUCUUGCGAAUAAAAGCCCUUUCUGUGAUGUCGCCCCGAUGUCCGACUGUGGCAUUUCUUUUAAAAGUCCUUUCUGUGAUGUCGCCCCGACGUCCGACUGUGGCAUUUCUUUUAAAAGCCCUUUCUGUGAUGUCGCCCCGACGUCCGACUGUGGCAUUUCUUUUAAAAGCCCUUUCUGUGAUGUCGCCCCGACAUCCGACUGUGGCAUUUCUUUUAAAAGCCCUUUCUGUGAUGUCGCCCCGACGUCCGACUGUGGCAUUUCUUUUAAAGCCCUUUCUGUGAUGUCGCCCCGACGUCCGACUGUGGCAUUUCUUUUAAAGCCCUUUCUGUGAUGUCGCCCCGACGUCCGACGGUGGCAUUUCUUUUAAAGCCCUUUCUGUGAUGUCGCCCCGACGUCCGACUGUGGUAUUUCUUUUAAAGCCCUUUAUGUGGUGUCGCUAAGACGCCCGACUGUGGCAUCAUUUCCUUAUAUUUAUUUAUUCACCUUUCGAGGCGUUGCUUCAGACACCCGAUCGGUAGUUAUUUAUGUUUUGUUGGGAUUUCAGGCGGACUACCGCCGUUUCCCUUUUACUUACCUUGUUAUGCUAAUUUUUGAAUGUACAUUGGUGAAUUAUUCAUGACGCAUCCAUGCAUGCAUUUGUUAUAUCUUACGUCCGAACUGUCUUGCGAGUACUUUCAAAGUACUCACUGGCUUGUUGAUUUGGCCAGAUGCUGACGAAGGCGAUCUCAUGGAUGAAGAGUUUGAUAGCGAGUCCGACACCUAGAGGAGUCCCAGUCAGUCUCGUGCGACCCUGGAUUUGGUCACUGUUUUAUAUCCGCUUCCGCUACCAAAUAAAUUCAUCGAGCCUCACCUCGACGCUCGAUGAGAUGACAGACUUAGAGUCUUGUAUUUCUCUCCCCGCUGUGUUUCUCCACCACCGCCCUAUCCUCGAGUCAGUAGUAUGCCUCCACACCACUGUGUCAUGUCCGCCAAUAUGUAUAUUUAUUGGCGUGUUUAUAAUAAUCUGGUUGAGCAACCGUAGUUCGACCCUGUAAUAUAUUUUAUGCUACUGGCUUAUUGUAUCAAGAAUUUGUCUACCAAUAAGGAGGAUUUCUCUCAUACUGGACUCAAAAGAUUGGUUUCUCAAUAAAUAUUUUUAUUGGAAAACCGGUCGUGACAAGCUUGGUACCAGAGCCAGGCUGACUGUAGGAAGCCACUAGGUGCGAUCGCUAAUUGGUUAUUAGCAUGAUAGAGCUAAUUUAUAUUUUUUUCAAUUGUAGUCAUUUUCUGUCAGUCAGCAUAAAUUUAUGAUCUGACCAUGCAGAAUUUUUGCCUACUUUUGUAGAUGGCCGACAACAGCUGCGAGUCUCAGACCUUCGCCAACGUGCCCAAUGGGUUCGUCAAGCUUCUUUCCUUCAUCGUUCAGGUCACGAUGGGGCCAUCUGUGCGCCCAGUUUUCACACUCUGCCAGCACCGAGUCAACGAUAGUCUGACCAUGCACCAGGCCGCGGUGCAGUUCAAGGGAGGGCGUGGUGAGUUACGCCGCUUCCGGUUCGUGGGAAGAGCCAUGCCUACGGAGAGGCAUGCUAUGCAGAUGGCAGCCCGCGAGGCGAUAGCUCGUCUCAGGGAUGUCCUCCCCGUGAUGAAGACUCGUCGUUACCAUUAUCUUCCGUGCCAUGUGCCUUACACCUGUCACUAUGCAUACUCCUGCCCCAGAGGAGAACGAGACGAGGCUUUUGAGAUGCUCAUUGAGUAUCUCCGGGCCCUGGAGGCAGCCUUUGACAACCUGGUGGACGACUUCGUAGCUACCCGCAUGGACUCAGUUCAUGGCUGUGCUGCCAACAGGAGGGAGCUCCUACCCAUCGCACCGCCACUGACUUUGGUCUCGUCCUCAGCAUCUUAUACGCCUACUCGUCGCCUGCCUUCUACUGAAGAAUUCAACCAACUCAUUGCGCCCACCCCAGCGCGCACUGCACCACCCUUCGCACCCACUCCUGUACGUAUAGCUCCGCCCCUGGCAACCGCUCCGUCCACUCUGCGCAACACUACACGUAUGGAGCCCAUUAGCGAGGAGGAAGUCGAGUCCCCAACCUCGCUACGCCUUGCCCUCAGCAGGGCAAAGGAGGUCGUCAACAUCUCUGCCUGAGUACGCCUAGCUGCCAUGUAAUGUACCGCUUUGUAAGAUAUGUACAUAGGUUGUGAGAAGUAGCCUGUUUGCGCAUCAUGUAGGAUCUGGAGAAGUGCACUAGCCUAAAUAACAUGUCAGGAUUAUGUAUGCAUAUCCUGAGUGAUGUAUUGUAUAAUUACCGCCCGCGUGUAAGAUAUGUAAUGAGCAGUCCUUCUCCGUGCGCAAGUCGAUUUGUUUUUCUUAAGUAAGCUUGGUUAUUUAAUUGUAUUUGCCAACUUUAUGCAUUUUAUGGAUUUGUUUUUGUGACUCUUUCCGCUUUUCUUAUGGGGUUUACAAAUAUAUCCCCAGAGUGAAAAAUGUCUCGUCCUUGGACUCGCUCCAUGCCAAUUCCACCAGAGGAAAAUUUUGAUGCACAACCCAGCAACGAGUUCACUCAGGGACAGUCAAGCCAACAGGGCAGUGAAUCGGCACUUUCACAAAUGUGCCGCCUUUAUGAGCAGAGUCAGCAACAACAUCGGGAAAUGAUGAACCAAGUCAUCAACAUGGGAAAUCACCAUGGACAGUAUCAGCAGCAUUCCAAGUUAUCUGAGCUACAGAAGACACGUCCUCAAACAUUUUCUCACACUGACAAACCUCUUGAAGCCGAGGACUGGCUUCGAGAUAUGGAGAGAAAAUUAAUUAUUGCAAAAUGUUCAGACCCCGAAAAGGUAUUAUAUGCUCCGCACUAUCUCACAGGAGCAGCCGCAUCGUGGUGGGAGAAUUUUCUGCACAUGCAUCCCAACGAAAAUGACAUAACCUGGGAUGAUUUCAAGGAAGGUUUCCGUGGUGCACACAUUCCUAAGAGUAUUAUGAAAAUCAAGAAGAGAGAGUUCGAUGACCUCAAACAAAGGAACAUGACAGUGUCAGAUUACAACAGUCAAUUUACUCUAUUGUCCCGCUACGCCAAUGAAGAGCGUAUGACUGAAAUCAAGAAGAUGGAGAAAUUCCUUGAUGGUCUAGCGCCCGCGCUUAAAUGCCAACUGGUCGUGCACACCUUUCCUGAUUUUAAAACACUGGUGGACAAAGCCAUUACUCUGGAAAAUGAGAGACGCAGUCUGGAAGACAUCCGCAAGCGAAAAAGGGACCAGACUAACCAUGCUCGCAAUCACCGAAGCAAGACAGAUUUUCAAAAGGGUGGGACACACAAAUCCUCAUCCAAUGUCUCACGCCCAAUCAAGAAUUUUCAUGCAAGGGACAAGGAAUUCACCUAUCGCCCCGGCGUUACUUGUUACGCUUGUGGAGAAGAAGGGCACUAUGCCAAACAGUGCCCCAAGCCAAGGAAUUCAACCCCAAAGCCGAACAACGGCGGCAACAAUUCCGCGCCCAAGAGAAACAAUUUCAAUCCCAACAAUAACCACAGGAAGGGUCAUCUGAACCACGUAACCAAAGAGGAGGCACAAAAUGCUCCGGAUAUCGUACUCGGUACGUUUCCUGUCAACACAAUACCUGCAAUGGUUUUGUUUGAUUCUGGAGCUUCUCACUCUUUCAUUUCAAAAAGUUUUGCUUUGCAAAAUAAUUUUUCGAUGCUUCCCUUGGAGAAAUCCAUGACCAUCAAGUCCCCUGGGAUUCAGCAAGUUACUCAGAAUUACUGUCAGAAUGUGGUCAUUGAGUUCGAAGGAUUGGAGUUUCACGCAAAUCUUAUUGUGUUGGAAAAUAAAGGACUGGAUGUCAUCCUAGGGAUGGAUUGGCUAACCACCAAUAAGGGUUUUAUCGACUGUUUCAACAGGACCGUAAUUCUCACACACCACCAAGGGAAGACAAUAAGAGUAUCAGCCAAGGAAGGAAAAAUACCCCGGCAACCGAGAUUAAAUAAGGUGGACGUUUCUGAGCUAAACAAGGUUCCAGUAGUGUGUGAAUUUCCAGAUGUAUUCCCUGAAGAACUACCAGGCAUGCCACCAGAUCGAGAAAUAGAAUUCCGCAUUGAGCUAGCACUAGGAACCACCCCCAUAUACAAGAAACCAUACAGAAUGGCACCAUCCGAGUUGAUCGAGUUGAAGAAACAAAUAAAGGAAUUACUGGACAAGGGAUACAUUCGAGCCAGCUCCUCACCUUGGGGAUCACCAAUUUUAUUUGCCAAAAAGAAGGAUGGAACGCUGAGAUUGUGUAUUGACUAUCGAGCACUUAACAUGGUCACAGUCAAAAACAAAUACCCGAUGCCAAGGAUAAACGAUUUGUUUGAUCAACUCGCUCAGGCCAAGGUAUUCUUAAAAAUUGACUUAAGGUCAGGAUACCAUCAAUUGAAGGUACGAAGGAAGAUAUCCCCAAAACAGCCUUCACCUCCAGAUAUGGACUGUACGAGUUCACAGUGAUGCCAUUUGGAUUAACUAACGCCGCAGCAUAUUUUGUUCACCUCAUGAACAAAGUAUUUAUGAAGCUUAUGGACAAGUUCGUCGUGGUAUUCAUCGACGAUAUUCUGGUAUACUCCAAGACACCAGAAGAGCACGCAGAACAUCUCAGGAUUGUGCUAGGAGAGCUAAGAAAACACCAAUUGUAUGCCAAGUUCAGCAAGUGCGAAUUUUGGCUAAGACAAGUAGGCUUUCUAGGCCACGUGCUGACCCAAGACGGUAUCGCAGUGGACCCAGAGAAAGUCAAGGCCGUACUUGGCUGGAAGUCACCAGCCAGCGUAACGGACAUACGGAGUUUCUUGGGAAUGGCAGAAUAUUACCGCAGAUUUAUUGAAGGAUUCUCCACCAUAGCCAAGCCUAUGACACAGUUGCUCAAGAAAGAUAAGAAGUUUGAAUGGACAGAAGCCUGCGAGAAAAGUUUCCAAGAGCUAAAGCGGAAGUUAACGACAGCACCGGUAUUAAUUGUACCCGACAUACACAAGAAUUUUGAAGUAUAUUGUGACGCGUCCAGAAAGGGUCUCGGAUGCGUGUUGAUGCAGGAAGGCAAGGUUGUCGCCUACGCUUCAAGGCAACUUCGCAAGCAUGAGGAAAACUAUCCCACUCAUGACUUAGAAAUGGCAGCAGUUAUUCAUGCACUCAAGGAAUGGAGGCAUUUCUUACUUGGGAAUCGAUGUGAAAUAUAUACGGAUCACAAAAGUCUCAAAUAUAUUUUCACACAGCCAGAACUAAACUUACGGCAACGACGUUGGUUGGAGUUAGUAAAGGAUUAUGAUGUUGGUAUCCAUUACCAUCCAGGAAAAGCAAAUGUAGUGGCCGAUGCUCUUAGUCAGAACCCCAGCUCCGACGAAAACAAGCUGCACAGCUUGAGGCCCGAAUUCCAACAAGAAUUUGCCAAGCUCAACUUGAUAAUGGUAGCAGAAGGCACCAUAUCAAACUUGGAAAUAGAACCCGACCUUGUGGAGAAAAUCAAAGAAGCUCAGCCCGGUCACACCAGCAUCGAAGGCAUCAAAAGAAAGUUGAGUAUGGGCAAGGCCUCGGAAUUCGUCAUAGACAAUGAAGGAAUAUUAUGGUACGGAGAAAGGCUCUGCGUGCCAAACAUAGAAGACCUUAAACAGCAAAUUUUAGCUAAAGCACACACCACUCCAUAUUCAAUCCACCCUGGAGGAACCAAAAUGUAUAAGGAUAUUCAGGAAAGAUUUUGGUGGCACGGUAUGAAGAGGGACAUAGCCACCUUCAUUGCAUGUUGCGACUCAUGUCAACGCAUAAAAGCUGAGCAUCAGAGACCAGCCGGACUACUGCAACUGAACAAAAUACCUGAGUGGAAAUGGGAUGAAAUAGGGAUGGAUUUCAUUGUCGGACUACCUCGGUCACGACACGGGAAUGAUGCCAUAUGGGUCAUCACUGACAGGUUAACCAAAGUGGCACACUUUAUUCCAAUAAAGACGACCUACAACACUCAGAAGCUUGCCAGGAUUUAUCUCUCCCGUAUAGUAUGUCUGCAUGGAGUCCCGAAGACUAUAAUAUCCGACAGAGGCACUCAGUUCGUCUCGAGAUUUUGGGAACAUUUACAACAGGCUCUGGGAACCCAACUAGCCUUCAGUACCGCAUACCACCCACAAACUGAUGGACAAACAGAACGCGUAAACCAGGUUUUAGAAGACAUGCUGAGAGCAUGUGUCCUCACAUAUGGAACCAGUUGGGAAGAAAGUCGUCCAUACGCCGAGUUCGCGUAUAACAAUAGCUACCAGGCCAGCCUACAAAUGGCACCAUUUGAGGCUUUAUACGGACGAAGAUGUCGUACCCCGUAAAAUUGGUCAGAGACCAGAGACAGCCACAUCUUCGGACCAGACAUGCUUAGAGAAGUCGAGGAAAAGGUCAAGCUAAUCAGAGACCGACUUAAGACCGCUCAAAGUCGACAGAAGAGUUAUUAUGAUCAGAAACAUCAUAGGGUCAGCUUCGAACCCGGUGAGUUCGUAUACUUGAGAGUAUCCCCUAUGAGAGGCCUGCAACGGUUUAAGAUUAAAGGAAAGUUAGCACCAAGAUUCAUUGGACCAUUCUGCAUAGUGGCACGAAGAGGCACUGUAGCCUACCAGCUAGACUUACCCGAGGAAUUAUCCGAUGUCCACGACGUGUUCCAUGUCUCGCAAUUGAGGAAGUGCGUAAGCAACCCAGAGAAACAAGUAUCCCAUGAAAACAUUGACGUGCAGCCAGACCUCACUUAUCGGGAACGUCCCGUAAGAAUAUUAGAGGAGUCUGAAAGGAGGACCCGACAGAAGACCAUCAAGUUUUCAAAGUCCAAUGGAGCAAACACAACGACAGUGAAGCAACUUGGGAAAGCGAGGAUUUUCUUCGGACAGAGCAUCCACACUUAUUUAAGGAUCAGCUGAAAUCUCGGGGACGAGAUUUUUCCUAAGGGGGUAGGUGUUGUGACACUCCAAAAUUUUAAUUUGGUUUUCAUCAAAAAAAAACUUUGUGGUUUUUGAAAAGAGACCAUUUAAAUUUUUUUUCUUCAGAAAACCUUCCUCUUAAAAACUUCCUUUGCUUUGGCAAGGAUUUUAUUUUUCUCAAACUUUGGUGUUUGAUCUUUUGAAACUUCUUCUCUGUUGGUUCCCUCUCAAAUUAUUUUGGGAGUUUAAUUUGUUUUUCUUUUAAAAUGAAACUCUAUGAAAAUUUGGGAUUUUCAUAUCUUGGAAACCACCCAUGACUUGGCAUUUUUGCCCAUGUGGUAAAACCCCUCCAAAACCUCCCCUACUCCUUGUAAUCAGCCUAAAUUCUCUGUCCCAACUAAUCCAAGCAAGUUUUGGAUUUUAUUCUAAUUAUUUUUCCUCUCAAAUCAAUUCUGUAAAUUAUUUUGAGCCUUAGUGAUUUUCAAAGCAAGUACCACUUUGCCUUUGAGUUUUUAUCCCAAACCAACUGUCCUGGAUAGUCCUUUGUACCCACAACCCAGAACCAUCUUGAUCCACUCCUCCUCUUUUCAAAUUUUUCAAAAUUCAGUCUCUGCAAGUUUGGACCAGAUUUGCCAAAUUUGAUGAAAUUCAUAUCUACACUCCUCCAAAAAUUCCACCAAAAAUCAUGCAGCCUACUGGAGCAAUGAGAAGCCACUCCACCAAAAAUCAGCUCAAGGAAAAAUCACCAGAGGCCAAAUUCAUUCUGUCGAACACCUUGCAUGCACUGUUGCUAUUCAAAAUUCAGAAAGAUUCAGAAUUCAGUGUCAUUUUUCGUUCGUCGGCUUCACUCACGCGUUCACAGUGCACUUGGCACGUUCCUCGCUGCCUCUUCCUACUGUCUGGAGCACCACACGCGCACUUGGCCUCUUCCUGGCGUCGGUGGCACGCUGGCCCGCCCUCGCCGGCGUCUUCUGCGGCGUCGGGACCUCCCGUGGCGGCCGACAGGGGACGGAACGGCGGCUCAACGCCGUUCGGCGCCGCCCAACGCCCCUCUGCUCUCUGCGUGGCCUCAUGCAUGCCAGCGCACGCCCGUGGCACCGUCGCCGUGGCCCGGCAAGCACGGAACGUGCUCACUGCCGCCGACGGGCCCGCGCCGUCCCGUUCUGUCGAACUCGCCCCUAGUACCAAAUCCUAGGCCGAUUAGCACCUAAAUGGAACCGGUGGACCUCAACGGCGUUGCCCAAGCCCCUAAUCCCACUGCCCAACCACAACGCCGCCGUAAUCACUCGCCGGACUUAUCCCGUUCGCGGCAACCGCCUCGGGCCGACUAUAUAUAGCGCCCCUAAGCUCCCUCUCGCCCCCGCACACCUCCACCACCUCACUGGACCCCGACCAGCAACUAGAAGAGCCUCGAGGGGCCCUUCUUCCUCGACUCCGGCCGCCUCGCUCCGCCUCGGCCACCAGCUCGAUUCGCUCCGGUGAGGCCGUCUCCGGCGCCCAAACCCCGUCUGUUACCCCCUCUAGCUACCAGAAGCCUAACCCCCUCUUCAAUUUGAUCUGCACAGCUCUCUCCGAUGAAGUCCGCAACCACCCGAGUCGCCGUCCGCCGGAGCCAGGCUCGCCGUCGACGUGGUACUCGCCGGCGACCACCACCACCACCAACCGACGCGGAAUGGCGCCCUGAACUCGGAGGUACCCUCCGAUCCCCCUGCCUCGCCGUGGAUCGCCGCCGGUGACCACCGCGGCUCUCGGGCGCCGACGAGCUUCGUUUCUCCCUUUUUGAAAGUUCAAACCUGACAGGCGGGACCCGCUGUCAGCCUCUCUGUCCUUUCUAAACGAAGCGUUUUCUGAAAACGCCUUCUGCCAAAUGCGCUUUCCCUUUGGGCUGGCGUAGUUUCUGCCGAAGCGUUUUCUGUUUUUAUAAGCUAGCCCCUGGAAAUCUUCUCUUUCAUUACAGAUGAGUCCCUGGACAAAAACCCUUAUAACUUUUAAACAGAAAAGUAUUUUUGAUUGAUUCUUUUUCUGUUCUCUUUAAAAUUUUGUCUAGUUUUUUAUCAGAUUUAUUUGAAAAAUAUUUGGAAUACUUUUUGUGCACUCCUUGGUAUUUACGAUAGAGCAUAUAUUUUCUUUAUACCGUAGAUACCGAAGGAGGUGACGGAGCCGCGAACUUCACCGAGCUAGGCUCCGACUACUCUGAACCAGGCAAGCAUGUUUGAACUUUUGAUAUGAUGAGUGUCUUGGCAUGUUUUGCAUUUAGUUAGUUUCAUGACAUGUUGAGGAGCAUAUCGAUGAACGUUAUUUUAUGCAAUAAUGAGGUAAGUGAGUUCGAUGAUCUAUAAGUGGAUGGAUGUGAGUAUGAAUGGCCAUGUGUUGGCAUGAGGAUGGGUAAGAUGGCAGUGUCGUAGCAUGCCAGUCUUAUGCCAGACUAUGUGACUUCACUGUCAAACCGUAUCGGUCCAGUUCCUCUCAUUUCCUUCCCUGUACUACCACAUGUUUUCCGCAAGGAAUAUGGUUUAGUAAGUUGCAAACCGCUUUUCUGGUACACACCAAAAGGAGAGGCCGUGAUGAUGGUUCCAUGGCCCUGGAUUAAAGCCAGUCAUCUGGUCAGGGGGCAUGGGUGUUUCCGGUUGGGACCGAGAGGGGGGCACCCCUUAGAGCGCGCGUAUAUAAAUUUAAUCCCAUGCUAUUCGAGAUUGUGAUCUCCCCGUCUCAAUUUUUUUUCUUGGACGAUGUCUAGGGUGAUUCCUAGCAUCGAGAGGUAGGAUGGGUGUGUACUGGUUAGCUGUGUUUUCUUCCGAAAUACCGUAAACGGAACUAGUCCUUCGGGACUACGGAAAUCCGUUGGCUGUGGGAAAAAUUUUGUACAAACUCUGCAGAGUCAUAUAUUCCUCCAAAUCAUAUAUUCCAUGUCCUAGAUCGAUAUUAUCUUAUCCUGAUCAAAUGUCAGUUUUGAUGACAGAGACUCCGGUGAAUCGCAUGAGUGCUAAGUCCGGUUAAAUGAUUAUUCCUGUGGAUGGACUAACCCACUUAUUCUCAUGAAUUGAACAUUUAUUAUGAGUAUUAUUUCCUUGCGAAUAAAAGCCCUUUCUGUGAUGUCGCCCUGACGUCCGACUGUGGCAUUUCUUUUAGAAGUCCUUUCUGUGAUGUCGCCCCGACGUCCGACUGUGGCAUUUCUUUUAAAAGCCCUUUCUGUGAUGUCGCCCCGACGUCCGACUGUGGCAUUUCUUUUAAAAGCCCUUUCUGUGAUGUCGCCCCGACAUCCGACUGUGGCAUUUCUUUUAAAAGCCCUUUCUGUGAUGUCGCCCCGACGUCCGACUGUGGCAUUUCUUUUAAAGCCCUUUCUGUGAUGUCGCCCCGACGUCCGACUGUGGCAUUUCUUUUAAAGCCCUUUCUGUGAUGUCGCCCCGACGUCCGACGGUGGCAUUUCUUUUAAAGCCCUUUCUGUGAUGUCGCCCCGACGUCCGACUGUGGUAUUUCUUUUAAAGCCCUUUAUGUGGUGUCGCUAAGACGCCCGACUGUGGCAUCAUUUCCUUAUAUUUAUUUAUUCACCUUUCGAGGCAUCGCUUCAGACACCCGAUCGAUAGUUAUUUAUGUUUUGUUGGGAUUUCAGGCGGACUACCGCCGUUUCCCUUUUACUUACCUUGUUAUGCUAAUUUUUGAAUGUACAUUGGUGAAUUAUUCAUGACGCAGCCAUGCAUGCAUUUGUUAUAUCUUACGUCCGAACUGUCUUGCGAGUACUUUCAAAGUACUCACUGGCUUGUUGAUUUGGCCAGAUGCUGACGAAGGCGAUCUCAUGGAUGAAGAGUUUGAUAGCGAGUCCGACACCUAGAGGAGUCCCAGUCAGUCUCGUGCGACCCUGGAUUUGGUCACUGUUUUAUAUCCGCUUCCGCUACCAAAUAAAUUCAUCGAGCCUCACCUCGACGCUCGAUGAGAUGACAGACUUAGAGUCUUGUAUUUCUCUCCCCGCUGUGUUUCUCCACCACCGCCCUAUCCUCGAGUCAGUAGUAUGCCUCCACACCACUGUGUCAUGUCCGCCAAUAUGUAUAUUUAUUGGCAUGUUUGUAAUAAUCUGGUUGAGCAACCGUAGUUCGACCCUGUAAUAUAUUUUAUGCUACUGGCUUAUUGUAUCAAGAAUUUGUCUACCAGUAAGGAGGAUUUCUCUCAUACUGGAGUCAAAAGAUUGGUUUCUCAAUAAAUAUUUUUAUUGGAAAACCGGUCGUGACAGGAUUUAAGUCUAGCAAUGGGAGCAUAAGUCUCACCAUAGUCCAUACCUUUAACUUGUGUGUAACCUUGGGCGAUGAGACGUGCUUUAUUGCAAACUACUUGUCCAUCUUCAUCUUGCUUGUUGCGAAACACCCGUUUGGUACCGAUGAUGUUGUGGUUGUUGUCGGGCUUCUCAACCAAUGUCCACACUUGAUUUCUCUCAAAGUUGUGUAGCUCUUCAUGCAUGGCGUUUAUCCAAUCCGGAUCUUCCAAUGCUUACUCAACCUUCAUAGGUUCAAUGCUAGAGAUGAAUGAAUAGUGUUCACAAAAGUUAGCCAAACGAGUUUUAGAGCGAGUGAUUCUCCCGGUUGGAAUAUCAUUGUAGAUUUGCUCAACAGGGUGGUCUUUAGAAAUUCUUGCUCGAACUCGUGAAAGCUUUUGCUUGGGUCUUGGUUGAACAUCUUCUUCAUCUUGUUCUUCUUCUUGGCCUUCUUCAUUAUUGGCGUUGUCAUUCCCUUAGCGUGGUGGAGAAGGAGGUUGUUGACGUUCUUGAUGUACUUCCUCGUUUUCUUCAUCUUGGUGUGUCCCACUUGUGGAUGCUUCCAUAUCAACUCUUGGUUCACCUUGUCGUGAGGUAGAAGCUUCCACUUGGACGGACGAGGUACUCUCCUUCACCUCCGUUGGACGAAUCUUGCCAAUAGACAAGUCUUGGAUUGCUUCCGAGGGGUCUUUGUCUCCUACAUCAAUUGGCAAUUGCUCUACUUACGAGCCGUUAGAUUCAUCAAACUUCACAUCUACCGUCUCUUCAACCUUUCGGGUGAAAUUGUUGUAGACACGGUAUGUGUGAGAGUUUGAGCCAUAACCAAGUAGGAAACCUUCAUGAGACUUAGGAGCAAAUUUAGAACGACGAUGCUUAUCAAGAAUGUAGCACUUUGAGCCAAAUACUCGAAAGUAUCCAACUUGGGGUUUUUUACCGGUGAGGAGUUCGUAUGCCGUCUUGCCGAGUAGCUUGUGAAGAUACAAGCGAUUUGUUGCAUGACAAGCUGUCUCAACCGCUUCUGCCCAAAAGUGCUUUGGCGUCUUGUACUCAUCAAGCAUCGUUCUUGCCGUUUUGAUGAGCGUCUGGUUCUUCCUCUCAACAACUCCAUUUUGUUGAGGUGUGUACGUAGCCGAGAACUCAUGUGAAAUCCCUUCUUCAUCAAGAAAGGUGUCCACAUUUGCGUUCUUGAACUCCAUUCCAUUGUCGCUGCGAACCUUCUUAAUCUUCACUUCAAACUGAUUUUGAGCCUUCCUGGCGAAGUUUUUGAAGAUCUUUUGGACCUGCGAUUUGUCAUCGAGAAAGAACACCCAUGUAAAUCUUGAAAAAGCAUUAACUAUAACUAGACCAAAUGAAUUUCCACCGAGACUUUUGUAGGCGUUGGGACCAAAAAGAUCCAUGUGAAGUAGCUCAAGUGGCCUCCUUGUGGUCAUGAUGUUCUUCACGGGAUGCCUUCCUCCAACCUGUUUACCUGCUUGACAAGCACUGCAAAGUCUAUCCUUAUCAAAUAUGACAUCGUUAACACCAAGGAUAUGAUUCCCUUUAAUAAGCUUGUCAAGAUUUCACAUGCCAACGUGACCUAAUCGUCUAUGCCAUAACCAACCUUUAGAGGAUUUAGCAAUGAAGCAAGUUCUAGGUUGAGCCUUUUUAGUGAAAUCAACAAUGUAAAGAUCACCUCUGCGUAUACCGGUAAAGACCAUUUUAUGAUUGUCUCUAUGAAACACUUGACAAUCUACUUCAGUAAAUAGGACAUUGAAACCGAAAUCAGCAAGUCUAGAUACUGAAAGUAAGUUGUAGCCAAGAGAUUCAAAGAGCAUAACAUUUUGAAUGGAGCUAUCAUGUGAGAUGGCCACCUUACCGAGGCCAACCACCUUACCCCUUGAGUUGUCACUGAAAGUGACAUACCUUCAAGGACCAUCAUUUUUAGCAAGCUCACGAAACAUGUCUUUAUCUCCGGUCAUGUGAUCGGUACAUCCACUAUCAAGAACCCAUUCCUUUCCUCCUUCCAUAUAUCCCCGAAGAUUUGCCAUAAAACCAAAGUGUCUCAUUGCAUCAUCAAGAUCAAAGUCAUCAUCAUCAUCCUCAUCAUAGUAUCCAUGUUUGACAUCGUCAUGUGGUGGAUCAACUCCUAGCGAGGGUGAUUCAUUAGUAUGAGUUUGACAAUGAUCUCCUUUAUGAAGUCUAGUAGCUUCAGAAAUAAUAUUGCUAAUAAUUCCAACAUUUCCUUUGGCACGCAUAAGAUUUGUAAGUUCAAAUAGACAAUUACCAAACAUAGGAUCAUUGGAAUUCAUAUUACUCAAGGCAAUAGACUUAUGAAGAAUUUCAUCCAGAUUUUUUAAAGAAUAAUUAGGAAAUCAUUCCUCAAGAAAUUUCCAUAUAGUGUAGGCACACUCAAGAGUAGGCAGUUUUCCAAUCAAGUUUCUAGGCAAGCCUCUAGUGAUAAGAUUAACAGUUCUAACAUUCCUAAUCAUGUCAAUCGACUCAUCAAGGACUAGCAAUGACUAGGAUGCAUAGGAUCGACAUGAGGUGCACAAGGACUAGCAAUGUACUUGUUCAAAUGAUAUUGAUUGAAAAUUACAAGCAUCUCAUUUUUUCACUCAUGAAAAUAUUCUCCAUUAAGUAUAGGCAUUGUAUGUCUAAGACUCCCCAAAGUAGACUCAUCCAUCUUCCUCCAAUGGUGAUUAAACCAAAGCAAUGGAGACCAAGCUCUGAUACCACUUGUAGGAUCUUGAAGUAUGUCUAGAGGGGGGGUGAUUAGACUACUUGACCAAAUAAAAACUUAACCUUUUCCCAAUUUUAGUCUUUGGCAGAUUUUAGCAAACUUAGCACAAGUUAAGAAAUCUUAACACAAUUCAAGCAAGCAUGCAAAGAGUAUAUGAGCAACGGAAAGUAAAGCAUGCAACUUGCAAGAAUAUAAAGGAAAAGGUUUGGAGAUUUCAAAUGCAAUUUGGAGACACGAUGAUUUUUGAGCCCUGGUUCCAAUAGGUGGUGCUAUCGUACAUCCACGUUGAUGGAGACUUCAACCCACGAAGGGUAACGGCUGUGCGAGUCCAUGGAGGGCUCCACCCAAGAAGGGUCCACGAAGAAGCAACCUUGUCUAUCUCACCAUGGUCGUCGCCCACGAAGGACUUGCCUCACUAGCGGUAGAUCUUCAUGAAGUAGGCGAUCUCCUUGCCCUUACAAACUCCUUGGUUCAACUCCACAAUCUUGUCGGAGGCUCCCAAGUGACACCUAGCCAAUCUAGGAGACACCACUCUCCAAGAAGUAACAAAUGGUGUGUUGAUGAUGAACUCAUUGCUCUUGUGCUUCAAAUGAUAGUCUCCCCAACACUCAACUCUCUCUCACAAGAUUUAGAUUUGGUGGAAAGAAGAUUUGAGUGGAAAGCAACUUGGGGAAGGCUAGAGAUCAAGAUUCAUAUGGUAGGAAUGGAAUAUCUUGGUCUCAACACAUGAGUAGGUGGUUCUCUCUCAGAAAUGGUAAGUUAGAAGUGUAGGUUUGUUCUGAUGGCUCUCUCCACGAAUGAAGAGGAGGUGGAGCGGUAUAUAUAGCCUCCACACAAAAUCUAACCAUUACACACAAUUUACCAAUCUCGGUGGGACCGAAUCAACAAACUCGGUCAGACUGAUUUAGUAAGCAAUGUGACCGUUAGGGUUUUCGGUGGGACCGACAUGCAACUCGGUAGGACCGAAAUGGUUAGGGUUAGGGCAUAAUGUAAUCUCGGUGAGACCGAUUACACAAACUCGGAGAGACCGAUUUUGGUAAUAAGCUAACCAGAGAGUUGGUCAGGCAAACUUGGUGUGACCGAUUACACAAACUCGGUGGGACCAAUUUUGGUAAUAAGUUAACGAGAGAGUUUGCAUUAUAAUCUCGGUAGGACCGAUUACUCAAACUCGGUAAGACCGAUUAUUAUAAUGGGCAUACACACAGAGAUUACAAUCCCAUCUCGGUGAGACCGAGAUCCCUAUCGGUGAGACUGAUUUGCCUAGGGUUUGUGGCAGUGGCUAUGACAUCUGAACUCGGUGGCGCUGGAUAGAAAGAAUUGGUGGGGCCGAGUUGGACUUUAGGUUUAGGUCAUAUGUGGAUGUAGGAAAGUAGUUGAGGGUUUUGGAGCAUAUCACUAAGCACUAUGAAGCAAGAAACUCAUUAAGCAACACCUCAUCCCUCCUUGAUAGUAUUGGCUUUUCCUAUAGACUCAAUGUGAUGUUGGAUCACUAAAAUGUAAAAUGUAGAGUCUUGAGCUUGAAGCUUGAGCCAAUCCUUUGUCCUUAGCAUCUUGAAGGGGUUCCACAUCCUUUAGUUCAUGCCACUUCAUUGUUGAACUUAUAUGAAAAAUAUACUAGGUAAAAGUGUUAGUCCAACAAGAGAUAUGUUGACAUUAAUUACCAAAAUCUCCUAGGGAGCACUUGUGCUUUCACAACACAUGCUAGUUCCUUCUUAUUUCUUGCUUUCAUCUGUUGCAUGUGAUUGAUUCUUUCUUGCUUCAUCAUACUGAUUGUACAUUCUAGAUCAGCCAGUUUCUUCUUCAGUUUAAUGUUAUCUUCUGCGAGCUUGGUGAUAACACUCCGAGACCUGCCAUGCCAUUCUUCAUCCAGCCAGUUAACAAAGGCAUAAGCCUCAUAUCCCUGCCAAUGUUAAAUAGUAUUCAGGAUGAGCGGUGGCAUUAACUCAAGUAAAAUGAUGAACUUAGCACUAACCUCUAAGGGGAAAUUGAGAAACCGCCUGCCAAUGUCGAAUCCCUCCAUGCAUACACGUCGAGCGGGAGUGUGCCCAUGCACACAACUCAGCUUUUUGGUACUUCUCGGUGGCACAAAACUCGGAGUCGAACUCGUGCUGCGAGAGUCUAGAGUCAUUCUCCGGAUCCGGCGGCAGAUUGCUUUCCUAGGGGGGAUUCAAUUCAGGACGGAUUCAACAAGGAGCUACUUUUGGACAUGCUAAAAAAGAUCGAGAUAGAUUGGAACCUGAGAGGACGAUUUGUUAGUACACCUGCCUUCUGAUGACCUUAGGCAAGUGCUCAGUGCCGACCACCGUUGUGGCGGCGAUACGAGCAGGAGCAGCCGCACCGAAACCAUCAGCACAACUCGCCCACAUUCCCCCAAUGUCAGCUCCACGCGAGGGAAUUUGGAAGCUAUGUAGAGAUUUGGGGGAAAUGGGGAAACUGUGGGGAUAAGCUAACAGUCGGGAACUACUUAUGGCACUAUAUGUUGGAGUAUACGGCACACUGUUUAUACAUGUCGUUUGUGUCAGGUAUUACAACGUCACACAUGAUUUGUGCACCAAACCGUGUGAGAAGACAACGUAGGUGAGACGCGGUUGUCGUUACAUAACCGUAUGUGAUGUACUACCCUGUACAUAUAAUUGAGUUACAGUGAUACGGUGUAAACAGCCGCUCUGCGGAUAUCUGUAAAAAACAGCUGGUACGCAUCUAUAGAUGGCAGCGGCGGCCUAGGCAAGAGCUACCAGAGAAGAGGUCAAUCCUGGGUUGGUGGGCAGUGGAGGUGUCAUAGGAGGUCAAUCAUCGGUCUACGGCGGGAGAUAGGAGGAGCUCAGCCGUCGAGGUUGGCAGUGGCGUGAUUCGAGCACAUCCAUCGCGGUUGAUGGCAGGAUAGUGGAGGUCGAACUUCAGGCAGUAGCUGCACUAAGCUUUGCUCCUCGACCCUGCUGUCUCGGUGUGCUGCCACAUCGCGCUUCUCUGUCUGCUGGGUGGAGGUCACCGUGCGGCUACUUAAUUAAGGUAUUCCUUUCGUGAGUGGCUUAAUUAAGGUAUUUAAUUCCUAAGGGUAGUGUUGUACUAGUACUCUGCGUGUAAAUUGACUGGCCAUGAAUUUUUGUCAUUGCACAUCUGGAUAACAAUAUGGAGCGCCCUCAAUAAUUAUGAAAAUAAAGCCUUGUGAUUUAUGCAUGCAUCAUUGGGCAGCAGUUGAUCCGUGUAUCAAUGUUGUUGUUUUGUUUUUAAUUACCAUUUAUGUGGUGCAGAUGGAAUGAUUUGAAUGGAUGAAGGAUUGUAAUACCGUGGAUUUUAUUACUGGCAUGACAGAGUUCAUGAAUUUGGCUGAAAGUACAAAGAAGAGAAUUGGUGAUGCGGAUUACAUCCUGUGUCCAUGUGUUGAUUGUGCCAAUACAAAGUCACGUGUAGUUACAGAUGUUCAGUGGCACUUAGUCUCUCUGGGAUUCAUGGAUGGAUAUACACGUUGGACUAGAAACAAUGAAGACGAGGUCAUGGAUGAAGAUACCCAGGGCUGCGAGAUGCCAAACCCUGAUCAAUGUCACUUGGAUGUUGAAUCUAACAUCGGGGCAGAGGCGUCAAGCUACCAAUGGAACACCGGAAAGCCGAAACGCCCACUGGAAAACCAAGAUAUCAACGCAGAUGACGAUGAUCUUGAUAUGCCAGAUUUUGCUACUAUGAUUGCAGAUUUUGAGGGCCUAGACAAGGAUAUUAUUGGGUACAAGGACCUGCCAACCAUUAAUGCGGACUCCAAGAAAGAAUUGUAUCCAGGUUGCAAAAAGAAAUAUUCCAGGUUGAGUGCCUCCCUAGCGCUUCUCAAAUUUAAAGCAGCAAACGGUCUAUCAAACAAGGGCUUCACAGAGAUGUUAGGUAUUUUCAAAGAAAUUCUUCCGGAAGAUAAUGUGCUCCCCAGAAGCACGAAUGAAGCGAAGAAAAUUGUUUACCCAUUGGAACUUGAAGUACAGAAGAUACACGCUUGUGUGAAUGACUGUAUAUUGUACCGUGGUGAUUUCAAAGAUUUGCGUGCAUGUCCCGAAUGCAAGCAUGCAUGAUACAAGCACAGGAUAGCAAAGGACAAGUAUAAAUUGGACGAUGAGAUCAAGAUAGGAAUCCCGUUCAAGGUCGUUUGGUACUUUAUUCCAAGGUUGAGGCGAUUGUUUGCAAACCCUAGAGAGGCAAAGAGGUUGUGGUGGCAUCAUGAUGAGCGAAUUGCGGAUAAGUAUAUGAGGCACCCAAAAGAUGGGGCUCAAUGGGAAUUAAUCGACACAAGUUUGAAGACUUUGCCAAGGAUCCUAGAAGUAUAAGGCUCGGGGAGUGUACUGACGGGAUGUAUCCUUUUGGCGAUAUGAGCACCAAUCACAACACAUGGCCGGUGCUUUUGUGCAUAUAUAACCUAACUCCUUGGUUGUGUAUGAAGAAAAAAUACAUUAUGAUGUCAAUGAUUAUCCAAGGCCCGAAGCAACCUGGAAAUGACAUCGACAUUUACUUUCAACUACUGUUAGAAGAACUGCUGACAGUGUGGAUAGAUGCACCUGCCGCAAAAAUGUUAUGAUGCUUACAAAAAGGAGAUUUUUGAUCUACAUGUGAUGCUGGUGCACACCAUUCAAGAUAUGUCAGCAUUAGGCAACACAUCAGGGCAGAAAACAAAGGGAGAUGUAGGGUGUGUCACAUGCAUGGAUAGGACAGCUAGCAGAAGACUUCCCAACUCGUGCAAAACCGUGUAUUUGCGUCAUUGUAGGUUCUUACGGAAAAAUCACCCAUACCGAAAGAUGAAAGCUGAAUUUGAUGGUACGACAGAGGUAGAAGUGGGCCCAAGACCCUAUGAUGGGGAGUUGGUCCACAACAUGGCCAAACAAAUUAAUGUUGUGCUUGGCAAGAAUCACGCUAAGAUGGUGAAACAAACACCCAAGGGUCAAGUGUUUAAGAAGAAAUCCGUGUUCUGGAAAUUACCUUACUGGGAGAUUCUACGUGUAUGCCAUUACAUCGAUGUCAUGCGCGUAGAGAAGAACGUAUGUGAAAGCAUCCUUGGUACUCUGCUCAAGAUUAAAGGUAAAAGAAAGGAUGGUGAGGAUUCACGGCUCGAUAUGCUUGCUGAUCAAUCAAAAGGCAAGAGUGAAGCAGAAGAUGAUGAAAAAUUCAUCAAAGCUCGCCAGAGUUACAAUUUCAAUAGAAAAGAAGCAACACAGUUCUUCACCUAUUUGUUGUCAGUUAAUACACCCUCUUCCUCCUCCGCAAACAUCAGAAGUCUCAUGGAUGUGAGCUCAGGUAAAAUGAAGUUGGGACACAUGAAGUGACAUGAUUGCCAUGUAAUUUUGACACAAAUCCUCUCGGUGGCCAUCAGGAAUCUGUUGGACAAAUAUAUAAGGAACACACUCAUUGAGCUCUGUGAUUUAUUGUGACAGCCUGGAUUUUGCCUUCUCUCUUUUUUCGGACUUGCCUUCUCUCUCUUUCUGGACUUGGUUUUAUCGUGGUUUUUGCCCUGAUUUGAUUUGGAGUUUGAAUCAUUUCAAAUGGACUUGUCACUUGGGCAUAUCCUUGGCUUUCACCCAAGUGACCUAUCUUCUUUAUUCCACUGGUCAAACCUCAAAAUAAUCAAAUGAAUAUUUUUCAUAAAAGAAAAAUAUUCAUUUCUCGCUUUGAAACUCACUUCAGAAUCUUGUGCUCCAAAGCAACCUCAAUUUUUCUUGCUUUGAAAAAUUUGAGAUAAAUCCCAAAUAUUCUCAAAACCAUGGCACAACUUCCCAUGUAAAAAUAUUGCAUCACUUUUUGCAAUAUUUUUGCUGUAGAAAAUCUUUUCACUUCUGGACCAGGAAUGCAUUUUGUACAGCAAGUGCAUUUUCCUUGAGCUUUUAGCCUUGAUCUUUCUUGAGCCUAAACACCCUCCUAAGAAACCCUAAACCCCAGGAGAUUAGCCCUAAUGGCCUUCUAGAAGCUGGCCAAACUUGGAGGCCAAGCUUCUGUACAGGAACUUGUCAGCUUAGUGAAGUCUAAUCUGGUCGGCCUGGGCUUGAGCCAUCAACUCCCCUAGACUAAACAUUGCACGGUCGAGAGCGUGGACAAGGUUUGGCAGCUCCUGGGCGUUGUUUUGACCAUGCCAGCUUGGUGACCGCGUGUGGACACGGCGCUUGGCAUGCGUUCGGCGUGCUCUAGCUGGCACCUCGCACUCUGUUUCACGUGUGCUCGUUCCAGCGCUCGCCGCACGACUGCCACACCGCGCCACCAGCCUCGACCCAUCACCCUUGACCGCUCCCUGGCGCUCGCCGAUGCCGGAGCCGCCACAGCAAGCACGGGCACGUCGCGACCAAAAGGCCACAGUGCGCGCAUGCACUUGUCCGCUUCUCCAACCACCUCGUGUGCUCAUCCGCGAGCAUGGGCAAGCUUCUGCAUUGAUGCAGAGUGUUUUCCCCCUCUCGUUGGAGCUUCUCAUCGCCGUUUGUCGCAUGUCUAGAGAGCUCCGACGGCGACAUGUUCCCCCCUCCGCUCCGGCUAUAUAUAGCGCCCCCCUCCUCAUUUGCUAGCCACGCACCACUCCACACCACCUCCGCGAACACGUAGACGAGCAGAAGCCCGGGCGGGCAGGCCUCUGGCCGUCGCCCCAACCAAAGGACUCCGGCGAUCCCCGCAGUCCAGCCGCCGCGCUCCGGUGCCUCUCGAGCUCAAGCAGCUACUUGGGGCGGGGCAUUGGGGGUCUGCUGGUGCUGCCUGGACCCCAUGGAGCCCUCGGAGCCGCCUCUAGCCAUCGUCUUCUUCCUCUCCGGUGAAUCACAUCCGGCACCGAAACUUGCGAGCUCGACCGCGACCAGCUCCGGCCACCUCUCACCAAGCCACGGGUACGAGCAGGUGCGCCUCGAGCCUCGCUUCAUUUCUCUCCCUCUUGUUCAGCCCCAAACCCCCUCGUCGCCGGCGUGAGCUCCAGCGAAGCCCCGCCUCCCUCUGAUCUCUCUCUCUCUCUCUCUCUCUCUCUCUCUCUCUCUCUCUCUCCUGAUGCGCAGGACCCACCUGUCGGUCUCACCACUCAUGCCCGAAGUGGUAUGAGUGGAGGCGUAUUUCUGUUAUAAGCCUUCGACGUCACCCCCUCCCCCAGGAAUUUCUGUUUAAUUCAAAUUUAUUCAAAAAUUUGACCAAACUUUGACCAGCCACCAUUUCUAAACCACAAGUACAAAUGAGUUGAUUAUUUUUGCAUUGUCUUUGUUACAGAAAGCUCUAGCAGAACACCAGAAGGUGGAUUUUUCCUUGCUGUCUAGAAUUUCUAGUGAUUUUUAGAAUGGGUUUUGAUAAUUCUUUUUGUGGUUUAAAUUAUUUUUCAGAAGGAGAAGCUUGUCUUGAAGCCAACUAAGAGGGGUGUGAUCCACCUCUACACUAAAGCAAGCCACACCAACAUUUGGAUGGUGUUAUUUCAAUAUCUAUGAUUUUCUACUUGAAUAUGAGUUAUUAUUUGCAUUUAAAAUUUGAUAAAUAACUUUGGUUAAUUUCUAGUUACUUUACCAUGCUUGAUAUACUUGUUUUAGCUUCUGGUUGAAUGCAUGAACUUGUUUGGCUAAGUAGAGUAAUAUUUUGCACUAUGAAUAUUGUUAUGGAAAUUAAUGAUAGUUAUUUUACUAGUGACAGUUUUAUUUAAAUAAAGAACUAAUGAAAAUAUUGCUUGGUUAUAAAAAUGAGUUAUAACCAGAGAAUUUUGAUUCUUAGUAUUGCAAGAUGCAUAUGUUGUUAAGUUUGAUCCAUGAUUCUGAGUUGUUUGAUUUGCAUGACGAGUAGUUGCAUGAUCAUUUUGAUUAUAUGAUUUUGAUGAUAAAAAGUUUUUAUCAAAGUUAAACUUGAUUAAGUUCAACGUGAAUAUGAUGUUGAUCACAUCAUGGUGCCAUUGAAUCGGGUUUUUAAUUCAGUGCGACCACAUCUACCUUAUGGGAAGGUCUUGAUUCGGUCCUUUGUUGUGGCUCUCACUGGUGCCUCCCUCGAGGGAAGGUUAUGGGCGUGCAUACCCUGGCCCGGUAGGCAGACAUAACCUUGUGUGCUCGUUUUGUUUUUAUGGUACCUUGUCCCCGUUUGGGACCGUUUUGCCACGACGGUGGCUGUUGGUGUCUUUGGUAGACACGGGGCCACCCAAGACCUAGCCCUAAGAGGGAGUUGGUCGGAGUGGCCGGGGAGAGUGCAUAACAAAGGGAGGGUUUCAUCGGAAUGCUUUGGUCCACCCGAACAGGAAUGCGGGGCUAGAUAUUCUGUAGUGUGGGUAAAGUGCACUACCUCUGCAAAGUGUAAAUUAAUCUAUCAAUAGUCGCGUCCUCGGUUAUGGGCAAAACUUGGAAGUAAGUCUCACCAUGGAUCAACUUUUCUAAUAACCUUGCAAACUAAGUGAGUGUUGCGAUGCAUUAGUUCGUGACAAAAGCAUGAACACUUGAGGUGUUCAUGAGUGAUUGGUUUCAGUUGUGGCCCAGGUAUGGUCACCAUUUGGUUACGUGGUAACCGUGUGGUAAGCGAGUCCGUGGGACUCAUUGCAUGAAAUGUUUGUUUUGGUAAUAGUAGUUUUGCAUUGAACUAAUCUGUUUAAACGUCAUGAUAUUGUUUGUCAUUGGGCUUAUGUUUGUUGUGAGCUUGCAAGUACAUUCAAUGUACUGACCUGGCGUGUUAUGCCAGCUUUCAGGCAAGUCAGUUCGCAUCGGAGCGCAUCUCGUGUCUAGGCCAUGUUCACGUUGGUGUCCCUGUGCUAUGGAGUUCCUCUACGUCGUUCUUCCGCUGCCGUGUAGCUCAUUCAAUCGAGGCCCCGUCAUGUUCAUUAAAUAAUGUACAUACUGUCCAGCAGCACCGUGUGUGCCGCUUGGCCUCGAAUCUUGAUGAAAUAUCAGACCUAUGUAAUCUGCUAGCAUUAAUAAAGCGGUUGUUUCCGUACCAUGUUGUUGUGUAUUGCCAGAAGACUUGAUCUCUGGGCUGGCAAUGCAGGGUAAACCGGUCGCUCUGAGACGGGGUGCCACAUUUCUUCAACCAACUAUGGCAGAAAGUUGUAGAUCCUGAAGAGCUAGAUCAUAUGCAAGAUGAUAUUGCAAGAAUAUUGUGCAACCUAGAUAUGUCUUUACCAUCGUCAUUCUUUGAUGUCAUGGUAAAUCUCACUGUGCACCUUGUUGAUGAGAUAAAGUAUUGUGGUCCUGUGAUUCUUCACAACAUGUAUCCCUUUGACCACUUCAUGGGAAUACUGAAGCGCUUUUGUCAGAACUGAAGCCAUCCAGAGGCAAGCAUCCUACAAGGUUAUACCGCAGAGGAGGUGGUUGAGUUUUGCACCGAAUACAUGAAACAACGACCUAUAGGUUUGCCCCUCUCUCGCCACGACGAAAGGUUGAAAGGUAAACCCAUUCUUGCUCGCAUGCAAAUGGCUGCACUCGGAGAAUUGGCAGAGAAACCCCAUUUAACUGUACUGCUUAACAACCCAGUUCUCACCGCUUACGCUGAAGAACACUUGGCGGAGAUACGCAAAAGCUUCUUACCAAUGGUGCCUUCAUCAGAUGUGGAGAUGAAGGAGCACACUAAGAACUACGCCGAAUGGCUGAAGAAGCAUUUGGCACAAGGAUCCAUCAAUGACAUUGCUACAUGGUUGGCACAAAAGCCAUCACCUACGGUGUUGACGUACCAAGCAUAUGACAUAAAUGGAUACACGUUCUACAUUGACGAACGUGAUGAGAAGACCUCAUAUCAGAACAACUCUGUUCAAAUAGAAUGCAUGACUGUAGAUGAAGCUGAUAAAAGGGUAUAGAAUGGAACCAUCAAAGAGAUUUGGGAGCUUGACUAUGUGAAAGUUAAUUAAGGUGGCAUUAUUCAGGUGCUCAUGGAUCCCUCUUGGUCAAGUAAAGGUUGAUGAUUACAGGAAGACAUGUGUUAACAGGACAACGAUGGCAUAUCACGCGGACCUGUUCAUUCUUGUCAGCGAUGCUACACAUAUUUUCUUUGCGGAAGACCCUUUGCAUAAGAAUGGCCAUGUAGUGAUGCAUGGGCAGAGGAGGGUACUGGGUGUCGACGAUGUUGCCGAUGAGGACGAGUACGAUGAAUUUGAUGAGUUGCCAUCCAAGGGAUCACGCAACCCUGUAACAGAGAAGCAUAAAAUCAUCAAAAAAAUGAAGUUCAUUCGGGGUCAACUUAAUGAUCCCAGUUACCCCAUGUACAUGGGAAUUAAGCCGUAAGACUAGUCUUUAUGCCUACCCUGCAACUUAAUUCGUCAAUUUAGAACUGUCGUGUGUACUGAACUUGUGAGUUAUGCCUGGUUUUCUGUUGAAGUAAGAACCGUUAAUAUGUUGACCUUGAUAUGUUGUCAGCUUAGGGAAUGAAUAUGAACUGUCUUUUGUUAUUAUUAUUAUUAUUAUAUCAUAGAGGUAGCACACUCAAUUGAUCUCACUACAGUAUGUGUGAACAAAAAUAUGUAUGCAAUCUGGAUUGCGAAUAUCACACGGUUCAUUGAUGAAAGUCGUGUGCCGACAAAACCCCACCCACGAUCUGAGUCGUGCAUUCUGAUUGGCCAGAUUCCAAACCCCACGGAUCGUACGUUUGCACCGUUGGAUGCUCCCAUAUCGAACGGCGAUCCUCACCCCUUUCGACAGCACAUGCAGUUCCGGUUGUAAUUUUAUUUUUAUGCACAAAAUGCAUGUUAAACUCAAAAAAAUGUCUUAAAUAUAGCUAACGAUACCCAAAAUGCGCCAGAAAAUAAAACCCGUGGUAUAAUGGUGAUUGCGUACCGUGGAAAUAUUUAUGAGGCCAAACGAUGAAGUCAAUGGCCACACAAGUUUGAAUUGACACAUCUCCUUUGGGAAACCAUGAUCCUUCAUGUGAGAUGCUCCGGUUUGGAAGGAACGAUCGUCAAAACUUGUGCCAAACUUUACCAUUUUUUCCAUGGGGUCGUGAUAGCACGCCAUAGGCACACAUCGAUUUUGAUGAGAUGUCCGGACUCCAUCUGAAUUUCUUGUAAUUAAAAUAUCAACUAGACCUACGCCAGUGGCCGCACCUCGCGGCCGAAAUGUUUGAAACUUCUCACCGCUUCUCGGACAAACGGAUGAAAACUCGCAAAGCGAUGCACAAAUGAUCUAUACGCAUUCUUUGCUAGGCCGGUCGUAAUGGGAUAUCAUAGCUAGUAUCAUGCCAACUAGGCAAUUUUGAUGAGCUGUCAUAGAAUUAAAUGAAGAAAGAGAGGGUUAAGUAUCAUAUCAUGAAACCGUGUGUCAUAAUAAAUGCUAUAUAUGCUACUAUGUGUCAUGCCUGAUAAUAGUAUAUGAUUGAUACUCCCUCCAUCUGGGUUUAUUAGGCCUAAAGACAACUUCUCUUAGACCAAGACACAUAGUAAUUUGCUCACAUUAAUUAUUCCAUUCCACUCCCAAUGCACUCUCUCACAUGCAUGCAACCAAUGAAAACGCAUGCAUGAAGUGUAUUAAUUCUCCAACCAUGGCACCAACAACAAUGGCUUUCAAUGCAACCAAUGAAAUGGUUGCAUGCAAGCACCUUUCCAAAGCGGGACCUUAUAAAAAGGGACAUGCAUGCUUGUGUUACUGAGAGGCCUAAUAAACCCGGACGGAGGGAGUACUAGCUAGCUACCUCUUUAAUGCGCGCAUAGUAUCAUAAGUUAGACUACAUAUACCCAAAGUGCGAGUAACAUAGGUAGUAACAUCACACAUAUCUAGAUAAAAUAGAUGAUGUGGCAAGCAAUAAAUGAAGAAAGAGAGGCAUGUGGUAACAUAGCUAGUUACUAAUUAAGACUAGCCACAGUGCAUUGUAACAUACACUAGUAACAUACACAUAUGCCUAGCCUAUGUUACUACCUUCAUAAUGGGUAGUAACAUAAGUGUGGUGUCAUGCAAAGCUUCAUUUAUUAGGUUAUAGACUCAUAGUUCACUGAGACAUGUGAUAUUACGGUAACUAGCUAAGUUACUCAAACUACCUCUCCUCAUUAACUCAUUGCAAAUAAGCAUAUUUGCUUAGUUGGACUUGAUGUUACUGUUGAACUUACUCCCAUUGUGGCUAGUCUAAUAGUUUAAGUAACAUCACACAUAUCAAGGCAAGAUGAGUCUAUAUCUUAAUAAAUGAAGUGUUGCGCAUGUUAACACACAUAUGUUACUCCCGAGUAUAGAGGUAGUAGCAUGGAGUAGUAACAUGGGCAUGUUACACUACCCAUUGUGGCUAGUCUUAGUAUCUUAGGUUGCCUUAUUAAUUGUCAUGCAUGACACAAAAUAGUACAACAUUUAAUAUGUGAUACAGUAUAUCAUGAUAUGAUACCCGACCCACACCCUCUCUUUCCUCAUUUAACUGUGUGCCACAUCAUCCAAAAAGUCUAGUUGGCAUGCAUAUGAUGCCACUUGAUACUCCCAUUAUGACCAACAUUAGGGGUGGCCAUAGUGGGGGUAUCAUAGCCGGUAUCAUGCACUUGAGAAUAGCAAAUAUGAUGAUGUGUGGCAAAAAAGCAAUAACAUAGAUACUGUAACAUAUAUAAUAUAAAUUUUAUACUACUUUGUGUCAUGCACAUGGCCAUAAAUACGGUCAUCUAUGGUAUAUAUAUACUAGCUCAAUGAUACAAUAUAUAUGCACUAUAAGAAGGUAUGUACAUAGUAUCAUACACUAUAUAGUAUCAUAUGCAUGAUACUAUAGUAUAUAUGAUACUUCCCUACUAUACAAAGGCUGGCCAUAGUGGUGGUAUAUAUAUAUCAUAGCUACACUCGGGAAAAUAGCAAAUAUGCUGAUGUGGCAAAGAAUUAAAUAUAGUGAGGGUUAGAAUGUUAGAGUAACAUAUAGCUAGACACAAUAUCAUGUUAAAUGCGAUGUUAAUUUGUGUCAUGCAUGGCAAUAAAUAUGAACUAUGAUAUUUUAUAUANNNNNNNNNNNNNNNNNNNNNNNNNNNNNNNNNNNNNNNNNNNNNNNNNNNNNNNNNNNNNNNNNNNNNNNNNNNNNNNNNNNNNNNNNNNNNNNNNNNNNNNNNNNNNNNNNNNNNNNNNNNNNNNNNNNNNNNNNNNNNNNNNNNNNNNNNNNNNNNNNNNNNNNNNNNNNNNNNNNNNNNNNNNNNNNNNNNNNNNNNNNNNNNNNNNNNNNNNNNNNNNNNNNNNNNNNNNNNNNNNNNNNNNNNNNNNNNNNNNNNNNNNNNNNNNNNNNNNNNNNNNNNNNNNNNNNNNNNNNNNNNNNNNNNNNNNNNNNNNNNNNNNNNNNNNNNNNNNNNNNNNNNNNNNNNNNNNNNNNNNNNNNNNNNNNNNNNNNNNNNNNNNNNNNNNNNNNNNNNNNNNNNNNNNNNNNNNNNNNNNNNNNNNNNNNNNNNNNNNNNNNNNNNNNNNNNNNNNNNNNNNNNNNNNNNNNNNNNNNNNNNNNNNNNNNNNNNNNNNNNNNNNNNNNNNNNNNNNNNNNNNNNNNNNNNNNNNNNNNNNNNNNNNNNNNNNNNNNNNNNNNNNNNNNNNNNNNNNNNNNNNNNNNNNNNUAUAUAUAUAGUCGCAAAUAUACGUGCGUGUUAGCGCAAGAUCAUUUGGGUGUCGCUUUGCGAGUUUUCAUUCAUUGUGCGAGAAACGGGAAAAAACUUCAAACAGUUCGGCCGCAGCGUGCGACCAGAGGCGUAGGCUUGUUGGUGUUUUAAUUUCAGGAAAUGCAUAUAGAGUCCCGAAAAUAACGAAAAUCAUUGUGCCACUGUGGCGUGCCCCUCAGAAACUUUUUGGUAAAGUUUGGCACAAGUUUUGGUGCUCGCACCAUCCAUACCGGAGCAUCUAGAAAGAAGGAUCAUAGUUUCCAAAAAGGAGAUGCGACACUUCAACUACAAAUCAUCAUUUACUCUACAUCGUUCCGCCUCAGAAAAAAAAUCAUGGUAAACAAUUGCGGAUAUACCCCUUGGUUUGAUUUUCCGGCCCAUUUAGGUCGUCUACUAUGUUUAAGUCAUUCUUUGCACUUACCUCUUGCAUUUUAGUGCAUAUAAAGUCAAAAACCCUAUUAUGACUACAUGUGGGUGUUUUAGUUAGGCUAUACUUAAUUAAUUAGUAUACUCAUAGUGGAGAGUGUCGUAUACUAUAUCAUGCAUGAAAUAUAGUAUAUAUAUAGAAAUUAAACGAGAUCUCUUUUCUUUUUGCAUAUAUUCAAAGUUUGAGAUUGCUAGCAAGGCCUGCCGCCUGGUAAAAUGUACCAGAAAAUUGAAACAUAGGGUACACUCAUGAUUUCUUACCGUGGGAAAAAAAUUUGGAGGCAAAACGAUGAACUCAUGUUUUCAUUAAAACAAAAAAUGAAGUUAGUUAAUGUAAAUGUUUUCAAAUAGCACAUGCUUCACUGACGAAAGCCGUGUGUCCACUAAACCGUGGCUGAUGCCCCUCUUCCACGCACGCGAUCUGAGUCGUGUGUUCUGAUUGGCCAGAAUCCAAACCCCACGGAUCGUACGUCUGCACCGUUGGAUGCUCCCAGAUCGAACGGUGAUCCUCAUCCCUUUCGACAGCAGAUGCAGUUCUGGUUGUGAUUUUUUUAUUCAGUUCCUCCUCCUUCGACGACUCCUUCACCACCUAGUUACGUUGUUAGUUAAUGUAAAUGUUUUCAAAUAGCACACGGUUCACGAAAGCUGUGUGCCUACCAAACCGUGGUCGAUACCCCCCCUUGCUGCGCGCGUGAUCUGAGUCGUGCAUUCUGAUUGGCCAGAACGGAAACCCCACGGAUCGUACGUCUGCACCAUUAGAUGCUCCCAGAUCAAACGACAAUGCUCAUCCCUUUCGACAGGAAAUGCAGUCCGCCUAGGAAUUGAUUUAUAUGCCAAAAUGCAUGGUAAAUGCCAAAAAAUGACUUAGACCUGAAAUGCGCCAGCAAAUCAAACCUGUGGUAUAAUGGUGAUUGCUUAACGUGGGAAAAAUUUAGAGGCGAAACGGUGAACUCACGUCUUCAUUUCAAAAUUAGUACGUCUUCAUUUCAAAUGAAAUUUUUCUCUUUGUGCACACGAGCGCUUAGAGGCAACCGUUGGCAUAGGCCUUUCCGCGCGACGACUGGGGAUAUUUUCCACCCUUUUCACCUAGGCUGCCAACACCCCUCCCCCCCCACACACACGGCCCGCCCGCAUUUCACUCAACUAGUCCACCCAAUCUCCAUCGCCAGCUCUCCCUCCCCCAGAUCCACAUCAGAACCCUCUCUGGCGCUGGCGUGCUUACCCCGGCCGUGUGCUCGCUCUUCAGCGUCAAGCCUACCUCCACUGUUGUUCCCAACACGCGGUUGCCCGCGCCUCGCCAUUAUCGUUUGCUCGCCAGCCACCCUCGAGCAUAUCGAUGUUGUAAUCCUCGCCUCUCCUGUGGUCCGGCCGGGUUUGCAUUAAGAAGCCUGUUAGUUACUACUCUCCAUCGCGGUGAGGCAUAUUUCCUCGCAAUCCCUCUUCCUAUUUCGUUCCGUAUGUUCCCAAAUUGGCUGUAAAAUAACGGAGAGCAUAUAUAUGUUAAUUAUCUACCUUCCUAACUAGUACAUAUAAGUUGUAUUUGUUCCAAUAAGUUACUGCCGAUUUACAGAUCGCGGGCGCCCGAGUCACACAAACUUAACAAAUUAGUCAUACAUUUUCUAAAUUAUUGCAUGACAUGUUUAGAAAGCUUGAUACCAAGUUGUUAGUUUUAUGCUUAUCCUCCUUUCCUGAGUUUCGCGUGUGUUCUCUGUAGAUGCUGAAUAGCAGCGACUACACUCAUGCUUCAGGCGAUGUAUCUUCAUCUGAUUCCGACAACCCUAUGUCUUCAGAAGAUGGUGAGGGAUCAAGUAAUCUUGAACGGGAUAGAGCUGCAGCAAUUACCCUUUCGGUCAGGACACGGAGGUACGCUCCAAGGAAGCCCACACACAAGCCUAAUGGUGUAUAUGAAGUAACUGAGAUCGAUAUAAAGUCUUGAACUCCAACUAAACCAGAUAAAGCACGCACGAGGUUCAGGAGUGUGUGUGGAUUUGUUGGCAGGGCAAGGCUCAACAUAAAUCUGCCAGGGUUUUGGAAGGCUGAAACAGAAACACGGCGACGAAUAGUUCAAGAGAUCAUGGAUCACUUCAAUGUUCUAGAGCAGUGGAGAAUGUAGGUGGAAUACGCUGCACUAAAGAAGGCUAGGGAUGCUUGGAGAAAUUGGAAGCACGUGUUGUACAAGAAGUACUUGAGUGAAGGCAAGGAGUCAAUACCCGCAUACCCCCAAAUUACAAAGUCAGACUGGGUAGAAUUCAAAAGGGUUAGGGCAACUAAAGAGUUUGCUGAGAAGAGUUUCAAGCAAUCGAAACUUCAGAAGAAUAACACACACACACACCGUAUGGGUGUGGCAGGAUACUAUGGCAUCAAACCGAUAUGGGACCAAGAAGACAAAGAAGCAGUAGCGGCGGGUGGGGAACCGACCUUUAGUGAAAUCAGGGGCGAACGCGCCAGAGAGUACUUGCGGGCACGUGCAAUGAGGCGUGAUGACGGAACUUAUUACUCUAAAAACUCACAUGACGAAAAACUGUAUCAAGUGAUGGUAGAGGCUUCCAAGAUCCCUGGAAGGUUCUAGAGGAACUCAGGGCCAUGCGACAUUCUGUCCAUUGCUCUGGAAACAAAAGAUCUCCCUGGUUGUGCAAGGGGUAUAGGUGUUAAUGUCACACACAAGAGGGCUUUCACACUCAGCAAAGAAGAGAGGCUCAGCAUGAAAAAAGCAAAGAGUGAAAUGAAGAAGAAUGAAUUGUAUGAAAGGUUGAAGAAGGAAAUGUAUUCGGCUGUUCAAAAGGAUCUUGAGCAGUCAAUGAUGAUUGGGAAGAUUGUAACACUGACAGAUAGCCAGCAGAAGGGAGGGGAGGCGGGCAUGGAGGAUGCUGCUUAUUGCGCGACAACACAACACAAGAGUAGUCGUGCAUUAGCUGACCCCAGCGACACUGAGACUGUAGCUGCUCAUGAUGAUGCUAUAUCUGAUCUAUCUGGAAUGAAAGAUAGACUGAAGGGUGUGCUUACACAUUAUGAAGGCACAUUAAAAUGUGCAACAACCUGGGUUGCCCACCCUUCUUGGAAGAGGUCCUCUUGUUGGACAAUGUGCCAUUGAAGCCGGGCUGUGUGAAGUGCUACGUGUCUGAAGUAAAGCCUGGAUUCAAUGAAUUUGCCCUCAAGAAUGUCCUAGGAGACCUUCAUGAGCAAAGGACCUUGGGAGAAACACUGUUACAUCACAUCUAGUGGCCACAAAAGGAAAUAGAGUUCAUCGAUGAGAUCCUUGAAGCCCCGCCAAGAGCAACCAAUGUCUCCCCUCAACCAGUGACGCUCUCCUUGCCACAGCAGCUCUCACGUGCUUCCCCCAAAGAACCUAAUACUCGUAAUCUGACGGCUGAUGCAUCAACCUGUGAUCAGCCGGCCUGACUUUGUGGCGUACAGGCCAUGUCAUCCUCCACCCCAAAGCAGCCAGUGGCAAGGCUUACAAUUGUUGAAGAUGCACCACCGAUUCAUAUGCCGGCCAUUUAAGCAGCGGGGGGAGACCCAGCUGCAGCACAUGCUCAACAGACCAACCUGGUGGAACGGACUGCUAAGCAGUCUGAUGCUUCGGAACCGCCUGCUAAGAAGUCUUUAGGUCCAGAAUCGACUGCUCAUCAGUUUAUCGAUCUGCAGUCGUGUGAUCAGCAUACCAAUGUGUCAGCACUUCCUGCUCAGCAAACCAACGCGUUGGCAUGGCCUCCUCAGCACACCGACAAGUUGGCACCACCUGUGCAGAAACCAAACUUAGCUUCAAUGCAUGGUCAGCAGUCCGAUGCCUCUGCUCCUACAUCCCAGUAGUCUGUCACAGCAGCACCGCCAGCUCAGCAGUCCGGCAAAGAUAAACCGUUUGCUAAGCAGUCCGUUAAAGCUUCACCGUCUGCUUGGCAAUCUACCUUGCAGGCAACUAUAUGUUCUGCCAGAAAUGCUUCAAAGUACCAAGAAGGAAGUGUCCAAAAAGCCUACACCCGUGACAAAGCGCGGUGGGAGAGUGAAGAAGAAAGAGAAUGAUUACCUCUUGCUUAAAGCACUCAUCGCCCGAAACCAAAUUAACAGCAGGUAGUUCGAAUCGGGGAGUAAUAUUAUUUCUGACGAGAUGGAUGAUGAAUAAGUAGAAUUGGUGCUUGCUAAAAGUAAAGCAGAUGUACUUGAAGUACGCAAUUAUGUCCAUGGCCAUCCAUUUCUUGUUGGCGAAUACUUUGAUGAGUGCAGCUCCAGUUACCGCAAGUUACAUGAAUAUUGCAUGGAUCAAAUGUCAAUAGGUCUUCAUGGUUUGCUAGUCCACUUCAACAGAGAUCAUUUACGACACGAUGCUGGUUCAUUCGAUGUGAGUUUCGAGGACUUACAUCUCUUCUUCAACUUCAAUGAGCUUGAUGCCACUAUGCCUGAUUUUGUAAGUACUUAACAAACUCUGAUCAACUUCUCCAUACAAGGCUGUAAAUGAUAAACAACUAACUGCAUUUUAUUCCUCUCAGGGGAUUGAACACGCAGAGAAGAAAAAGGGAUAAUGUGUAUUUCAUAGAUCCUACAUUAGCGAAUGGCACAACAUUACAUGGUAAGGACGAACGUGACUGAGCCAUUAACACGGUCGUCCGUAUCUUCGAAAAAACGUCCCAUGCAGAAUCAUUUUUUUGGCCAUAUCAUGAAAGGUGAGUCAAGUAAACAACCACGCAUACACUUAUUGUCUUUCAGAUUUCGACAUAAUUCGUAAGUUCAUGGCUUUCUUAAUAUGUAGCCGUCACUGGAUAUUGGUAUUCAUUGUUCCAAACAAGAACACAGUUUACUACAUUGAUUCUCUUAGAGAGUCAAUAAACACUCAGGAUCUGACGCAUCUUCAGCAAUUCAUGGAUAGGUAUUGAAUUAUAUGAUGUUGAAAUUAAUUUGCAUUCAUAUCUAGUUCAAUAAUUGAUGUUGUCAAAAUUCACCUUCAUUUGUAGUGUGCUCGCAUUGUGGAAAACUAAACCAGGGAACCUGUUCAAGAGGGAACUACCUCUACAGCACGAGAUCAUUUCUAUGGUAACACACCGAAAUUCGUUAUUUUCGGAAAAUUUAUCCAAUAGUCUGCAAAUACCUUUUCUUACGCUAGUCAAAUGUUCAAGCUUCUAAUAAAACCUCUUUCUAUUUUGUCCAAAGAAAAAAUAAUACAUCUAACACCGGUUAGGUUGUUCCUAACAGGACAAAUACAUGACUAAUUUUGUACAAAAAAAUUUAGUGUCCUCAACAGGAAGCAGGGACCAACCUUUGUGGAUACUAUGUUUGCAAACACAUGAUCUCCAUCUGCAAAUCUGCUGAUAGUUGUGAUGAUCCUUGUGAAUUAGUACCAGUAAGUCUAUCUUAAUUAAUAUCUUCUACUCCACUCAUAUGGCACAUUCUGAUCUUAAAAAUACCGCAGCUCAUCUUAGAACCGAGGAUCCUUGAACAGCUCCCGGCUGGUGAAUUGCUGAUGGUUUGGUGAUUUAUCAGCGACUUCUUCCUAAAUCACUACAUCAAUCCCACUGGUGAUAAUGAAGAUUUCAGCAUGCGUUCUCUUGAAACAUUGAGUAAGAGUUACCGCUAAACAUAUACGCAUGGAUCCAUUGGUUUCCAUCUGAUGAGGUCUUCGUAUUUCGUACACUAUGAUUAAUUAUGUAAUGCAUAUAUGUGUGGACAAAUCAUUGGAAUUUAGCUACCAUAUGUUCAAUUGCAAUUGUUGCGAAAUCUGAUGAAUGUUCUUCCUGUGGACACUAUUUGUUCAAUUGAAUAUUGUGGCGAAUUUGUUUUUUGCAUGUCGAUUCAAAAUGGGAUAUUCUUUAUUAUUUGUUCAAUUGAAUAUUGUGGCCAAUUUGCUUUAUGCAUGCCGAUUCAAAAUGGGAUAUUUUUGUUUAUUUGUUCAAUUGAAUAUUGUGGCGAAUUUGAUUUUUGCAUGCCGAUUCAAAAUGGGAUAUUUUUGUUUUAACCUGGCAAUUGCUCCGCACACUGUUCAACUAAAUGAGUGUGUGCGAUCCACAUCGGAAAGCAUACGUCAAUCAUAGCGGAACCGUCGGUGAUACACAGUAGAUCACAAACGAUUUGCAGCGCUACUACGUGUGUGUAGGCUCUCCGGAACCAUUUGUGAUAUCGAGUUAUCGCACACGGGAACUCGAAGUAAACCGUGCCCAAUGUAAAAUACAAUCCCAGUCAUAAUUUUUCCGGGAAACGUGUGGGAUCCUAAACAAAAAGCACAUGUCACUCUAGUUGCAACCGUCGGUGAUACACAACAAAUCACAGACGGUCUACAACACUUGUAUCUGUGUGAAGGGGCUCCUGAACCAUUUGUGAUUGAACCUUAUCGCAGACGGUAAAUGUUGGGAGAACGUGUGCGAUGGAGUCUUGCAUGGCAGACGGGUUCCACAGAAAACUCGUGUAUGAUAGGGCACAUAUCGCACACAGUUCAUAUGUUGGCCCGUGUGCCUUGCAUACUAUUUCCCAAACGGUUCAUUAUGACACACCAUUUGGUUUCACUGCGUCAUUAGAAACGUUUAAUCACUGAUCCUACACGUGUGGAAGAAUUUAGUGUGUGCUGCAUCGCACAUGAUUAUGUUUUGCAAGGCCUCUGCAUCAUGGCUCCAUAUCCCCGAUGGUUUUUGGGUCAUGUGGGAAGGACCCCCUAUCGCCCACACUCACUUGGUGACGGUUCCAAAUGCCGUCGCGGAAAGGGGUUUAAAACCGUUUGUAUAGCAUCGACACGUACCAGUGUAUCUAAUGUAUUCCAACUUCUCCAUGGUUCAUACCCCCUGAUACUACCCAUAGAUUCAGCAAAAUAAGCAAGCAACACAUAGAAAAUAGAAAACAGAACAGUCUGUAGUAAUCAGUAAACUUCGUAUACUUCUGUAAGUCCAAAAAUUCUGAAAAAUUAGGACAAGAAAGGCUAUUCAUAUAUCAAUCUUGUGUAAAACAUUCAGGAUUUUAUCACAUUCCAGCAGCUUAGAUCAAUUAUGUUUCUGGGUGCAAAAGUUUCUAUUUUUCAGCAAGAUCAAAUCAAUGAUAUACCAAAGUAUCCCAAAGGCUUUACUUGGCACAAACACUAAUUAAAAAUACCAAAACACAAUUACUGCAGAGGUAAUAAUGUGUAUUUAUUCAAAAACAGUAGCAAAAACAAAAAAGACAAAAAUAAAAUUGGGUUGCCUCCCAAUAAGCGCUAUUAUUUAACGCCCCUAGCUAGGCAUAAAACAUAGAUCUAGGUAUUCUCAUCUUUGGUAAUAAACUCCUCAAUUGCACACUUAUAACCCUUAGGAGAUUCUUUGGUUUUACAAUAAUCACACUCCUAGGCAAGAAAUUAAGAAAUUCACUCAUGGCAAUUGGUUCCUUAAUAAUAUUAAUAAAGUUAGGGCGAACACUUAUCAUCUUGAGAUCUUCCUUUCCUUUACUAGAAGAUUCACCCUUAUUUUUAGGAACAUAAAUAAACUUUGUAGAUUUAGUAGGAGGAAAAUUUGGACUAGUUUUAACAGAGGCAAAAGCAGAACCCAAGUUAGUUAUCUUCUAGUUUGCCAAUUCUAGUAGAAUCUUGAUCUAUCUUUUCAUUAACUAUGGGUUCUUUUCCCCUAGAUUCUUUAAAGUGACUCCUACCUUAGAUCCAUAUUGAGUGAUAUGAUUAUGAAUCUUUUUAUCCAAGUUUUCAAUGAGCUCUAUGGUAGCAAUUUUAUUCUCAAUAAUAUCAAGCCUUUGCAUCACAUGUUCCAAAGUUAAAAUUGUUUCGUUAACCUCGAGAGAUGGUGAGCCUACCAAAUCUAUCAUAGCAUUAUAAGCAUCCGAAGUAUGGCUCCCCAAGAAAUUACCCCCAGUAAUGGUAUCUAGCACAUAUCUAUACCAAGUAGUAACACCCACAUAAAAAUUAUGGAGGAGAAUGGUAGUAGAUUGCUUACGAGUAGAUCUAUUUUGAGCAUUGCAAAUUCUAUACCAAGCAUAUUUUAAAUUUUCUCCCUCCCUUUGCUUAAAAUUAAGAACCUCACUCUCAGGGGUACUAGCAACGGUAGAAGGACUAGCCAUGAAAGCAAAUCAAGCGAUCUAGCACACAAGCAACCAAAAAGCAAACGGAAAGACGAACGGAAGAAGGGCAAAUAAAAAGGAAAAUCUUUUUGUAUUUUUCUGAAAUAAUUUUAGUAGUGGGGGAGAGGAAAACGAGAGGCAAAUGGCAAAUAAUGUAAUGCAAGAGAUGAGAGUUUAUGAUGGGUACUUGGUAGGCUUGAUGUAAAUCUCCCCGGCAACGGCGCCAGAAAUUCUUCCUGCUACUUCUUGAGCUUGCGUUGGUUUUUCCCUUGAAGAGGAAAGGGUGAUGUAGCAAAGUAGAGAUAAGUAUUUCCCUCAAUUGAGAACCAAUGUAUCAAUCCAGUAGUACAUACAAGCAAGUCUCCAAUCUAUGCACGUGCACAAACAAUCAAACACUUGCACCCAACGCGAUAAUGAGGUUGUCAAUCCCUUGACGGUCACUUGAAAAGGUGAGAUCUGAUAGGGAUAGAUAUAAAAGAUUGCUAAAACAUAAAACAAAAUAAAAGUAAAUAAAUUGCAGCAAGAUAUUUUUGGCUAUUUUGGUUUAUAGAUCUGAAAAUAUAUGAUGGAAUAGACCCGAGGGCCAUAGGUUUCACUAGAGGCUUCUCUCUUGAAGGGAAAUAAUACGGUGGGUGAACAAAUUACUGUCAAGCAAUUGAUAGAAAAGCGCAAAGUUAUGACGAUAUCCAAGGCAAUGAUUAUGAAUAUAGGCAUCAUGUUCAUGUCAAGUAGACUAAAACAAUUCUGCAUCUACUACUAUUAUUCCACACAUCGACCGCUAUACAACAUGCGUCUAGAGUAUUAAGUUCAUAAGAACGGAGUAACGCCUUAAGAAAGAUGACAUGAUGAAGAGGGAUAAACUCAAGUAAUAUGAUGAAACCCCCAUCUUUUUACCCUUGAUGGCAACAAUACAAAUACGUGCCUCGCUACCCCUACGUUGUCACUGGAUGAGGACACCGCAAGAUUGAACCCAAAACUAAGCACCUCUCCCAUUGCAAGAAGAACCAAUCUAGUUAGCCAAACCAAACCGAUAAUUCAAAGAGAAAUACAAAGAUAUCAAAUCAUGCAUAUAGGAAUUCAGAGAAGAUUCAAAUAAUAUUCAUAGAUAAACUAAUCAUAAAUCCACGAUUCAUCGGAUCUCGACAAACACACCGCAAAACAAGAUUACAUUCGAUAGAUCUCCAAGAACAUCGUGGAGAACAUGGUAUUCAGGAUCAAAGAGAGAGAAAAGGCCAUCUAGCUACUUGCUAUGGACCCGUAGGUCUGUGGUAAACUACCCACGCUUCAUCGAAAGGGCAAUAUAGUUGAUUUAGAAGCCCUCCAUGAUCGAACCACCCUCCGGGAGGAUGUCAGAAAAGGUCCCUAGACGGGAUCUCACAGGUAUAGAAGGUUAAGGCGGCGGAAAAGUAUUGUGGUGGAAGCUUUUGGUCAUUUGGGAAUAUUUCUGAAUUUAUAGGCCAAAGAUUAGGGUUGAAGGAGUCCCGUGGGGCCCACAAGCCAGGGGCGCCCACCUAGGGUGCACCCUGAGGGCUUGUGGAGCCGUCUGGACUCUUCUGCCUUCCUUUCCAAGUCCCACAUGUAUCUUUUGGCCCAAGAAAAAUCGUCGCAAAAGUUUUAUUCCGUUUGGACUUUGUUUGAUAUUUCUUUUUUGUAAAACUCAAAACAAGGAAAAAACAAAAACUUGUACUGGGCUCUGGGUUAAUAAGUUAGUCCCAGAAAUAAUAUAAAAUAGCAUACAAAUGCAUAUAAAACAUCCAAAACAGAUAAUAUAAUAGCAUGGAACAAUAAAAAAUUAUAGAUACGUUUGAGACAUAUCAGACAUUGGCUUCUCUAAUUGGUCUAGGACAUCAUUAACCCCAUCUAUUCAAAAAGGGCAAAAGAUAGUGUUCUUCGGAGUCUCAGGAAGUUUUUUGGUUACUUUUUGAGUUGUAGGAAAUUCGCAUUAUUAAGAGGAGACGCGGAACUUAGGGAGUUGGAGAAAUCAAUCAAACUCCAUGUACAAAUUUCCCUAAUUAUUUUAGACACUUCGGAAGGGUUUUUCCCAAGUGUUAUUGGAGCCCCACUCAGAGGACCGGGUGUGUGCAUCCCUUAUGGUCCGGAUGCUCGGAGGCACCAAAGAGGUUUGCCUCUGCCUUUGCCGUGUCCGAGUGCCCGAAGCUAGUGCUCCGGCUUUGGAUAGUCCGGGUGCCCGAAGUCCUACCCCCUGAGUGCCCGACCAUCUGUGUUCUACCGUGACUGUUUUGUACGGGUGCUUGGGGCAGGUCAUGGUCUCUUUGUUGUGUUCGGGUGCUCAGACCCAUUUAGACCGGGUAUUCGGGGUUGUAGCUCUUUCCACCUGAGGGGUAUAAAUGCCCCCUUCAUCCACCUCAUAUUCCAAUCUUCCUCAAGCUUUUCCUCACCAUUGCCAAACCAGAAAAGCUCGAUCUCUCCAUCCCCAUCCACCCAAACUCUUCAAUACUUUGGAUUGGAGGAGAUUCAUCCGAUUUAUGUUCCUACCAAACCAAUUUGAUUCCCUCGACUCUAUUGUCUUCGUCCACUUGUUACUAUUGGGUGUUUCGGCACCCUAGAGGGCACCGCGGAGCCACAUUUCAUUGUCGUGAAGCUUUGUUGUUGUGUUGGGAGCCUCCAUUUUAGUUGUGGAGAUUACAUCAACCUUGUUUGUAAAGGUCCCGGUUGUCGCCUUCAAUGUCACCGGUAGUGGAUUGACGACACCUUGAUUGUGCAAGGGCUUGAGGAGAAUAGGAUGAUUCCUUGGGAUGCUUGGGGAGCAUUAUGCCUCCCCCAAAGGAGGGACCUUGUGAGGUUACUUCUACCCUUUACUUUGUGCAAGCUAUUACCUUAUGUUUACUCUUGCUUUCUUGUGUUCUUUGUUCUGCUUGUCAUAUAGGUUGUCCACCUAGUUGCAUAUCUAGGAAACCCACUUUAUUGUUGAGCCUAAAAUUUGCAAACAUAGUUAAAAAUUGGUAGUCACCUAUUCACCCUUGACAGUGUCCUGGACUAAGGGGUGCCAACCAAGAUGGCCUGUAGUCCUCACUCUCCGUCGGAUGGACUUCAGAAGCUGCAUGCCUAGACGUAAUCAAGAUUGCCUCUGUCGAAGACUUGACGUAUACUCCAAGACAUCUCCUACCGCCUCCAUGCGAUCCCCCGGAUACCGACCAUGUAACCCUAGAUGCCCUACCUGGUGUGUAUAUAAGCCAAAGGGUUUAGCCCAUAGAAGGGACCGAAUCACAAUCACAUUCACCUAGCCCUAAGGUUAGAACACAACUUACAAUCUCUAGGUAGAUCAAGCUUGUACUCGAUACAUUUCCAUCCAUAUAAACAAGAGGAGGACAUAGGGUUUUACAUCCAUCAAGAGGGCCCGAACCUGGGUAAACAUCGUCUCCCUUGUUCAUGUUACCACCGAUCCGAGAUCCACAGCUCGGGACCCCCUACCCUGAGGUCUGCCAGUUUUGACACCGAGAACCCUCCAGUCGACCAUACUAAUCCUUUCAGUGCACCUUUUCUCUUUGUAUAUGUACUCCACCUAGAGUACAUGCAUGUGGGUGGAGGAUACAGCGACCUAGAGAGAUAUGGCGUGUGUGAUAGAGUCGGUAGAUAGUGGUAAGUGUACGUGUGUGCGCGAGUGAUGUCUCCAUAUGCACGGUAGAUAGAUAGAUGGGGGUAUGUGUCAAUGUGUGUGAAAGAGAGGUCUCAUAUGUAUAGUGGGGCGACCUACAGAAAGAGAGGGAGGGUGAUCAUAUGCAAUAGAUAUGAAUAGAGGGAGGGAGCAUAUGAGUGCGAGGUCAAUAUAGAAGGAGCGAGUGUGUGUGUGUGUGCACACACACACACGCUAGAGAGAUAGAGAGAGAGGCCUACUAGAUGGGAAGGGGGAGAGGGUGUCUAUGUGGGAGAGACCUAAUCAGAGAGGCAGAUUGACCGAUGUGUGUGGGAGAGAGACCUAAUUAUAGAGGGAGAUCGAUUGGUGCCUCUAUGUAGGAGAGGAUGCCCAUACACACACACAUCGAGAGAGAGAGAGAGAGAGAGAGAGAGAGAGAGGGAGUCCUGGAUUGAGGGGUCCUCAGAUAGCCGGACUAUUAACAUGGGCCUGACUGUUGAACUAUGAAGAUACAAGACCAAAGACUUCUUGCCGUGUCCGGAUGGGACUCUCCUUUGCAUGGAUGGCAAGCUUGGUGAUUCAGAUAUGUAGAUUCCUUUCUAUGUAACCGACUUUGUGUAAACCCUAGCUAGACCCCUCCGGUGUCUAUAUAAACCGAAGGGUUUAGUCUGUAGAGACACACAACAAUCAUAAUCAUAGGCUAGCUUCUAGGGUUUAGCCAUUACGAUCUCGUGGUAGAUCAACUCUUGUAAUACUCAUAUUCAUCAAGAUCAAUCAAGCAGGAAGUAGGGUAUUACCUCCAUAGAGAGGGCCCGAACCUGGGCAAACAUUGUGUCUCCCGCCUCCUGUUACCAUUAGCCUUAGACGCACAGUUCGGGACCCCCUACCCGAGAUCCGCCGGUUUUGACACCGACAUUGGUGCUUUCAUUGAGAGUUCCACUGCGUCAUCACCAGAAGGCUUGAUGGCUCCAUCAAUCAUCUACAACAACGCAAUCCAGGGAGAGAUCUUCCUCCCCGGACAAAUCUUCAUAUUUGGCGGCUUCGCACUACAGGCCAACCCACUUGGCCAUCUGGAGCAGAUCGAUAGCUAUGCCCCUGGCCAUCGGGUCAGAUUUGGAAGCCUGAAUUUCGUGGCCGAUAUCCGGGGAGACUUGAUCUUUGACGGAUCCGAGCCCAUGACGGUUGUCCCCUGCCACCACGAUCAACAUGACCUAAAUCUGUCAUCAGACCGUGUUCGGGAGACAAUGCCCAUAACCGCUCUGGCCUUAGAUCUGGAGCAAACCGCGCCGUUCGAGGAUGGGAAGCUCAACCCCGCCAUGUAAGCCGCAGACUCAGCGGCGUUCGAGCCGCACAUAGACCCAACAUCAAGCUGGGCUCGUGUUACCGGAACCUUAGAUUCGUCUCCGGCUAUAGGUUCCAGACCGCAUGCAUCCGCGUCCAUCAAACCUGAUUGGGCACCAAUCUUGGAGUUCGACUCUACGGACAUCUUCCAGCACUCACCUCUAGGCGAUGUGUUAAACUCAUUAAAAUCCCUCUCCUUAUCAGGAGACUCUCAGCCGAACUAUGCCCGGUUUGAAGUGGAAGUAGAGGAUGAAUUCCGCUUCCCACCCACCACCCACUUAAUAGCCACCGUCAAAGAUUUAAGCGAUCUACUUGACUACGCCUCCGAAGACUUCGAAGGGAUGGACCUCGAGGCCAGAGAAAAUCUAGACCAAAACCCACCCGUAACCGGGCGGUGGACGGCUACGUCCUCAUAUGAUAUAUACAUAGUGGACACACUUAAAGUGAACGAGGCCGACGGCGACAAAGAUAAACCCGUCGAUGAACCUCCAAAGCGUCGGCAUCAUAAGCGCAGACCUUGAUCCGACAAGGGAAACAACAGCAACACCAUCACAGGAGAAGGUAAUACUCCAGACGAUGCCGAAGACAAUGAAGACCCCACAGAUCCAGUGAUGGAGCUGGACAAGCAAGAAGAUGGCAAACACAUUCCGGGGCCGCUGUACGACCACAACGAUGCUGAAGUACCAACUAUCAACCCGUCUCCGAAGAGGAGAUCAGUCUGGGCGACGAUGAAUUCAUCGUCCCGGAAGAACCUUUGGAACAAGAGCGCCUCCACCGGAGACUCAUCGCCACUGCGAGGAGCUUGAAGAAGCAGAAGCAGCGGCUUAAGGCCGCACAAGAUACGCUCAAUGACAAAUGGAACGAAGUGCUAGACGCUGAGGAAAAAUACGGUGGUAAUCGCCAAACAAAGAGCUAUCCUAAGCGUAAACUGCUGCCCAAAUUCGACGACGAGGCUAUUGUGCCCAUACCGUCGAAAAACAAUAUGACCGACAAACCGGACCGACCACCUCAUGGACGGGACAGAGCAGCUAGCAACGGCACACACAAGCCCGCACCCCCUCCCCGUAAAGGAAGGGAUGUUGCGACUCAGGACCAGAAACACGAUCUACGUGAGGACCUGGACAAAAAGGCUGGCAGAACCAGGUCCAUCUAUGGAUCCAGGGAACAUGCUCCUACACGGGAUCAUGAUUAUCAAACCAAAUAUGCUGGUCAUUUACCAGUUCGGAACCAACACCAAACAUUACAACCGUCGGACCCACGCCACGACACAGCCAAAUACAGGGGUGCUGCACCCCCCCCCCCCCCCCCCUGCUUCACCGAUGAGGUGCUGGAUCACAAAUUUCCAGAAGGGUUUAAACCCAUAAAUAUCGAGGCAUAUGAUGGAACGACGGACCCUGUGGUCUGGAUAGAAGACUUUAUUCUUCACAUCCACAUGGCUCGCGGAGAUGAUCUCCACGCCAUCAAAUACUUAUCCCUCAAACUGAAAGGACCAGCUCGGCACUGGCUGAAAAGCCUCCCUGAAAAUUCCAUUGGAAGCUGGGAAGAACUUGAGGAUGCUUUUCGGUCCAAUUUUCAAGGGACCUAUGUCCGACCUCCGGAUGCAGACGAUCUAAGCCACAUAAUCCAACAAUCCAGAGAAUCAGCCUGUAAACUUUGGAAUCGGUUUCUCACUAAGAAGAACCAAAUCGUCGAUUGUCCGGACGCCGAAGCCUUAGCGGCCUUCAAGAAUAGUGUCUGGGAUGAAUGUCUUGCCAAACACCUUGGCCAGGAAAAACCUAGGACAAUGGCAGCCUUAACCACACUUAUGAUCCGUUUUUGCGCGGAUGAGAACAACUGGCUAGCUCAUAGUAGCACCAGCGAUCCUAGCACAUCCGAAGUCAGGGAUGGAAAUGGAAAGCCACGACGCAAUAAAAACAAACGUCGAAACAAUGAAGAAAGCCCAGACAAUACAACGGUAAACGCCAGAUUCAGGGGCUCCAGACCCGGUCAGUGGAAGAAGCCAUUUAAAGGCAAUAAAGACGGUCCAUCCAGCUUGGAUAAAAUUCUAGAUAGGCCCUACCAGAUCCAUGCACCCCCACUAAACCUGCAAACCAUACCAACCGUAGUUGUUGGGUCUUCAAGCAGGCCGGCAAACUCAAUGCCGAACACAAGGGGAAGGGACCGCAGAGCGAAGAUGAGGACGAAUCUCGCCAGCCGAAGACGGGGGGACAGAAGAAAUUUCCACCAGAGGUCAAGACAGUGGACAUGAUCUAUGUCACUCACAUCCCAAAAAGGGAGCGCAAAUGCGCAUCCAAGAUGUCUACGCUGUUGAGCCCGUUGCCCCCAAAUUUAACCCAUGGUCGGCAUGUUCAAUCACCUUUGAUCGCAGGGAUCACCCGACUAGUAUCCAUCAUGGGGGCUCGGCUGCCCUAGUGCUCGAUCCAAUAAUCGACGGAUACCACCUCACUCGAGUCCUUAUGGACGGCGGCAGCAGUCUCAAUCUGAUAUAUCAAGACACUGUACGCAAGAUGGGGAUAGACCCAUCAAGAAUCAAGCCAAGCAUCACAAAUUUUAAAGGCGUUAUACCAGGCGUAGAGGCCCACUGCACUGGCUCUUUAACAUUGGAGGUCGUAUUCGGCUCUCCUGACAACUUUAAAAGUGAAGAGCUAAUCUUCGACAUAGCUCCGUUCCGAAGUGGCUAUCACACAUUACUCGGAAGAACGGCCUUCGCCGGCUUCAAUGCAGUCCCGCAUUAUGCCUAUCCAAAGCUCAAAAUGCCUGGACCGCGCGGCAUCAUCACGGUCAGUGGAAACACGGAGCGCUCUCUUCGUACAAAAGAGUACACGGCAGCUCUGGCAGCCGAAGCCCAAAACGGCCCAUUCAAGCCGAAUAGCAUAUUGGUUGUUAUGACCGCGGACACAGCUAAACGUGUCCGGUGCACGCCUUAGUGCGGUAGCUCAAAUAAAUCUGAGCUUGAUUAGCAGUUAUGCCCCCAUCGACUGCCCAACAAGGUGAUGGCAUACAUGCCUCGUAUACAAAAGUAUACCCUCAAAAUUCCUUGCGGCAACGGGGGCACACUGCAUACAAAUUGUCCAUAGUUCGGCUCGACCCUAUUUGGACUCUAUAAACUAUAUUUCAAGGCUCAUUAAACGAGCCAGCUAUGUCUAUGGCCACACUGAAUUCCUUUUUACAAGCUUUUUCUUCUUUUUUCUAACAGCUGGCCAUCACACCCCUCCCUUCUUGGACACAUCACAAAGGAUAAAAUGGUGCAGACAUGCAGCAGGGCCCCGCACUAAGCUUUCUUUUUAGAUUAAGCCCCUGUGUAAACCUUUUUUUAUCUCUUUUUGUUUUAUACUUUCCUGGCAUGUAAAAUGUCCAAGGAAGAUAUCGGCACUAUCUGUAAGAAUACGACUUGUCGUCUUAAUGAUGGAUGUUAUAGAAGCAGCGUGAUUCAGAAUGUGUUUGGAGUUUUAUUCUCUCACCACUUGCGUUCUUUCCCCAUGCCAGAUUGCCACAUGUGCCUUGAAACCAGGGUCCAUUACCAGGGGCUGUCGUCAGCCCGGUAUAUGUUGUAAAGUCCGAACACCUUAGGGAGUGUUCGGCGUUCCGAGUUUGGCCUUAUAUACAUCAGCUCUGAAUCAUGUCUUUGGUCAAUAGUUGGGUUGCCCGGCUCCUGUGCUUGUUGCCCUAUGUUCUGCUAUAUUGGCUAGGGUAGUAAAGGGAGAACUACUACGAUUGUGUCCUGGUUCUUCCAGAUGAGCACCUCAGUAGAGAAAGCCGAAAACUGACUGUCAUGAUGCGGUGGGAGAUGGUCAACCACUCGAUGACUCAGUGGAAUCUUAGUGAUUCCUUCCGCAUUAACGAAGGACCGAUUUUCUGGUCACGUAUGUAAAUGCACCAUAUUCGGAUAACUGGGUACGUACCAGGGGCUAUAUCGUAGACCCACCCUCAAACUCCUAUGGCUAAGUGAAAGUGUUAAAGCCCUAUAGUCUGAUUGCCUGGUUCGCCACAUUGACACCUCCUUAACGGACCAAGACGUUGGGUCAAGUGUGAUCAAGUGCUUUUCUGAACACUUCCGUGUUACACACGAGGGGGCUGAAGCCGAUGACAGACAAACUUUCAGAUUAUAUAUAUAUAAACGGCCGCACAUGAGGCACCAAAACUUUUUGGGCAAAAGUAUAAAAAUAUAGCCUUCAAACAAUCAUAAUAUUGUUUUUACAAUUCCAGUACACUUCACUCAAACAUAAUAUCUUUCGAGCACUGACCCUCUAUCAAGCGGGCACCUUCUAGGACAUCUUCAAAGUAAUGUUCUGGCAUGAUCGGGUCCUUGCCUUCGGGUGGACUCCGAGCCACAAUAUUGGUGGCCUUCAUCUUCGCCUUAUACGUCUUGACACGGGCAAGAGCCAUCCGUGCACCUUCUAUGCAUGUUGACCGCUUAACAGCGUCGAUACGCGGCACCGCAUCAACAAGUCGCUGCACCAAACUAAAAUAACUAUUCAAAAUUGGCUCAGUCGGCCACAGCCGGGCUAUGACGUCCUUCAUGGCAGUUCCGGACAUCUUGUGGAGCUCGGCCCACUGUGCCAUCUAUUCGUUCAACAGUGGACACUUCGGCGUGUCAAAUUGCGACCAUAGUAGCUUUUCCGUCGCAUGUCCUUCUUGCGCAUGGAAAAACUGAUUCGCAUUGGCAGCACUCUUCGGCAGGUCCAAAAAGGUGUCUGGGGAACUCCACAGUUGAUUAAGCGGAGCAUACUUUGGAUCGCCAAACUUAGUUUGCAAUAAAAAGGGCUUACCAGCCGCGAUCUUCCUAGCCCGUCGGAUCUCCUCCCGAGCUGCUCUAGACUCAGACCGAGCUUCCUUCGCCUCUUGUACGGCCUUGUCAAGAUCGGCCGCUUUGGCUUUGUUAUCUUUCUGAAGAACUUGGCAUCGACUAAUGGCAUCCUUUAGCUCAAGUGCCAUAGUAGAUAUUCUCUCCUCGCACUGACGCCGGGCAGUCUGCUCGGCCUUCAAAUUAGCAGCCGCCUUUUCGGUAGCCGCAUUACUCAUCCUGGCUUGCUCCUUGGCCCGGGCAAGCUCAGCCCGAAGGGUCUCAACGGCGGCGACACCAUCUGCAGUUAAACAUAUUGCAAGUCCCAGCGUCAUGCUCAUAUUUCUAAUAUUUGUAUAUACUACCUGCCCCAAAGACAUACCUUGCGCCUCGUCGAGCCCCCUGUUCAUGAGUGUGAUGUCAUCAUCCGCUACUUCAACUUUCUGCUUCAGAUGUGUUACUUCUGUAGCUUGAGCAGUCACCACAGAUGUAAUAGCCUAUGUUUAAAUUAGUCAGACUAUUUUUUGUAUAUAUUUAUUGACCCUCUGUUGCCUCCUUUUGGAUGCCAGUCAGAGUCUUAGGGGCUACUACCUAUACACAGGCGCAUUUUGCGUUUAUGGCAUUUUUUUAAAAUACUAUAUUAUGUACCUCGAAGCUUCCUAGCAGGCUCAUAAAGGCUUCGUUCAAUCCAUUUUUUGUGGACAGAACCUUUUCAACCACCGUACCCAUCAAGGUACGAUGUUCCUCUGAGAUGGAUGCAUGUCGCAAUGUGUCCGUCAAUGUAUCCGGCACCUCCAUAUGCGGAGCAGUAUGCGCUGUCCCUCGGAAGCCGGAUAGUCCGGGGCCUUUGUUGUCGUUUCUUGUGUUGUCCGCACACCCUGGACCCUGGGCAGCCGAAGUACCAUCUUUGGGCCCGGUCCUCACUGUCCCUCGCACCGCCUGUUGAUCGGGUGUCGUCCGCCUUAUCAGGCAAGGAGAUUUGUGGAGGUGUCUCACUUUCCAUCAUCUCUGGAAGAAGAUCCCCCGAGGAGGAGGACUGUUGAGAAAGGCGGCAUGCCGGACUGCAAACAUAUAUUUUGAAAUAUUAUUCUGGCAACCAAGAAAGAACAAGAUAUGUUUAAAAUACCAUUGAUCACUUACGAUUCCGCUAGGGGCAUUCCUUUAUGGAGAGACUGCGUGUCAACGUUGCCUCUCGGACUAGAGCCCCCUGACAGGGAUAUUCUCCCUUGCUUAGAAGCCCUUAUCUUCAGGUCUUCGGAGGCGGUCCUUUUCUUCCCACAAGGAGAAGGGACGUCAGUUUUUCCUUCCCUUCCGUCUUCAGAAGAGGGAGUUCCGAUCUCCCCAGACAUGAUGCCGGGUGAGCCUCUAGAAUGAGGGGCUCCUUGGGCCUCCUUGCUCUUUUCCUUGUCUUCCCUUACCGGCGCUUGAUAGGGUGCCGGAACCAACAUCCUAGCUAACACCGGAUCCGCUGAGUCCUUGGGAAGAGGGGCCGAACACCUGAUUCUCUCCGCCUUCUUUAUCAAGCCCUGGCAGAUUACAUUGUUAUGAGGAAUUAGACUAAACUAUGUUUGGGAGUUAAAUGCUUACCGAGGUAUCCGGAUGAUUGCAGUCAAGGCCGAUGUCUUAUGUAGUAUCUGGCCACUAUUUUCAUGCGCCGAAGAAUAAUUUCCACAUCCCUCUGAGCAUCGAGCCAGAGAAGUACUGAAGGGUCCGUGGUCCUUCCGGAUUGAACUCCCACAUACGGAGAGGACGUCGCUGUCACAGAAGGACCCGCCAGAUUAGCAUUACUUGGAUUACAUUGAUGAGGCCGAUAUCCUUUUCGAUAAGGCUCUGAAUGUGGCUUUGCAGCAUCCGCACCUCAUCAAUAGAUCCCCAGUCCAGCCCUUUGUUAACCCACGAUGCGAGAUGUGGCGGAGGGCCAGAUCGAAACACAGGUGUAGCUGCCCACUUCUUACCGCGAGGUUCAGUGACAUAAAACCACUCAUGUUGCCAUAGGUCAGAAGACUCUGCGAAGGAACCCUUUGGCCAAGGAGAAUUGAUAAGCUUGUUUAUUGAAGCACCUUCGCACUCCGCUUGUUUCCCAUCUACUACCUUUGGUUUCACGUUAAAGGUUUUAAGCCAUAAGCCGAAGUGUGGGGUAAUGCGGAGGAAGGCCUCACACGUGAUGAUAAACAUUGAGAUGUGAAGGAAAGAGUCUGGAGCUAGAUCAUGGAAAUCUAGUUUGUAAUAAAACAUGAGCCCUCGAAUGAAGGGAUGAAGGGAAAAACCUAGCCCUCAGAGGAAGUGAGAGAUGAACACGACCCUCUCAUUGGAUCUGGGAGUAGGGAUAACCUGCCCUUGAGCAGGAAGCCUGUGGAGGAUUUCCGCAGUCAAGUAUCUUGCCUCCCUGAGCUUCGUGAUGUCCUCCUCUGUGACAGAAGAGGCCGUCCACCGGCCUUGAAGGCUGGAUCCGGACAUGGCCGGAGGCCCGAAGCGACUGGAUUAAACCUUGGGUGUUGGAACUUGAGGUGGGAGGAGGAGAGGAUUAGCAUGGAAGGAAAAAGAAAGGUCCUGGCCUCUUUAUAAAGGCGACGAAUAUCAAACGUCCCCUACGUGGCCUUAAAACAUGCCUAUUCCCAAGGAAUCAUACCAACGGAAUGGUUGGGUUACCCACGCCCGUGUUGAUGAGAAUCCCGUGAUAAGGGGACAUGAUCUCUGCUUCGGCAAGGCGUGCCAAUAAAACCGCCUCGCGAAACAUGGAGUAGCAGGCUGGAAAACGAUCCGAAAUAAUGGUCGGGCGAUGACGUAAUGUCGCCUUGCAAAAAUUUGUCAGUGGAUUGGACUCGUGAAAAUAUUAUACUCUCUACGGUUGUGUGUGGCAUUUGUUUUGCAGAGCCGAACACGUUUUUGGUCCGAAGACUAUUGUGGAGUAAUCGGAGAAGGAACCCGCCUUGCAAUGCCGAAGACAAUCUGCACGCCAGACUCAUCGUCAUUGAAGCCUGGUUCAGGGGCUACUGAGGGAGUCCUAGAUUGAGGGGUCCUCAGACAGCCGGACUAUUAACAUGGGCCGGACUGUUGAACUAUGAAGAUACAAGACCGAAGACUUCUUCCCGUGUCCGGAUGGGACUCUCCUUUGCGUGGAUGGCAAGUUUGGUGAUUUGGAUAUGUAGAUUCCUUUCUCUGUAACCGACUUUGUGUAAACCCUAGCCCCCUCCGGCGUCUAUAUAAACCAGAGGGUUUAGUCCGUAGAGACACACAACAAUCAUAAUCAUAGGCUAGCUUCUAGGGUUUAGCCAUUACGAUCUCAUGGUAGAUCAACUCUUGUAAUACUCAUAUUCAUCAAGAUCAAUCAAGCAGGAAGUAGGGUAUUACCUCCAUAGAGAGGGCCCGAACCUGGGUAAACAUUGUGUCCCCCGCCUCCUGUUACCAUUAGCCUUAGACACACAGUUCGGGACCCCUACCUGAGAUCCGCCGGUUUUGACACCGACAGAGAGAGAGAGACACACACACACACACAGAGAGAGAGAGAGAGAGAGAGAGAGAGGAAGGAGACCAGGUCUGAGAGGGUGUGAUGUACCUAGGUAGCAACUACCAUGUGUUUGUGUGUGAGAGAACAAGAGUGCAGAGCUCAGACUCCCACACCGAACCUUCUCAAUCCAAUCUACAUCCGCGUGCUAGCGAUUCGAAGAACCGAUGCUCGAGGGGCGUACGAGGCCACAACCCGACCAAAGUGCUCCCGACGGGAGUACAUGGAAACAUUACCGGUGGUACGAGGAUCUUUACUGAAAGGCGGCGGUGCUAGGGUCGCCCUUGGGCCGCCUAGGUCACUCAUUGUUUCCCCCUUUAUCAAUCUGUUCCACAAAAGGUCUGAAACCUAGAAAUUAUUUUGCAUUAUGGCGGUGUUUAUUCAUAAACAUGUCUAUCAUUGAGUUAUUUUGUAUUUCGCAAGUUGAUUAUUUGGUGUCAUAUAGAAAUCAACUUAUUUUCUUUAAUGAAUAUUUCGCUAUUAUUCCGAUCUGUUCCGAAUUGAGUAAACAUCCGAUAUGUGUCCAUAUUCAAACAAUACCUGCUCCACAUUCGUAUCCUAUAACAUUUAUAUUCACAUUUGUACCUAUUUUUUACGAAAAACAGUAAUGGGAAGAAGAUUAUUUAUUUUGAGAGUAUGGAAAUUGCGUAUCAUAAUUUUAUAGAAGGCCGAGAAUAUGUUACAAGAAAUGCUGGAAGCAAAACAAGCUAAGCCACUGACAAGCAUCCGCACACGCACUAGAAUAUUACAUGCUACUCUAUCAUAAAGAUUUGAGAACACCUAGCUCCUCCAAGUGUGAAUCUUGUCAAGAAUGUGGUUUACAAAUUGAGGGAUAUUGUGUUGCUGAGACACAUUCCCGAAGACCCUCGCUCGUUUCUUUGCUUCUGCAGGCUCCAAGCGAUAAGAGUAGUUAGUGAAUCAAAACUCUUUCUGAUUGGUUUCAGCAAAGCUUGGCGCGUAGGAAGCCACCACUCCUCCAGGUUGUCCUCCACUGUCGGGAUGCCAACAUGGACAACCAGUGUAGUGAAAUAUGCGUGCCAUGUCUGUCAUGCAUAAACACAUUGCAUAAGUAUGUGGUCCAGAGUAUCUUCUUCCUAGCAGAAAUUGAAGCAAGGGGAGGUAGCGUCUUGUAGCCCAUGCCAGAAUUGAUGGGCGGAGGUCCAGACUCGAUAUUGCAUAACAAACCAUAUGAAAAUUUUGCAUUUAAGCGACACCCAGCUUUUUAAGAUACAAUGAGCAGUGGCAAACAAAUCAUGCACUGGCAUGGCAUUUUGUAUGGUGAUUGCGCCGAGUACGGUUCAGUCGAACUCCACCUCCAUGAGAAAACAUCCAGGAUAGCACUAUUUAGUUGUAUGUUCCUAACGACAGACCAAAAGUUCGAGAAUUGUUGUAGACCUUGCGGACCGGCACUCAUGUAGAAGAACACUAUUCAAUUGGCACCCGAUCCGUUUUCAGUAGGCCUAUUCAUGAGCAACCCGACCCGACGAGCCUGACCUGAAAGCCCGACAUCCGGUCUAGGCAUGGGCUCGACGUUUUCGUCCGAAGCCCGAGCAAAGGCCGAAUGAGUUUUAAAUAAUUGUUUUAAUUUAAAAAUUGCUAUAGUACUAUAUUUAAAUAAACUGAAAGUAAUAACUUUAAAUAAGAAGUGCACUUUUUUUACUGUUCAAAUGUUUCUGGCCGGGCCGAAUCGGGGUUUGGGAUUCUUGCUUCGGGCUUUGUCAAGCCCGGCCCGUCCGAGGGCAUGAUCUGGUUCUAGGAAGAAUGCUUGAUUUGCAGUUAGGGAGUGUGUCCACGUCAGUGAUCCGAGGCACUGACCCCUCCACCAAUCAGCGCCCACCUCUCCUCCCCAUAAAACCCAGCCCUGACCCCGCUCCAUUCCCCACACCAUCUCAGUCCCCACUUCCUGCUUCCAACAAACUCACACAACCCACCACCGAAGAUCCCAACUCCACCCGAAGCGGCAGCCAUGGCCCCCAAGGCAGACAAGAAGCCCGCGGCCGAGAACAAGGUCGAGAAGGCGGCGGAGAAGACCCCCGCGGGCAAGAAGCCCAAGGCCGAGAAGCGGCUGCCGGCGGGCAAGACGGCGUCCAAGGAGGCCGGCGGCGAGGCGAAGACCCGGGGCAGGAAGAAGGGCAGCAAGGCCAAGAAGGGCGUGGAGACGUACAAGAUCUACAUCUUCAAGGUGCUGAAGCAGGUGCACCCCGACAUCGGCAUCUCCUCCAAGGCCAUGUCCAUCAUGAACUCCUUCAUCAACGACAUCUUCGAGAAGCUCGCCGGGGAGUCGGCCAAGCUCGCGAGGUACAACAAGAAGCCCACCAUCACCUCCCGGGAGAUCCAGACCUCCGUCCGCCUCGUCCUCCCCGGGGAGCUCGCCAAGCACGCCGUCUCCGAGGGCACCAAGGUCGUCACCAAGUUCACAUCCUCCUAGACUGACGGCGUGUUGUUGGUUUCUGCAUCUGUAGUGUCGACUCUGCUUAUCUAUCUAUCUGCAAGUAGUGGUAGCAGUAGUAGUACCUGUGCUGGGUGAUUGCCAACGCUUUGUUGGCUCGUUGGUUGAUUGUAAGAACUGAAGUUGCUGCUCUGGCAAACUGAAAUCUAUCUAAGAACUGAAGUUAUCCUUCAGAAAUGUCUGCCUGAUGUUGGCUUUUUACCCUUCUGAAAUGUCUGGCCAUUUGUAUUUUGGUUGCUGAACUCUGGUUAUCUGCAAACAGAGCUACUACUGAAUUUGUUGGAAUUUGGUAGUAGUAAGAACUGAAUUCAG
Molecule: long non-coding RNA, 234987 nt
Filed under: Triticum aestivum (bread wheat)
Lineage: Eukaryota; Viridiplantae; Streptophyta; Magnoliopsida; Poales; Poaceae
Description: long non-coding RNA (TAES_LNC009540)
Source: RNAcentral